AUUACACAAUAAAUAAUACUCCUUCCGUUCCCAAAUACUUGUUGUGGUUUUAGUUCUAUUUACAAGCCACACUUUGCUUUGUAGAAAUACGCAAUUAAUUCUAUGCUGAAGCUCCAAAAUCCUGAUAGUAUCUUCUUUUGUUCCUGCGGCUUUGCUCUUGUUGUCUCAUCGGAUGGGCUUGUCCCCUGUCCUGCCCUGUUACAAGUACGCGCGCUUCUGUGCUAUGGGAACAAUGGGGAGAGGAAGAUGGCCCUUUUUCUGCAAGCACGUCACUGUCUCGUACAAGCUCUCUUUCAACGGAGUGAACUCCAAUCCCAGGUCCCUGAGCCUUUGGUUCGAGAACUUGUACGGCUUCGCCACGGGUUUGACGUCCUCUUCGCACCUGUCAUGCCAACGAAAUCCAUGGUGAGCAAACAAGCAAGCAAUGCCCAGUAUUGAAUUAAACAUGUUCAAAUUAUUAUAUUACGUCCUCUUCGCUCCAGAGUUCGUCAAGUUGCACGACAGAGAGUGCCAUCGCUGCCUACUGAAGGGGCACUGCAAGGCAAGCUGUAGAAAUCCAUUCACAUGCCGGAGAUGUCGCCAGUUUGGGCAUAGGGCGAGGGGCUGCACCAACUCUCCGUCCCCCUCCCCCCGGUCCCCUUUUGCUGCCCUCCUUCCACCAUAGUGAGGUCCCCUGCUGCGUCCAGAGAAGUCGUGUUCCCUGCAUCGACUCUUCCGACCUGAAGGAAAUAUGCCCUAGAGGAAAUAAUAAAGUUAUUAUUUAUUUCCUUAUAUCAUGAUAAAUGUUUAUUAUUCAUGCUACAAUUGUAUUAACCGGAAACAUAAUAUAUGUGUGAAUAUAUAGACAAACAUAGUGUCACUAGUAUGCCUCUACUUGACUAGCUCGUUGAUCAAAGAUGAUUAUGUUUCCUAACCAUAGACAUGAGUUGUCAUUUGAUUAACGGGAUCACAUCAUUAGGAGAAUGAUGUGAUUGACUUGACCCAUUUCAUUAGCUUAGCACUUGAUCGUUUAGUUUGUUGCUAUUGCUUUCUUCAAGACUUAUACAUGUUCCUAUGACUAUGAGAUUAUGCAACUCCCGUUUACCGGAGAAACACUUUGUGUGCUACCAAACGUCACAACGUAACUGGGUGAUUAUAAAGGUGCUCUACAGGUGUCUCCAAAGGUACUUGUUGGGUUGGCGUAUUUCGAGAUUAGGAUUUGUCACUCCGAUUGUCGGAGAGGUAUCUCUGGGCCCUCUCGGUAAUGCACAUCACAUAAGCCUGGGAAGCAUUGCAACUAAUAAGUUAGUUGCGGGAUGAUGUAUUACGGAACGAGUAAAGAGACUUGCCGGUAACGAGAUUGAACUAGGUAUUGAGAUACCGACGAUCAAAUCUCGGGCAAGUAACAUACCGAUGACAAAGGGAACAACGUAUGUUGUUAUGCGGUCUGACCGAUAAAAGAUCUUCGUAGAGUAUGUAGGAGCCAAUAUGAGCAUCCAGGUUCCGCUAUUGGUUAUUGACCGGAGACGUGUCUCGGUCAUGUCUACAUUGUUCUCAAACCCGUAGAGUCCGCACGCUGAACGUUAUGAUGACAGUUUCUUUAUGAGUUUAUAUAUUUUGAUGUACCGAAGGUUGUUCGGAGUCCCGGAUGUGAUCACGGACAUAACGAGGAGUCUCGAAAUAGUCGAGACAUAAAGAUUGAUAUAUUGGACGACUAUAUUCGGACAAAGGAAUGGUUCCGGGAGUUAUCGGAUAUAAAACGGAGUACCGGGGGUUAAUGGGCCUCAUGGGCCCAAAGUGGAGCAGCGGAGGGGCGGCCAGGGCAGGCUGCGCGCCCCCUCCCCCUCUAGUCCGAAUUGGACAAGGAGGGAGGGGCGGCGCCCCCCUUUCCUUUCUCUCCUCUCUCCCUUCCUUCCCCCUCUCCUAGUUGGACAAGGAAAGGAGGGAGUCCUACUCCCGGUAGGAGUAGGACUCCUCCCUGGCGCGCCUCCUCCUGGCCGGCCACCCCUCCCCCUUGCUCCUUUAUAUACGGGGGUAGGGGGCACCUCUAGACACAACAAUUGAUCCUUGAGAUCUAUUAGCCAUGUGCGGUGCCCUCCGCCAUCAUAAUCCUCGAUAAUAUUGUAGCGGUGCUUAGGCGAAGCCCUGCGACGGUAGAACAUCAAGAUCAUCACCACGCCGUCGUGCUGACGGAACUCUUCCCCGACAUUCUGCUGGAUCGGAGUCCGGGGAUCGUCAUCGAGCUGAACGUGUGCUAGAACUCGGAGGUGCCGUAGUUUCGGUGCUUGAUCGGUCGGGCCGUGAAGACGUACGACUACAUCAACCGCGUUGUGCUAACGCUUCCGCUUCCGGUCUACGAGGGUACGUAGACAACACUCUCCCCUCUCGUUGCUAUGCAUCACCAUGAUCUUGCGUGUGCGUAGGAAUUUUUUUGAAAUUACUACGUUCCCCAACAGUGGCAUCCGAGCCUAGGUUUUAUGCGUUGAUGCUGUGCACGAGUAGAACACAAGUGAGUUGUGGGCGACAUAAGUCAUACCGCUUACCAGCAUGUCAUACUUUGGUUCGGCGGUAUUUUUGGAUGAAGUGGCCCGGACCGACAUUACGCGUACGCUUACGCGAGACUGGUUCUACCGACGUGCUUUGCACACAGGUGGCUGGCGGGUGUCAGUUUCUCCAACUUUAGUUGAACCAAGUGUGGCUAUGCCCGGUCCUUGCGAAGGUUAAAACAUCACCAACUGGACAAACUAUCAUUGUGGUUUUGAUGCGUAGGUAAGAACGGUUCUUGCUAAGCCCGUAGCAGCCACGUAAAACUUGCAACAACAAAGUAGAGGACGUUUAACUUGUUUUUGUAGGGCAUGUUGUGAUGUGAUAUGGUCAAGACAUGAUGCUAAAUUUUAUUCUAUGAGAUGAUCAUGUUUUGUAACCGAGUUAUCGGCAACUGGCAGGAGCCAUAUGGUUGUUGCUUUAUUGUAUGUAAUGCAAUUGAGCUGUAAUGCUUUACUUUAUCACUAAGCGGUAGCGAUAGUCGUGGAAGCAUAAGAUUGGCGAGACGACAACGAUGCUACGAUGGUGAUCAAGGUGUCGCACCGGUGACGAUGGUGAUCAUGACGGUGCUUCGAAGAUGGAAAUUACAAGCACAAGAUGAUGAUGGUCAUAUCAUAUCACUUAUAUUGAUUGCAUGUGAUGUUUAUCUUUUAUGCAUCUUAUCUUGCUUUGAUUGACGGUUAGCAUUAUAAGAUGAUCCCUCACUAAAUUAUUAAAGUAUAAGUGUUCUCCCUAAGUAUGCACCGUUGCGAAAGUUCUUCGUGCUAAGACACCACGUGAUGAUCGGGUGUGAUAGGCUCUACGUUCAAAUACAACGGGUGCAAAACAGUUGCACACGCGGAAUACUCAGGUUUAACUUGACGAGCCUAGCAUAUAACAGAUAUGGCCUCGGAACACGGAGACCGAAAGGUCGAGCGUGAAUCAUAUAGUAGAUAUGAUCAACAUAUUGAUGUUCACCAUCGAUACUACUCCAUCUCAUGUGAUGAUCGGACAUGGUUUAGUUGAUUUGGAUCACGUGAUCACUUAGAGGAUUAGAGGGAUAUCUUUUUAAGUGGGAGUUCUUAAGUAAUAUGAUUAAUUGAACUUAAAUUUAUCAUGAACUUAGUACCUGAUAGUAUCUUGCUUGUCUAUGUUUGAUUGUAGAUAGAUGGCUCGUGCUGUUGUUCCGUUGAAUUUUAAUGCGUUCCUUGAGAAAGCAAAGUUGAAAGAUGAUGGUAGCCAUUACAUGGACUGGGUUCGUAACUUGAGGAUUAUCAUAAAUGUUGCACAGAAGAAUUACGUCCUGGAAGCACCGCUGGGUGCCAGGCCUGUUGUAGGAGCAACACCAGAUGUUAUGAACGUCUGGCAGAGCAAAGCUGAUGACUACUCGAUAGUUCAGUGUGCCAUGCUUUACGGCUUAGAACCGGGUCUUCAACGACGUUUUGAACGUCAUGGAGCAUAUGAGAUGUUCCAGGAGUUGAAGUUAAUAUUUCAAGCAAAUGCCCGGAUUGAGAGAUAUGAAGUCUCUAAUAAGUUCUAUAACUGCAAGAUGAAGGAGAAUAGUUCUGUCAGUGAACAUAUACUCAAAAUGUCUGGGUAUCAUAAUCACUUGACUCAACUGGGGGUUAAUCUUCCUGUUGAUAGUGUCAUUGACAGAGUUCUUCAAUCACUGCCACCAAGCUACAAAAGUUUCGUGAUGAACUAUAAUAUGCAAGGGAUGAAUAAGACUAUUCCUGAGCUCUUCGCAAUGCUAAAAGCCGCGGAGGUAGAAAUCAAGAAGGAGCAUCAAGUGUUGAUGGUCAAUAUGACCACCAAUUUCAAGAAAAAGGGCAAAGGGAAGAAGAAAGGGAACUUCAAGAAGAACAACAAACAAGUUGCUGCUCACGAGAAGAAACCCAAGUCUGGACCUAAGCCUGAGACUGAGUGCUUCUAUUGUAAGCAGACUGGUCACUGGAAGCGGAACUGCCCCAAGUAUUUGGCGGAUAAGAAGGAUGGCAAAGUGAACAAAGGUAUAUGUGAUAUACAUAUUAUCGAUGUGUACCUUACUAAUGCUUGUAGUAGCACCUGGGUAUUUGAUACUGGUUCUGUUGCUAACAUUUGCAAAUCGAAACAGGGGCUACGGAUUAAGCGAAGAUUGGCUAAGGACGAGGUGACGAUGCGCGUGGGAAAUGGUUCCAAAGUGGAUGUGAUCGCGAUCGGCACGCUACCUCUACAUCUACCUUCGGGAUUAGUAUUAGACCUAAAUAAUUGUUAUUUGGUGCCAGCGUUGAGCAUGAACAUUAUAUCUAGAUCUUGUUUGAUGUGAGACGGUUAUUCAUUUAAAUCAGAGAAUAAUGGUUGUUCUAUUUAUAUGAGUAAUAUCUUUUAUGGUCAUGCACCCUUGAAGAGUGGUCUAUUUUUGAUGAAUCUCGAUAGUAGUGAUACACAUAUUCAUAAUGUUGAAAUCAAAAGAUGUAGAGUUGAUAAUGAUAGUGCAACUUAUUUGUGGCACUGCCGUUUAGGACAUAUCGGUGUAAAGCGCAUGAAGAAACUCCAUACUGAUGGACUUUUGGAACCACUUGAUUAUGAAUUACUUGGUACUUGUGAACCGUGCCUCAUGGGUAAGAUGACUAAAACGCCGUUCUCCGGUACUAUGGAGAGAGCAACGGAUUUGUUGGAAAUCAUACAUACAGAUGUAUGUGGUCCAAUGAAAGUUGAGGCUCGUGGCGGAUUUCAUUAUUUUCUCACCUUCACAGAUGAUUUAAGCAGAUAUGAGUAUAUCUACUUAAUGAAACAUAAGUCUAAAACAUUUGAAAAGUUCAAAGAAUUUCAGAGUGAAGUUGAAAAUCAUUGUAACAAGAAAAUAAAGUUUCUACGAUCGAAUCGUGGAGGAAAAUAUUUGAGUUACGAGUUUGGUCUACAUUUGAAACAAUGCGGAAUAGUUUCGCAACUCACGCCACCCAGAACACCACAGCGUAAUGGUGUGUCCGAACGUUGUAAUCGUACUUUAUUAGAUAUGGUGCGAUCUAUGAUGUCUCUUACUGAUUUACCGUUAUCGUUUUGGGGUUAUGCUUUAGAGACGGCUGCAUUCACGUUAAAUAGGACACCAUCGAAAUCCGUUGAGACGACGCCUUAUGAACUAUGGUUUGGGAAGAAACCAAAGUUGUCGCUUCUGAAAGUUUGGGCUGCGAUGCUUAUGUGAAAAAGUUUCAACCUGAUAAGCUCGAACCCAAAUCGGAGAAAUGUGUCUUCAUAGGAUACCCAAAGGAGACUGUUGGGUACACCUUCUAUCACAGAUCCGAAGGCAAGACUUUUGUUGCUAAAUUCGGAGUUUUUCUAAAGAAGGAGUUUCUCUCGAAAGAAGUGCGUAGGAGAAAAGUAGAACUUGAUGAGGUAAUUAUACCUACUCCCUUAUUGGAAAGUAGUACAUCACAGAAACCGGUUUCUGUGAUACCUACACCAAUUAGUGAGGAAGCUAAUGAUAAUGAUCAUGAAACUUCAGAUCAAGUUACUACCGAACCUCGUAGAUCAACCAGAGUAAGAUCCGCACCAGAGUGGUACGGUAAUCCUGUUCUGGAAGUCAUGCUACUAGAUCAUGAUGAACCUACGAACUAUGAAGAAGCGAUGGUGAGCCCAGAUUCCGCAAAAUGGCUAGAAGCCAUGAAAUCUGAGAUGGGAUCCAUGUAUGAGAACAAAGUGUGGACUUUGGUUGACUUGCCCGUUGAUCGGCAAGCAAUUGAGAAUAAAUGGAUCUUCAAGAAGAAGACUGACGCUGACGGUAAUGUUACUGUCUACAAAGCUCGACUUGUCGCAAAAGGUUUUCGACAAGUUCAAGGGAUUGACUACGAUGAGACCUUCUCACCCGUAGCGAUGCUUAAGUCUAUCCGAAUCAUGUUAGCAAUUGCUGCAUUUUAUGAUUAUGAGAUUUGGCAGAUGGAUGUCAAAACUGCAUUCCUGAAUGGAUUUCUGGAAGAAGAGUUGUAUAUGAUGCAACCGGAAGGUUUUGUCGAUCCAAAGGGAGCUAACAAAGUGUGCAAGCUCCAGCGAUCCAUUUAUGGACUGGUGCAAGCCUCUCGGAGUUGGAAUAAACGCUUUGAUAGUGUGAUCAAAGCAUUUGGUUUUGUACAGACUUUUGGAGAAGCCUGUAUUUACAAGAAAGUUAGUGGGAGCUCUAUAGCAUUUCUGAUAUUAUAUGUGGAUGACAUAUUAUUGAUUGGAAAUGAUAUAGAAUUUCUGGAUAACAUAAAGGGAUACUUGAAUAAGAGUUUUUCAAUGAAAGACCUCGGUGAAGCUGCUUACAUAUUGGGCAUUAAGAUCUAUAGAGAUAGAUCAAGACGCUUAAUUGGACUUUCACAAAGCACAUACCUUGACAAGAUUUUGAAAAAGUUCAAAAUGGAUCAAGCAAAGAAAGGGUUCUUGCCUGUGUUACAAGGUGUGAAGUUGAGUAAGACUCAAUGUCCGACCACCGCAGAAGAUAGAGAGAAAAUGAAAUUUGUUCCCUAUGCUUCAGCCAUAGGCUCUAUCAUGUAUGCAAUGCUGUGUACUAGACCUGAUGUGUGCCUUGCUAUAAGUCUAGCAGGGAGGUACCAAAGUAAUCCAGGAGUGGAUCACUGGACAGCGGUCAAGAACAUCCUGAAAUACCUGAAAAGGACUAAGGAUAUGUUUCUCGUAUAUGGAGGUGACAAAGAGGUCAUCGUAAAUGGUUACGUUGAUGCAAGCUUUGACAUUGAUCCGGACGAUUCUAAAUCACAAACCGGAUACGUGUUUUUACUGAACGGUGGAGCUGUCAGUUGGUGCAGUUCUAAACAAAGCGUCGUGGCAGGAUCUACCUGUGAAGCAGAGUACAUAGAUGCUUCGGAAGCAGCAAAUGAAGGAGUCUGGAUGAAGGAGUUCAUAUCCGAUCUAGGUGUCAUACCUAGUGCAUCGGGUCCAAUGAAAAUCUUUUGUGAUAAUACUGGUGCAAUUGCCUUGGCAAAGGAAUCCAGAUUUCAUAAGAGAACCAAGCACAUCAAGAGACGCUUCAAUUCCAUUUGGGAUUUAGUCCAAGUGGGAGACAUAGAAAUUUGCAAGAUACAUACGGAUCUGAAUGUUGCAGACCCGCUGACUAAGCCUCUUCCACGAGCAAAACAUGAUCAGCACCAAGGCUCCAUGGGUGUUAGAAUCAUUACUAUGUAAUCUAGAUUAUUGACUCUAGUGCAAGUGGGGGACUGAAGGAAAUAUGCCCUAGAUGCAAUAAUAAAGUUAUUAUUUAUUUCCUUAUAUCAUGAUAAAUGUUUAUUAUUCAUGCUAGAAUUGUAUUAACCGGAAACAUAAUACAUGUGUGAAUACAUAGACAAACAGAGUGUCACUAGUAUGCCUCUACUUGACUAGCUCGUUGAUCAAAGAUGGUUAUGUUUCCUAACCAUAGACAUUAGUUGUCAUUUGAUUAACGGGAUCACAUCAUUAGGAGAAUGAUGUGAUUGACUUGACCCAUUCCAUUAGCAUAGCACUUGAUCGUUCAGUUUGUUGCUAUUGCUUUCUUCAUGACUUAUACAUGUUCCUAUGACUAUGAGAUUAUGCAACUCCCGUUUACCGGAGGAACACUUUGUGUGCUACCAAACGUCACAACGUAACUGGGUGAUUAUAAAGGUGCUCUACAGGUGUCUCCAAAGGUACUUGUUGGGUUGGCGUAUUUCGAGAUUAGGAGUUGUCACUCCGAUUGUCGGAGAGGUAUCUCUAGGCCCAGUCGGUAAUGCACAUCACUAUAAGCCUUGCAAGCAUUGCAACUAAUGAGUUAGUUGUAGGAUGAUGUAUUACGGAACGAGUAAAGAUACUUGCCGGUAACGAGAUUGAACUAGGUAUUGAGAUACCGAUGAUCAAAUCUCGGGCAAGUAACAUACCGAUGACAAAGGGAACAACGUAUGUUGUUAUGCGAUCUGACCGAUAAAAGAUCUUCAUAGAAUAUGUAGGAGCCAAUAUGAGCAUUCAGGUUCCGCUAUUGGUUAUUGACCGGAGACGUGUCUCGGUCAUGUCUACAUUAUUUUCGAACCCGUAGGGUCCGCACGCUUAACGUUACGAUGACAGUUUCAUUAUGAGCUUAUAUAUUUUGAUGUACCGAAGGUUGUUCAGAGUCCCGGAUGUGAUCACGGACAUAACGAGGAGUCUUGAAAUAGUCGAGACAUAAAGAUUAAUAUAUUGGACGACUAUAUUCGGACACAGGAAUGGUUCCGGGAGUUACCGGAUAUAAAACGGAGUACCGGGGGUUACCGGAACCCCCCCGGGGGUCCGGGGGUUAAUGGGCCUCAUGGGCCCAAAGGGGAGCAGACGAGGGGCGGCCAGGGCAGGCUGCACGCCACCUCCCCUUCUAGUCCGAAUUGGACAAGGAGGGAGGGGCGGCGCCCCCCUUUCCUUUCUCUCCUCUCUCCCUUCCUUCCCCCUCUCCUAGUUGGACAAGGAAAAGAGGGAGUCCUACUCCCGGUAGGAGUAGGACUCCUCCCUGGUGCGCCUCCUCCUGGCCGGCCGCCCCUUCCCCUUGCUCCUUUAUAUACGGGGGUAGGGGGGCACCUCUAGGCACAACAAUUGAUCCUUGAGAUCUAUUAGCCGUGUGUGGUACCCUCCUCCAUCAUAAUCCUCGAUAAUAUUGUAGCGGUGCUUAGGUGAAGCCCUACGACGGUAGAACAUCAAGAUCGUCACCACGCCGUCGUGCUGACGGAACUCUUCCCCGACAUUCUGCUGGAUCGGAGUCCGGGGAUCGUCAUCGAGCUGAACGUGUGCUAGAACUCGGAGGUGCCGUAGUUUCGGUGCUUGAUCGGUCAGGCCGUGAAGACGUACGACUACAUCAACCGUGUUGUGCUAAUGCUUCCGCUUCCGGUCUAUGAGGGUACGUAGACAACACUCUCCCCUCUCGUUGCUAUGCAUCACCAUGAUCUUGCGUGUGCGUAGGAAUUUUUUUGAAAUUACUACGUUCCCCAACACGACCCCCCCCUGUCGCCUCCGUGGAGCACCAUGCCACGUCAGGAGCCCCGCGUUGGUGACCCGUCGCUGCGUCCCGAUGAGGGGAGAGUCGUCAUCAUCUCCACGCCCGAGAUGGACACCAACGCUGCCAGCCUCGCCUCCUUGGGAGCCUUCCUCUGGCUUGGAGGCAGCAGGCCAGCCGUGAGUCAAGAUGGCAACGGGGACGAAACCCACCAGGUUUUGCUUACCCAAACCCAUCCCCACGAGAAAAUCGCAAACCCAUCCCCGUCCCCAUCAACAUGCGCGGGGUUAAAUUUUUGCCCGUCCCCUAAACCCAUCGGGUUUUCAAAACCCACGGGGAACCCGUCCCCAUGAGCAGCCAAUGAAAACAGCAACAUUUGGAAGAAAAACCGGAGCAUAUUACAGCAACAGGCGACGGCUGGGGGACCUAGGUUUAGGUUUAGGUGUCAUGUUGUGCGGGAGAGAGAGUCCUAAAGAGCGAGCAACACUGCAGCGACCGAGUGAGGGGUUGGUUUGUACUCCAGGGCCUCGAUGUUGUGGGGCUCGGCUCCUCGGGCACUGUGGCUUUGGGCCACUUGAGUCAAGAUGGAUCGGUGCGUGCUAAAUAAUGUAUUUUGACGGGUUUUGUCGGGUUUCGGGUUCGGGUAGUACUCAAACGGGUUUAAACCCGUGAAACAUGCCGGGUUUAAUAAUGUACCCAUGAACAGCCCCGCGGGGAUAGAAAGUCGCCCAUCCACGUCCCCUAAUUGGGUAAAAACCCACGGGGACGCGGGUUUCGGGGCCCCAUUGCCAUCUUGAGCCGUGAGCGCUGCUGAGAUCAAGGAGGCCAUCGACGUGCAGUUCGGUGUGCGGCUAUCAAGGUGGUGCCACACUAUCCGGAGGACUUCUUCGCCCUCUUCGACUACCAGCACCAACGCGAUAGGGUCACGGCGCCAGGCCAUUUCCGGAACAAUGGGCUCAACAUCCACUCCGCCAACUGGCGCCUUGACGCGCACACUGAUGUGAUCCGGGCGAACUACCACGUCCAUCUAUGCAUCGAAGGAAUCCCUCUCAGCGCUUGGUGCGACUCCGUGGCGGCACAUGUGCUCGGGCCGGACACCUUCGUCCACUAGUUCGACGUCGACACUCUACAACGUGAAUAUGCUUCUAGUUUCAAGCUAUGGGCCUGGUCGGCGAACCCCUCGGCCAUCCCCAAGGUGCAGCAGGUCACCAUCGCGUUGCGGGUGGCCACAUGCGUUGGUGGGGCUCCAUCAACGAAUGAUGGGCAUCGUGGUAUCCGACGUCACGCCAUUCUUCAUCUCAACCAGCUGGAGGACUACACGCCCGAUGCUUUCGGCAACAUCCCUCGCCGCCUGCACUCUAAGCCUUUCACCUGGUGCUACGGCGUGGUGGAUGGCGAGCGCCGGGUGCGGGAUAGGCAGGAACCACCGCCUCGCAGCCGUGACGAUGAAGACAGGCACCGCCGCGACGACGAGCAUGAUAGAGAUGACCGGCGGGGUCGGGACAAUGACCGGCCGCGAUCCUCCUGGCAUGACCAUUUCUUCAGGAGCCGUUCCCGCGCUCCAGAACACCGAGCUGAUGAAGAUCACCAUGGUUCGCGUUGCGAGGAGCAUCGUCGGAACCGUGGCAGGGAUGAUCGCGGAAGGGACGGCUGACACUAUUCUGGUUCAGGCAAGAUGAUUCAAGGCCGCUCUCCCCCGCCCUCCCCUCGCACCACCUCAUGCGACAUCAUCGAGCUCGCCCCCUCUGGUUCGGCCCUGGGCUGGCUCUGCGGCGUGGCUCGCAUGGUGACUAAAGUGCAGCCUUCCUUAACUCUCAAUGCACACCAGGCAAUGACAGAGAUGAUGCCGGCACAGCUGCCGGCCAUGUCCACCUGCUCCCCUGAAGUUGUGCUUGCUCCACGACAAGAAGCCCUGCUUGAAGAUCCACACGUCCUCAACUUCACUCCCAUGCCGGAGUUUGUCCCUGCUACGCCCACGCUGCCGUCCAAACCCGAUGUAUCUGAUGAUGUCAGUUCUGGCCAUUUGUCCCCUGUUGUAGCUCCCACCACUUCACCUGAGAUGCCCACUCCUAUCUUCAUCCCAAGCAUGCCGGCCCUGCUCCCCUCACCACACUCAACGCCGCCCAGGCCGCCUACAGCUCGACGGAAGACACUUGCUGGAGUAACUGGCUUCCAGCUUCCUAGGCAAAGUCCGCGUCUCCAGGCAAAAAAGAGGAGUGUGCCCAUUGCCAAGCUUGUAGAGCAGCUGCUCUGUCGAUGUAUGAACAUCGUUGCUGAAGAUGAGCAAGUAACAGAAGCUGCGAUUACAAAGUUCACUCAUAUGUUUCAUGGCCAGCUUCCAGAUGUUGCUAUGGCUGCCCUUCGUGCACUAUUUCAACUUGAUUGUGAUCUCUCGUCGGCGGUUGAAGAGGCUCUGGUGUAGCAUGGUGGAGAAGGUGGACCGGACCUGGACGAGGCUGCAUCUGCAACCACUUGAACCUGCUGCCAGUUAUCUGAUGUACUCUAGUUCCUUAUGAUUGUACACCAAACCAAUGCCAGAUGUACGCCUGUUUGUAGCUGCUGUAGAUUGCUACUGCCCCUGGUCCUGGUGAGACCUCUAUUGAUAUGCUUGUUUCAAUCCAUGUUGCCCCUUUUGCAAUUCUGUUGAUGUACCCUUGGUGAAUCAAUGUUAGAGCAAAACAUCUCAAUACUGUGUUGGAAUGUGCGUGGCUUGAACUGCCCAGACCAUAGAGCCACUGUCCAUGAAACAAUUGCUACAUCCUCCUGCCAUCGUGUUUGCCUACAGGAAACAAAGCUUCAAGUCAUUGGCAGUUUCAUCGCUACAUACCUUGGUGGUUACCGAUUGUAGAAUUUUGCUUACAAACCUGCUGAUGGAACUAAAGGAGGCAUAUUACUCCUAUGGGAUGAUAAUGUGGUGAACAUUUCCAAUGUCCAGAUUGGAUCAUAUUUUCUUUCCGGAGAUGUUGCUGUCAAGAAUACCGAGAGAAAUAACUUCAAGCUUACCACUGUAUAUGGGCCAACUAGAAGCAUUCACAAAGAUGCCUUUUUUCUCGAGCUAUCCUCCCAGAAACCGUCGCCAGGGACAAAAUGGCUGGUUAAUGGGGACUUCAACCAGAUUUACCGGGCCAGAGAUAAAAACCGCUCCAAUGUUGAUCGUAGCAGAUUAGUUCGCUUCCGCAACACUAUUACAUCUUGUGAGCUCUAGGAGAUCCCCCUCCAGAACCGGAAGUUUACUUGAAGUAACGAGAGAAACAAUUCGACGCUUAGUAAACUUGACAACUUUUUUUGCAAUGAGGAUUGGGACAUUGAAUUCGCCAACCACAUACUUCAUGCCAUGUCCUUCUCGCUCUCAGAUCAUUGUCCGUUGUUGCUCGCUUGCACGGACGGCCCCAAGAAACCCAGGUCCUUUAGGUUUGAGAACCAUUGGACCAAGAUGCCAGGCUUCCAAAAGACGAUCAGCGAUGCUUGGAACGAAGAUUCGAGUCACCAAGAUCCCUACCAAAGACUUUUUCACAAGCUAAAAUCUACUAGUCGACGAUUACGUUCCUGGAGCAAAACACUCUUCGCUAAAUCUAAGGUCCAGCUGCAUAUGGCCCUUGAAGUUAUUCUCCGUCUCGAUAUGGACCAGGAACAAAGAGAAUUAUCCGAACAGGAAAUUGAUCUUCGGAAACGGCUCAAGAGGAAGAUUAUUGCCUGGGCUGUGCUUGAGAAGUCCAGAAAGAGGCAAAACUCAAGAAUCACCAAUUUGAAGGACAGCGAUGCUAACACCCACUACUUUCACCUGCGUGUUAACCACCGAAGGAGGAAGAACUUUAUCCAUCAUCUCAAGCAUAACAAUGGUUGGAUUAUGGAACACAAUUUGAAGGAGCAGGUCAUACACCAUCAUUUUGAAAGCAUUGCUAAGAAGGGGCCUUCACGCAGAAUUGACAUCAAUUGGGGAAUCAUUCCGGCCCCCAAUUGUGACCUUCAGGAAUUGGAUGAGGCUAUCACGAAAGAGGAGGUGAAGGCUACCGUUUUUGCUAUGCCAAAUGACAAAGCUCCAGGACCGGAUGGCUUCACUGGUGCUUUUUUUAAAGCAUGCUGGAGCACAAUAAAGGGAGAUCUUAUGUCGGCUAUUCAUCAUUUCUCUGACCUGCAUGCCGCCCAUUUCCACUGGCUAAAUUAUGCGGAUGUUGCCCUCAUCCCCAAGAAAGAUGGUGCCGAGGAUAUUGUUGACUUUCGACCCAUCAGUCUUAUUCAUGCUAUUGCGAAGAAUAUUGCAAAAGUGAUGUCCAACCAGUUAGCCCCCCACAUGAACGACUUGGUCUCCCAGGCCCAGAGUGCGUUCAUGAAACGGAGAUGUAUCCACGAUAAUUUCAUGUAUGUGCGCAAUCUUGUGAGAUGUUUCUACCGCAAGAAAACCCCGACACUGCUCUUCAAGCUAGAUAUCAAGAAAGCCUUCGACUCUAUUCGUUGGGACUAUCUUCUUGACCUUCUUCAGCACCUUGGUUUUCCUCCACGCUUUAGAGGAUGGAUCUCAACUCUCCUCUCCUCGGCUUCGUCGCGAGUUCUGCUCAAUGGGGUUCCUGGCACUCCUAUCAAGCUUGGGAAGGGCCUGAGACAAGGAGAUCCUUUAUCCCCACUCCUUUUUGUGCUGGCCAUCGACCCACUACAUCACAUUCUCAAGAAAGCCACUGCUCAAAGAAAGCUGCACCCUCUUGCUGGCAAUGCCAUGCCUACCAGAGCCUCCCUCUACGCGGAUGACGCGGCGGUUUUCCUUGCGCCCAUCAAAACCGAGGUCAAGUUUUUUGCGGAUACGCUUGCACAGUUUGGGGAAGUGACGGGGCUAACAACGAACUGCUCUAAAAGUCUUGUUGCCCCCAUUCGAUGUGACUCCUUGAAUCUUGAUGAUAUACUCAGCUCCUUCCCCGCCAACCGCACCUCCUUCCCAAUGAAAUAUCUUGGGCUGCCGUUGUCAACUAAGAGGCUCAAAACAAUCCAUUUUCAGCCUCUCGAAGAUAAGAUUGCUACUCAACUUACGCCUUGGAUGGGCAAGCAUGUUGCGCAGCCGGGACGGGCUGUGUUGGUCAAGUCGGUCAUCACGGCAAUUGCCAUUUACUACUUGACGGCGCUAGACCUACCUGCUGAGGUUAUGAAGAAGAUCGACUCCCUUAGGCGUGCCUAUCUUUGGGCAGGUUGUGACAAGGUCACAGGUGGCAAAUGCAAGAUUAAUUGGGACCAGGUGUGCAAAUCAAAAGUGCAUGGUGGGUUGGGCAUUCUAAAUCUGGAAAAAUUUGUAGCGGCCCUCCGAAUUCGUUGGCUGUGGGCUGCUUGGACGGAUCCGGCCAAACCUUGGGUCAACUUGGGAAAUCCUUGUGUACAAAAGGACAAAGAUAUUUUCGCGUCUGCCACAAAGGUUGUUGUUGGAGACGGUCGUCGAGCAUCAUUUUGGGAUUCUUCCUGGCUGGAUGGUAUGAGACCCAAGGAUAUCGCGUCCACGAUCUUUGAACUUUCUACAAGAAAAAACUGCUCUGUGAAGAAGGCCUUGCACAAUAACUUCUGGGUUUCUAAGGUGGAUAUUGGUGGGAACCUCACUGUCAGCCACAUAUCCGAGUUCGUCAACCUUUGGGGAAAGCUCUCGCUGGUCAAUCUCAACCCGGAGGAGACCGAUUCAAUUACGUGGAAGCUCACCAAUGAUGGCCAAUAUUCAGCGGCGUCGGCAUAUAAUACACAAUUCCUUGGGCUAGUGGACACGGACAUGCCUCUGUUAGUGUGGCAGAACUGGGCUCCUCCCGAAUGCAAUUUUUUUGCUUGGUUGGUCAUCAACAACAUAGUUUGGACGGCUGACAGGCUUCAGCGAAGGGGUUGGCCAAAUUGUAAUCUUUGUCCUCUUUGCAAGCAAACUCCGGAAUCGGCGGCACACCUUCUUUUCCAAUGCCGCUACACCAUCCGCGUGUAGGGAAUGAUUGAAUCUUGGCUCGGUUUACAAGACGUACACCCAGCGAACUGGGGUGGUUUGACUUCGGUCAAAGAGUGGUGGCGCGCCAAUGCUUCUGGGACCUCACGACCACGAAGGGCGCUGACUUCCAUCAUACUACUGAUUUCUUUGGAAAUAUGGAAAGAGCGAAAUGCACGUGUGUUCCGUAACAACGCAGUUCCAGUGGGUGUGCUUGUUGCUCGAAUCAAAGAGGAAGCCUUAUGGUGGUGCCGUGUCGAGGCAAAAUAUUUGUGUAAUGUAAUGCUGCGAGAGUGAGGAUUGUAGCUGGCCUCGACUCUAAAACAUUCUUCUUAUUCAAUGAAAAUGGCAAGUCUUUUGCCUUGUUUCAAAAAAAAUAAUCGCUCCAGUACGUCUCGUGGAGCACUGCGUCGGGCCUGUGGUUGGGGUCCAUGUGCACGGCGCCGUAGGACGACGUGAACACCACCCGCCGCACGCCCACGUCCGCCGCCGCUCUGAUCACGUUCCUCGUCCCCUCCACGGCGACCGGCACGAGGUCCUGCAAGACAGCAUAGCAGAGCACGAGGUAAGCCACCCAGUACGCGGCGCUUGUUAGAAUCGCAAGAAGCGAGCGGAGCAUAGGAAGUGAACUGACGGGGAUGUUGGAGACGGGGGAGGCAACGUGGAAGACCCCGCGGCAGCCGCGGAAGGCGGCGCGGAGGCCGUCGUAGUCGAGGACGUCGGCGCGGCACAGGGUGAGCCUCUCCUCGGCGCCCUCCAGCGCCAACAGGUGCGCGUUCUUUUGGUCAGCUGCAGAAACCACGCCACCAGUAGACGAGCCACAGAAUUCAGCGAUAUCGAUCAUGGGCCGACCGCACGGUGCAAGUAAACAGUGACUUACCGGGGUCCCUGGCGGUUCCCCUGACGCGGUAGCCGCGGAGGAGGAGCUCCUUCACCACCCACGAGCCGAUGAAGCCUCCCGCGCCCGUGACGCAGACCAGCUCCAGCUCCGGCCGCCUCUGCUUCAGCUCGCCGUUGUCGGUGGCCUUGUCAAUCGACGGCAUGGUCGAUCAAUAUGUGGAUGUUGAUGCGAGAUUGCUAGUUGGCUAACUAACACGGGCUAGCUAGUACUACCAAACUGCCUUUGCUUGAUGCUUGCUGAUGAUGAUGCUCAGUGGAUCGAGAGCUUGUGUGUUCUGUCCGGUUAACGCGCUCCACUAUUUAUACUGAAAAAAGUAGUGGCACCGUUGCACGACAGCACAACAAAACUGCGAUGCGAUGCAAUACUACCUGGGCUGCAGUGCGUGUGCGGGAAGUCGAGGGGAGGCUGCAGCUCGUUUUGUUUUGUUUAUGGAGUGAUACAGCCAGCCAGCCAACGACUGAAUAUUCAGCGGCGCGACCGGAUGGGCGGGUUUGGGGCUCAGCCGACAUUGGACUGGAGCACGGCAAAUUCCGUUUCCGCGAAGCGAAUCCUUCCUCCUGCCACGGAAAGGUCCACCACCUUGCGCGUCAUCGUUGCAUGACAAAACCUAUGAUGGUUUUCCUUGCGCCGUAUUACUAUUGAAUUAUGUCUUGGAUUCCUUUUUUGCGAUCUACUCCCUCCGUAAACUAAUAUAAAAGCGUUUAGAAUACUAAAAUAAUAAUCUAAACACUUUUAUAUUAGUUUACAGAGGGAGUAUGUUUGAAUGUGACUUCCCGUUCAGGUAAAGAAGUAUAUGUUUUUAUAGCUAAACGGGUCUAACUUUAUUAACUCUUUACAGUGUACUUUGCCCGCUACAAAAACCACUAAAGUUAUUUUCAAGGGGAUGAAAACUGACGCAACUUUUGCUAAGUGCGUACUCAGGAUCAUAAAGUGUUAAAUGAUGUAAUUAGCGUAAAAAAACAAUAAAGUGGGGGAGAAAAAACUAAAUUCACUCAAAAAUAAAUUAUGUUAUGAUAACUUUUUUGCGGGAGAAACUUCUGAUCUAUUUAUAAUCAAUUAUGGCAGUACAAAGACACUAGAGGUAGCAAAAAUUAUAACGAGGUCCAUGGACCACCUAGCGACUACUGAAACGUGCUUUGCAAUAAAUAUUUUCGUCAUGUUGAAUGAUAAUAUGUUUUGCGGUUAGCUAUCUCAAAAAAGAAAAGAAUGAUAGUAUUUUUGAAGCCAUGUUCUUUCUUUAAUCCCAGGCACUACCACAGUGAUCUAUGGUGUCGGGUUGUGUUUUGUAAAGAAAUAUAUAGCCAAGUGAGGUGGUGGAGCACCCUAGGGUCAUCACCAUGGUAUUGGCUCCAUCAAGACAUGCUCAUCACACGUAUUAUGAUGAAUUAUAACAAUUAUGCGUGUCUAUUUGUUUCUCUCACAAAUUGUAUGCUAGUUGACCCUCCUAUCCUUUGCACCUUUAGGUUUGAGUCGAAUGACGAACAUGCAAUGGAGGAGACCAGGCACAAGGAAGCGCCAACACCAUCCACAAAGAAGCUUGUAAGACGAGAAAGAAGAAGCAAGGAGUACCUCAGACGAAGUCAACCAACAGCCAUCGGGAAAGUUGGACAUUCUGACAGAAUGUCCUACCCAACAUCGGACUUCACGUUUGCUGUUUGGACACUGUUGGAAUGUCUGACAGGAAUAUACGACAACCUUCGACACGUCGGACAAGACAUCAGACCACCUGUCUGACUUAUCCAGAGCCCUUUGAACCUUAUCGGUCGUAAGUCGAAUAGAGGGUGCCAUAUGCCUGUUACCUUUCCCCGCGUACCUAUCUCUUCGUCGCUAAACUACACAUACCAUACCCCUCCUCCCAUCUUGGGUUAACAAAAUAUAAACUAAAUUUUGAGAGAGCUUUGUUCAAUCUACCUCGGCCUUCGGGACUAAGACCCCUUGCGAGAGAAGAAUCUUACAAUUACAAGACCUCUUACGAGGGAAGAUUCCUGUAGGAAUACAAGACCCCCAUCUCUGCUACAUAUUUGGGAAUACUAUUUCUCAGGAGCUCCAAUUCCCCUGGAAUUUGGAGAGGAACCUACCUUGGUAAUUUUUACUUUGUUAUUGUUUGGAUCUUGGAGUUUAUCACCUUUUGCAUUGGGAUUUGACUAGUUGUGUGUGAAUCUUGACUAUGAGAGCAAUUUCCUUUGAGUGUUGCCCCUUGUUCCUCGUGUUCAACCUCAAUUCCACCCUUAAUUCGUGAAGAUCGGGCCACUCCGACGGCUUGCACCAUACCACGACGACAGAUGGACGAACGAGCUACCACAUGGCCCUAGGGCCUAUAAGUAUGUGCUGUUGCUGAAUAUGUGUAUGUCGCCGGUUAUCACAAAGUCAACUAAAGCUCACUGUACCCUGUCUUUUUACAAGACUCACUGUGCGUAUAGACGGGGUGUAUAUAGUGCACCGGAGCAUCUGAUGCCACAGACGCACCCAAUCUCCAUAGAUAUCAUUUGAAACAUUGGAUGACUAGGAAAUUUCAUGAGGAUAUAAGUAAAAUGCAUAUCUAGCACGGUAUAAAAUUUCGGGUCUAAAUUCAAAAUACAUAUCUAGAAAGUGGGAAAAAUCGAAUCACAAAGCAAAUAGUAGCAAAUGCUGACUGGGCUUAAAUACGGCCCAUUUUCUUCAUGUAAAUGGAUUCAAUAUUUAUGUUCAAAAUUUAAAUGUAAAAUCUAUGGUACAACAAAUUCAAUUUUCGUAGCAUCUCUUUAAAUGACUGGUUUCCCAUAAAAAAAAUACCUGACUUUAAAUCGGGUACAUGGGUACACAUUUUUAGGACAUGCGGGUACCAUCAAAUGCUCGCCAGUGCACUUGCCUGUGUGGUGGACUUGAGCUGCGCCCGCCGGAAAAAAGAUCGGCGGGAACGAGCUACCAACCAACGGAGAGAUAUGGGCCGCGGUGACAACCCACCGGAGCCGUCGUUGAAGGAGCAGCACGAGUUGCUUCUUGCUUCUUGGCAGGCGCGAGGAACAAGCCGUCAAAGCACGCCAGACCAGAACAAAACUGGUAUUCUUUCAGUAUGUUAAGGUGGUGUUUGUUCUCUAGUUUUAGGACUUUUUCUAGUCUCUAGAACUUUUUGAAAAAGACUCUCAAAAAGAUGUUUCUAAGGACUUUUAGCAAAAAGUCUCAAAAAAGUCUCACCCUAUUUGGUUUGCUAGGAAUUUUUUCUAGUCCCAACACAAAAAGUCCAUGGAACCAAACACCCCUUAAGAAAAAGGGUUUCCCCCGCUUUGUAUUACAAAGCAACCAUCCAUAUAUCCAACGAUAGGUGCUGAGGCCGCAGCACAAACAAGUCCAAAGGAAAAACAGAGAAAAAAGGAAGAGAAACAAAUGCCAACAAUGGCAGAUCAACAAAACAAAGAUGACCGGCGACCGCUGCAUCCUCCAGAGAAGUACCACCACGUUCCCAGCACCCGAAGCGCCGCUUACCAAGCAACACCUUCAAGAAGGAGGCGACGACAACGCCGCUGCUGCCCGGACUAGUCCUAGGGCUUCCCCCAGUACGCGGGGGGCAGUGAGGGGAGGGGUGUACCCGACACCCUUCAGGAAGGUCCGGCGGCACCCACAGACGUCGCCGCGUCGGGGCCGGACGAGUCGCCAGAGAUUUCUCCCAACCCAAAUCCCCACCACCACCCUAGACGAAUCAUAGUGCACCACCAUCACGCCGCCCAGCAACAUGUGCCACCACGGUCACCGAAUCAACUUCGUCGUCUCCCUGAGGUCAUCGACACGAGACCUGGAGGACGGGGGAAGGGAGAGUGGCCUCGGGGGCAUCCGCAACAUCACCGAUGUGAGGGGACAACCACCACCGCCACCGCGGAGCUGACCGGACGCACGGACAAGGGGCCUGCCAAGCGCCGAGGCCCGGCAGGACCCAAAAGGGUCCAGACAGCCCCUGCCGUCACGCUGCAGCUCGCCGGCCGACGAAGCCGCCACCACCCGCAGACCACCGCCACUUCACCACCAACCAGGGAGCAGCGUCGCCAUACACCGAGUCGUCGGCCCGCCCUAGCCCAGAUGGAGCCCGAAAGAGCCCAGAUCUGGGCCGCGCGGGUGUCGCUGGCCACCAGCACCAUCACACCGCCCCGCGACCAACAGCCGCGCCGCCGCACCGAGUACCACGAAGCUUGCCGGAAUCCCGCCGCCGAACCACACCGCAGUUGGUCAAGCUGCACCGCCGCCAUCGGGAGGCCCCGACGCCCCCCAUGAGCAUGCGGGGAAGGGACGGCCCGCCACCGCCAGCGCCGCGCGGGAAAGGCCCGGCGGAUCCAGCCGGCGGCGGUAGGGAGGGAUAUGGACGGGGAGGGGCCGAAGGAGAGGAGGCAGGGGCCCGCCCGUCGCNNNNNNNNNNNNNNNNNNNNNNNNNNNNNNNNNNNNNNNNNNNNNNNNNNNNNNNNNNNNNNNNNNNNNNNNNNNNNNNNNNNNNNNNNNNNNNNNNNNNNNNNNNNNNNNNNNNNNNNNNNNNNNNNNNNNNNNNNNNNNNNNNNNNNNNNNNNNNNNNNNNNNNNNNNNNNNNNNNNNNNNNNNNNNNNNNNNNNNNNNNNNNNNNNNNNNNNNNNNNNNNNNNNNNNNNNNNNNNNNNNNNNNNNNNNNNNNNNNNNNNNNNNNNNNNNNNNNNNNNNNNNNNNNNNNNNNNNNNNNNNNNNNNNNNNNNNNNNNNNNNNNNNNNNNNNNNNNNNNNNNNNNNNNNNNNNNNNNNNGGGGGAGGGGGGAGAGGGAGGCGGGGUGCGCGCGGCUGGCGGCCGGCGGCGGCGGCAGGGAGAGCGGUAGGGGAACCCUAGUCGCGGGAGCGGGGGAGCGUUUGCGACAGGGCACAGAUCGCCCUUCUUCCAGUACGUUCUGAAAAGAAUAUCAAACAUGGGACAGCAGUACCAUCAGUGUCACUACGAAACCAUCAGCAGUUUCCGUCACGCUCUCGGCUGCUGGAACUGAAAGGCAGGCCAUCCCAGUCAACUCGACUAAACACCACUUUUGGAAUAUUGUGGCGUAUUGGUCCGACUGUUUUGAUCAGCAGACGGGAUAAUAUAUAAUACACACCUCGAUCCAUAUUUUAAAGUUGUACUAAGGCCGUGACAAAGAAUGUUGAUGAAUGGAAAUGCGGUCUUUUCAUAAGAGCAACUCUAGCAGAUCCCGCAAAAAGGCUUGACCCGCAAAAUAACCGCCAAAAUGUGGGUCUGCGCGGAAAAUCCUGCCCGAGAAGACCCCGCAAACGCGGCCGGCCCGCAAAAACUUUUGAGGGGCGCGGCAAAAUCUCGGCCCCAACCUGCGAAUACGCGGGUUUCCCCCUCGCCGCCGCGGUGCCCCGCAUCAUAGAGAAGCGGUUGGCGGGAGGGCCAUUUCAGCCCGCGCACCUUUCCCCACCUCCUUCCGUCGUCGCCCGCCUUUGCUUCCGCCCGUCCGCCACUGGUGAUUCCGGCCAAAUCUACGGGCGGAAUCGCGCCGCGGGGCCGUUCCCCACCCUCCAGCGCUGAUACGCUCCACCGACCCCCCCGGAUCCGGCGAGAAGAGCCGCCGCCUCGUCGCUGUCGCCGCCAGGGAUCGACCACCGUCGAGCCCGCCCCUCGUCGCCGCCCGGGAUCACCCGCCGCCGGUUAGUGUUUGUUUUGUGAUAUUUGCGAGCGGUAUGCAUAGUUGAUUGGCGUGUCAGUAUGCAUGUAGAUGGAAUUGAGCCCGUGCGAGAAGUUCUUGCUCUCAGAUUCGUUCGAUUCAGACGACUCGGAUGUUGAGACCAUGCUUGCGACCUUUCGGCAGCAAACAUUAAUGAUGGCACUUGCCGUGAAGGGGCACGAAAACGAGAACCGGAAGAGGCGGCGAGGAUCGACCGUCGGGCGUCUUUGCACUCCUCAGAAUCACCAUCUUGGGAACGAGAUGUUGAUGCAAGACUACUUCACAGAGAAUCCAACAUAUCCAUCGCACCUUUUUCGGAGAAGGUAUCGAAUGCGCCGAUCCCUCUUUGCGAAAAUUGUUCAAGCUUGCGAGGCAAAUUGUCGGUAUUUUACUCAAAGAAGAAAUGUUGCGGGCUUAAAGGGAUUUAGUGCAUAUCAAAAAAUCUAUGCAGCUAUGCGGGUGAUUGCAUAUGGCGUUCCGGCUGACUAUGCCGAUGAGUACCUUCGAAUUGGUGAAGAUACUACAUUUGAGUCAGUGCGUAGAUUUGCAGAAUUGAUCAUCCGUGUCUUUGGUCCUGAGUAUCUUCGGGCACCCAACGAGGAUGACACAAAGAAAUUGAUGGCAUCUAAUGAGAGGAGAGGUUGGCCUGGCUUGAUAGGUAGCAUUGAUUGUAUGCAUUGGACUUGGAAAAAUUUCCCAAAGGCAUGGCAAGGAAUGUAUUGUGGCAAGUCUCGUGAUGCAACAAUUGUGCUAGAGGCUGUAGCAUCCGAGGAUUUAUGGAUUUGGUAUUGCUUCUUUGGUAUGCCAGGCACUCUCAAUGAUAUCAAUGUAUUGCAACAGUCUCAUUUGUUUGCUAGGCUUGCUAGUGAUGAUGCUCCUGCUUGCAACUACAUUAUCAAUGGGCGUGAAUACACAAAAGGGUACUAUCUUGCACAUGGUAUAUACCCUCCUUGGUGCACCUUUGUGAAGAGCAUCAAAGAUCCAAAACUAGAAAACAUUGUGAAUUUGCAAGGGUGCAAGAGGCAACCCGAAAAGACAUUGAAAGAGCAUUCGGUGUUUUGCAAUCUAGGUUUGCCACUGUCCGUGGUCCUGCUCGUUUUUGGGAUAAAAGAACCUUGAAAAAUAUCAUGACAUGAUGUGUUAUCCUUCACAAUAUGAUUCUUGAAGAUGAGAGAGGAAUGAACUUGGAAUUCUUCUACGACAAUACGGGUAUCCUUGUCAAACCAGCUAGAGACGCUAACCGCAUUAGAGUUUUUCUUCAGACAUGCAAGGAGAUUGAAAAUGCAAACACACACUUUCAACUUCAGGAGGAUCUCAUUGAGCACUAUUAGCAAAGGGUUUGACAGUGGAUCAUGCUACCUCUUGAGCAUGUAUUGGUUUUCCUUUGAAGAGGAAAGGGUGAUGCAACAAAGUAGUGUAAGUAUUUCCCUCAGUUUUUUAGAACCAAGGUAUCAAUCCAGUAGGAGAUUACACGCAAGUCCCUCGUACCUGCACAAACAAACAAGAACCUCGCAACCAACGCGAUAAAGGGGUUGUCAAUCCCUUCACGGUCACUUACGAAAGUGAGAUCUGAUAGAGAUAAUAAGAUAAAUAUUUUUGGUAUUUUUGUUGUGUAGAUUGGAAAAUAAAGAUUGCAAAAUAAACGACGACAGAAAUGGCUUGUUGACGGGAGAAUAAUAUAAUGGAAGAUAGACCCGGGGCCAUAGGUUUCACUAGUGGCUCUCUCAAGAUAGCAAAUUCUACGGUGGAUGAACAAAUUAUUGUCGAGCGAUUGAUAGAAAAGCGCAUAGUUCUGAGAAUAUCUAGGCAUGAUCAUGUAUAUAGGCAUCACGUCCGCGACAAGUAGACCGAAACGAUUCUGCAUCUACUACUAUUACUCCACACAUCGACCGCUAUCUAGCAUGCAUCUAGAGUAUUAAUUUCAUAAAAACCGAGUAACGCAUUAGGCAAUAUGACAUGAUGUAGAGGGACAAACUCAAGCAAUAUGAUAUAAACCCCAUCUUUUUAUCCUCGAUGGCAACAAUACAAUACGUGCCUUGCUGCCCCUGCUGUCACUGGGAAAGGACACCAUAAGAUUGAACCCAAAGCUAAGCACUUCUCCCAUUGCAAGAAAGAUCAAUCUAGUAGGCCAAACCAAACUAAUAAUUCGAAGAGACUUGCAAAGAUAUUAAAUCAUACAUAAAAUAUUUCAGAGAAGAAUCAAAUAUAGAUAAUCUUGAUCAUAAACCCACAAUUCAUCAGAUCUCGAAAAACACACCGCAAAAAAAUUACAUCGAAUAGCUCUCCGAGAGAUUCGAGGAGAACUUUGUAUUGAGAUCCAAAGAGAGAGAAGAAUUCAUCUAGCUAAUAACUAUGGACCCGAAGGUCUGUGAUAAACUACUCACACAUCAUCGGAGAGGCUAUGGUGUUGAUGUAGAAGCCCUCCGUGAUCGAUUCCCUCUCCGGCGGAGUGCCGGAAAAGACCCCAAGAUGGGAUCUCACGGGUACAAAAGGUUGCGGUGGUGGAAAUAGGGUUUCGUGGUGCUUCUCGAUGUUUUCAAGGUAUAUGGGUAUAUAUACACUACUAGGAAAAUGCCUGCUAGUGGCGCACUUGUUUUGGCUACUAAUGGCGCACUACAGGUGCGCAACUAGCAUCACACCAUUAGAAUUUUUUACUAAUGAUGCACCACACGUGCGCCAUUAGUAUAUCCCACGGUGCGCCAUUACUAUCUGGCUUAGUAAUGGCGCACCACAUAGAACUGAAAAGGCGGUCGGGGGGGGGGGCAUUUAGCACCAGGGUUACUAAUGGCGCACCUGAUGUGUGGUGCGGCAUUAGUAGUUUUGAAAAAAUAUAAAAAAAAUUUGUUAGUAAUGGCGCACUAUCUCGUGGUGCGCCAUUACUAACAUUUUUUAUUUUUUCCAAAACUACUAAUAGCGCACGGUGGGUGUGGUGCGUCAUUACUAUGUCAACUAGUAAUGGCGCACUAUCCCAUGAUGCGCUAUUACUAACAAUUUUUUUUUCAAAACUACUAAUGGCGCACCACACACCAGGUAUUACUAAUGGCGCACGUGUAUCUGGUGUGCCACUGCUAUAUAGCAGUGGCGCAUCACAUACACGUUGCGCCAUUAAUGCCCAUAUCAUCUAUAGCCUUUUUCCUAGUAGUGAUAGGAGGAAGAAGUAGGUCGGUGGAGCUGCAAGGAGCCCACGAGGAUGGGGGCGCGCCUACCCCCUGGGCGCGCCCUCCUGCCUCGUGGCCGCCUCACUUCUUUCUUGACAUCCAUUCCAAGUCUUUUAGAUCAUGUUUGUUCCAAAAAUAACUCUCCCGAAGGUUUCAUUCCGUUUGAUAUUCCUUUUCUGCGAAACACUGAAAUAGGCAAAAAAAACAAAAAAUUGCACUGGGCCUUUGGUUAGUAAGUUAGUCCCUAAAAUAAUAUAAAAAUGUAUAUUAAAGCUCAUUAAACAUCCAAAACAGAUAAUAUAAUAACAUGUAACAAUAAAAAAAUAUAGAUAUGUUGGAGACGUAUCAGAUCAUUUUUGUAUUCAUUUGUAUUUGUAUUCAUGACAAGUUUUAUAUUGCAUUAUUUAAGUUUGCUUCGGUGAUUUUAAUAAUUAUUUGUAAUGUGGAUGAUUAUUGUAUCAUGUUGGAUUUGAAUAAGUAUUUAGUUUGCUUUCAUUUGUUGUACUAUGUUGGAUUUGAUAUUUGCGGACUGAUGAGAUGUGGGAUGCAGCGGCGCAAGAGCAGACCCUGCAAAGCCGACCCGUAAAAAAACAUAUUCCACAAAUAUACUUUUAUACGAAUCCGUUUGGGGGUUCUGCAUUUGCGGCCGUCCGCGCCGGCCCGCAAAUGCCGUUUUCUGCGAACUGCAAACGCGUUUUAUGGGCCGGCGAGAUGCGGGGUCUGCUAGAGUUGCUCUAAACAUGAACCGAAUAAAGUCGGGAGGAGCUUUCAGAUUCACUACAGGGGCCAAGAAGUUUGAGUGCCAGGUUGCUAAAGUAUGUGAGUGAAGUGAGUCAACUUGAGUCAGACCAUCUCCAACACGGAUCAUUCCCACCGCUCGUUUGAACAAUUUUAGUACAAAUCACCAAAACGGAUGGUAUCCGUCCAAAUCUCCGAAAUCCUAUAACUGGCUCCAAAUCGAGAAGCUCUGGGGAGUUUGGACGGCUGCCAGGUCAGACUCCGACACCCUAGACUCAUCCCAAAAACCCUUAUGGCCGGCCUUUAAACCCUUAGCAUGUCAGCAUUCACACAACGUAGUCAUCCGCCUGCUUACCCGCAUUGACUUUGUUGUCCGCAUUGAACCUUCAUCAUCUCCCUGCCACGACUAUUUAAAGCCAGCCGACCUCCCCCAAAAUAACACCUCUGAGUCCAUACUCCCACCGUUCGCAUCCAACUUCAGAUCCAUCUGAGCCCCUUGUCCACUCCAUGUCAUCCGUCAUCGUGCAUGGUGCGGUCCUUGCCUACGUGGUAUAAUCAGCUCACACUGGAGUGACCCCAAAAUCACGGCGGAGGUACAUGCCCUGGACACCCAAUGCUAGGCCCGCAUUGAGGCGGCCCAACAUCCGCUCUCCGAGCCGAGUUCAAAGGAGGAGAUGGAGGAUGAAUAGGAGGCCUAUCUCAUGGCCAAACCCCGUGUCUGAAGAGAAGGGGCGAUGGCUGUCGGCACAAGGCCGGCGCCCGACUUCAUCAUGCUGGAGGUGGAGCAGCAGUUCAACCUUGUUUUCUUGGGUGAGCAACAACUCAAGGCGGAGCGUGUGGAUGCCGCCGCCGUGGCGGAGCUCCUCGCUAACCCAGUCGUCCACAACAAGAACAGGGUGAUGCUCGCAUCUAUGUGAAGCCGCCGCAAGGACUGCAUCAACCGCGCACAUCGGUAGUGGCUCUGCGAGGACCUCGAGGCCGAUGACUAACAUGUAUUGGAGUAGAAGAACAAAAAUGUCAAAAUGACACCUGUUGGCGACUCUGGCUGGUUCGCGCUGGCCGCCAACAACAAUGAGGCUGGCUGCUCCAGUGUAGAGGUCGUUGACCUCACCUACGACAUGGAGGAGCAUUUCUUUAGUUUUAGAAUUUUAUUUAGCUCGGUGUCUAGUUUUGUGAUGUGAAAAAAUUUAUGUUUGUUUUUAUUUGAUGACCAACAUUGGAUGGUCGACGCUUGGCCGGCUGUCCACGAAUAUUUGGUGAUUUCCAUUUGAUUAUCCGCGUUGAAGAUUCCCAGAUACCUCCUCUCAGAAUAUAAUGUUGCGUGUUGUUUUGGGCAGAAGACUCAAGGCAAUCACUAACUAAGAGCAAAUUCAGCGCCGUGCACCAAAUCUGUUGGACAUAUGCCCAAUAAUAAAAUAUUAUUAUUUAUUUUCACCUUCAUAAUUAAGCUUACAUUUCUGCACUGUAAUUGUAAUGGUUUCAGAAUAUGAGAUUCAGAUGAAAAUCCAGUUUCAUAUGUAGAAAGAUAAACACUAACUAAAUUCAUAAUAUUGCCUCUUAGACUAGCUCAUGUAUUGCAGAUAAUCUAGUUUUCUUGAUUAUGGUCAUUGUUAAAGUAACAAGGAUGCCACCAAUAAUGAGAACACAGUGUUAGCAGAACAAUGUGUUAGAACCAACUAAUGAUAUAGUUCAAGUUGUUAUCAAUAUUAUUAUGUCAAGUGUUAAUGUAUACUCACAUCACAUCCUUAGACCAUGAGAAUGUCAGGUACCUUCAUAUCGUACGGUUAAUUUGGGCUUGCCAAAAGUUACCACUAACAGGAUGAUCAUAACGGCAACUUUCGGGUACAUCGAAACAAAUGCCUAAGGACACGAUAGUUUAAGAAUGUGAUUUGCUCCUCCAACAAUGAAGAGGUACUCCCUGGGUCCACUCAAUAUUAUGGUAUACAUCAUCAUCUAGACACACCGUUUAUAUGAUCACGGUGAUACCGGAAUACGGAAACGAGAAAAGAGAGCUAAACCAUGACGAGAAUAACUUGCUAUUGCGAUCAAGUAAUUGCUUCACAAGGAUACCGCUAAAAGUCUCACCUCGGGUUUUCUUAAGUAUUAUGAAACAAAGGAAAAUGUGUACGUAAACAAAAGUUUCACUCGAUAAAUAUUUGUGUGUGUAUAUGUGAAUCAAUAUUGGUGUCUAGACUCCACUUUUGAUUAUUGAAGGUGUUCCGAGUCAUGUCCACAUAUUAUCGAAUCUGUAGGGACACACGCUUAGCGAUUAACAGUUUGAUAAAGAACUGGGAAGUGUUAAGAGUAAGAUAGAAAUGCAUCGGAAAUGUAUAUGAUGAAACCAAAAAUGUUCCGACGGUCCCAGAAGUGUUCCAGUGAUACCGAGAAUGUCCUGAAGGUACCCUAAAAGGUUCGAAAAGGUUUUCAAACCUUCUGGAAGGUUCUAUGUGGUCGUAGUGGCUGCCUUCUUGGUUGUACCAAGGGGCAAUAGCUGCAUGGGCUCAUAGUGGUACACCCCGCCUUGACUUGGGUGGCAAGACACCUGUGGAGUAGAGAAGGAAAGGAUCUCUGGGAGGAUCCACCUCCUUGGUGCGGCUCACUCUAGGACACUGAUUCGGGUUGAGUACUAUGCCAGGUAACAUUGGGACUAAGCCUUUCUUGGCGUUCUCCAUAUUAUGCCUUUUUAAUACCUUAUCAAUGUACAUGAUUUGGCUAAGCGCUAUCAGGCGUCUUGAUCUAUCUCUACAGAUUUUGAUGCCCAAUAUAUAUGCUGCUCCGCCAAAGUCUUUCAUUGAAAAGCUCUUCUUUAAUGCCUCUUUUAUUUCGCUAAGAAAAUUCACAUCAUUACCAAUCAAUACUAUGUCAUCCACAUAUAAGAUUAGAAAUGCUUUUGCGCUCCUACUAAACUUCUUGUAAACAAAAGAAUAUUCAUCAUUCCUGAUGAAGCCAAACUCUUUGACCACUUCAUUAAAAUGAAUAUUCUAGCUCCUUGAUGCUUGCUUCAAACCGUAUAUGGCUGUCUGAAGCUUGCACACCUUUUUAGCAUCCUUUGGAUCAACAAAACCUUAAGAUCGUAUCAUGUACACAUCCUCAUUGAGGUUUCCAUUUAGGAAGGCUAUUUUAACAUCCAUCUGUCAUAUUUCGUAAUCGUCAGCAGCAAUUGCUAACACUAUCCGCACAAACUUAAGUGUAGUUAUGAGGCCAAAACGGCAUGGGAGCGGCUCGGGAUUGGUUUCUGGCGAGGCAUCGAUGGUGGGAGGCAAGGUGACCACGUGGCGAUUCGGUCGGGCAGGUAGGCCCCGCGAUCGAUGGGCGAAAGGGGGAUCAGAUUGGAUCAAGCAACCGAUCCCAUGACGACUCGGCGUGGUGGGCUGGCCGUUUAGGUGGGCCACGGCGAUAUAUUUCCUAUACAUGAUUUUUAUCCUAUUUUAAUUAAACGAAGAGAAAAAAUAAACAAAAAGGAAAAUAAAAGAAAAAGACAACCUAGACAUAUGAUAUACUAAAAUGAUCACGAGGGAAAAUGGAAAAUGAUGAACUAUUUUCCGGAGGCAACUAAAAUACUUACAAAAUCUCAAAAUUCAAACAGUGCUAUUGUUGCAUUAAAGCCAAUAAAAAUCAUUUUUAAAAUACCAAACAGAAUUCAAAUUUAUUUUCUCCUAAUUAUUUCUUGGAAGGAAUCAUUUUACCUUCUUUUCCAUAUUUUAUUAUUAAGAGACAAUUAAUAAAAACAAAUAACUCAUAAUAAGGUUUGAAUUUGAAUUUCAAACCAAUCUCAAAUCUUCUCUGUUUUUCCUUAUUCAAAUAUACUUCAAUUGUUACUAAAAAUUUGAAGGUUAAAAUUACUUCUCUCAUUUGAUUAAGUUUCUAGAGGAUUUGAAAUUUCAAAACUCCACUUCAACUAAAAGAAAAAUGAAAUUUAAAAAUAACUAAAGGGGCUUUCAAAUUCAUUAUUUUAAACUUUCAACUCUCUUUCUCAAAAUUUGAAGAAGUCAUUUUAUCUUCUCUCAUGAAAAUCAUUGAGUUGCAUAAAGUUCCUGAAUUCAAUUAUUUUCAAUUGGAAUUCAAAUCUUUUCAUAAGCCCUUUCAUUUAUUUAAUGGAAGACCUUCACUCUAGGGUUUAGUGUUUGAAUUGAAUUUGAACUCAUGGAACCCAAAUGCAAAAGGAAAGUUUGGGAAAGUCCAUUUAUUUCCUCUCAUCUUACUUUCAAAAAGUUUCAAUUCCACUCAAUUUCACACAAUCUAUCACAACACAAUCACAAAUACUUAUUUAAUAUAACAUUUCAAAAUUUAGAAUUUUGAGAUGUUACAUAAGAUGUAUGUGCGUACAUUCACAAGGGUAAGUGUACACUCGUGUAUAUGCACGAUUUUGAUUGUACCGUGUUCAAAAAUAUAUACAAAUGAGGCAAUUGGCAUAAUAACGACGAAUGAGUGGUAAAAACUAAAAUUCACUCAAACAUAAAUUAUGUAUUGACAAAAAUAAUUGCGGGGGAAACUUAUGAUUUAUUCAUAAUCAAGCAUGAAAGUGCAAAGAUAAUAGAGGUAACAAAAACUAUAAUGAGGUCUGAUGUCUACUACACAACCUUCUUCUUGUAGACGUUGUUGGGCCUCCAACUGCAGAUGUUUGUAAGACUGGCAAAUUUCUCUCAAGUUGAUGACCUAAGGUUUAUCAAUCCGUAGGAGGCGUAGGAUGAAGAUGGUCUCUCUCAAGCAACCCUGCAACCAAAUAACAAAGAGUCUCUUGUGUCCCCAACACACCCAAUACAAUAGUAAAUCCUAUAGGUGCACUAGUUCGGCGAAGAGAUGGUGAUACAAGUGUAAUAUGGAUAGUAGAUAUAGGUUUUUCUAAUCUGAAAAUAUAAAAACAGCAAGGUAACUAAUGAUAAAAGUGAGCACAAACGGUAUUGCAAUGCUAGGAAACAAGGCCUAGGGUUCAUACUUUCACUAGUGUAAGUUCUCUCAACAAUAAUAACAUAAUCGGAUCAUAUAACUAUCCCUCAACAUGCAACAAAGAGUAACUCCAAAGCCACUAAUAGCGGAGAACAAACCAAGAGAUUAUGGUAGGGUACGAAACCACCUCAAAUUUAUUCUUUCUGGUCGAUCUAUUCAAGAGUCCGUAGUAAAAUAACAUGAAGCUAUUCUUUACGUUCAAUCUAUCCUAGACUUCGUACUAGAAUAACACCUUAAGACACAAAUCAAUAAAAACCCUUAUGUCACCUAGAUACUCCAAUGUCACCUCAAGUAUCCGCAUGUAUGAUUAUACGAUACGCAUCACACAAUCUCAUAUUCAUCUAUUCAAACCAACACAAAGUACUUCAAAGAGUGCCCCAAAGAUUCUACCAGAGAGUCAAGACGAAAACGUGUGCUAACCCCUAUGCAUAAGUUCAUGGGCGGAACCCGCAAGUCGAUCACCAAAACAUACAUCAAGUGGAUCAAUAGAAUACCCCAUUGUCACCAUGGGUAUCCCACGCAAGGCAUACAUAAAGUGUUCUCAAAUCCUUAAAGACUCAAUCCGAUAAGAUAACUUCAAAGUUAAAACUCAAUCCAUUACAAGAGAGUAGAGCGGGAGAAACAUCAUAAGAUCCAACUAUAAUAGCAAAGCUCGCUAUACAUUAAGAUCGUACCACCUCUAGAACAUGAGAGAGAGAGAUCAAACACAUAGCUACUGGUACAUACCCUCAGCCCCGAGGGAGAACUACUCCCUCCUCGUCAUGCAGAGUGCCGGGAUGAUGAAGAUGGCCACCAGAGAAGGAUUCCCCCUCCAGCAGGGUGCCAAAACGGGUCUAGAUUGGUUUUCCAUGGCUACGGAGGCUUCUGGCGGCGGAAAUCCCAAUAUAUUCUGCUCCCCGUAGUUUUUAGGGUAUAUGGGUAUAUAUGGGAGGAAGAAGUACGUCGGUGGACCUCCGGGCUGUCCACGAGGCAGGGGGCGCAUCUAAGGGUGUGGGCGCGCCCCCCACCCACGUGGGCAGCCCGGGACUCUCCUGGUCCAUCUCCGAUACUCCGUGGGCUUCUUCUGGUCCAAAAAUAAGUUCCGUGAAGUUUUAGGUCACUUGGACUCCGUUUGAUUUUCCUUUUCUGCGAUAAUCUAAAACAAGGAAAAAACAGAAACUGACAUUGGGCUCUGGGUUAAUAGGUUACUCCCAAAAACAAUAUAAAAGGGUAUAAUAAAGCCCAUAAACAUCCAAAACAGGUAAUAUAAUAGCAUGGAACAAUCAAAAAUUAUAGAUACAUUGGAGACGUAUCAGCAUCCCCAAGCUUAGUUCCUGCUCAUCCUCGAGUAGGUAAAUGAUAAAAACAAAUUUUUUGAUGUGGAAUGCUCCCUAUCAUAUUCAUCAUGUAUUUCUCUUUAUUGUAGCAAGAAUAUUCAGAUCCAUAAGAUUCAAGACAAAAGUUUAAUAUUGACAUAAAAAUAAUAAUACUUCAAGCAUACUAACAAAGUAAUCAUGUCUCAUCAAAAUAACAUGGCCAAAGAAAGCUAUCCCUACAAAAUCAUAUAGUCUGGCUAUGCUCCAUCUUCAUCACACAAAAUAUUUAAAUCAUGCAUAGCCCCGAUGACAAGCCAAGCAAUUGUUUCAUACUUUUGAUGUUCUCAAUCUUUUUCAAUCUUCACGCAAUACAUGAGCGUGAGCCAUGGAUAUAGCACUAUAUGUGGAAUAGAAGGGUGGUUGUGGAGAAGACAAAAAGGGAGAAGAUAGCCUCACAUCAACUAGGCGUAUCAACGAGCUAUGGAGAUGCCCAUUGUUGGUGUCAAAACCGGCGGAUCUCGGGUAGGGGGUCCCGAACUGUGCGUCUAAGGCGGAUGGUAACAGGAGGCAGGGGACACGAUGUUUUACCCAGGUUCGGGCCCUCUUGAUAGAGGUAAAACCCUACGUCCUACUUGUUUAUUCUUGAUAAUAUGAGUAGCACAAGAGUUGAUCUACCACGACAUCAGAGAGGCUAAACCCUAGAAGCUAGCCUAUGGUAUGAUUGUAUGUUGUCCUACGGACUAAAACCCUCCGGUUUACAUAGACAGCGGAGGGGGCUAGGGUUACACAAGGUCGGUUACAAAGGAGGAGAUAUACAUAUCCGUAUUGCCUAGCUUGCCUUCCACGCCAAGUAGAGUCCCAUCCGGACACGGGACGAAGUCUUCAAUCUUGUAUCUUCAUAGUCCUACAGUCCGACCAAAGGAUAUAGUCCAGCUGUCCGGAGACCCCUAAUCCAGGACUCCCUCAGUAGCCCCCGAACCAGGCUUCAAUGACGUCAAGUCCGACACGCAGUAUUGUCUUCGGCAUUGCAAGGCGGGUUCUUCUCCAAAUUUCAAAUGUUUGUUUAAGCAGUGUCCGGCCCCAUAAAUGUUGACUUCUUUGGCUUCUGUGCCCAACAAGGGCUAUCUUCCACGUGUCGAAUGAAUAUGAGGAGCCAGGGCACUUUUACAUUCACCCCCCUAGCCAGAUAAAUAAAUUGUCUAUUAAAGGGAUGGGGAUGCUUAGACCCAAUCCAUAUCAUCCUCCCCCAGCGAGAAUCCAUCGCAGCGCGCUUCGGAAAAAUCCACUCCAUCAUGGCCGACAACCGCAGCUCCUCCUCCCGCCCCCGUAGCCCUAAGCCCGGUGAUUGGGAGAGGUGUUCUGUCCCACACAUUCGAUUAGUUGAACUGUAGACUAAGGGAUUUCUCCCUCCAGCGUAUAAGGUCCCCAUCCGAGCCGGGCUCGCCACCUACAAUGGCGGGGAGCAAGCGGAGAGCUUCCCCAGUCCCUCUACGAGGUAGCAGGUAUGCCUUGUUCCUUACUUAUUAAGGGGACUCGAAUUUCCAAUUCAUCUGUUCCUCCGCGGGCUCCUGGAGUUUUACGGCCUCCAACUGCAUAAUUUCACCCCUGCUUCCAUAUUACACAUCGCCGGCUAUGUUGCCCUCUGCGAGUUAUUCUUGGGCUGCGAAGCUCAUUUCGAGUUGUGGAAAAGGUUGUUUUGCCUCGUCCCUCGCACACAGAAGGGGUCACUUUAUCAAGUGGGCGGAGCCGAAAUAUGGCGCAUCACCGAAACCGGAUACCUAUCCGGUACUCCGAAGAAGAUGUCCAAAGACUGGCCUUCGGAAUGGUUUUAUAUGGAGGACGUCACCCUUUCGGAUCCUAUUCGGCGGGGUCUUCCUGAGUUCAACAAUGCUCCUCUGAUGAAACGCUGAAGUUGGCGCCCACAGAGCCCCCAGGAGGAAGACAGCGGAGAAGUCCUUUACCUGAUGAACCAGAUUAAAGCGCUGGCUCAAGUAGGAUUGACAGUAAUCGAGGUUAUGUCAACAUGCAUAAUGCGGGGAGUGCGGCCACUUCAAUAUCGAGGGCACCCCCUGUGGUGUUUUAAUGGGGAAGAUGACGCCACCCGUUGCGGGCGUAAGGGGCUGGACAACGCUGCCGCUUUAGCAAAAACUCUGUCCGAAUUGUUCAAGGGAGAGGAAGAGGAGUUCAUCCGCAUCAAGCCACGGAAUGGAUUCUCCAUGUACAACCCUCCAGGCUGGGUGAGUUAUAUCUCCUUACUCCCAUUCUUCCCGCAUUCUUUGUCGUAGGUACUCACCUUGCCAUUUUGCGGCAGGAACUGCGAAAAGCCAUCAGGGAGGUCAGCAGCCCAUCUCCACAACCAGAGGACCCUGACCAGGCCCUCGGUCCCGGACUCGAAGAAGAUCCGGACAUAUUCGUGGAGCUGAUAGACCAGUAGUUCUAUCAAUUAAGCUGUGAUGAUGCCAUGGUGGCCAUUACGGCCGACUAUCUCGGAUUGCUUCCUGUGUCGCACGUAAGAAAAACCAAAAAUCCCAACUCUAAAAACUAGGAUUCUCUUUUAGACACUUCACCUACCAUAUAUAUAUGGUGUUUUAUAGGGAAGGCAUUCGGGACGCCAUGUCGAACCCGUAGCAACUCGCCAACAAGAGGCACCGAGGCCGGGCAGGCAAAAAGGAAGGCGGUCAGGACGGAGACGCCGGUGCAGAGGUAUGACAGAAACUCCGCUCCGUGGUUGUUGUCUUUCUCGAAAUGUAAUGACGUCCAUGUUUCUUUAACAGAAAACACGCUCGCCGGAAUAUGUCCGGUGAUGCUGCCGAUCACGCUUCCACCAGUCGGGCUCCAGGACCGGACAUAGAGGCGGAAGCCGACAUGGGGCGGACGCCGGAUACUCCCCCUACAGAGGAUGCGGAUAGACUAUCCGCUACAAAUUCAGAAGUGGAGAGCGCCAUGAAUCAUAGGCGUCGUCGGGCCAUACUCCGCGACGCUUGCUUCUCACUAGAGGCAUUUGAUGCCUUCAAUUCUGGAGAGGCGUACCUCUGUGCUGCUCAAAAUGGUCUAGCCAGAGCCACAGACCAGUAUGUAAAGGAUGUACGGGUAAGCAAAUCUGACGAUUAUAUGUAUCAGCAGCCCCUGAGACUUGAAACAGUUUGCAGAACUGAUUUAAGGAUCAUCUUGUUGUGCAGGUUCUUACAGAGAAGAAUACUCGACUGUCACAGGAGCUGGAGGAAUGCAAGACCCAACUUCGGGCCGCUGUUGCCGCAUUGAAGGAACCUAAAAAGUCCCCAGCUGGUAACAUUUCUUUCAAAUAAUGAUAGGUACCAUAUAGCAUGCGGCAUGACUGCAGAUCUAACAAUAUAUGUUGCAGAUGAGAGGACCAGCAUGUCGUACGACAGAUAAAGGCUGGCGAACGCGUGCUGACUGAGGUCAUGCGGGAGAAAAAGAAUCUCCAAGACGCCAAUACCAGGAUGAGCGUGGAACUGAAAGAUGUUCGAUCCCACCUUGCGGACUCCGCGAAGGAGAAUAAACGGCUUCGACGCGACAUUUUUAGUAAGUGCUUGAACGAACCCUUAAAAAAGGGGUCGGUGGAGAAGCCGGCUAACAGUAUUAUGUCUGCAGGUAUGCUGACGGGUCGUCCCGCGGAGGAGAUGCCCGGGUCUGCAGGUGAUCUUCUAUCCGAGCUCUCACAACUGCACGAACAAGUUCGACAGGUGAUGCAAGGUAUCGCCCAGGCCUUGUGGCCAUCCGUCUCCCUGCCAGAAGGUAUUGGAGAGCUUGCGGAGAAGCUCAAGGGAGCACGGCGGCGCUUCCGAUUAUGGAAGAUAUCUGCCUGCCGUCAAGGUGCCAGGGAAGCCUGAGCCAUGGUGAAGACGCGGUAUACCAAGGCUGACCCAAACCACAUGGCCAAGGUCGGACCUGUGGGGCCCGAUGGGAAAGAGAUCCCUGUUAGCUUAGUCUAUGGGCAAGUAGAAUUAGUCGCAAAGUAUUCCCAACAGGAUUGUAGGCUAGACCGCCUGUUGGAUGGUAUAGAAGAGGAAUUUAGUCAGUCUACAUGACUAUGUAAUUAAAGUGACAUGUAUAAUGCCUUCUAGCCGGAUUGUAAAUUAUUUGUCAUGGCGGACCUUUUCGCUUCAACCUUGGGACCCGAUAGUACGGAGUGUGUCCGAAUACCCGCUCAGUUAUGUAAGAACCGGGGUAUGCGUGGAUACCAGGCGUAGGGGUCAUUAGUGCUUGAACAGACAAGUGCCCAACUAGUUAUGUUAUAUUACAUGGGUAGUAAGAAACAUCUUCCAGGGAGAAUGGUUCCGUAAGGGUUCCUUUCCCUGGGUACGCAUGCCCUAAAGUGCAUGUCCGAACUGCGAGAGGAAACGCAGGCAAAAACAUCUGGGGGCACAUAUGGAAAAUAAAAAAAUCAUCUUUUGUUCGCCGACCGAAUAUUCCCAUAAGAACGCUAGCUUUCGGCUUCACCCAGUCUGAGGUACACAUCUGGCUGACCCGGCAGUAAUAAUCGCAGAGGUGCUCCCCUUAUGCCCUAGCCGAAUUAACGGGAACGUAGGGCAUAAAUACAAGAGCCAGGCAACCCAGCUUGGCCAAAACUUAAGUCAUAUCGAUGCAUAUAAUGGCGAAGAAAAGGUACAUGCGGAAGAAUAACACAUGUGCGGGGCAUGAAGCCUAGAUAAAUAAUUAAGCUUCUGUGUAAGAAGCCCCCAGGUAUAAUGAGCGCGGUUAGUGCGUCAAUAGUGUGCAAGCAGGGCACAAGUUGGCCCUUGAAGGCCUGGAGAAAGAAUAAAAGAAAGAAAGGGAAAAAAGGACAGAUAAUGUAUAUGCAAAAAAUGGACAGAGGAAAGAGACGAACAUGGAGUCCGACGCUAGGCAUAGAAUCUUCGGAGUCUGGCUGCGUUCCAUGGGUUCGGCUCAAGUCGAUUAUUCCAUGCAUCCCGCAGACGGUAUGCUCCACCGGUUAGAACUUGGUCAAUAAUGAAGGGACCUUCCCAUUUGGGCUCGAGCUUGGUCUUUUUCUUCUCCAGCAGGCGUAGAACUAACUCGCCAACAUUAUAAGUUUUGGCACGUACCUUCUCUGCUUUGGUAUCUGCGAGCCUGUUGCUGAUAGAAUGCGGAACGGGCUUUUGCCACAUCGCGCUCCUCCUCCAGUGUGUCCAGACUGUCCUGCCGAUCGAGCUCGGCAUCUCUUUCUUCGUACAUGCGCACUCGAGGUGAGUCAUGAAUUAUGUCGCAGGGCAGAACUACCUCUGCGCCGUACACCAUAAAGAAGGGUGUGUCUCUGGUAGUAUGAUUCGGCGUGGUCCGCAGCCCCCAGAGUACGAAGUCGAGCUCCUCUACCCAAUGUGUGUUAGACUCCUUUAAGGACCGCACUAGUCUGGAUUUGAUGCCGCUCAUGAUAAGACCAUUUGCUCGCUCAACUUGGCCAUUGGUUUGUGGGUGAUAGACAGAAGCAUAAUCGAGCUUGAUGCCCAUGUUGCUGCACUAGAGUUUUACCUCGUCGGCCGUGAAGUUCGUGCCAUUGUCAGUGAUGAUGCUGUGGGGGACGUCAUAAUGGUGUACAACCCCGGAUAUGAAGUCUAUUACCGGUCCGGAUUUGUCCGUUUUAACAGGUUUGGCUUCUAUCCAUUUGGUGAAUUUAUCCACCAUGACCAGUAAGUAUUUUUUCUUAUGGGUUCCCCCUUUAAGGGGUCCAACCAUGUCAAGCCCCCAGAUCGCGAAGGGCCAGGUAAUGGGGAUUGUUUGGAGGGCGGUGGGUGGCAUGUGGCUUUGGUUUGCAAAAAGCUGGCAACCGGCGUAGCGUUGGACCAAGUCCUGUGCGUCUGCCUGGGCUGUCGGCCAUAAAAACUUGUACGGAAGGCCUUGCUUACAAGGGCCCGGGCUGCGGCGUGGCGGCUGCCGGGUCCGGCAUGAAUUUCUGCCAAAAGCUCCUGCCCUUCCUCUUCGGAGAUGCACCUUUGAAGGACUCCGAUAGUGCUUUUUUAUACAGCUCUCCCUCGUGGACCCUGUAGGCUUUAGAUCUCCGCACUAUGCAGCGUGCCUCAUUUUGGUCCUCGGGAAGUUCCUGCCUAGUUAGGUAGGCCAGGAAUGGUUCUGUCCAUGGGGCGAUGAUGGCCAUUAUUACAUGGGCUGAAUGUGUUAUUUCGGUGGCAGAGCCUCUGAUUGUGUCAGAGUGAUCGGUGUCGGGCAUUUUGGCCCGGUCCGGACUAUUGUUACCGGUGUCCCCUUCCCAUACCACGGAUGGCUUAAACAACCUCUCCAAAAAGAUGUUGGGGGGGACCGCAUCGCGUUUUGCGCCGAUGCGGGCAAGCAUAUCUGCCGCCUGAUUGUUUUCCCGAGCCACAUGGUGAAAUUCGAGCCCCUCGAACCGAGCUGGCAUCUUUAGGACGGCGUUUCGAUAGGCCGCCAUAUUCGGAUCCUUGGCAUCAAAGUCUCCAUUUAUUUGGGAUAUUGCAAGGCUCGAAUCCCCACGCACCUCCAGGCGUUGAAUGCCCAUGGAAACUGCCAUCCGAAGACCAUGUAACAGGGCUUCGUAUUCGGCUGCAUUGUUGGAGUCUGUAUACAGUAUCUGCAGUACGUAUUGAACUAUAUCUUCGGUUGGGCACGUCAGGACGACGCCAGCCCCCAGACCAGCCAGCAUUUUGGAGCCGUCGAAGUGCAUGAUCCAAUUGGGGUAUGCACCGUACUCUUUAGGGAGUUCGGCUUCCGUCCAUUCGGCGACAAAGUCGGCCAAUACUUGCGAUUUAAUGGCUCGCCGAGGUUUGUAUGUUAUGUUGAACGGGAGGAGCUCAAUGGCCCAUUUGGCAAUCCGGCCCACGGCGUUGCGAUUGUUUAUAAUAUCAUUGAGUGGCACUUCCGAGGCUACUGUAAUCAAACACUCUUGAAAGUAGUGUCCCAGCUUCCGGGAUGCCAUGAAUACCGCAUAGGCUAUCUUUUGAUAAUGUGGGUACCGUGAUUUGCAUGGAGUGAGGACAGUGGAUACAUAAUAUACCGGCUUUUGAAGGGGGAUUUAUGUCCGUCCGCUUCUCGUUCGACGACGAGCACUGCGCUUACGACCUGAUGAGUUACCGCAAUGUAUAACAGCAUUGGUUCACCGAUGUUUGGCGCGGCUAGGAUUGGGUUGGUUGCCAGUAUGGCCUUUAUUUCCUCCAAUCCGGCUGUGGCAGUAUCCGUCCACUCGAAGUGUUCAGUGCGCCGAAGGAGGCGAUAAAGGGGUAAUGCCUUUUCUCCUAAGCGGGAGAUAAAGCGGCUUAGAGCCGCCACACAUCCAGUUAAUUUCUGGAUUUGUUUGAGGUCCGUUGGGAUGGCCAACUGUGAUAGAGCUCGGAUUUUGGCCGGAUUAGCUUCAAUUCCUCUACUGGAGACAAUGAAGCCCAUGAGCUUUCCGGCUGGUACGCCGAAAACGCAUUUUUCCGGAUUGAGCUUGAUGUCGUAUGUUCGGAGGUUGUCGAAUGUGAGCCUCAAGUCGUUUAUUAAAGUGUCGACGUGUUUGGUUUUGAUGACCACAUCAUCUACGUAUGCCUCCAUUGUUUUGCCGAUCUUUUUCUCCAGACAUGUUUGAAUCAUGCACUGAUAUGUUGCGCCAGCGUUUUUGAGCCCAAAAGGCAUUGUGUUGAAACAGAAGGGGCCGUAUGGUGUGAUAAAUGCCGUUGCAGCUUGGUCGGACUCCGCCAUCUUGAUUUGAUGGUAGCCGAAGUAUGCGUCGAGGAAACACAAUGACUCGUGUCCUGCGGUAGCAUCGAUAAUUUGAUCAAUGCGGGGGAGGGGGAAGGGAUCCUUUGGGCAAGCCUUGUUGAGGUCCUUGAAAUCGACACAUAGGCACCAGGAUUUGUCCUUCUUUGGUACCAUCACCAGGUUUGCUAGGCAGUCCGGGUGUUUUAUUUCUCUAAUGAAUCCGGCCUCCAAUAACUUGGAUAGUUCCUCUCACAUAGCUUGUCUCUUAGAUUCAGAGAAACGCCGAAGAGUCUGCUUGACCGGCUUGAAUCCCUUUAGAAUAUUGAGGCUGUGCUCGGUCAGCUUGCGUGGGAUUCCUGGCAUGUCUGAGGGUGCCAGGCGAAUAUGUCCCAAUUCUUGCGCAGGAACUCUCGUAGUGCAGCAUCCACGGCGGGGUCUAACUGUGCCCCGAUGGAGGCUGUUUUUGUAGGGUCCAUUGGAUAGACUUGGAAUUUGACUAUUUCAUCCGCGGGUUUAAAAGAGGUGGACUUGGAUCUCUUGUGAAGUAUCACGUAGUCCCUGUCCACUGUGGAGCGUAGCGCAGUUAAUUCCUUGGCCAAAAGGGCUUCGGAUAAUGCCUCGAGGGCCAAUGCGACUAUUUUGUUUUCGGCGCGAAGCGCUGUGUCCGGAUCACUAGCGAAAGUGAUGAUUCCGUUGGGCCCAGGCAUUUUGAGCUUCAUGUAACCAUAAUGGGGUAUGGCUUGGAAGAUUAUGAACGCCUCCCGCCCUAAAAGGGCGUGGUAUCCACUACUGAACGGGGCCACUUGGAAUGUAAUUUCUUCGGACCUAUAGUUCUCUGCCGUGCCGAAUACCACAUCUAGUGUGAUUUUCCCAGCACAGCGUGCUUCCCGACUGGGGAUGAUUCCUCUGAAGGUUGUGCUACUUUGCUCAAUGCGGUUCCAGUCUAUUUCCAUUUUUUGAAGAGUUUCCCGCCAUCCAUGAGUACUUUGGUGAGUCGAAAGCCGUCCACGUUUGGACUGAGGACCAGUGCAGCUGGUGCUCAGGCUGUUCGGAAUUUAGGUUCAUCACUGGCAUUGAAGGUAAUAGCCGUGUCGCUCCAUGGAUUUAUUGUUGCCACGUGGCAGAUUUUGGCAAUGUUGCGGAGUGUUCGCUUGCGUCUAUUAUUUGAUGCGAAUGUCUCAAAGACUGUUAAUACCAUAUUGUUAUCCCUGGGAUGGUGCUCUGUGGCAUCUGGGAUGAGAAGGUCCUCGCCGCUUUUGGCCACCUGCCGGAGUAUCCAACAUGCUCUAAGGCUGUGUGUUGGGAUGGUAUCCGCUGUACUAUGAAUUUUGCAGGGUCCAUUGAGCCAUCCCUCCAAUACGGUUCCAUGCCCUGUAGAGGGUUUUUUCUUCUUUGUAAUUAACUCGGGUGUCUUAUGAUAGUGCCCCCUUUUACUUCGGACUGGGUGUAUUUUCGGAGCCGGAUUAUCCCAAAAUUUCGUUUCGGUUUUCCAGGCACUUUGCAUCGCACAGUACUUUCGUACUAUGGACACCAAGUCGGCGAAGCGUGAUAUCUCACGGCGACUUAUGGCGUUAAGGAUUCCAUUGUCCAUGCAGUUAUUGCAGAAAAAUGAGACUGUGUCUUCCUCGCGGCAGUCCUUAACCUUGUUCAUCACAAGGAGGAAUCUAGCCCAAUAAUGAUGUACUGUUUCAUGGGGCUCUUGCCUAAUGUGGGAAAGAUCGUUUAUGCCUUGGAGGGUGGGUGGGUUUGAGUCUGAACCCCUACCCGAUCUGAGACCCAGGGGCUGAGGAGUUUCCAAUCUUGGAAGUUCGAAUUCCGGAGUGUUGCCCGAUAAGUCUGGCCCGCUGCCUGACUCUAGGUUCAAGGCUUGGGUGAUGUCCUCCCGUGAACGGGUAUCCGGCUCGGAGAGCUCAGGAAUCUGGACAUAAUUAGUCCUCAAGAUAGAGGAAGAAUCGCCGCAUUGUUCCUCCACCACCGCAACAUGAUGGGUGACCGGUGGAGAGUUAAUCUCCCUUUGAUCGGGUUUAAGCCAAAUCCGAUCGUAGUCCGUAGUGACUCCCAAGGCGGCGAUGCGAUCCAAGAGCUCGUUUAGGGAAGAGAGCUCCAUUGGAUCCAUCUGCUCGGCGAAUUCCGAGCCGACGUGGAGGCUGUUUUCGAUGACCCGAGAAGUCAUCGUCGGUGCAGCAGCCGAACGGGCGGUCAUGAUGAAACUGCCCAGCCGGAGAGUUUGGCCGACAGCCAGGGCUCCCCCGGCGGUAAUGUUGUUUUUAACAACGAGAUGAGGCAUCCUUCCUUACGGCGACAGCACAGUGGAACUCUCAAUGAAAGCACCAAUGUCGGUGUCAAAACCGGCGGAUCUCGGGUAGGGGGUCCCGAACUGUGCGUCUAAGGCAGAUGGUAACAGGAGGCAGGGGACACGAUGUUUUACCCAGGUUCGGGCCCUCUUGAUGGAGGUAAAACCCUACAUACUGCUUGUUUAUUCUUGAUAAUAUGAAUAGUACAAGAGUUGAUCUACCACGAGAUCAGAGAGGCUAAACCCUAGAAGCUAGCCUAUGGUAUGAUUGUAUGUUGUCCUACGGACUAAAACCCUUCGGUUUAUAUAGACACCGGAGGGGGCUAGGGUUACACAAGGUCAGUUACAAAGGAGGAGACAUACAUAUCCGUAUUGCCUAGCUUGCCUUCCACCCCAAGUAGAGUCCCAUCCGGACACGGGACGAAGUCUUCAAUCUUGUAUCUUCAUAGUCCUACAGUCCGGCCAAAGGAUAUAGUCCGGCUUUCCGGAGACCCCCUAAUCCAGGACUCCCUCAUCCAUCAAUAGAUAUCAAUGUGAGUGAGUAGGGAUUGCCAUGCAACGGAUGCACUAGAGCUAUAAAUGUAUGAAAGCUCAACAAAAGAAACUAGUGGGUGUGCAUCCAACUUGCAAGCUCACGAAGACCUAGGGCAUUUUGAGGAAGCCCAUCAUAGGAAUAUACAAGACAAGUUCUAUAAUGAAAGAUUCCCACUAGUAUAUGAAAGUGACAACAUAGGAGACUCUCUAUCAUGAAGAUCAUGGUGCUACUUUGAAGCACAAGUGUGGUAAAAGGAUAGUAGCAUUGCCCCUUCUCUCUUUUUCUCUCAUUAUUUAUUUAUUUUUUAUUUGGGUCUUUUCUCUUUUUUUAUGGCCUCUUUUUUUUCCGUCCGGAGUCUCAUCCCGACUUAUGGUGGAAUCAUAGUCUCCAUCAUCCUUUCCUCACUAGGACAAUGCUCUAAUAAUGAUGAUCAUCACACUUUUAUUUACUUACAACUCGAUACUUAGAACAAAAUAUGACUCUAUAUGAAUGCCUCCGGUGGUGUACCGGGAUGUGCAAUGACUCAAGAGUAACAUGUAUGGAAGAAUUAUGAACGGCGGCUUUUCCCCAAAUACGAUGUCAACUACAUGAUCAUGCAAAGCAAUAUGACAAUGAUGGAGCGUGUCAUAAUAAAUGGAACGGUGGUAAGUUGCAUGGCAAUAUAUCUCGGAAUGGCUAUGGCAAUGCCAUGAUAGGUAGGUAUGGUGGCUGUGUUGAGGAAGGUAUAUGGUGGGUUUAAGGUACCAGUGAAAGUUGCACGGCACAAGAAAGGCUAGCAAUGGUAGAAGGUGAGAGUGCGUAUAAUCCAUGGACUCAACAUUAGUCAUAAAGAACUCACAUACUUAUUGCAAAAAUCUAUUAGUUAUCGAAACAAAGUACUAUGCGCAUGCUCCUAGGAGGAUAGAUUGGUAGGAAAAUACCAUCGCUCGUCCCCGACCACCACUCAUAAGGAAGACAAUCAAUAAAUAAAUCAUGCCCCGACUUCAUCACAUAACGGUUCACCAUACAUGCAUGCUACGGGAAUCACAAACUUUAACACAAGUAUCUCUAAAAUUCACAACUACUCACUAGCAUGACUCUAAUAUUACCAUCCUCAUAUCUCAAAACAAUCAUCAAGUAUCAAACUUCUCAUAGUAUUCAAUGCACUUUAUAUGAAAGUUUUUAUUAUAUCCCUCUUGGAUGCCCAUCAUAUUAGGACUAAAUUCAUAACCAAAGCAAAUUACCAUGCUGUUUAGGACUCUCAAAAUAAUAUAAGUGAUUCAUGAGAGUUCAUCUAUUUCUAUAAAAUAAAACCACCACCGUGCUCUAGAAAGAUAUAAGUGAAGCACUAGAGCAAGAACAAACUACUCCGAAAGAUAUAAGUGAAGAUCAAUGAGUAGUCAAAUAAUUAUGCAACUAUGUAAAGACUCUCUAACAUUUAAGAAUUUCAGAUCUUGGUAUUUUAUUCAAACAUCAAGGAAAACUAAAUAAAAAUAAAAUGACGCUCCAAGCAAAACACAUAUCAUGUGGUAAAUCAAAAUAUAGCUCCAAGUAAAGUUACCGAUGAACGAAGACGAAAGAGGGGAUGCCAUCCGGGGCAUCCCCAAGCUUAGGCUCUUGGUUGUCCUUGAAUAUUAGCUUGGGGUGCCUUGGGCAUCCCCAAGCUUAGGCUCUUGACACUCCUUAUUCCAUAGUCCAUCGAAUCUUCACCCAAAACACUACUAGAAAAAGGGCUGCUAGUGGUGCACCUGUUUUCGCUACUAAUGGUGCACCACUAAUGGGGCACCACGCAGGAGUGCGCCAUUAGUAGCAAUUUUUUUUCAAAUUUAAAAAAAAAAUUCAAAUUUUUUUCAAAUUUUUUAUUUUUUUCUUAAUCUCGGGUCAAAUCGCACUCUGUGGUCAAACUUCCCGGAAGGUCACCCAUCCUCACACUACUCCAGUCCGAGCAUGCUUAACUUCAUAGUUCUAUCCAACCCCAGCACCACCUCAAUUCACAGGCACUUGUGGAUAUAUCUAUCAUAUCAAUCCUAUUAAACCUUGCUGAUGUCUAGGACUUAGUUCAUGAGUAUGAUGAAAUUUUGAAAAAAUAUUUCAAACAUCCCGGUCAUAUUACGUAUCAUAUUUUGAAAAAUAAUUCAAAAAAAAAUUCGAAACCAAUUUUUUUCUGUUACUAGUGGCGCACCUAGCAUACGGUGCGCCACUAGUAAGUUUUAAUUUUUUUGAAUUUUUUUGCCUCCGGAUCUUAAAAGCCUCGUAACUUUUUUUCUGUUAGGUUUUUAGGGAUUUUGAAAAUGUUUAACGGGGUUCCCCCCAAUUAAAUUUGGAUGUAACUUUUCGAGUAGAUGCUUUUUCAUAUAGAGAACUUUUCAAUCCGAGUUCGUAUGCAAAAGUUAUGCCCAUUUUACAAAUUCCAGAGAGAUAUUGCAAAUAAAGUCGAAAUUCAUAUUUGUAAAUUUUCCCAACAACUAGACCACAUAUCACAUGAGAAACUUAAUUUUUUUUUUUAUUUUUUUGACAUUUCCAUCAAUUUCUUUUAUUUUUUUAAAAAAUGAAAAGGCGGUCCACGGGGAGGGGGGUGUGCAUUCGGUGGAAGUUUUGGGCCAAGUUAGUAAUGACGCACCAUGGGAGUGGUGCGCCAUUACUAGUUAAACUAGUAAUGGCACACCACACCCACGGUGCGCCAUUACUAGUUUUGAAAAAAAAUAAAACAAAUUCUGAAUUUUUUUUUGAAAAAAACUUAGUAAUGGCGCACCAGUUGACAAUGCAUCAUUACUAGUUUUAACUAGUAAUGGCGCACUGUCCACUGGUGCGCCAUUACUAGUUUUGAAAAAAUAAAUAAAAAAAAUUUGAAAAAAAUUUACUAGUGGCGCACCGUGGAUGUGGUGCGCCAAACUAGUAAUGGCGCACUGUCCACUAGUGCGCCAUUACUAGUUUUGAAAAAAAAAUGAAUUUUUUUUACUAAUGGCGCACCAUGGAUGUGGUGCGCCAUUAGUAUUUGGACACUAAUGGCGCACCUACACAUGGUGCGCCAUUAGUAUAUACUAAUGGUGCACCACAUGUCUGGUGCGCCAUUAGUGGCCAUAUCAUCUAUAGCCCUUUUCCUAGUAGUGAAACUUGAAAACUUCACAACACAAAACUUAACAGAAAAAUCUCGUGAGCUCUGUUAGUAAAAGAAAACAGACCACCACUUCAAGGUACUGUAAUGAACUCAAUCUUGAUUUAUAUUGGUGUUAAACCUACUGUAUUCCAACUUCUCUAUGGUUUAUAAACUCUUUUACUAGCCAUAGAUUCAUCAAAAUAAGCAAACAAUACACGAAAAACAGAACAGUCUGUAGUAAUAUAUAGGUUUCGACCACUUCUGAAACCCCAAAAUUCUAAAAUAAAUUGCUGGACGUGAGGAGUUUAUCUAUUAAUCAUAUUCAUAAACAAUUAACUAAAUAUCACUCUCGAGUUAAAAAAUGGCAGCAAAUCUGAUGAGCGCUAAAGUUUCUGUUUUUUACAGCAUGAUCUCAAAGACUUUCCCCAAGUCUUCCCAAAGGUUCUACUUGGCACAAACACUAAUUAAACACAAAAACACAACCAUAAUAGAGUCUAGAUAAAUUAUUUAUUACUAAACAGGAACAAAAAGCAAGGAACAAAAAUAAAGUUGGGUUGCCUCCCAACAAGCGCUAUCGUUUAACGCCCUAGCUAGGCAUGAUGAUUUCAAUGAUGCUCACAUAAAAGAUAAGAAUUGAAACAUAAAAAGAGCAUCACGAAGAAUAUAACUAGCACAUUUAAGCCUAACACACUUCCUAUGCAUAGGGAUUUUGUGGGCAAACAAAUUGUGGGAACAAGAAUCAACUUGCAUAGGAAGGUAAAACAAGCAUAACUUUAAAACUUUAAGCACAUAGAGAGGAAACUUGGUAUUAUUGCAAUUCCUACAAGCAUAAGUUCCUCACUCAUAAUAAUUUUCAGUAGCAUCAUGAAUGAAUUCAACAAUAUAACCAUCACAUAAAGCAUUCUUUUCAUGAUCUACAAGCAUAGAAAUUUUAUUACUCUCCACACAAGCAAAAUUCUUCUCAUGAAUAAUAGUGGGAGCAAGCUCAACUAAAUAAUUAUCAUGUGAGGCAUAAUCCAAUUGAAAACUUAAAUCAUGACGACAAGUUUCAUGGAUAUCAUUAUUCUUUAUAGCAUACAAGUCAUCAUAAUAAUCAUCAUAGAUAGCAACUUUGUUCUCAUAAUCAAUUGGAACCUCUUCCGAAAUAGUGGAUUCAUCACAAAAUAAAGUCAUGACCUCUCCAAAUCCACUUUCUUCAAUAUAAUCAUCAUAAAUAGGAGGCAUGCUUUCAUCAUAAUAAAUUUGCUCAUCAAAACUUGGGGGACAAAAAAUAUCAUCUUCAUCAAACUUAGCUUCCCCAAGCUUGUGGCUUUGCAUAUCAUUAGCAUCAUGGAUAUUCAAGGAAUUCAUACUAACAACAUUGCAAUCAUGCUCAUCAUUCAAAUAGUUAGUGCCAAACAUUCUAAUGCAUUCUUCUUCUAGCACUUGAGCACAAUUAUCGGAAUCCUUAUUUUCAUGAUAGAUAUUAAAAAGAUGAAGCAUAUGAGGUACCCUUAAUUCCAUAUUUUUUUUUAUAAUUUUCUUUUAUAAACUAAACUAGUGAUAAAAAAAGAAACAGAAAGAUUCGAUUGGAAUAUCUAAAGAUAUACCUUCAAGUGCUAACCUCCCCGGCAACGGCGCCAGAAAAGAGCUUGUUGUCUACUACACAACCUACUUCUUGUAGACGUUGUUGUGCCUCCAAGUGCAGAGGUUUGUAGGACAGUAGAAAAUUUCCCUCAAGUGGAUGACCUAAGGUUUAUCAAUCCGUAGGAGGCGUAGGAUGAAGAUGGUCUCUCUCAAGCAACCCUGCAACCAAAUAACAAAGAAUCUCUUGUGUCCCCAACAUACCCAAUAUAUUGGUAAAUUGUAUAGGUGCACUAGUUCGGCGAAGAGAUGGUGAUACAAGGUUAAUAUGGAUAGUAGAUAUAGGUUUUUGUAAUCUGAAAAUAUAAAAACAGCAAGGUAACUAAUGAUAAAAGUGAGCACAAACGGUAUUGCAAUGCUAGGAAACAAGGCAUAGGGUUCAUACUUUCACUAGUGUAAGUUCUCUCAACAAUAAUAACAUAAUCGGAUUAUAUAACUAUCCCUCAAUAUGCAACAAAGAGUCACUCCAAAGCCACUAAUAGCGGAGAACAAACGAAGAGAUUAUGGUAGGGUACCAAACCACCUCAAAGUUAUUCUUUCUGAUCGAUCUAUUCAAGAGUCCGUAGUAAAAUAACAUGAAGCUAUUCUUCCCAUUCAAUCUAUCCUAGAGUUCAUACUAGAAUAAUGCCUUAAGACACAAAUCAAUCAAAACCCUAAUGUCACCUCAAGAAUCCGUGGGUAUGAUUAUACGAUAUGCAACACACAAUCUCAGAUUCAUCUAUUCAAACCAAAACAAAGUACUUCAAAGAGUGCCCCAAAGAUUCUACCGGAGAGUCAAGACGAAAACGUGUGCCAACUCCUAUGCAUAGGUUCAUGGGCGGAACCCGCAAGUUGAUCACCAAAACAUACAUCAAGUGGAUCAAUAGAAUACCCCAUUGUCACCACGGGUAUCCCAUGCAAGACAUACAUCAAGUGUUCUCAAAUCCUUAAAGACUCAAUCCGAUAAGAUAACUUCAAAGGGGAAGCUUAGUCCAUUACAAGAGAGUAGAGGGGGAGAAACAUCAUAAGAUCCAACUAUAAUAGCAAAGCUCGCGAUACAUCAAGAUCGUACCACCUCAAGAACACGAGAGAGAGAGAGAGAUCAAACACAUAGCUACUGGUACAUACCCUCAGCCCCGAGGGAGAACUACUCCCUCCUCGUCAUGGAGAGCGCCGGGAUGAUGAAGAUGGCCACCAGAGAAGGAUUCCCCCUCCGGCAGGGUGCCGGAACGAGUCUAGAUUAGUUUUCGGUGGCUACGGAGGCUUCUGGCGGCGGAACUCCCGAUUUAUUGUGCUCCCCGAAGUUUUUAGGGUAUAUGGGUAUAUAUGGGUGGAAAAAGUACGUCGGUGGAACUCUGGGCUGUCCACGAGGCAGGGGGCGUGCCCAGGGGGUGGGUGCGCCCCACCCUCGUGGGCAGCCCGGGACUCUCCUGGUCCAUCUCCGAUACUCCGUGGGCUUCUUCUGGUCCAAAAAUAAGUUCCGUUAAGUUUCAGGUCAAUUGGACUCCAUUUGAUUUUCCUUUUCUGCGAUACUUCAAAACAAGGAAAAAACAGAAACUGGCACUAGGCUCUGGGUUAAUAGGUUAGUCCCAAAAAUAAUAUAAAAGUGUAUAAUAAAGCCCAUAAACAUCCAAAACAGAUAAUAUAAUAGCAUGGAAUAAUCAAAAAUUAUAGAUAUGUUGGAGACGUAUCAAGGUCCAUGAAGGUGUAGCGCCGUCAUCGCCCUUCCCACACUUGAGUGACGCAAACCUUGUUGUAGCUAGUAGGCAGUCAAAAAGUUGCCAUGUUAAAGCCCUAUAGGACCAGCGCACCAGAGCAGCAACCGUCGUUGAUGAAGGGAGUCGUAGACUGGAAUGGUCAAACCUGUAAACAUACAAACGAAUGAACGAAUCGUCGCCGCCACACAGCCCCAACCAAAGAAGUUGACCCUAACAAGAAUGAGAGUGAUGUCCAUUCCGCCGGUGAGGGCAAGGUCCUCUAAACCGCUACGGCCCAAAGGCUAUCAGAGGCGAGGCAGACUAGCGGCAACACCGAUGGGAGGAGGACGAAACUUAAUCGUUUGGAAAGAACGUGAUGAUUUGGAGUUAAGUCUAGAAAUCACUCAUUUACCUACAUAGUUCUUCAUCCAAUUGGUUUAGACAAAUAAUAUAUUUUUAAAUAACUCAAUCAUUUACGCCAUCUUAUCUUAAUUACCUCAUCAAUCCGACUUGCAUCAAUGCAUGCAAUUUGUUGUUCACAACCUAUUUCUCUAUCUUUCUUUGGAAAAUAAGUCCCCUUAUUUUGAGUUAUGUGUGUGGUAUUUUUUAAAAUAAUUAUUAAUAUGUGUACUUAUAACCCUUUUUUGCACGUAACGCCAUGUUAAUUAAUUUUUUUUGUUUCGCAUCGGCAAUACUUCUGGUAAAAAUGAAUGAAAGCAGCUAUCUAAGAUGAUUGGAAGCAGCUCGAAGCAUGGGAGUUGUGCCAACGUGAAAGAAAGGUGAGCAAAGAUGAGUGGGCACGUCCUAAACGCACGGGCAUCUGCACCGACUUAAAAAAAGCAUUUUAAGUGUGUUUUAAAAUGUCAAAAAAUAUAAAAAAAAUCAUGCAUACAUUUUCGCAAAUGUAUGUGCGUGGCAUAAAGUUUUGUGAAAAAAAAUAUUUUUUGGUUUGCUUUGCAAAAAGACAAAUUUUAGUGCUUCUAAAUAGCAUUUGAUGACACAAUUUUUCGUCUGUUUUUGCACGGGCCACAAAAAAGGUUAUUUUUCUGUGAAAUUUUAUGCAUGUACAUAGAACAUGGAGACGUACCCGUGCAAAAAAUUUCAGAUUCUUUUAGCAUGUAAAAAUGUGUUUUUUAAAGUGGGUUCAUAUGUACCCGGGUUCAUCCACGCACUUCCCGAGCAAAGAUCCAUCAAGUUCAUAUGUGCUUUAUGUUCAAGCGGCAAGUAGGGGUCAAAGUAUAUAGAACAACCAACUUCUAGCAACGAGGCACGCUCCCUCGUUUGGUAUAACGAGGUCGGCAUGGACAAUUGGACAUAGAGAAGUGUUACGGAGGUUGGUUGUAAUUUUAUUUGACCACUUGUAUUGAUUAGUCAGGGUUUAUGUUACUACCAUGAUCUCAUGCAACUUACCACUUAGCUUUAUGUAACCUUAACAUCUUGACCGCCCGGUCAUUGCAACUUACCAAAUGAUCAUGUUUAUGAUCCUUGUCCCCUAGAUAGGAGCUUUUUUUGGCUUUAAGCUUAAGAGAAAAAGGCAUGAAAAGGCCCAACCAAACACCAUAUCCCAAUUAUGGUGAUACAAAUAAGAGGCGCGUGAAUAGAGCAAGCUACGGCCUUCCCAAAAUAAGACAAAUGUGGUCACACUAUGAUGAGUUCGGUUCGGUGGCACCAUGGCUCGACCAAACUAAUGAAGGGUCCCAUUAAAAAAGUUUAUUUAUGUUCAAGUGGAAAUCUGGGGGUCAAAGUAUAUAGAGAAACCCACAUCUGGCAAUCAUACCCUCUCCCUCGCUUGGUAGAACGAGGUCAACAAGGGGAUGGAGCGGGGUUACAACGAUUGGUUGCAAUAUUAUCCAACCUCUUGUCUUGAUUAGCAAGUUUAUACUUGUUAUAAUCUUACCUUCAUUUCAUCCACUAAUUAUGUGUUGAUCCAAGUGAUAGCCAUAUUUAUUUGCAACAUUAUCCAUGUCAUAUUUUGUAUGCAACCAUGAGCAUUGCCAUUUGUUAGCUUAGCAUGAUUAGACAUGUAUUCUAGUGUUCAUGAGGUAUACAUGCAAUGCCUUGAUGGAACCAUAUCAACAUGAGCCUAGAAACAAUAAGUACUAAUAAAAGCAUUGUAAUAAUGCAAAAUAGUAAAAAAAUGCAUAUUGAAAACCAUAGGUUUAUCAAGUCAUCCAACCCUACAAGUGGUGGCUUGCCUUGAUAAAAUGGAGUGCCAAGACCGUCUACAUCUUCAACACUGAAGGAAAAGCUGCUACAAAAAUCAAAUAAAGAAUUUAGGAAAAUCUCCAUAAAGCCAUUGUGACUACCCAGCCUACCUAGGUACAUCACAAAAUUGCAACAAGCGUUAGAACAUGUCCACGUUUGGUCAAAACAAUGAUUUAAUUGAUUUUAAAAGAAAUUUACAGAACGGCUAACUUUGAAGGCGUAUUUCCUGGAGGCACUUUCACUUGUACCGCUUCAACCUGUGGCAUAAGCCGAUGACAGGUGGGGCCGAUGGUAAGGUUUAAAAGACGUGAAGGGGAGACAUGACGACAACAAGGCUCACCGGUGGCUAUCGACAAUGGGAGGACGCGACCGCGUGAAAUGAGGGCGUCGAUGGCCGCAAUGCUUGAUGACAAAUCUGGAGUUAGUUAUCUGGCCGUGAGGGAUGGGCGGACGAUGAGGCUCCUCCUCCAACGUGUCUUGUGUACCACGCUCGGCGUUGGAGGUACACGAUGACGUGUUUGUGUUUGAAUAGUUUGGAUAUCUUAUAUGUGUGAAGGAAUUCUAACUACAAAGUAUAUGUCCUAGUCGUACGUUUGAUUAUGGUUGCACUUGUCCAUCUAGAAUUGAUGGUCAUCUAGCGUGCUAGAAUGAACAAUCCGUUUGUACAUAUUAGAUGUGUAGAAGACUUUAAAAAAGAAAGUACGUCUGCUUUCGUGUAUCUUCUCUCCCGGACUCUACCUUUUAUUUUAAGUCCAUUUUCUUUGGGGGAAAAUGCCCGCUUGAUUUCUUCUCUCGAACUCCCUAGAAACUCGCCGAUACGCAGGUGCAAGGGCUGCCCGACCUUGCCGGCUGUCAGAUUGUAUCGUGAUCCACAAAGUCAUUGAAUUUCGCACGAUGGCGCACCAAAUUUUAAGUUUUAGUUUCUGAAACAUGCGAUUUUGGCGUUCGCUUGUACCAAGUUUCAGCGGUUGAAACGUAAUGAAGUUUUAAAAACUCAUCAAAACGUAUUCAUAAUGGAUCUUAUUUGAAAUCCCUCAUCAAAAAAAAUCACGAAUAUGCAAUGAAACUUAAUUUGGACUUUUGGUUCAAAAGAUAUAAAAGAUUAAAAAUCGAAACGAAAGCGGAAAAAAGAUUAGCAUGCUCCCUCUUACCUCCCCUUUGACAUGGGUCAGCGCCCUUGCCCGUGUGUGCCGCAAAUAUCCAGAGCCGAUCCGUGAAGCUGGAAGGUUGCGAACAGGGGGGGAAGAGUUCCAACUUUGAAUUAAAUUAAUUUGCCUUUCAACUAUUUAACUAAUUACGCAUUUUCACAAACAAAAAGAAAAUCCAAAUUCCAACUAAUUUUUUUCACCCUCCAACCAUGUCAUCAUCAGAUAUUAUCAAUCUAAAAACACUUCAUAUAUUUAAACUUUAAACUACUUUAAAAUCUUUCUAGUAUACUUCUGACCCCACAGCUUUUGUGAAAAACUGCCUAAAAACACGGUAUAUUUACUGUCUAUCAUGAAGAAAUUAUCAAAAGAAAAAUACCAGUAACCCCACAAAUUCUUGAGGCUGGCUUCGCGGCUGGUUGUACGUGAUAUGAAGGUUAGGCUACCAUGUGUUCUCGCCAAACAAAUCCCAUUACAAUCACCUCCAGCUACACAGUACUACACCUGCAUCAAACAUGCACCCAGGUAGAAUACCACACUGUAAACGAGUACAUAACCUGCACAAGAGAAGAUAUUAAUUCUACAAAGCCAAAAUGACCAACAAAAAGCAGUUGCUACACAUAUUGGUAACGCCUCAAGAAAGCUACCUUACAUGGAAAAAUACGUUGCAUGACUAUAAUAAGAUUACAAUUAAAAUAGACACUUAAUUGUUUCAUCGUCAUUACAAAAGCAACACUUUUGAUUGGUGUGCCAAUUUCAUUUACUGAACAAAAUCCCUCGAUUUAAUUGGAAUUUUUAGUUGUCGAGCAAUUUUAACAUUCUCCCUCUUACCCUCUCUUUUCAUAUGAGAGGUAAGAAGAUAAGAGUUAAUCAACGGUUCAGAUCUGUUUUAUACUCUUACCUCUCACUUACCUCCCAUGUGGAAAUCGAGGCAUACGUAGUAAUCGAGGCAUAGUCAUUCUGCUGUAGGUUCUACCUAACUGUCCUUUUCGUCCACUAACUCAAAAUUGACUGGGCGAGCUGAUUGUUCUAUAUAUAGCAAUCUAGCAUGUGAUGUGCUCUAAUACCCAUAACUGUGUAGUUAGAAAAUUGUUGAAGGGUUAACUAAAAGAUUUGCGACAUAGGGGGUCGCCAUGGCUUCCUAUUCGGAGAAGCAGGCCAACGACAAGGGUGAGAAACAUCAUGAGCUAGUUUGUGUGACUGGGGCAGGAGGCUUCAUUGGUUCAUGGGUGGUGAAGGCGCUCCUCCUCCAUGGCUACCGUGUCCGGGGAACUGCCAGAGACCCCGGUAAGUAAUAGCAUCAUAAUUUCAUAUCUAUGGCAUAUAUUAAUUAGAUGCUAACCGUUCUCUAAAUAUAUGCCUAUUUAAAAGCACUAUUUAUCACCACUUACAGAGAUACGAAUAUGUAGUUUAGUUGUUUAUAUUAAACAACAAUAUACAUGAGAUAACUCAGUCAUAAAACACAGAAAUGCCAAAACAAUUUAUGAUGAACAAUUGGAUUGAAAAUGGAGGAGUGCUUCAUUAUACCAUUCUUUGAAAUGUUUACCACCAUUGGGAAAAAGUAACGGUGAAGACUAAAGUUUACCAUUUAGUUUAAGAGGGUAAUAUAACAUAACACCUCACAAAUGUAAACACUUACACACACACUCACGAACAAACAUCUCGAUGAAUGCAUGCAUGCACGCCAUACCUCUAUGAGCACCUCCUAGCGACUGAUCCGACAAAUUUUGGGAUUGACAAGUCACCACAGACAUCUAGUCGAAGAGAACGCCAUGUCCCAAUGAACGAGCUUUGUCGGGAAACCUGGAAUAAUUCUUAUAAAAUACGAGCACCAAUGCGAAGUAUAGGACUUAAACCAGUGUUCUGCUGGUAAUAUAGCAAAAUCACUUCUUUAUCCAUGCCCAUGUUAUUUGAACAUCCAUGCAUGCGAGCACCAGCCUGGGAGUAUCACCAUGAUAGCUCCUGAAGUAUUUUGUUUCCUAGGCACAAAGGAAUAUAUUCAUACAGUAAAAUCGUUUGGGUCAAGGGGAGUUCUUUUUAGCUUGAGAUCUCGCACGGUUGGCAGAUAUAACUCAGUGAAGUUGUUAGGCAUGAUUAUGCAACUCAUUUGAUUUGUACAAAGUAUGAAAGUACCCCUUUAAAAGUAAACCAAAAGUGUACCAAGGUUCAACCGAUUUUUUGAUUGAUAUAUUUAUAAGGGAGAAGUAUAUUUUGUAUCCCCCAACUUUACCCACAGCUUAGAAAUGGUCCUUCAAUUAUACAACUAGACAAACAUAGUCCCUCAACUCUCAAAAUCGGAUAUCGGAUAUUUUUCGUCCCUUGUGCCACUCUGGGUGGUUUGGUGCUGAUCUGAACCCGGUAUUGACCGUUGACCCCACCGACUCACCCUUCGUCAUCUUCCUCUUGCACCAGCACAUGCAUGGCGGUCAGUAUGUCACCACCAUGUCCACGCUGUCGGCGAGGUCGGCAAUGUCCAGUUUGUUGGAUGGCCAUGUCUCGCGGCUAUCGUGCUACCGCCAGAAGCCCAUAAAGACCAGCUCUUCGAUCGGACACGCUGACCCAUGUCGAGUGGGAGAUUUGCACCCAUGUGUCUGGUGUGGUGCUGAUGUGGUGAGGUCAAUAGUCAAUAUCAGGUCCACGUCAGCCCAAAACCACUCAGAGUGGUUUGAGGGAUGAAAAAUAUCCGGUUUUAAUAGUUGAAGGAUUAGUUUUUUCUGGUUUUAAUGUUGAAGGACCAUUUCUACACUAUCAAUAAAGUUCAGGGACGAAAAAUAUUAUUCUCCCUAUUUAUAAUGUAAGAUGGUAUAUUGUGUGACACCGUAUUUUAAAGUGGAAAUAUGAAUGAUUUACAUAUGGGACACGCCGGCAUUUUCUCACGGGGUUAACCUUGAGUUCCUCUUGAAGAUGUACAUUUUAUACGAACAUGCAUGCAAAAAAAAAACAUGCAUAUAAUUGCAUAUACGNNNNNNNNNNNNNNNNNNNNNNNNNNNNNNNNNNNNNNNNNNNNNNNNNNNNNNNNNNNNNNNNNNNNNNNNNNNNNNNNNNNNNNNNNNNNNNNNNNNNNNNNNNNNNNNNNNNNNNNNNNNNNNNNNNNNNNNNNNNNNNNNNNNNNNNNNNNNNNNNNNNNNNNNNNNNNNNNNNNNNNNNNNNNNNNNNNNNNNNNNNNNNNNNNNNNNNNNNNNNNNNNNNNNNNNNNNNNNNNNNNNNNNNNNNNNNNNNNNNNNNNNNNNNNNNNNNNNNNNNNNNNNNNNNNNNNNNNNNNNNNNNNNNNNNNNNNNNNNNNNNNNNNNNNNNNNNNNNNNNNNNNNNNGAAGUAGGGAUGUAUAGACUCGGCCGUGUACUUUGGUUCGUUGCAUUAUAUAUAAAAGUGUAUUUUUUGAUUUGCUUUAAAAGGGGACCUUCCCUUCAUAUUGUAUCGGUCGGCCGUGUACUUUGGUUCGUUAUUUUAUAUAUAAAGCGGGGCGAAAUCCUGUUUCAAAAGUUGAUAGUUUAUUAUCUUUGAUUUUUUAUUGAACUGUUAAACCCAUAAGUUGGCUUAAACAAGACCGUUUAUACAUCUCUAAAGCGAAGUAACUGAUUCGUGCCUACUAUGAACGUGAAGCUGAUCACAAGAACGCGCACCUGCUUACCCUGGAGGGAGCCCAGGAGAGGUUAGCCUUAUGCCGCGCCGAUCUCCUGGACCGUGACAACCUCUGUUCAGUGUUCAGCGGAUGCCAUGGCGUUUUUCAUGUCGCCUCCCCGAUCUCGGAAACCGACCCUGUGAGCCCACAAACUCUCUGGAGAUUCCGUACGCAGCUCCGAAUAUAUACAUGGAGUGUAUUUACUUGCAUAUGAAUCUAAUUUGUAGGAGCUCAUGGUGGUCGCCGUGGAGGGAACCAGGAACGUGAUCAACGCGGCGGCUGACGCGGGCGUGCGGCGUGUGGUGUUUACUUCCUCCUACGGCGCCGUGCACAUGGAUCCCAACAGGAGCCCGGACACGGUCGUGGAUGAGACGUGCUGGAGCGACUAUGACUUCUGCAAGGAGACUGGCGUAUGAUCUGGCUCAAUUUCAUCUGCAUAGCCUGCCCCAUCGAUCACGCCCGAUCUUCCUUGUAAUUGAAGUGAGCUUAACAAUCCUCGAUCGUGUGCAGAACAUGUACUGCUGCUCGAAGAUAAUGGCGGAGAUCACGGCGAAGGAGGAGGCGGCCAACAGGGGGCUGGACCUGGCAGUGGUGGUGCCGUCGAUGACGAUCGGCCCCGCGCUGCAGCAGAAGCUCAAUCUGGGCAUCGCCUUUAUCAACCGCUACCUCACGGGCGCCAAGAAGACCUGCCCCAACGCCGUGGCCGGCUACACCGACGUCCGCGACGUCGCCCGCGCCCACGUCGUCGUCUACGAGCGCCCGGACGCACGCGGCAGGUACCUCUGCAUGGGCGCCGUGCUGCACCGUGCCCAUUUCCUCCAGCUGCUCCGAGACCUUUUCCCGCAGUACCCCAUCACCGACAAGUACGUACAUAAUCAAUUUCCACCGGCGUACGUCCGUGCAUGCAUUGCUUGCUCUCUUCCCCCGAAAGUGAUUUGUAACGACGAGCGUUUAAUGGUGUACGUGCAUGUGUGGCAGGCGUGAAGAUGACGGCAAGCCGAUGGCCAAGCCGUACAGGUUCUCCAACCAGAGGCUGAGGGACCUCGGGUUGGAGUUCACUCCCCUCAAGGAGAGUUUGUACGACAUGGUGGUAUCCCUGCAGCAGCAUGGUCACCUGCCUGUUGUUCCGGGGCCAGAUGGUCCACGCCUCUAAAAAAAAAAGAUGUGCACUACUGCUGCAUUAGCCCAAUAUCAAUAAUGUGAAAUAAUACAAUAAUGAUCCAACAAUAACAAGCAUGGUGUCUCGCCCUAUUGUUCAAUCAGACUCCUCCUUCUGGUGAUUGUUCAAUCAGAUUCCCCGGAGGCCUUGCAGGCACUAUCAAAGUUCGGAAUGGACCGUCCAACACUUGGACAUGUGACAAAGAUUAGAUAAUUGAUGACAGAAAGUGAGUUUAUUCCACAAAAGAUUCAUCGAACAGAAUAGAGUGGCAGAACGUAUGGCAAACUAUAGUCACACAGAUUGUACUAUGUCGGUGUGGCUUAACCAAAAUCCCACUUGUAUUGAGAAACUUGUGCCUCUCCUUUGUAAUACUAUACCAUCUUAAAUGAAAUUCCAUUUACCCCGCAAAUAAAGCAUGAUGUCUCACCCUAUUGUGUGCAAAACCUCUAAAUGCUGGACAUGAAGUAUGUAAGCUUGAGCUCACAUGAUCUUGGAUGAACAGUAAAAUCCAAAAAAUAGUAAAAAAAAUAAAAAAAACUGAUUUUUUUGGCGAGAAACGUUGAUGUUUUUUUUUACAUCCAUGCAAAGUUUCAUGAUGGAAUCACAUUUGUGGAGGUGUGCACAAAAACAAAUUAAUGUUCGAAACCACACCUCCACAAAUGUGAUUCCAUCUCGAAUAUUUGCAUGCGUUUAGAAAAAACAUCAAUGUUUCGUGACAAUAAAAUUCAGAAUGUUUUGAAUAUUUUUUCUAUUUNNNNNNNNNNNNNNNNNNNNNNNNNNNNNNNNNNNNNNNNNNNNNNNNNNNNNNNNNNNNNNNNNNNNNNNNNNNNNNNNNNNNNNNNNNNNNNNNNNNNNNNNNNNNNNNNNNNNNNNNNNNNNNNNNNNNNNNNNNNNNNNNNNNNNNNNNNNNNNNNNNNNNNNNNNNNNNNNNNNNNNNNNNNNNNNNNNNNNNNNNNNNNNNNNNNNNNNNNNNNNNNNNNNNNNNNNNNNNNNNNNNNNNNNNNNNNNNNNNNNNNNNNNNNNNNNNNNNNNNNNNNNNNNNNNNNNNNNNNNNNNNNNNNNNNNNNNNNNNNNNNNNNNNNNNNNNNNNNNNNNNNNNNNNNNNNNNNNNNNNNNNNNNNNNNNNNNNNNNNNNNNNNNNNNNNNNNNNNNNNNNNNNNNNNNNNNNNNNNNNNNNNNNNNNNNNNNNNNNNNNNNNNNNNNNNNNNNNNNNNNNNNNNNNNNNNNNNNNNNNNNNNNNNNNNNNNNNNNNNNNNNNNNNNNNNNNNNNNNNNNNNNNNNNNNNNNNNNNNNNNNNNNNNNNNNNNNNNNNNNNNNNNNNNNNNNNNNNNNNNNNNNNNNNNNNNNGUGAAACGUCUCAUUCCAUCCCUCUUUUUGUACUACUUGAAGGCGACAUAAUAUUAACGGUAUGCCUAGAGAAGAGAGUGCCAUCAAGACUAGCUAGAGGAUGGCACGCCAAGGGUCGUCACACCCAUGUGACAUCGCUUGAGAACAAGUAUAAUAAGAUGAUGUAAUUAGGCUAUACGAAUUUAAAUAUUAUAUUUAUGCUGAGUUGAAGAAGAGAGAAGAGAAGUGUUUUCUAAGGAUUUAAGAACCACAAAGACUUCAAGAAACUUUGUGAGAGAGUGAAAUGGGUAGGUAUUAAUAAUAAAGUGGUACUAUUUACUGCCAACUAACACAUGUUGACUAUAAAAUUGCCUAUGGAUGAUAAGGCAACAACAUAUAACCAACAGUUGGACAUACUAUUAACCAUGCUCUUUAACAAGGAUUAACACGCCCGAGAAAGAGCGAAUUUACUUACUCACGGUAUAUGCCUGUCCUAUCCCCGAGGAUAGGUUGGAAUAUUUCGGUAAAAUUCCACCGGGGUUUCUCUAUACAAUAUGAAAAUACCCGAGAACGAAAAUAUACCGUGCAUUAAUAGAUCUUUCAUUGUUGCUUUGAGAUUCAUGCUACCUUUUUUUUCACCAUUUUCAAAAUAUUACAUUGGGGUUUUCGUCUAGUUCCAAAGUGUAUCUUAAUGUUCCAGUGUGUACUACCAAAUGCGAUAAAAAAGAAGGGCAUUCUCUUUUACUAGUAGACCUAAACGCUCUUAUAUUUCUUUACAGAGGGAGUACACAAUAAAACAUGCUGAUAUAUGUUGGAAAGACAAAAACAGAACGAAGCAUUUUGAAACAAGUUUUUUUUUUGCAACAAUCAAAAAAUAGCAUGAAUCUCAAAGCAACCAUGGACGGUGGAUCCAUGCGCAGGAUAUCUGAUGAAUGAUAGAUAAAUCACUCUUUGGACAUACCCCUGAUUGUUGGAUUUAAUGUAAGAUAAAAAAAACUUACAUUCCUUACCUAGCUACUUCUUUCACUAUAAAAAGUGGUGGCCAAGUUGGUCAUGUAUGAAGGGGAAAAUAUCACUACCAUUGGCCACACGGCCCUUGUCAAGUCCAUGAGCACAUCCUAAGUGGUCUACUUCAUCACUCCCCUUGUUGAUGCACCUACCACCCUUCAUAAUGUCAAUAAGCUUCAGCGAGCGUUAUUUGUUCUGGCUCCGAUACGACAAGCGGGCAAAAAAGCAAGGUGAUUUGGGAGAUUGUUUGCCGACCGCAUGAAUAUGGGGGACUUGGGGUUCUCAACACGGAAAAUUUGCACGUGCUCUGCGCUUGAGGUGGCCAUGGUUCGAGUGGAAGGAGCCAAGAAGAUGUGGGUGGGGAUGGGAAACCCGUGUGGCGAAGAGGAUCCUCUAUGCCUCGACGACCAUCACUAGAGGCAAUGCCGCAAGGACCCCUUUUUGGGAGGCCCCUUGGCUACUUGGGCGGAGGCCCAUUGAUAUUGCUCCGCUUUUUUUCGAGGCCUCAUCGAGAAAGAAUUGGAAGGUGCGGGAGGCCCUAAAGAACAACGCGUGGAUUCUCAAGAUCAACCCCGAAACCAUUGUUACCGCUGGGCACAUUAGUCAAUUUUUCACCCUUUGGAUGCUUCUUCAGGAGAUCCAUCUUGACGACCUUGUUGACGAUGAUAUUGUAUGGAAGCAUAUGCUUAGUGGCCACUACUCGGCGGCUUCCGCCUACAAGGCGCAAUUCCUUAACAGGGUCUUCUCUCCCAUGGACCAAAUGGUGUGAGAGGCUUGGGCAUAUACUUGGGCACCGCUAAAAGUCAAGUUUUUUGCUUAGUUGGCCAUUCAAGACCGGAUUUGUACCGCCGACAGGUUGGCUAAAUGGGAUGGCCAAACUGUGGCCUUUGCCCCCUUUGCGGGAGGGUGCAAGGAUAUGGAUCCCACCUCUUCUUCAAAUUCCGUUACUCUCUGUGGCUUUGGAACUUGGUCAUUGAGAUAUUUCGCCUUGAGGAUUGGGACACCUCCAAUUGGCAUUUGGAAGACAAUGUUGAGGAUUGGUGGGAAAGCCGAACCGGUGAUGCUACGCGGGAUAGAAAGGCAAUGGCCUCUCUAACUAUGCUCAUUUUGUGAUCCAUAUGGAAUGAGUGGAACACAAGGUUGUUCCGGCACAAUAGUGCGCCCCCACCGAUCUUGCUAAACAACAUCUUAGAGGAGGCGAAACUUUGGGUCAUCACCGGAGCAAAGAAGCUAGGGUCAAUUGUAUUUCGAGAGUAAUCAUUCAUGUUGCUUUUUUGGGGUGAAUUGUAACAAACUAUAUCCUCUUCUUAACUAAUAUAUGAGGCAAAUAUUUCUUCCUACAUGAAAUGGAUGUACACAAAUCAUACUUGUAAGACUCAUUUUUCUCCAUCGUUCAAAAAUGAUGUUACCAUUCAUUUAUUCCACAAUAAUAUUUACAUGUUACUUACUCUCUUUGUACACAAAUGUAAGACAUUUUGGCAGUUUAUUCUAAAUUAAAAAAAUGUUCUACAAUGUUUACAUAGCGAGUGCAUUUUAUGCUUGUAAAAUACACAAUUCCAUGAUGAAUCUCCAAAAUCCUGAAAAGAUUUGUUCCAGCUCUGCUUGUUUAUUUCUUCCAACAAACUUGUCCCAGAUCGUGUUACAAGUACGCGCGCUUUGGUGCCAGGCGAACAAUGGGCAGAGGCAGGUGGCCCUUUUUUUCUGCAAGCACGUCACUGUCUCAUACAAGCUUUUCCCUCAACGGAGUGAAGUCCAAUAUUCGCACCUGCCGCGUGGACGAAUCUACAGUGAGCACUGAGCAAGCGCAACACCCAAAAUUGAAUUAAAUACGUUGAAAUAAGAUCAAUCAUGAUGUGCUCGUACUUACUUGGCGGUUAUGUGGUACUGCGGGAAGAGGUCGCCGAGGAGCUGCAGGAAGUGCACGUGGUGCAGCACGGCGCCGAUGCAGGCAGUGUGCGUCGUGGUGCUCGUAGAUGAGGACAUGGGCCUGGGCGAUGUCGCGGCGUCGGUGUAAGAGCAUCUCCAGCUGUUCGGCCCCUUCAGGACGCAUAAAAAACAUCCUUUGGGGGUGAGCCGGCGAUGCAAUCGGUGCUGGGACGGUUUCGCGCCUAGUCGUCGCCCCCAGCUCGCCCUCAGGCGUCGAAAUUGAUCCAUUUUUCAGUCUCAUUUCGGCGAAUAAAGGGCCCAUACGUACGACAAUAUGCUCAUAUUCGGCGUGGUUCGUCGUUGUUCGGCGUUCAAUUAUGCACAUAAUAUUUUUUUAUCACAUAUUUCAUCACAAAAAUAUCAAAUACUUCAACAAAAUAGUACAACAACAAAUAGUUCAACACAAAUUAUAUAGUUCAAUAAAUAAUAACUCAUAUUUCAUCACACGUCGCACCCGGCAUCGCCCUUCAGCCUCCAUAGAUGCUCUAUCAGAUCUUGCUGCAGUUGAUGAUGCACCUGUGGGUCUCGGAUCUCCUGGCGCAUACUGAGAUAGGCAGUCCAGGUUGUCGGUAGCUGGUGAUCAACUUCGGCUAGAGGACCCUGCCUGUAGUAUGGUUCAGUGUCAAACACUGGGUCUUCUUGCUCGCUCUCGAUGAUCAUGUUGUGCAAGAUGACACAGCAAGUCAUAAUCUCCCACAUUUGAUCUUUUGACCAGGUCUGAGCGGGGUACCGAACAACGGCAAAUCGAGAUUGGAGCACACCAAAUGCCCGCUCGACAUCCUUCCUGUAAGCCUCCUGAACCUUCGCAAACCAGGCGUUCUUGCCUCCUGGCACAGGGUUUGAGAUCGUCUUCAUAAAUGUCUACCAUCUCGGAUAGAUGCCAUCAGCUAGAUAGUACCCCUUGUUGUAGUGCCGCCCAUUGAUCUCGAAAUUCACCGGAGGAGAAUGACCUUCAACAAGCUUGGCAAAGACAGGAGAGCACUGCAGCACGUUGAUGUCAUUGUGAGUUCCUGGCAUAUCAAAGAAGGAGUGCCAAAUCCAGAGGUUCUGUGUGGCUACCGCCUCAAGCACCACACUACAACCACCUUUGGCGCCUUUGUACAUCCCCUGCCAAGCAAAUGGGCAAUUCUUCCAUUUCCAAUGCAUGCAGUCGAUGCUUCCAAGCAUCCCAGGAAAUCCUCUUGCUGCAUUCUGUGCUAGGAUCCGAACAGUGUCUUCCGCAUUGGGUGUUCUCAAGUAUUGUGGUCCAAACACUGCCACCACUGCCCGACAGAACUUGUAGAAACACUCUAUGCUGGUGGACUCGGCCAUGCGCCCAUAGUCGUCGAGUGAAUCACCGGGAGCUCCGUAUGCAAGCAUCCUCAUCGCUAUCGUGCACUUCUGGAUGGAGGUGAAUCUAAGAGCGCCGGUGCAAUCCAUCUUGCACUUGAAGUAGUUGUCGAACUUUCGGAUGGAAUUCACAAUCCUGAGAAAGAGCUUUCGGCUCAUCCGAUAACGAGCAUCGGCGAAGUAGUCGGAGUAGAGCAUGCAGUAGCCUUCGAGACGAUGCCGGUUCUUUGCUUUCACCCGCCCAGGCGCCGAGCCACCUUGCCGCGGCUUUUCAUUGCUCGCCAGCAGCCGGGCGAGGGCGGCGAGCACCAUGAGAUGCUCUUCUUCCUGGACGUCGGCCUCGGCUUCCUCCUCCAGCAGCGCGGCGAGCGCUUCCUCGUCAUCCAAGUCCAUCGCCGAGACAGGCAAAUCGCCGAACACCUUGCGCUCAGUGGGCGUGUACCCGCCGCUAAACCACGCCUCCGCAGCCGGAAACGGCGGCCGAAAACGCCCAGCUGCUGUUAGAGGGGCUGCCGCGGCGAAGCGCUGCUAUUUUUCCGGCGGGGAAUGGCUAUCUAGAGGUGUAGGGCGGCGGGCGGUGCCGGGAUAUAGCUACUAGUGGCUGAGGGCGCGGGGGGUGGGAGGCGAGUCGGGGAAGAAAACCUUGACUUUUCCCCUGACAGUGUGAGCCAGCACGCUUUUCCCUUGCGCCGGAGCCUCCAACUGCUCCCCAGUGUGCCGGGUUCGGCCUGUGACCGCCGGACGGAAAAAAGGGCCGAACCGGCGAUUUUCGGCGUCCUGGGGGCGCGACUAGGCCGUUUUUUCGGCGCCAGCGCCGAAAAAAUGGCCUGAGAAGGCCUGUUGGGGACGCGGCUGGAGAUGCUCUAAGCGACGACUGCAUUGAGGUAGGUGGGCUUGGCGCGGGUGAGGCAGCGAGCGACGUGGCAGCUGCUUGAGUUGAGUGACUGCUGCAGCAUGGGGCCCAUGGUCAUGGAUGGCACCACCACCGCCAGCUCAAGGCCCCUCUUGGCUGCCUCCUCCGUCGCCGUGAUCUUUGCCGUAAUACACAGAUUAUUCUUAAGUUCAGUCUAGUAGAGAAAGAUCAGGGUGCGAUUAAGCAGAGUAUUAUUACCGCACUGUUUUUGCAGUAAUCAUAGUAGUUCCAGCACGUCUCGUCGAGCCCUGCGUCGGAGCUAUGAUUGGGGUCCAUGUGCACAGAGCCGUAGGACGAGGUGAGGACCACGCGUCGCAUGCCGGCGUCUGCUGCCGCGCUGAUCACGUUCUUGGUGCCCUCAACGGCGACCGGCACGAGGUCCUGCAAGCGAUCAGCACACAUGUAGCAAGCAAGUACGCCGCCCUUUGUUAAGGCCGCACGAAGAAGUGAGCGGAGCAGAGGAAGCGAACUCACAGGGUCGUUGGAGAGAGGGGAUGUGACGUGGAAGACGUCAUGGCAUUUGCAGAAGGCAACACGGCAUAGGGUGAGCCUCUCCUCAGUGCCCUCCAGCGCCAGCAGGUGCCCGUUCUUUUGGUCAGCUGCAGAAACCACUCCACCAUUGGAUGAGCCACAAAAUUCAGCGAGAUCAAUCAUGGACUGACGCACACCAAACCAUCUGAUGUAAAGACGAUUUUCAGUGUUAAUUAUUCAGGUGUAAGCAAACUGUGACCGACUUACCGGGGUCUCUGGCGGUUCCCGUGGCACGGUAGCCACGGAGGAAGAGCUACUUCAAGCCAACUCCAGCGUGCGACCCAUCAUGUCCGGGCACAAACGGAAUUUUGUCCGUUUUAUGUCCGUUUUUGACCCAUCAUCGGCUCAAGUUUGGGCCACUUUUGAGGUAAAACGGACAGCGCGCGGACGGGCGGGACGCGCGCGCUUGUCCUCCCUUGGCCCGCCCAUCGGUAGCACAAAGCACCAACCCGACGCCUCAUUUCGCCCAAACCUUCCCACGUCCCGCCCACCACCCUCCCGCCCAUGGCCGAUGCCCCGCCGAAUUCCUCAUGCUUGGGAUUUGUUGUCCGACGAGUUUCUCGGCAUCGCCCGUCGGCCUGGCGAGCACAGGCUCGUCGGUCGCCAGGCCUCCGCACUGCCCCUCGCUGAGGUCGCGAACCAUGCCUUUGUCGCCCGGUUUUUCUCCGCCAAGGUACGAAGGCCAGACCCGUUUCUCGGGGUCGCCGGACGUUGGUGUGAUCGCGCCGUCCAUCCCGCGCCCCUCGGCCGUCAUCGACCUCAACGUCACGUCGGGGUACAGCAGCGGCGGCCGGCCGUCCGUCGAGAUGCAAAGAAAGCAAGCACGGCCGCCGUCCACGGGCACCAUGCCGUCGCCCCGCGUCCUGUUCAACGAAAUGCCAACACCAACGCCAACGGUUGACGAUCCCUUCUACAACCAGUUCAUGGAGAAUGUCAUCUACGAGGGUAGGUAUGGUGAUGCCUACGAUCCCGAGAAGACCCAAAGUCAGGAUGGCCGCGACCAGUACGUUGCCGAUGAAGACAUUGAGGCCCACGACCAUGCUGACUAUGACCAUGGUGACUCGUGGCAUGAAGAUGAUGACAUCUAUUGCGAAGGUAAUGGUGAUGAAGAAGAAGAAGGCACUGAUAUUGGGGGCGAGCCAUUGUCAUCGAUGAGCUCACCCAAAGAGCGGAAGCACAAAAGAGGAAGAAGAGCAUUCGUACGGAAUCAUACUUACAAGAGGAGGACAAGUUGAUUUGCCAAAGUUGGAUGGAGGUUGGCCAAGAUCCGGGGACCGGUGCGCAACAAAAGGGACUUGUUUUUUGGACAAGAGUUCACAAAACAUUCCAUGAAAGAAAUUCGUUUGCGCCCAACCAAUUUACGAGCGACUGUGGCAUCACCUCGAUUCAAAAGAGGUGGUUGUUCAUCCAACAAGAAUACAACAAGAAUUGUGCCGCACUUGAGAGCAUUGAAGCACGUCCCGUGAGUGGUCUCAGCAUUGGGGACAUGGUAUGCUCUCUUAUCUUCCGUUGCUACGUCCAUGAGACUUCGGCCUUUUAUAUGUUUGCAUGUCCGAUUGUUGUUGAUCGUGUAGGCAUUUCAAUCUUUGGAAGCAUUCAAGGCCUGGCACAAUGACAAGCCAUUCACACUUACGCAUUGUUGGAAGUUCGUCAACAAUUGCCCUAAGUUCAAAGAUCAAUACUGUGAACUUCAAAGAAAGAGAGGCAAGAAGACGGCCGCGUUGGUCGGAGGUGGAGAUGGUGAGGCGUUGAAGAGGCCGAGGGGUAAGACCAACUCCAAGAUGGACGACAUACGUGAUGCGUCAUCCAUGGCCUUGCAUUAGACUUUGCACGCCAUGAUGUCUCAAAAGGAUGUGAAAGACGAGAAAAGGCGACAAAGCAAGGAGGAGCAAAUGAAGCAAUACCUGAAGCUUCAAAUAAAGAAGCUUGAGAUGGAGGAAGCGGCCAAGAAGAGGAAGAUCGACAUGGAGGAGGCGUCCCGGCAGAGACAACUCGACAUCGAAGCCGCCAAUGCCUCGGCCAGGCAGAGGCAGCUCGACAUCGAGGCCGCCAAUGCCGCAACCAAAGCAAAGGAGGUGACGCUAGCGAUCAUGAGCAUGGACUUGAGCAAGAUGACCGAGAAGACGAGGAGCUAGUUCGAGGCCCGGAAGAAGGAGAUGUUCGACGCGGCGGCCUGAACUAGGUGAUCUAUUCGGCCGUGGCCGUUCUUUUUGGAGGCUGGCAUGGGUGCCGGGCGUUGACUUUGUGCCGGCGAGAAACCUAUUCAUUUUGAAGGUUGGUUGUGUUGCCGGCGACAAAACUAUUCAUUUUGGAGGCUGGUUGUGUUGCCGGCGAGGUUGUGUAGGCGGGUUGUGUUGCCGGCGUGAACUAGGGCCGCUGGCAUGAACUAUGUGCGUGGUUUAUUCGAAAUUUUACAUUUGAAAAAGAAGGCGGACAGGAUGCGGCCAAAGGAUGCGUUCGCGCGUUGUGCACAAGGCCCCCGCAUCUCAGAUAUAGCCCGAACACGAUCCCAUUGCCCGCGCCAAACGGACAAAAUCCGGACCAAACGAACGUCCGUUUAGGGUCAUACGCAGGAGUUGGCCUCACCACCCACGAGCCGAUGAAGCCUCCGGCCCCGGUGACGCAGACCAGCUCCUGCUCCGGCCGCCGCUGCUUCAUCUCGCCGUUGUCGGUGGCCUUGUUAAUCGACGGCAUGGUGAAUCGGUGUUUGAUGACCAGGGUGGUCGAUCAAUAUGUGGAUGUUGAAGCAAGAUUGCUAGUCGGCUAACUGCACGGGCUAGCUAGUACAGUAGUACUGUACCAAACUGCCUUUGCUUGCUGCUUGCUGUUGAUGAUGAUCUGUAGGUCGAGCUUGUGUGUUCUGUAUCCGGUUAACGUGCUCCACUAUUUAUACUGGAAAGCAAGCGCGAAACAACACAACGAGACUGUGUGUUUGCGAGGCAGGUCUGGCACGAGAUGGGCUUGAGGACAGGGGUGCAUGACAUAGAGCCACUCCAGGAUGAAUCUUUGAGCGCCUGGUGCUUGAGGCAGGACCAAUGUCCGGCACAUUGCAGAUCUUUCAGGGCUAAAUGCAUCCUGGUCUUAUAGAUAAUUUGGAAGUAUCGAAAUGACAUCGUGUUCAACGGGGCAUCGGUAUCUCUGCCACGAGUCAAGGAGCGGCUCCAGGACGAAGGGAAGCUUUGGGCCAAGGCUGGACUGUUCAAGGAGGACACUAAAGGUUUUGAGGAGCACGGUAGUAGGCAGACGGAGCGUGAGUAGUACGCCCUAGUGUACUGGCGGAGUUCAGGCGUGUGCCAUGUAAAUAUUAUAGCCCGUGUGGAUGCUUGGGAGUCUUUCCCAUCCUCUCUUUAAUGAAUGAUACGCACACUCGUGCGUAUUUAAAAAAAAAAACACAACGACACUGCGGUGCAAUACUACCUGGACUGGACUGGAGUGCGUGAGCGGAAAGGUAAGGGGAGGCUCGUCUCCCGGCUGCAGCUCGUUUUGUUUAUGGAGUGAUGCAGCCAUCCAGCGACUGAAUAUUCAGCGGCGUGACCCGACGGGUGGGUUUGGGGCUCAGCCGACAUAGGACUAGGAGCACGGCAGAUUCCGUUUCCGCGAAGCGAAUCCUUCGUGAUGCCAUGGAAAGGUCCACGACCUUGCGCGUCAUCGUCGCAUGACAAAAGCUAUGAUGGUUUUCUCCGUGCUGCAUAUACCAUUGAAAUGUCUUGGAUUUGAGUUGACUUCCCUUCAGGUAAAGGUGUCUCGUAAUGGGUCUAACUUUAUUAACUCUUUAAAGUCGAAUAUUGUCUUUGGAGGCCGAGCUCCAUGUAACUCGGUUUUGAAAAUUUUGAAUUUUAUCAAAUUUCAUAUUUCUUACAUUUCAAAAAUUUCUGUAAAAAACACAUGUAUACAUGAAGGCUUAACACACAUGUGUGUAAAUUUUCAGGGCAAAAUACGUUGAAACGAAGGCUGUGCAAAAAAGAAAAAUCUGAUACUUUUUAACACAUGAUACUAUUUAUCCUCCCAGGCUAUGAAUUUGUCUUUUUUUGUACAGAUCGCAUUUCAAUAUUUGUCUUUUUAACACAUGAUAUUUUUCAGAUUUUUUCGAAACCGAAAAAAUUGAAUUUUGAUUUGUUUUCAAAAGAAGGCCUCCACGGAGGCCAAGAGCCAAACGUCUGUUCUCCUUUAAAGUGUCCUUUGUUUGCUGAAAGAACCACUGAAGAAGCUAUCUGCAGCCUAAGAUAUAAGCUUCUGAAAUGAAAUUGUGAGUGCCGUCAUCUAUGAGGUACACGAGGAAAUCAUCAACAAAAGACUUUGUAGUCAUCUGUCUCUUGCUAUUAACAUACUUUGCCUCAGUUUCCAAAAAAAGGGGUUUACACUUGCAGAAAGACACAAUUCUUUGAUGAAUCCCAAAAAAUCCCAACUCCUUCUCCAGAAGAGGUCCUCUUCUUCUCCUCCUGCUUUGCUCUGUUUAUCAUUUUGAACCAAAAUGACAUCAUCAUCAUUCAUUACAUAAAUAGUACUCUCUAAGUUUACAAAUACAAAGUGUUUUGAAUAUUUCAAUAUGGACCAUAUACGGACUAAAAUUAGUGAACAAACACAUUAAAAUUUGUCUAUAUACAUCCGAUUCAUCAAAAAAAUUGAACAUCUUAAAUUUGUGACAGGAGGAAGUAAUAUUUACAUGAUACAUUUUAUACUUAUAGAAAUAUACAAUUCCAUGUUGAAUCUAAAAAUCUUGGUUUCUUGUUAAUCUUCUUCUUUCGUUCCUCUUUGCACUGUUUAUUUCAUCAGAUAGACUUGUCCCUUGUUCUGUUAGGGCAUCUCCAGCCGCGCCCACAACAGGCCCCCCCCCACCACUUUUUCGGCGCCGGCGCCGAAAAAACAGCCCAGUCGCGCCCCCAGGAUGCCGAAAAUCGCCGGUUCGGACCCUUUUUCCGCCCGGCGGUCACAGGCCGAACCCGGCGCGCUGGGGGGCAGUUGGGGGCUUCGGCGCUAGCGAAAAGUGAAGGAAAUAUGCCCUAGAGGCAAUAAUAAAGUUAUUAUUUAUUUCCUUAUUUCAUGAUAAAUGUUUAUUAUUCAUGCUAAAAUUGUAUUAACCGGAAACAUAAUACAUGUGUGAAUACAUAGACAAACAAAGUGUCACUAGUAUGCCUCUACUUGACUAGCUUGUUAAUCAAAGAUGGUUAUGUUUCCUAACCAUAGACAUGUGUUGUCAUUUGAUUAACGGGAUCACAUCAUUAGGAGAAUGAUGUGAUUGACAUGACCCAUUCCAUUAGCUUAGCACCCGAUCGUCUAAUAUGUUGCUAUUGCUUUCUUCAUGACUUAUACAUGUUCCUAUGACUAUGAGAUUAUGCAACUCCCAUUUGCCGGAGGAACACUUUGUGUGCUACCAAACGUCACAACGUAACUGGGUGAUUAUAAAGGAGCUCUACAGGUGUCUCCAAAGGUACUUGUUGGGUUGGCGUAUUUCGAGAUUAGGAUUUGUCACUCCGAAUGUCGGAGAGGUAUCUCUGAACCCUCUCGGUAAUGCACAUCACAUAAGCCUUGCAAGCAUUACAACUAAUGUGUUAGUUGUGAGAUGAUGUAUUAUGGAACGAGUAAAGAGACUUGCCGAUAACGAGAUUGAACUAGGUAUUGGAUACCGAAGAUCGAAUCUCGGGCAAGUAACAUACCGAUGACAAAGGGAAUAACGUAUGUUGUUAUGCGCUCUGACCGAUAAAGAUCUUCGUAGAAUAUGUAGGAGCCAAUAUGGGCAUCCAGGUCCCGCUAUUGGUUAUUGACCAGAGACGUAUCUCGAUCAUGUCUACAUUGUUCUCGAACCAUAGGGUCCGCACGCUUAACGUUACGAUGACAGUUAUUAUGAGUUUAUGUAUUUUGAUGUACCGAAGGUUGUUCGAAGUCCCGGAUGUGAUCAUGGACAUGACGAGGAGUCUCGAAAUGGUCGAGACAUAAAGAUCGAUAUAUUGGACGACUAUAUUCGGACACCGGAAUUGUUCCGGGUGAUUUCGGAUAAAACCGGAGUGCCGGAGGGGUUACCGGAACCCCCCGCGGAAGUAAUGGGCCUUAUUGGGCCUGAGGGGAGAGAGAGGGCAGCAGCCCAGGAGGUGGCGCGCCCCCCCUCAUGGGGAGUCCGAAUAGGACUAGGAGGGGGGGGGGGGCGGCCCCCUUUCCCUCUCCCUCUCCCUCUCUUUCCUUCCCCCUCCCUAUUCCUAGUUCGACUAGGAAAGAGGAGUCCUACUCCCACUAGGAGGAGGACUCCCCCCUCUCCUUGGCGCACCCAAGGGCCGGCCGGCCUCCCCCUUGCUCCUUUAUAUACGGGGGCAGGGGGGCACCCUAGGACACACAAGUUGAUCUUCGUGAUCGUUCCUUAACCGUGUGCGGUGCCCCCCUCCACGAUAUUACACCUUGAUCAUAUUGUAGCGGUGCUUAGGCGAAGCCCUGUGACGGUUAAACAUCAAGAUCGUCACCAUGCCGUCGUGCUGACGAAACUCCUCCCCGAAGCUUUGCUGGAUCGGAGCCCGGGGUGCGUCAUCGAGCUGUACGUGUGUCAAGAACUCGGAGGUGCCGGAGUAACGGUGCUUGGGUCGGUUGGACGGGGAAGACGUACGACUACUUCCUCUACGUUGCGUCAACGCUUCCGCUUCGGUCUACGAGGGUACGUAGACAACACUCUCCCCUCUCGUUGCUAUGCAUCACCAUGAUCUUGCGUGUGCGUAGGAAUUUUUUUGAAAUUACUACGUUACCCAACAGUGGCAUCCGAGCCUAGGUUUUAUGGUUUGAUGUUAUAUGCACGAGUAGAACACAAGUGAGUUGUGGGCGAUAUAAGUCAUACUACCUACCAGCAUGUCAUACUUUGGUUCGGCGGUAUUGUUGGAUGAAGCGGCCCGGACCGACAUUACGCGUACGCUUACGCGAGACCGGUUCUCCCGACGUGCUUUGCACAUAGGUGGCUUGCGGGUGACUAUUUCUCCAACUUUAGUUGAACCGAGUGUGACUACGCCCGGUCCUUGCGAAGGUUAAAACGGCAUCAACUUGACAAACUAUCGUUGUGGUUUUGAUGCGUAGGUAAGAUUGGUUCUUGCUUAAGCCCGUAGCAGCCACGUAAAACUUGCAACAACAAAGUAGAGGACGUCUAACUUGUUUUUGUAGGGCAUGUUGUGAUGUGAUAUGGUCAAGACAUGAUGCUUAUUGUAUGAGAUGAUCAUGUUUUGUAACCAAGUUAUCGGCAACUGGCAGGAGCCAUAUGAUUGUCGCUUUAUUGUAUGCAAUACAAUUGCGCUGUAAUGCUUUACUUUAUCACUAAGCGGUAGCGAUAGUCGUGGAAGCAUAAGAUUGGCGAGACGACAACGAUGCUACGAUGGAGAUCAAGGUGUCGCGUCGGUGACGAUGGUGAUCAUGACGGUUCUUCGAAGAUGGAGAUCACAAGCACAAGAUGAUGGUGGCCAUAUCAUAUCACUUAUAUUGAUUGCAUGUGAUGUUUAUCUUUUAUGCAUCUUAUCUUGCUUUGAUUGACGGUGGCAUUUUAAGAUGAUCUCUCACUAAUUAUCAAGAAGUGUUCUCCCUGAGUAUGCACCGUUGCAAAAGUUCUUCGUGCUGAGACACCACGUGAUGAUCGGGUGUGAUAGGCUCUACGUUCAAAUACAACGGGUGCAAAACAGUUGCACACGCGGAAUACUCAGGUUAUACUUGACGAGCCAAGCAUAUACAGGUAUGGCCUCGGAACACGGAGACCGAAAGGUCGAGCGUGAAUUGAAUCAUAUAGUAGAUAUGAUCAACAUGGUGAUGUUCACCAAUGAAACUGCUCCAUCUCACGUGAUGAUCGGACAUGGUUUAGUUGAUUUGGAUCACGUGAUCACUUAGAGGAUUAGAGGGAUGUCUAUCUAAGUGGGAGUUCUUAAGUAAUAUGAUUAAUUGAACUUAAAUUUAUCAUGAACUUAGUCCUGGUAGUAUUUUGCAAAUAAUGUUGUAAAUCAAUAGCUCGCGUUGUUGCUUCCCUGUGUUUAUUUUGAUAUGUUCCUAGAGAAAAUUGUGUUGAAAGAUGUUAGUAGCAAUGAUGCGGAUUGGAUCCGUGAUCUGAUGUUUAUCCUCAUUGCUGCACAGAAAAAUUAUGUCCUUGAUGCACCGCUAGGUGACGGACCUAUUGCAGGAGCAGAUGCAUACGCUAUGAACAUUUGGCUAGCUCAAUAUGAUGACUAAUUGAUAGUUUAGUGCACCAUGCUUAAUGGCUUAGAAUCAGGACUUCAAAGACGUUUUGAACACCAUGGAACAUAUGAGAUGUUCCAGGAGUUGAAGUUAAUAUUUCAAGCAAAUAACCGAGUUGAGAGAUAUGAAGUCUCCAACAAGUUCUAUAGCUAAAAGAUGGAGGAGAAUCGCUCAACUAGUGAGCAUGUGCCCAGAUUGUCUGAGUACUACAAUCGCUUGAAUCAAGUGGGAGUUAAUCUUCCAGAUAAGAUAGUGAUUGACAGAAUUCUCUAGUCACCAUCACCAAGUUAGUAGAACUUUUUGAUGAACUAUGAUAUGCAAGGGAUAACAGAAACGAUUCCCAAGCUCUUCGUAAUGCAGAAAUUGAUGAAGGUAGAAAUCAAGAAAAACAUCAAGUGUUGAUGGUAGACAAGACCACUAGUUUCAAGAAAAGGGCAGAGGGAAGAAGGGGAACUUCAAAAAGAACAGCAAGUAAGUUGCUGCUCAAGUGAAGAAGCCCAAGUCUGAUCCUAAGCCUGAGACUAAGUGCUUCUACUGCAAAGGGACUGGUCACUAGAAGCGGAACUACCCCAAGUGAUUGGCAGAUAAGAAGGAUGGCAAAGUGAACAUAAGUAUAUUUGAUAUACAUGUUAUUGAUGUGUACUUUACUAGUGUUUAUAGCAACCCCUCAGUAUUUGAUACUAGUUCAGUUGCUAAGAUUAGUAACUUGAAACGGGAGUUGCAGAAUAAAGACUAGUUAAGGGGGAAGUGACGAUGUGUGUUGGAAGUGGUUCCAAGAUUGAUAUGAUCAUCAUCGCACACUCCCCUAUACUUUCGGGAUUAGUGUUGAACCUAAAUAAGUGUUAUUUGGUGUUUGCGUUGAGCAUGAAUAUGAUUUGAUCAUGUUUAUUGCAAUACGGUUAUUCAUUUAAGUAACAGAAUAAAUUGUUGUUCUAUUUACAUGAAUAAAACCUUAUAUGGUUACACACCCAAUGAAAAUGGUUCGUUGGAUCUCGAUCAUAGUGAUACACAUAUUCAUAAUAUUGAAACCAAAAGAUGCAAAGUUAAUAAUGAUAGUGCAACUUAUUUGUGGCACUCCCGUUUAUGUCAUAUUGGUGUAAAGUGCAUGAAGAAACUCCAUGCUGAUGGGCUUAUGGAAUCACUUGAUUAUGAAUCACUUGAUGCUUGCGAACCAUGCCUCAUGGGCAAGAUGACUAAGACUCCGUUCUCCGGAACAAUGGAGCGAGCAACUGACUUAUUGGAAAUAAUACAUGCUGAUGUAUGCAAUCCGAUGAGUGUUAAGGCUCGCGGCGGGUAUCGUUAUUUUCUGACCUUCACAGAUGAUUUGAGCAGAUAUGGGUAUAUCUACUUGAUGAAACAUAAGUCUGAAACAUUUGAAAAGUUCAAAGAAAUUCAGAGUGAAGUGGAAAAUCAUCGUGACAAGAAAAUAAGGUUUUUACGAUCUGAUCGUGGAGACAAAUAUUUGAGUUAUGAGUCUGGUCUUCAAUUAAAACAAUGUGGAAUAGUUUCACAAACUCAUGCCACCUGGAACACCACAGCAUAAUGGUGUGUCCGAACAUCAUAACCGUACUUUAUUGGAUAUAGUACAAUCUAUGAUGUUUCUUAUCGAUUUACCAAUAUCGUUUUGGGAUCAUGCAUUAGAGACAGCUGCAUUCACGUUAAAAAGGGGCACCAUCUAAGUCCGUUGAGACGACACAAUAUGAACUAUGGUUUGGCAAGAAACCAAAGUUGUCGUUUCUUAAAGUUUGGGGUUGCGAUUCUUAUAAGAAAAAGUUUCAUCAUGAUAAGCUCAAACCCAAAUCGGAGAAAUGUGUCUUCAUAGGAUACCCAAAGGAGACAGAUGGGUACACCUUGUAUCACAGAUCCAAAGGCAAGACAUUCGUUGGUGAGAAUGGAUACUUUCUAGAGAAGGAGUUUCUCUCGAAAGAAGUGAGUGGGAGGAAAGUAGAACUUGAUGAGGUAACUAUACAUGCUCCCUUAUUGGAAAGUAGUUCAUCACAGAAACCGGUUUCUGUGACACCUGCACCAAUUAGUGAGGAAGUUGAUGAUGAUGAUCAUGUAACUUCGGAUCAAGUUACUACCAAACCUCGUAGGGCAACCAGAAUGAGAUCCGCACUAGAGUGGUACGGUAAUCCUAUUCUAGAGGUCAUGUUACUUGACCAUGACGAACCUACAAACUAUGAGGAAGCGAUGAUGAGCCCAGAUUCCGAUAAAUGGCUUGAGGCCAUGAAAUCUGAGAUAGGAUCCAUGUAUGAGAACAAAGUGUGGACUUUGGUGGACUUCCCCGAUGAUCGAAUAGCCAUUGAUAAUAAAUGGAUCUUCAAGAGGAAGACGGACACUGAUAGUAGUGUUACUAUCUACAAAGCUAGAAUUGUCGCAAAAGUUUUCGACAAGUUCAAGGUGUUGACUAUGAUGAGAGUUCCUCACUCGUAUCUAUGCUUAAGUCUGUCCGAAUCAUGUUAGCAAUUGCCGCAUUUUAUGAAAUCUGGCAAAUGGAUAAACAAAACUGCAUUCCUUAAUGGAUUUAUUAAAGAAGAGUUGUAUGUGAUGCAACAAGAAGGUUUUGUCAAUCCGAAAGAUACUAACAAAAUAUGCAAGCUCCAGCGAUCCAUUUAUGGACUGGUGCAAGCAUCUCGGAGUUGGAAUAUACGCUUUGAUAAGUUGAUCAAAGCAUAUAGUUUUAUACAGACUUGCGGUGAAGCCUGUAUUUACUAGAAAGUGAGUGGGAGCACUACAACAUUUCUGAUAAGUAUAUGUGAAUGACAUAUUGUUGAUCAGAGAUAAUGUAGAAUUAUUCUGCAAAGCAUAAAGGAGUGUUUGAAAGGAGUUUUUCAAAGAAAGACCUCGGUGAAGCUUCUUACAUAUUGAGCAUCAAAGAUCUAUGGAGAUAGAUCAAGACGCUUGAUAAGUUUUUUCAAUGAGUCCAUACCUUGACAAGAUUUUGAAGUAGUUCAAAAUGGAACAGUCAAAGAAAGAGUUCUUUCCUGUGUUACAAGGGGUGAAAUUGAGUAAGACUCAAAGCCCGACCACGGCAGAAGAUAGAAAGAGAAUGAAAGUCAUUCCCUAUGCCUUGGCCAUAGGUUCUAUAAAGUAUGCCAUGCUGUGUACCAGAUCUAUUGUAUACCCUACACUGAUUUUGGCAAGGGAGUACAAUAGUGAUCUAGGAGUAGAUCACUGGACAGUGGUCAAAAUUAUCCUUAGUGGAAUAAGGAUAUGUUUCUCGAUUAUGGAGGUGACAAAAAAAAGGUUCGUCGUAAAGGGUUACAUCGAUGCAAGUUUUGACACUAAUCUAGCUGACUCUAAGUCUCGAUCUAGAUACAUAUUGAAAGUGGGAGCAAUUAGCUAGAGUAGCUCCGUGCAGAGCAUUGUUGAUAUAGAUAUUUGCAAAAUACUUACGGAUCUGAAUAUGACAGACCCGUUGACUAAAAUUAUCUCACAAACAAAACAUGAUCACACCUUAGUACUCUUUGGGUGUUAAUCACAUAGAGAUGUGAACUAGAUUACUGACUCUAGUAAACCCUUUGAGUGUUGGUCACAUGAUGAUGUGAACUAUGGGUGUUAAUCACAUGAUGAUGUGAACUAUUGCAAUUAAAUCACAUGGCGAUGUGAACUAGAUUAUUGACUCUAGUGCAAGUGGGAGACUGAAGGAAAUAUGACCUAGAGGCAAUAAUAAAGUUAUUAUUUAUUUCCUUAUUUCAUGAUAAAUGUUUAUUAUUCAUGCUAAAAUUGUAUUAACCGGAAACGUAAUACAUGUGUGAAUACAUAGACAAACAAAGUGUCACUAGUAUGCCUCUACUUGACUAGAUCGUUAAUCAAAGAUGGUUAUGUUUCCUAACCAUAGACAUGUGUUGUCAUUUGAUUAACGGGAUCACAUCAUUAGGAGAGUGAUGUGAUUGACAUGACCCAUUCCAUUAGCUUAGCACCCGAUCGUUUAGUAUGUUGCUAUUGCUUUCUUCAUGACUUAUACAUGUUCCUAUGACUAUGAGAUUAUGCAACUCCCGUUUGCCGGAGGAACACUUUGUGUGCUACCAAACGUCACAACGUAACUGGGUGAUUAUAAAGGAGCUCUACAGGUGUCUCCAAAGGUACUUGUUGGGUUGGCGUAUUUCGAGAUUAGGAUUUGUCACUCCGAAUGUCGGAGAGGUAUCUCUGGGCCCUCUCGGUAAUGCACAUCACAUAAGCCUUGCAAGCAUUACAACUAAUGUGUUAGUUGUGAGAUGAUGUAUUACGGAACGAGUAAAGAGACUUGCCGAUAACGAGAUUGAACUAGGUAUUGGAUACCGAAGAUCGAAUCUCGGGCAAGUAACAUACCGAUGACAAAGGGAACAACGUAUGUUGUUAUGCGCUCUGACCGAUAAAGAUCUUCGUAGAAUAUGUAGGAGCCAAUAUGGGCAUCUAGGUCCCGCUAUUGGUUAUUGACCGGAGAUGUAUCUCGAUCAUGUCUACAUUGUUCUCGAACCGUAGGGUCCGCACGCUUAACGUUACGAUGACAGUUAUUAUGAGUUUAUGUAUUUUGAUGUACCGAAGGUUGUUCGAAGUCCCGGAUGUGACCAUGGACAUGACGAGGAGUCUCGAAAUGGUCGAGACAUAAAGAUCGAUAUAUUGGACGACUAUAUUCGGACACCGGAAUUGUUCCGGGUGAUUUCGGAUAAAACCGGAGUGCCGGAGGGGUUACCGGAACCCCCCGGGGAAGUAAUGGGCCUUAUUGGGCCUGAGGGGAGAGAGAGGGCAGCAGCCCAGGAGGUGGCGCGCCCCCCUUAUGGGGAGUCCGAAUAGGACUAGGGGGGGGGGGCGGGCCCCCUUUCCCUCUCCCUCUCCCUCUCUUUCCUUCCCCCUCCCUAUUCCUAGUUGGACUAGGAAAGGGGAGUCCUACUCCCACUAGGAGGAGGACACCCCCCUCUCCUUGGCGCACCCAAGGGCCGGCCAGCCUCCCCCUUGCUCCUUUAUAUACGGGGGCAGGGGGGCACCCUAGGACACACAAGUUGAUCUUCGUGAUCAUUCCUUAGCCGUGUGUGGUGCCCCCUCCACGAUAUUACACCUCGAUCAUAUUGUAGCGUUUCUUAGGCGAAUCCCUGCGACGGUUAAACAUCAAGAUCGUCACCACGCCGUCGUGCUAACGAAACUCCUCCCCGAAGCUUUGCUGGAUCGGAGCCCAGGGUGCGUCAUCGAGCUGUACGUGUGUCAAGAACUCGGAGGUGCCGGAGUAACGGUGCUUGGAUCGGUUGGACCGGGAAGACGUACGACUACUUCCUCUACGUUGCGUCAACGCUUUCGCUUUGGUCUACGAGGGUACGUAGACAACACUCUCCCCUCUCGUUGCUAUGCAUCACCAUGAUCUUGCGUGUGCGUAGGAAUUUUUUUGAAAUUACUACGUUACCCAACAAAAAGCACGCCUGGCCCACACCGAGAGGGGAAAAGUCAAGGUUUUCUUCCCCCGACUCGCCUCGCACCCCUCGCGCCCUCGGCCACCACUAGCUAUAUCCCGGCGACGGCCGCCGCCCUACUCCGCUAGAUAGCCAUUCCCCGCCGGAAAAUAGCAGCGCUUCACCGCGGCAGCCCCUCCCACAGCAGCUGGGCGUUUCUGGCCGCCGUUUCCGGCCGCGGAGGCGCGGUUUAGCGGCGGGUACACGCCCACCGAGCGCAAGGUGUUCGGCGUUUUGCCUGACUAGGCAAUGGACUCGGAUGACGAGGAAGAGCUCGCCGCGCUGCUGCAGGAGGAAGCCGCGGCCGACGUCCAGGAAGAAGAGCAUCUCAUGGUGCUCGCCGCCCUCGCCCAGCUGCUGGCGAGCAAUGAAAAGCCGCGGCAAGGUGGCUCGGCGCCGGGGCGGGUGAAAGCAAAGAAUCGGCAUCGUCUCGAAGGCUACUGCAUGUUCUACUCCGACUACUUCGCCGAUGCUCCAGUUCAUGGCGGGAAAACAUUUCGGCGCCGUUAUCGGAUGAGCCGAAAGCUCUUCCUCAGGAUUGUGAAUUCCAUCUGGGAGUUCGACAACUACUUCAAGUGCAAGAUGGAUUGGACUGGCGCUCUUGGAUUCACAUCCAUCCAGAAGUGCAUGACAGCGAUGAGGAUGCUUGCAUAUGGAGCUCCCAGUGAUUCACUCAACGACUAUGGGCGCAUGGCUGAGUCCACCAUCAUAGAGUGUUUCUACAAGUUCUGUCGGGCAGUGGUGGCAGUGUUUGGGCCACAAUACUUGAGAACACCCAAUGCGGAAGACACUGCUCGGAUCCUAGCCUAGAAUGCAGCAAGAGGAUUUCCUGGGAUGCUUGGAAGCAUCGACUGCAUGCAUUGGAAAUGGAAGAAUUACCCAUUUGGUUGGCAGGGGAUGUACAAAGGCGCCAAAGGCGGUUGCAGUGUGGUGCUUGAGGCGGUAGCCACACAGGACCUCUGGAUUUGGCACUCGUUCUUUGGUAUGCCAGGAACUCACAAUGACAUCAACGUGCUGUAGUGCUCUCCUGUUUUUGCCAAGCUCGUUGAGGGCAAUUCUCCUUCGGUGAACUUCGAGAUCAAUGGGCACCAAUACAACAAGGGGUACUACCUAGCAGAUGGCAUCUAUCCGAGAUGGUCGACAUUUGUGAAGACGAUCUCAAACCCUGCGGCAGGAGGCAAGAACGCCUGGUUUGCGAAAGUUCAUGAGGCUUGCAGGAAGGAUGUCGAGCGGGCAUUUGGUGUGCUCCAAUCUCGAUUCGCUGUUGUUCGGUACCCCGCUCAGACCUGGUCCAAAGAUCAAAUGUGGGAGAUUAUGACUUGCUGUGUCAUCUUGCACAACAUGAUCAUCGAGAGCGAGCAAGAAGAGCCAGUGUUUGACACUGAACCAUACUACAGGCAGGGGCCUCUAGCUGAAGUUGAUCACAAUCUACCGGCAACUUGGACUGCCUAUCUCAGUAUGCGUCAGGAGAUCCGAGACCCACAGGUGCAUCAUCAACUGCAGAAAGAUCUGAUUGAGCACCUAUGGAGGCUCAAGGGGGACGCCGUGUGAUGAAAUACGAGUUUUUAUUUGUUGAACUAUAUAAUUUGUAUUGAACUAUUUGUUGUUGUACUAUUUUGUUGAAGUAUUUGAUUUUUCUGUGAUGAAAUAUGUGAUAAGAAAUAAUUGUGUUGAUAAUUGAACGCCGAGACACGGCGAAACCACGCCGAAUAUGGGCCUAUUAUCGCCCACAUGGGCCCUUUAUUCGCCGAAAUUAGGCUGCAAAGUGGGCCAAUUUCGGCGCCUGGGGACGACGACUGGGCGCAAAACCGCCCCCAGCGCCGAUUGUAUCGCCGGCUCGCCCCCAGGGGGCGAUUUUUAUGCGUCCUGGGGGGGGGGGCAAUGGCUGGAGAUGCCCUUACAAGUAGGCACACUUUGGCGCCAGGGGAUCAACGGGCAGAGGCAGGUGGCCCUUUUUCUGCAAGCACGUCACCCUCUCGUACAAACUUUCCCUCACUGGAGUGAACUCCAAUCCCAGGUCCGUGAGCCUCCGGUUGGAGAACUUGUAGGGCUUCGCCAUUGGCUUGCCAUCGUCUUCACACCUGCCAUGCCACCCCAACAAAAUCCACCAUGAGCAACCAAUCAAAUAGGUUGAAAUAUAAGGUCAAUCGAUAUGGCCAUCAAUUAUCAUAUGUACUUGGCGGUGAUGUGGUACUGCGAAAAGAGCUCGCUGAGGAGCUGGAGGAAGUGUGUGCGAUGCAGCACAGCGCCGAUGCAGAGGUAGCGGCCGCAAGCCUCGGGAUGCUCAUAGACAAGGACGUGGGCGUGGGUGACGUCGUGGACGUCGGUGUAGGUGGCGACGGCGUUGGGGUAGGUGGGCUCGGCGCCGGUGAGGUAGCGGGCUACGUGGUUGCUGCUGAAGUUGAGCGCCGGCUGUAGCAUGGGGCCCAUGGUCAUGGACGGCACCACCACCGCCAGCUCCAACCCCCUCUUGGCUGCCUCCUCCGUCGCCGUGAUCUCCGCCAUCAUCUUCGCGCAACAGCAGUGGCGGAGCUUGGGCCAAAAUUCUGGAGGGGCAAUGGGCUGAGGGGGGGCUAAAUUAUGAGGUCUGGCCUUAUUUUCCUAUUCUUAUGGCCCAAAUACCUAGGGGUAGUGAGGGAUUUCUUCAUGGGCUGGGGGGGCGGUGGCCCAGGUUGCACUCCAAGAAGCUCCGCCACUGCGCAACAGUACACGUUCUGCAAUGCACACGGAGAUUAGUAAGUUCAGUUCAGUCGUGACGGGCAGAGCAGAGGAUCCAGGGGGAAAUGAGCUUGUUCUUACGCCUGUGCUUUUGCAGAAGUCAUAGUCACUCCAACAGGUCUCGUCGAGCACGGUGUCGGGGCUGCGGUUAGGGUCCAUGUGCACGGCGCCGUAGGACGACGUGAACACCACACGCCGCACGUCGGCGUCCGCGGCCGCGCUGAUCACGUUCCUGGUGCCCUCUACGGUGACCGGCACGAGGUCCUGCAAAACCAGCAGCACAUGUAGAUGUAGCAGGUAAGUACGCGGCCCUUGCAGAAAGCCCGAAACUUCGAGAAGUAAGCAGAGUAGAGGAAGUGAACUGGCGGGGUCGUUGGAUACUGACGAGGCAACGUGGAAGACGCCCUUGCAGCCGCGGAAGGCGGCGCGGAGGCCGUCGUAGUCGAGGACAUUGGCGCGGCACAGGGUGAGCCUCUCAUGGGCACCCUGCAGGGCCAGCAGCUGUGCGUUCUUGCGGUCAGAUGCAGAAACCACUCCAGCAUUAGAUGUGCUACAGAAUUGAGCAAGAUCGAUCAUGGAGCAACGCACGGUGUAAGUAAACUAUGACUUACCGAGGUCCCUGGCAGUUCCCCUGACGCGGUAGCCACGGAGGAGGAGCUCCUUCACCACCCACGAGCCGAUGAAGCCUCCCGCGCCCGUGACGCAGACCAGCUCCUGCUCCGGCUGCCUCUGCUUUAGCUCACCGUUGUCGGUGGCCUUGUCAAUCGACGGCAUAGUGGAUUAGUGUCUGGUGACCACGGUGGUCAGCCGAUGUGUGGAUGCAAGCUUGCUUCUUAGAGCAUUUCUAGCCGUUCGCCCCCAGGGCGCCGAAAAAGAGCCGCCGCGAGAUUGGCUUCUGAGGGCGACCUAGCUUCCAGUCGUCAGCCCACAGGUCGUCCCGGGUUCGGCGACGUUUCGUACAAAAUAUAUGAAAACUCGACGAUUUUUGCAUGAACUCGGCGAAACUUCAUUUAAAUUUGUACAAAAAACACGAACACAUGCAAACUACGCCUGAACCAUACCAAACUACGCCUAGCCGCCACCGUCGUCGUCUACAUGCCAAGAAGCCUGUAGAAGCGGAUGUAGUCGCUGCCGUCGUCAUUGUCAUCGUCGUCGCGCGGCUGGCUUAGGACGGUGCCGUCCCUGCUGCAGCCCUGGCUCGAGUCGCCGAGGUGCGGUGGUGCGCUGGACGGCCCGGCCUCGCCCUCCUCGUUGCUGUCGAGGACGAUGACGCCGCCCUCCUCACGACCGCGGCAACGGGCCUGGAGCUCCGUGUACGUCCGGCGCUGGCGGCCUACCUGCUCCCAGACAUAGUCCUCCUUCGCCCACUUGAGUGCAGACUCGUCGUCGGGGGCCACCAUUUCGACGUGCUCCGGUUUCAUCGGGAGACCGAGAAGGCCUCGUGUGUGUUGCAGCCCAACACCCUUCCAAUUUGGCCCAAAACCUCUUCCAUCGUCUAGAGCGUUCGAUCACGAUCGCGUGGCCGAAAACCGUGCUCAAUUUGGAGACUCCUAGCUCCUCCUACCUCUAUAUAAAGGCCUCUCCCCAAAAUUCCCGGAUCUCUUCUUCCCCAAACCCUAAAAAUUCGCCUCGCGCCGCGCCGGACNNNNNNNNNNNNNNNNNNNNNNNNNNNNNNNNNNNNNNNNNNNNNNNNNNNNNNNNNNNNNNNNNNNNNNNNNNNNNNNNNNNNNNNNNNNNNNNNNNNNNNNNNNNNNNNNNNNNNNNNNNNNNNNNNNNNNNNNNNNNNNNNNNNNNNNNNNNNNNNNNNNNNNNNNNNNNNNNNNNNNNNNNNNNNNNNNNNNNNNNNNNNNNNNNNNNNNNNNNNNNNNNNNNNNNNNNNNNNNNNNNNNNNNNNNNNNNNNNNNNNNNNNNNNNNNNNNNNNNNNNNNNNNNNNNNNNNNNNNNNNNNNNNNNNNNNNNNNNNNNNNNNNNNNNNNNNNNNNNNNNNNNNNNNNNNNNNNNNNNNNNNNNNNNNNNNNNNNNNNNNNNNNNNNNNNNNNNNNNNNNNNNNNNNNNNNNNNNNNNNNNNNNNNNNNNNNNNNNNNNNNNNNNNNNNNNNNNNNNNNNNNNNNNNNNNNNNNNNNNNNNNNNNNNNNNNNNNNACAGCUUCGGCGCCGCUCGGCCUCCUCCGACUCCGGUGCCGCCUCGCCGCCCUCCUCGUCGCCCGCGCCGCCCGGCCUCGUACGACUCCGGCCGCCGCACCGCACUUCCUCUUCGGCGACAGCCCCGGCCGGUGAACCUCGAAGUACGUGCUCAAGCGAGAUCCAGAUCUGGAUCUGGAUCUUCACGGUUGACUUUUCCCCCUCCAAACCCUAGCUAAUUUGCAUUUUUCCGCAUGCCAUAACUCUGCAUCCGUAGCUCCAAUUUGUGUGUGUAGCAUAUCGGAAUGUUCGUCUCGACGAGUACAUCAUUUCAUCUCAUUGCAUAAUUUUUAUUUGAGCUCAUCUUGUUGCCCGAAAUGCUGUUGGAAGAGGGCUAUGUGAGGAAUUUGUCAGAUCUAUUUCAGCAAAUAGCCUUUUGUCAUUAUUGCCAUGAUUAAUGUGUGCAUGAUAUGAUCCUGAGCUCUAGAUGUGUUUUGUUAUAUGCCAUGCCAUCUUUACAGAGGUGCUUGCCAUGUAUUUUUGUGAUAUUUGUGGUGACUAGCACAAGCUUGCAAAGUAGCGUAAUCGGUAAUGCUGAUUUCAGGGACUUAUAAUUCCUCUAAGUCCUUGUCCUGAUUUUGUUGUUAUGCCAUAUGUUCAUGUUGUUUCCUAGUGAUCCGUGCCUCUUUUGAGGAUGAUCAGUAAGGAUGUUUUGUUAACAUUGUGGUGCUCCGUCCAUCCAUGUCCUUGUUUUCAUUUAUGGAGCAACCUAGCUUGAGUCAAUCGAGCUCUACUUUUGCUAUAAAUUGAUCCUGGCAGAUUGUUGACAUGUUUAGCGAUUUUGCCGAGGAUGUUGCUAUUGAUCCGUGCAAGCUAUGUUGUUGUUCUUUCCAUGUCUAGCUCCUAUGCCAUGUCUUCUUUAUGGGUGUAUGCUUAGUUUGUCAUGCAAUGCUCUGUAGUGAGUGCAUGGAGCUCGUAAACAUGCCUACUCGUUAACUGAUUUGCAUGCUCCAGUUUUUCACCAAGUCUGAAUUUGUUUAUGUUUUUGCCAUGUUCACAUGCUUGCAAUUGUAUUUUCUGAUCCCUUUUGGCUCAAGGUCACUAAGGGACUUUUGUUUAGUGCUUUGAGUAGCUUCAUGCCAUGCCUUGUUUUGCCAUGUUAAGUUCCUGUAGCAUGUAGUUUUCAUGCUCUAAAGUGUGCUUCCUGAUGAUAAAUUCUAGACUUGUGUUAAUUUCACAAAGUCUGAAACCUGUUAUCAUUUGCUUUUUUGCCAUGCUUGUUUGAACCUGUUAAUGGAUGAAUUAGCCGUAGCUCAGUGUUCAUCUUUUGUCAAGAUUUAUGAGUGGAUCCCUGCCAUGUAUCUUGUUGUCAUGUUUGAGUGAUGUAGCAUGUUUAUCUUGAUGCAUUUAGUUGGUCACUUGCUGAUUAUCGCGGACCAAUGCCAUAUUUGUUUUGCUUGCCAUUUCCAAACCGUGCAUCCGAUUCCGGUGAUCUUUAUAUCGAUUUCAACCGAAAUCACCUCACCUUUCCAGUGGCACUCUUGGAUUUCCAAGUUUGGGCCAGGUUUAAUCAUUCCUUGUCAAAUCUUGCAUAUGCAUCACAUAUCGCAUCGCGCAUAUCAUACCAUGUUUGCAUCAUGUUAUUUGAGCAUUGCACGUGGUUGAUUGUGCUCCCUUUGCUUGUCAUUCUUGUUUGGGUAGAGCCGGGAGACGAGUUCGUGAAUGAGGAGCCCAUUGAGUUCGCUUACGAGGAUCAAGGCAACUCUGAGAACUUUGCAGGCAAGAUGACCAUACCCUCGAAAUCACUUCUAUCUUUGCUUGCUAGAUGCUCGCUCUUUUGCUAUGCCUAUGCUACGAUACCUACCACUUGCUUAUCAUGCCUCCCAUAUGGCCAUGUCAAACCUCUAACCCACCUUGUCCUAGCAAACCAUUGUUUGGCUAUGUUACCGCUUUGCUCAGCCCCUCUUAUAGCGUUGCUAGUUGCAGGUGAAGAUUGGGAAUCGUUCCUUAUUGGAACAUUGUUUAUUAUUGGGAUAUCACUAUAUUAUCUUGUUUAUCUUAAUGCACCUAUAUACUUGGUAAAGGGUGGAAGGCUCGGCCUUAUGCCUGGUGUUUUGUUCCACUCUUGCCGCCCUAGUUUCCGUCAUAUCGGUGUUAUGUUUUUGGAUUUUGCGUUCCUUACACGGCUGGGUUAUAAUGGGAACCCCUUGACAGUUCGCCUUGAAUAAAACUCUUCCAGCAAUGCCCAACAUUGGUUUUACCAUUCGCCACCUAGCCUCUUUUUCCCUUGGGUUCCGCAGACUCAAGGGUCAUCUUUAUUUGAACCCCCGGGCCAGUGCUCCUCUGAGUGUUGGUCCAACCUGUCAGCUGCUGGUGGCCACCAGGGGCAACUCUGGGCUAGCCUACCAGAACCUUGGACAAUCCGGUGUGCCCUGAGAACGAGAUAUGUGUAGCUCCUAUCGGGAUUUGUCGGCACAUUCGGGUGGUUCUGCUGGUUUAGUUUUACCAUUGUCGAUGAUGUCUUGUAACCGGGAUGCCGAGCCUGAUCAGAUUGUCUUGCGAGAAGGAAUAUCCUUCUUUGACCAUGAGAGCUUGUGAUGGGCUAAGUUGGGACUCCCCUGCAGGGAUUUGAACUUUCGAAAGCCGUGCCCACGGUUAUGGGCAGAUGGGAAUUUGUUAAUGUCCGGUUGUAGAUAACAUGAAACUUAACUUAAUUAAAAUGAAUCAACCGCGUGUGUUACCAUGAUGGUCUCUUCUCGGCGGAGUCCGGGAAGUGAACACGGUGUUGGAGUAAUGCUUGACGUAGGUUGUUCUAGGAUCACUUCUUGAUCAUAGUUGUUCGACCAUGCUUUUUCCUUCUCUUCUCGCUCUCUUUUGCGAAUAGGUUAGCCACAAUAUAAUGCUAGUCGCUUGCUACAGCUCCACAUCAUACCUUACCUUACCUAUAAGCUUAAAUAGUCUUGAUCGCGAGGGUGUGGGAUUGCUGAGUCCCCGUGACGCACAGAUUCCUUCCUAAACCAGAUGCAGGGACAAAUGGUAUCGCUCCAGACGUUGCGCUUGAGCUCAAGUGGGAGUUCGAUGAAGACUCUCGUCGUUACUAUGUGUCUUUCCCAGAUGAUCAAUAGUGGUGCCCAGUUGGGGCGAUCGGGGACUUUGUCGCAUUUGGGGGUUGAUCUUUAUUUUGGUACCGUAGUCGGACCAUGAGUGUAUUGGAUGAAUGUAAUGCUAUUUAUGUAUUUGUGUGACGUGGCGAGUGUAAGCCAACUAUGUAUCUUUUCCCCUUUAUUUAUAUUACAUGGGUUGUUUGCGAAGAUUGCCUCACUUGCGACAUUGCUUUCAAUGCGGUUAUGCCUCUAAGUCGUGCUUCGACACUUAGGAGAUAUAGCCGCAUCGAGGGCGUUACAAGUUGGUAAUCAGAGCCUUCCCUGACCUUAGGAGCCCCCUGCUUGAUCGAAUCGUUGACGUUGUUGAGUCUAGAAAAAUGUUUUGAGUCAUUUAGGAUAAUAUAUAUCGGAGAGUUUAGGAAUUCUUUUUACUCCCCAGUCCCUUCAUCGCUCUGGUGAGGCACCCUGACAUAGAGUUUUGACUCUUCUCAAAUUUCACUAAAAAAAUUUAGGAUCACGCGGGUAUCUUGGAAUCGUUCUGAUGGUUUUGUGACGAGAACAUUGUUCUUGGUGCCUCCUGUCAUUUAGGGGUUGUGGCAGUGUUCCGGGGAGUUGAGCUCCGAGGUGUUGUCGUCACAAUUUUAUCGUUGAGAUUCUGGAAUACCUGAGUUUCGCCGACAUCGAAAAUCUCUUUUAUGCAGUUGUUGGUGAGAUAACCUCGACGCCACCCAGUACUGGGGCGGGAGUUCGGGAGUAUUGCCAUAACUUGUAUAACGGAUUCUUUUCGAAGGUUGAGGUAGAUGAUUUCCGAAGUUUUUCUCGGUUAUGUGUUGAAGGAUGGAUACAGCUGGAUGUAGGAUUUGCUAGAUUUGGGUGAGAUAUUAUGCUUCCCCUGUAUCCCCAACACCUGAUUGCAUAACCGGAAAGGUUCGAGAGUUUCAUAGGUGGGAAUUCUUGUAGCUCUAGUUCUUCUUCCGCGGAUAUUUGGAUUGGGAUUGGGUAAUCCUCACCAAGUAUUCGUUCUUGUCCAUACCUUGUUGGUUUUAUUCUUCUACCUCAAUUCUAAGUGGCUUCUCAAUUUAUGGAAAUGUGACCAUUUCAAUUGGAAUGCAUUCGUUCAUUUUGUUCGGAUGUGAAGACUUUAUGUUGGAAUUUCAACCCGUUUGAUUCAGCUUCAAUAUUUGUCUUUCAAGAUGCUAAUGGAUGUCACCCUCUUCAGGAUGGCUCCUCCAAUGCGCACGACUCUGAAUCCUAAUCCGCCACCACCACCUCCACCUCCGGAGGCAUGGCAAGCUGUGAUGGCCGCUACCAAUGAAAACACGCAGCUGAUCAUGCAACUUCUUCAAGAGCGCAACCAAGGGAACCAGGGCCAUGGCAACAAUCAGAAUCAGUUUGCUACACUCAACUAGUUCCUUGCCAACCAGCCAAAGACCUUCAGCAAUUGUGUUGAGGCAACAGACACUGAUGAUUGGCUCGUGGACAUAUGCAAGCAUUUCGAGUGCAGUAACAUCAGGCCUGAGGACUUUCUCAAGUUUGCCUCCUUCCAACUCAAAGACCAAGCUGUAGAAUGGUUUCAACAGUACAAAGAUUCCAGAGGAGGCCGUGUGAUUACCUGGAAUGAAUUCCGUCAAGACUUCAAAACUCAUCAUAUUCCUCAGAGUGUGGUUGAGAGCAAGCGUGAGGAAUUCCGCAACCUGAAGCAAGGCACUAUGUCUGUUUACCAGUACAACAUCAUGUUCCAGAAGGUCGCUCGUUUCGCCAAGCAAGACGUCCCUGACGAGAAGAGCGUGAUAUACCAGUUCAGGGGUGGUCUCAGAGAAGAACUCCAGCUAGCUCUCGUCCUCUUUGAGCCCAAGAAGUACGAUGAGUUUUACAACAUGGCAAUGAAGCAAGAGACUGCUCAACUGAAGUGCGAUGCUUCCAAGAAGCGAGUCAGAGAUGCAACUCCUUCUUCUUCAACUCAAGUGGCUAAGUAGCAAAAGUAUUGGCUUCCUCCUCCUCCGUUCCGCCAGCCUUAUCAGCAGAAGAGCAAAGGUGGCAGUGGAUCUUCCCACCCACCCAACCCUGGCUUUCAGAACAAGACUUCGUCUCAAGCUCCAAGAUCAAGUGCUCCGUAUCACCGUCUGCUUUCGGAGGUCAUGUGCAACAAGUACCAACAGAAGGGUCACUAUGCCAACAAAUGCUUCAAUCAGAGGCGUCUUCCUCCUCCUCCUCCUCUUGUGAGGUCUGCAAGUACAGCUGUGGUCAAGCAUAACCCCAAGUACGCCAAGGUCAACUUGAUGAAUGCAGCUCAGGCAGAGGACUCGUCAGAUGUCAUCAUGGGUAACCUUCCUGUUAACGAUAUUCCUGCAAAAGUUCUUUUUGACACUGGUGCAUCACAUUGUUUCAUCUCGAGACCUUUUGCAUCUAAGCAUGAAUUGGCUCUCCAAGUUUUGCCUAGACCGAUAGCAGUUGUCUCUCCGGGUAAACGCAUGAAUGCUAACUCUAUGGUUCCGGAUGUUACUGUCAUGUUGGGCGACUACAAGUUUCUGUCUUCUCCUACGGUUCUUGGUGACUCGGAUAUUGAUCUUAUUCUUGGAAUGGACUGGCUUUCUAAGCACAAGGCUCAGCUUGAUUGUGCUGCCAGGCAGAUUCAAUUAACUCAUUCGUCUGAGGAUGUAAUUGUCUUUGCCGCUCGUGAUGAUACCAUCCGUCUGUUUUCUCACAAUGGGAAGGGUGAACUGGAUGCCAUCUCUCAAAUUCCAGUCAUUUGCGAAUAUCAAGACAUCUUUUCAGAAGAGCUUCCGGGAAUGCCUCCGCACCAGCCAGUUGAAUUUGUCAUCGAUCUUGAGCCUAGGACGGAACCUGUUUGCAAGCAUCCUUACAAGCUUGGAUUUGAAGAGUUGAAAGAGCUGAAGAAGCAACUCGAUAUUCAAGAGCGUAUGGGUCUCAUCUGACCUAGUUGUUCUUUGUGGGGUUGUGGAGUUCUUUUUGUGAAGAAGAAGGAUGGAACGGACCGACUUUGUGUUGACUACCGUCCAUUGAACAAGAAGACUAUAAAGAACAAGUACCCACUACCCAACAUCAACGAGUUGUUUGAAGAACUCAAAGGUGCUCAAGUAUUCUCCAAGCUUGAUCUCCGUAUGGGCUAUCACCAGAUUCGAAUUCGUGAGCAAGAUAUCCCCAAGACGGCAUUCAGAACAAGCUAUGGUUCAUAUGAAUACACUAUCAUGUCUUUUGGCCUCGUCAACGCUCCUCCGACAUUCUCUCGCAUGAUGAACUUCCUCUUCAACCCCUACACAAAUGACUUCGUCUUGGUCUACCUUGAUGACAUUUUGGUCUUUUCCAGAAUAAGGAAGAUCAUGCCAAGCACUUGCGUUUGGUGCUGGAUAAGCUCAAAGAACAUCAGUUUUAUGCCAAGUUUUCAAAGUGCGAGUUUUGGCUCGAUGAGGUUCUCUACCUUAGGCAUAUCAUUUUUGCCAAGGGCAUAGCGGCGAAUCUCGAGAAGGUGUCUGCAAUUAUGAAUUGGGAACUACCUCAGAACGUGAAGCAACUCUGCAGCUUCCUUGGUCUCGCAAGCUAUUGUCGAAGGUUCGUUGAGAACUUUUCAAAGAUCGCGAAGCCUCUUUCAAACCUUCUCCAGAAGCAUGUGAAGUAUGUUUGGUCUCCUGAAUGUGACAUUGCUUUCAACACCUUGAAAGAGAAAUUAGUCACUGCUCCAGUUCUGACUCCUCCCGAUGAAUCCAAACCGUUCGAGGUCUUCUGUGAUGCCUCUCUUCAAGGUCUUGGUGCAGUGUUGAUGCAAGAGAAAAAAUUUAUGGCUUAUACCUCUCGCCAGUUGAAGCCCGAUGAAAAGAACUACCCCACUCAUGACCUCAAGUUGGCGGCAGUUGUGCAUGCUCUUUUGACUUGGAGACAUCUCUUAUUGGGAAUAAAAGUGGACAUCUUCACUGACCACAAGAGUCUCAAGUACAUCUUCACUCAGCCUAAUCUCAAUCUCAGGCAGACUCGUUGGGUCGAAAUGAUUCAAGAGUAUAAUCCGAGCAUUGAAUAUACUCUAGGCAAGGCCAAUGUAAUUGCUGAUGCAUUGAGCAGGAAGGCUUACUUCAACAGUCUAAUUCUCAAGCCUUACUAACCCGAGUUUUGUGAAGCUUUCCGCAAACUCAAUCUGCAAGUUGUUCCUCAAGGUUUCCUCGCCAAUCUUCAAGUCUCUCCUACUUUGGAAGAUCAGAUUUGCGAGGCUCAACUUCUUGAUGCUAUGGUGAAGAAGGUGAAGAUUGGGAUUGCCAAGAGUCAAUCCAAGUACAAGUGCUAUCGCCUUGAUGACAAGUAUACUCUCAUCUUCGAGGAUCGCAUUGUUGUGCCUAAAGGUGACCUUUGUAAAGUCAUUAUGAAUGAGGCUCACAAUUCACUCCUCUCUAUCCACCCUGGAAGUACAAAGAUGUACCAUGACCUCAAGCAGGCGUAUUGGUGGACUCGAAUGAAACGUGAGAUUGCUCAGUUCGUGAAUAAAUGUGAUGUCUGCAGAAGAGUGAAGGCAGAACACCAACGACCAGCUGGCCUCCUCCAACCUCUUGCCAUUCCAGAAUGGAAGUUUGACCACAUUGAGAUGGACUUCGUGACUGGAUUUCCAAAGUCCAAGCGUGGCAAUGAUGCUAUAUUCGUUGUCAUCGACAAACUCACUAAAGUGGCUCACUUUCUGCCUAUCAAAGAAUCCAUCACAGCAGCUCAAUUGGCGGAGCUUUAUACCUCUCGGAUUGUCUCUCUGCACGGUAUUCCGCAGUUGAUUUCUUCAGAUCGUGGCAAUAUCUUUACCUCCAAGUUUUGGGAUUCUUUUCAUAAGGCCAUGGGCACCAACAUCCGUUUCAGCACAGCUUUUCAUCCUCAAACUAGCGGCCAAGUCGAGCGUGUCAAUCAAAUUCUUGAAGAUAUGCUCAGGGCUUGCGUUAUCUCCUUCAGUAUGAAGUGGGAAGAUUGUCUUCCAUAUGCCGAGUUCUCCUACAACAACAGCUUUCAAGCGAGUUUGGGCAAGGCCCCAUUUGAAAUUCUCUAUGGCAGGAAGUGUCGUACUCCUCUUAACUGGUCAGAGACUGGUGAACGUCAACUUCUUGGAAAUGACUUGAUCACAGAGGCAGAAGAGAUGUGCAAAGUCAUUCGUGAUAACCUCAAAGCAGCGCAAUCACGCCAGAAAAGCUACUAUGAUAGUAAGCAUCGUGAUUUGGCUUUCGAGAUCGGAGACCAUGUUUACCUCCGCGUCUCUCCAAUGAAAUGUACUCGUCGCUUCGGUAUCAAAGGGAAGCUUGCCCCUAGAUACGUGGGUCCUUUCAAGAUCGUCAGCAAGAGAGGCGAUCUCGCCUAUCAACUCGAGCUUCCCUCCAACUUUGCAAAUGUGCACGACGUGUUUCAUGUCUCUCAACUCCGCAAGUGCUUCAAGACCCCUGACCGCACCUUCAACUUCGAAGACAUUGAUCUCCAAGAAGACAUUUCUUAUCCUGAGCACCCCGUUGCUAUCCUUGAAGAAACUGAGCGCAAGACUCGCAACAAGUCAAUCAAAUUCCUCAAAGUCAAGUGGUCACACCAUUCCGACCAUGAAGCCACCUGGGAAUGCGAGGAUCACCUCCGUUCUGAGUACCCGGAGUUUUUCCAGUCCUAGAUCUCGGGACGAGAUCCUUUCGUAGUGGUGGAGUGUUGUAACACCUCGGAUGUAAUUUACCUUAUCUGUACUCCAACUCUUGCCGUUUCCGGUCCUAAGUUAUUUUAUUUCCUCGUUGUCACGUUUUUUGUCUCCGUGUGUUGUUGUCUUUGUCAUGCAUCUCAUAUCAUGUCAUCAUGUGCAUUGCAUUUACAUACGUGUUCGUCUCAUGCAUCUGAGCAUUUUCCCUGUUGUCCGUUUUGCAUUCCGGCGCUCCUAUGUCCUCCGGUGGUCCUUUCUACCUCUUUUCGUGUGUGGGGGUUAAACAUUUUCGGAUUGGACCGAGACUUGCCAUGCGGCCUUGGUUUACUACCGGUAACCGCCUGUCAAGUUUCGUGCCAUUUGGACUUCGUUUGAUACUCCAACGGUUAACCGAGGGACCGAGAAGGCCUCGUGUGUGUUGCAGCCCAACACCCUUCCAAUUUGGCCCAAAACCCACCAAAACCUCUCCCAUCGUCUAGAGCGUUCGAUCACGAUCGCGUGGCCGAAAACCGUGCUCAAUUUGGAGACUCCUAGCUCCUCCUACCUCUAUAUAAAGGCCCCUCCCCAAAAUUCCCGGAUCUCUUCUUCCCCAAACCCUAAAAAUUCGCCUCGCGCCGCGCCGGACACAUCCCCGCCGCCGCCCGCAGCCAACCGGGGGCCACCACAUGGCGCGCCGCCACCCGCAACCACGUCGGCCCGCUCGGCCCGCCGCAGGCCCCCGCCUCCACCGCCCGGGCCAGAGGCGCCCCGCGCCCUUCCNNNNNNNNNNNNNNNNNNNNNNNNNNNNNNNNNNNNNNNNNNNNNNNNNNNNNNNNNNNNNNNNNNNNNNNNNNNNNNNNNNNNNNNNNNNNNNNNNNNNNNNNNNNNNNNNNNNNNNNNNNNNNNNNNNNNNNNNNNNNNNNNNNNNNNNNNNNNNNNNNNNNNNNNNNNNNNNNNNNNNNNNNNNNNNNNNNNNNNNNNNNNNNNNNNNNNNNNNNNNNNNNNNNNNNNNNNNNNNNNNNNNNNNNNNNNNNNNNNNNNNNNNNNNNNNNNNNNNNNNNNNNNNNNNNNNNNNNNNNNNNNNNNNNNNNNNNNNNNNNNNNNNNNNNNNNNNNNNNNNNNNNNNNNNNNNNNNNNNNNNNNNNNNNNNNNNNNNNNNNNNNNNNNNNNNNNNNNNNNNNNNNNNNNNNNNNNNNNNNNNNNNNNNNNNNNNNNNNNNNNNNNNNNNNNNNNNNNNNNNNNNNNNNNNNNNNNNNNNNNNNNNNNNNNNNNNNNNNNNNNNNNNNNNNNNNNNNNNNNNNNNNNNNNNNNNNNNNNNNNAUCGCCGUCAACAGCUCCGGCGCCGCCCGGCCACCUCCGACUCCGGCGCCGCCUCGCCGCCCUCCUCGUCGUCCGCGCCGCCCGGCCUCCUCCGACUCUGGCCGCCGCACCGCCGUGAACCUCGAAGUCCGUGCUCCGGCGAGAUCCAGAUCUGGAUCUGGAACUUCACGGUUGACUUUUCCCCCUCCAAACCCUAGCUAAUUUGCAUUUUUCCGCAUGCCAUAACUCUGCAUCCGUAGCUCCAAUUUGUGUGUGUAGCAUAUCGGAAUGUUCGUCUCGACGAGUACAUCAUUUCAUCUCAUUGCAUAAUUUUUAUUUGAGCUCAUCUUGUUGCCCGAAAUGCUGUUGGAAGAGGGCUAUGUGAGGAAUUUGUCAGAUCUAUUUCAGCAAAUAGCCUUUUGUCAUUAUUGCCAUGAUUAAUGUGUGCAUGAUAUGAUCCUGAGCUCUAGAUGUGUUUUGUUAUAUGCCAUGCCAUCUUUACAGAGGUGCUUGCCAUGUAUUUUUGUGAUAUUUGUGGUGACUAGCACAAGCUUGCAAAGUAGCGUAAUCGGUAAUGCUGAUUUCAGGGACUUAUAAUUCCUUCCUUGUCCUGAUUUUGUUGUUAUGCCAUAUGUUCAUGUUGUUUCCUAGUGAUUCGUGCCUCUUUUGAGGAUGACCAGUAAGGAUGUUUUGUUAACAUUGUGGUGCUCUCUCCAUCCAUGUCCUUGUUUGCAUUUAUGGAGCACCCUACCUUGAGUCAAUUGAGCUCUACUUUUGCUAUAAAUUGAUACUGGCAGAUUGUUAACAUGUUUAGCGAUUUUGCCGAGGAUGUUGCUAUUGAUCCGUGCAAGCUAUGUUGUUGUUCUUGCCAUGUCUAGCUCCUAUGCCAUGUAUUCUUCAUGGGUGUAUGCUUAGUUUGUCAUGCAAUGCUCUGUAGUAAGUGCAUCGAGCUCGUAAACAUGCCUACUCGUUAACUGAUUUGCAUAUUCACAUGCUUGCAAUUGUAUUUUCUGAUCCCUUUUGGCUCAAGGUCACUAAGGGACUUUUGUUAAGUGCUUUGAGUAGCUUCAUGUCAUGCCUUGCUUUGCCAUGUUAAGUUCCUGUAUCAUGUAGUUUUCAUGCUCUAAAGUGUGCUUCCUGAUGAUAAAUUCUAGACUUGUGUUAAUUUCACAAAGUCUGAAACCUGUUAUCAUUUGCUCUUUUCCCAUGAUUGUGUGAACCUGUUAAUGGAUGAAUUAGCCGUAGCUCAGUGUUCAUAUUUUGUCAAGCUUCAUGAGUGGAUCCCUUCCAUGUAUCUUGUUGUCAUGUUUGAGUGCUGUAGCAUGUUUAUCUUGAUGCAUUUAGUUGGUCAGUUGCUGAUUAUCGCAAACCGGUGCCAUAUUUGUUUUGCUUGCCAUUUCCAAACCGUGCAUCCGAUUCCGGUGAUCUUUAUAUCGAUUUCAACCGAAAUCACCUCACCUUUCCAGUGGCACUCUUGGAUUUCCAUGUUGGGGCCAGGUUCAAUCAUUCCUUAUCAAAUCUUGCAUAUGCAUCACAUAUCGCAUCCCGCAUAUCAUACCAUGUUUGCAUCAUGUUGUUUGAGCAUUGCACGUGGUUGAUUGUGCUCCCUUUGCUUGUUGUUCUUAUUUGGGUAGAGCCGGGAGAUGAGUUCGUGAACGAGGAUCACGUUGAGUUCGCUUACGAGGAUCAAGGCAACUCUGAGAACUUUGACGGCAAGAUGACGAUACCCUCGAAAUCACUUCUAUCUUUGCUUGAUAGAUGCUCGCUCUUUUGCUAUGCCUAUGCCACUUGCUUAUCAUGCCUCCCAUAUUGCCAUGUAAAACCUCUAACCCACCUUGUCCUCGCAAACCAUUGUUUGGCUAUGUUACCGCUUUGCUCAGCCCCUCUUAUAGCGUUGCUAGUUGCAGGUGACGAUUGGAGAUCGUUCCUUGUUGGAACAUUGUUUAUUGUUGGGAUAUCACUAUAUUAUCUUGUUUAUCUUAAUGCACCUAUAUAAUUGGUAAAGGGUGGAAGGCUCGGCCUUAUGCCUGGUGUUUUGUUCCACUCUUGCCGCCCUAGUUUCCGUCAUAUCGGUGUUAUGUUCCUGGAUUUUUCGUUUCUUACACGGUUGGGUUAUAAUGGGAACCCCUUGACAGUUCGCCUUGAAUAAAACUCUUCCAGCAAUGCCCAACAUUGGUUUUACCAUUCACCACCUAGCCUCUUUUUCCCUUGGGUUUCGCAGACUCAAGGGUCAUCUUUAUUUAAACCCCCGGGCCAGUGCUCCUCUGAGUGUUGGUCCAACCUGUCAGCUGCCGGUGGCCACUAGGGGCAACUCUGGGCUGGCCUACCGGAACCUUGGACAAUCCGGUGUGCCCUGAGAACGAGAUAUGUGCAGCUCCUAUCGGGAUUUGUCGGCACAUUCGGGUGGUUUUGCUGGUUUAGUUUUACCAUUGUCGAGGAUGUCUUGUAACCGGGAUGCCGAGCCUGAUCGAAUUGUCUUGGGAGAAGAAAUAUCCUUCGUUGACCGUGAGAGCUUGUGAUGGGCUAAGUUGGGACUCCCCUGCAGGGAUUUGAACUUUCGAAAGUCGUGCCCGAGGUUAUGGGCAGAUGGGAAUUUGUUAAUGUCCGGUUGUAGAUAACCUGAAACUUAACUUAAUUAAAAUGAAUCAACCGCGUGUGUUACCGUGAUGGUCUCUUCUCGGUGGAGUCCGGGAAGUGAACACGGUGUUGGAGUAAUGCUUGACGUUGGUUGUUCUAGGAUCACUUCUUGAUCAUAGUUGUUCGACCAUGCUUUUUCCUUCUCUUCUCGCUCUCUUUUGCGAAUAGGUUAGCCACCAUAUAAUGCUAGUCGAUUGCUGCAGCUCCACAUCAUACCUUACCUUACCUAUAAGCUUAAAUAGUCUUGAUCGCGAGGGUGUGGGAUUGUUGAGUCCCCGUGACUCACAAAUUCCUUCCUAAACCAGAUGCAGGGACAAAUGAUACCGCUCCAGACGUUGCGCUUGAGCUCAAGUGGGAGUUCGAUGAAGACUCUCGUCAUUACUAUGUGUCUUUCCCAGAUGAUCAGUAGUGGUGCUCAGUUGGGGCGAUCAGGGACUUUGUCGCAUUUGGGGGUUGAUCUUUAUUUUGGUAUCGUAGUCGGACCAUGAGUGUAUUGGAUGAAUGUAAUGCUAUUUAUGUAUUUGUGUGACAUGGCGAGUGUAAGCCAACUAUGUAUCUUUUCCCUUUAUUUAUAUUACAUGGGUUGUUUGCAAAGAUUACCUCACUUGCGACAUUGCUUUCAAUGUGGUUAUGUCUCUAAGUCGUGCUUCGACACAUAGGAGAUAUAGCCGCAUCGAGGGUGUUACACGUAGGUCUGAAGUAAACUACUCACACAUCACUGGAGAGGCCAUGUAGUUGAUGUACAGGCCCUCCGUGAUCAAUGCCCCCUUCGGCAGAGCUCCGGAAGAGGCCCCAAGAUGGGAUCUCGGGUACAAAAGGUUGCGGCGGUGGAAUUAGGUUUUCGUUGUGCUCCUGGAUGUUUGGGGGUACGUGGAUAUAUAUAGGAGGAAGAAGUACGUCGGUGGAGCAACGGGGGGGCCCAUGAGGGUGGAGGGCACGCCCGGGAGGGGGGGGGGGGUAGGCGCGCCCCCUGUCUCGUGGCCACCUCCGUUGUUUCUUGACGCCCACUCCAAGUCUCCUGGAUCACGUUUGUUGAGAAAAUCAUGUUCCCGAAGGUUUCAUUCCGUUUGGACUCCGUUUGAUAUUCCAUUUCUUCGAAACCCUAAAAUAGGCAAAAAAAACAACAAUUUGGGCUGGGCCUCCGGUUAGUAGGUUAGUCCCAAAAAUGAUAUAAAAGUUUAAAAUAAAGCCCAUUGACAUCCAAAAUAGAUAAUAUGAUAGCAUGGAGCAAUCAAAAAUUAUAGAUACGUUGGAGACGUAUCAAGCAUCCCCAAGCUUAAUUCCUGCUCGUCCUCGAGUAGGUAAAUGAUAAAAGAAGAAUUUUUGAUGUGGAAUGCUUUCUAACAUAUUUCUCAAUGUAAUUUUUCUUUAUUGUGGCAUGAAUGUUCAGAUCCAUAAGAUUCAAGGCAAAAGUUUAAUAUUGACAUAAAAAUAAUAAUACUUCGAGCAUACUAACUAAGCAAUUAUGUCUUCUCAAAAUAACAUGGCCAAAGAAAGUUAUCCCUACAAAAUCAUAUAGUCUGGCUAUGUUCUAUCUUCACCACACAAAAUAUUUAAAUCAUGCACAACCCUUAUGACAAGCCAAGCAAUUGUUUCAUACUUUUGAUGUUCUCAAACCUUUUCAAUCUUCACGCAAUAUAUGAGCGUGAGCCAUGGAUAUACACUAUAUGGUGGAAUAGAAUGGUGGUUGUGGAGAAGACAAAAAGGAGAAGAUGGUCUCACAUCAACAAGGCGUAUCAAUGGGCUAUGGAGAUGACCAUUAAUAGAUAUCAAUGUGAGUGAGUAGGGAUUGCCAUCCAACGAAUGCACUAGAGCUAUAAGUGUAUGAAAGCUCAACAAAAGAAACUAAGUGGGUGUGCAUCCAACUUGCUUGCUCAUCAAGACCUAGGGCAAUUUGAGGAAGCCCAUCAUUGGAAUAUACAAGGCAAGUUCUAUAAUGAAAAAUUCCCACUAUUAUAUGAAAGCGAUAUCAUAGGAGACUCUCUAUCAUGAAUAUCAUGGUGCUAUUUUGAAGCACAAGUGUGGAAAAAGGACAGUAGCAUUGUCCCUUCUCUCUUUUUCUCUCAUUUUUUGGGCCUUCUUCCCUUUUUUUCUUUUUGGCCUCUUUUCUUUUUUUAUUUGGGCUUCUUUGGCCACUUUUUUUUCGUCCGGAGUCUCAUCCCGACUUGUGGGGGAAUCAUAGUCUCCAUCAUCCUUUCCUCACUGGGACAAUGCUCUAAUAAUGCUGAUUAUCACACUUUAUUUACUUACAACUCAAAAAUUACAACUCGAUACUUAGAACAAGAUAUGACUCUAUGUGAAUGGCUCCGGCGGUGUACCGGGAUGUGCAAUGAUGCAUGAGUGACAUGUAUGAAAAUUAUGAACGGUGGUUUUGCCACAAAUACGAUGUCAACUACAUGAUCAUGCAAGCAAUGUGACAGUGAUGAAGCGUGUCACAAUAACGGAACGAUGGAAAGUUGCAUGGCAAUAUAUCUCGUAAUGGCUAUGGAAAUGCCAUAAUAGGUAGGUAUGGUGGCUGUUUUGAGGAAGGUACAUGGUGGGUUUAUGGUACCGGCGAAAGUUGCGCGAUACUAGAGAGGCUAGCAAUGGUGGAAGGGUGAGAGUGCGUAUAAUCCAUGGACUCAAAAUUAGUCAUAAAGAACUCACAUACUUAUUGCAAAAAUCUAUUAGUUAUCGAAACAAAGUAUUACACGCAUGCUCCUAGGGGGAUAGAUUGGUAGGAAAAGACCAUCGCUCGUCCUUGACCGCCACUCAUAAGGAAGACAAUCAAUAAAUAGAUCAUGCUCCGACUUCAUCACAUAACGGUUCACAAUACAUGCAUGCUAUGGGAAUCACAAACUUCAAGACAAGUAUUUCUCAAAUUCACAACUACUCAACUAGCAUGACUCUAAUAUCACCAUCUCCAUAUCUCAAAACAAUUAUCAAGUAUCAAACUUCUCAUAGCAUUCAAUGCACUUGUAUGAAAGUUUUUAUUAUUGCCAUGUUGUUCUAAAGGACUCUCAAAAUAAUAUAAGUUAAGCAUGAGAGAACAAUAGUUUCUAUAAAACAAAACCACCAUCGUGCUCUAAAAUAUAUAAGUGAAGCACUAGAGCAAAAACUAUAUAGCUCAAAAGAUGUAAGUGAAGCACAUAGAGUAUUCUAAUAAAUUCCCAAUCAUGUGAGUCUCUCUCAAAAGGUAUGUACAGCAAGGAUGAUUGUGGUAAACUAAAAAUCAAAGAAUCAAAUCAUACAAGACACUCCAAGCAAAACACAUAUCAUGUGCUAAAUAAAAAUAUAGCUCCAAGUAAAGUUACUGAUAGACGAAGACAAAAGAGGGGAUGCCCUCCGGGGCAUCCCCAAGCUUAGGCUUUUUGGUGUCCUUGAGUUUUACCUUGGGGUGCCAUGGGCAUCCCCAAGCUUAGGCUCUUUCCACUCCUUGUUCCAUAAUCCAUCAAAUCUUUACCCAAAACAUGAAAACUUCACAACACAAAACUAAAAAUAGAAAAUCUCAUGAACUCCGUUAGCGAAAGAAAACAAAACACCACUUCAAGGUACUGUAAUGAACUCAUUCUUGAUUUAUAUUGGUGUUAAACCUACUGUAUUCCAACUUCUCUAUGGUUUAUAAACUCUUUUACUAGCCAUAGAUUCAUCAAAAUAAGCAAACACUACACGAAAAAUAGAAUCUGUCAAAAACAGAACAGUCUGUAGUAAUCUGUAGCUAACACAAACUAUGGAACCCCAAAAAUUCUACAAUAAAUUGCUGGACGUGAGGAAUUUAUCUAUUAAUCAUCUUCAAAAAUAAUUAAAUAAAUAUCACUUUCCAAAUAAAAAUGGCAGCAAUUCUCGUGAGCGCAAACGUUUCUAUUUUUUAAAGCAAGAUCAAAAAGACUUCCCCCAAGUCUACCCAACGGAUCUACUUGGCAAAAACACAAAUUAAACACAAAAAACACAACCAAAAAAGAGGCUUGAUAAAUUAUUUAUUACUAAACAGGAGCAAAAAGCAAGGAAUAAAAAUAAAAUUGGCUUGCCUCCCAACAAGCGCUAUCGUUUAACGCCCCUAGCUAGGCAUAAAAGCAAGGAUAGAUCUAGGUAUUGCCAUCUUUGGUAGGAAAUUUUCAAUAAGACACCUAUAACACUUAGGGGUUUCUUUAUUUUUAUUAAUUAUCAAACUCCUAGGUACAAAAUCAAGGAAAUCAUUUGUAGCAAAAGGUUCCUUAAGGAUAGUGAGAAAUUUGGGGUGAACACUUAUGGAUUUGAGGUCCGCAUUUUCCUUACUAGAAGUUCCACCCUUAUUUUUAGGAACAUACAUCAAUUUGGCAAUCUUAGCAUUAGGAGGAGUGUUUUUCACGGAAGAAAAGGCAGACCCAAGGUUGGUAAUAAUAUCCUCAAUUUUAUCAAUUCUAGUGGAAUCUUGAUCUAUCUUUUCAUUAACCAUAGGUUCCUUUUCUUUAAACCUUUUAAGAGCAACUCCUACCUUAGAUCCGUAUUGGGUAAUUUGGUUAUGGAUAUUUCUAUCCAAAUUUUCAAUUAACUCUAUGGUGGCAACUUUAUUUUCAAUAAUUUCAAGCCGUUGCAUCACAUGUUCCAAAGUUAAAAUAGUUCCAUUAACCAAAAGAGGUGGUGGGCCAAACAGAUCUAUCAUAGCAUUAUAAGAAUCAAAAGUAUGGCUACCCAAGAAAUUCCCUCCGGUAAUGGUAUCAAGAAUAUAUCUAUUCCAAGGAGUGAUGCCUACAUAAAAAUUGUGAAGAAGAACGGAAGUAGAUUGCUUCCUAGUAGAUCUAUUUUGCGCAAUGCAAAUUCUGUACCAAGCAUCUUUUAGAUUUUCUCCCUCCCUUUGUUUAAAAUUAAGAACUUCAUUCUCGGGAGACAAAGGAGUAGAUAAAGGACUAGCCAUAACGAUAAAGCAAGCGAUCCAACACACAAGCAAACAAGAAACGGGCAAAAAGGCAAAUAGAAAAAGAGAAGGGGAACGGAAAGAGAGGGAGAGAGGAAAAGAGGGCGAAUAAAACGGCAAGGGUGAAGUGGGGGAGAGGAAAACGAGAGGCAAAUGGCAAAUAAUGUAAUGCGAGGGAUAAGAGUUUGUGAUGGGUACUUGGUAUGUCUUUGACUUGUGCUUGACUUGACUUGGCGCAAAUCUCCCCGGCAAUGGCGCCAGAAAUCCUUCUUGCUACCUCUUACGCACUGCGUUGGUUUUCCCUUGAAGAGGAAAGGGUGAUGCAGUAAAGUAGAGUAAGUAUUUCCCUCACUUUUUGAGAACCAAGGUAUCAAUCCAGUAGGAGAUCACGCUCAAGUCCCACGCACCUACACAAACAAAUAAGAACCUCGCAACCAAUGCGAUAAAGGGGUUGUCAAUCCCUUCACAGUCACUUACAAGAGUGAGAUCUGAAGGAUAUGAUAAGAUAAUAUUUUUGGUAUUUUUAUGAUAAAGAGAAAUAAAGAUGCAAAGUAAAAAAAUGGCAAAGGAAAUAACUAAGUAUUGGAAGAUUAAUAUGAUGGAAGAUAGACCCGGGGGCCAUAGUUUCACUAGUGGCUUCUCUCGAGAGCAUAAGUAUUAUGGUGGGUGAACGAAUUACUAUCGAGCAAUUGAUAGAAUUGAGCAUAGUUAUGAGAAUAUCUAGGUAUGAUCAUGUAUAUAGGCAUCACGUCCGAGACAAGUAGACCGAAACGAUUCUGCAUCUACUACUAUUACUCCACACAUCGACCGCUAUCCAACAUGCAUCUAGAGUAUUAAGUUCAUAAGAACAUAUUAAUGCUUUAAGGAAGAUGACAUGAUGUAGAGGGAUAAACUCAUGCAAUAUGACAUAAACCCCAUCUUUUUAUCCUCGCUGGCAACAAUACAAUACGUGUCGGUUCCCUUUAUGUCACUGGGAUCGAACACCGCAAGAUUGAACCCAAAGCUAAGCACUUCUCCCAUUGCAAGAAAGAUCAAUCUAGUAGGCCAAACCAAACUGAUAAUUCGAAGAGACUUGCAAAGAUAAACCAAUCAUACAUAAAAGAAUUCAGAGGAGAAUCAAAUAUUGUUCAUAGAUAAACUAGAUCAUAAACCCACAAUUCAUCGGAUCUCGACAAACAUACCGCAAAAGAAGAUUACAUCGAAUAGAUCUUCAAGAAGAUCGAGGAGAACUUUGUAUUGAGAUCCAAAGAGAGAGAAGAAGCCAUCUAGCUAAUAACUAUGGACCCGUAGGUCUGAAGUAAACUACUCACGCAUCACCGGAGAGGCCAUGGAGUUGAUGUAGAGGCCCUCCGUGAUCAAUGCCCCCUCCGAAGGAGCUCCGGAAAAGGCCCCAAGAUGGGAUCUCUCGGGUAUAGAAGGUUGCGGCAGUGGAAUUAGGUUUCUGUGUUCUCCUGGAUGUUUGGGGGUACGUGGAUAUAUAUAGGAGGAAGAAGUACGUUGGUGGAGCAACGGGGGCCCACGAGGGUGGAGGGCGCGCCCCCUGCCUCGUGGCCGCCUCCGUUGUUUCUUGACUCCCACUCCAAGUCUCCUGGAUCACGUUUGUUGAGAAAAUCACAUUCCCGAAGGUUUCAUUCCGUAUGGACUCCGUUUGAUAUUCCUUUUCUUCGAAACCCUAAAGUAGGCAAAAACCAACAAUUUGGGCUGGUCCUCCGGUUAGUAGGUUAGUCCCAAAAAUGAUAUAAAAGUGUAAAAUAAAGCCCAUUGACAUCCAAAAUAGAUAAUAUAAUAGCAUGGAGCAAUCAAAAAUUAUAGAUACGUUGGACACGUUUCAUGGAUCACACAUUAGGGUUGGUUGUAUGUUGAUAUAACUAUGCAUUUGAGGGCAAGAGUGACAAAAGCUUCUUUCUAACAUAGAAAUUGAUGCAUACAGGAUUGAAGGAGGACCAGUAUAUCUUAAUGCUAUGGUUGAGUUUUACCUUAAUGAACGUUAGUUGUUGCGGACGCUUGCUAAUAGUUCCAAUCAUAAGUGCAUAGAAUUUCAAGUAAGGGAUGACAUGCUAGCAGUGGCCUCUCCCACAUAAAAACUUGCUAUCGGUCUAGUAACAUAGUCGAUUGCUUAGAGACAAUUCCGCAAAUCCUACCACCACUUUUCUAGACUCGCUAUACUAACUUAAUUGUACUUUUAAUAGAACAUCACCUAACUUUUAUUUUUCACGUUCUUUAUUAUCUUGCAAACUUAUCCUACUAUACCUGCAAGGUACUUCUAGUUUUAUUCUUGGUCUAGGUAAAGUGAACAUUAAGCAUGCGUAGAGUUGUAUCGAUGGUCGAUAGAACUUGAGAGAAUAUAAAUUCCACCUUUAGUUCCUCGUUGAGUUCGACACUAUUACUUAUCGAUAAAGGCUACAAUUGAUCCCCUAUACUUGUGGGUUAUCAACAAGUUCCAUCUUGGUUGCAGGGAUAAUUUGCAGAAUUACUUCCGGUUCCUCUGCCCUAUCAAUGGUUGCCGAAGAUUCACUAAUCUCAUGAAGUUAUAUCGUCCUUCCACUCACUUAUUUAGUGAGAAAUUCUUUUUCAAGAAAGUGCCCAUUCCUAGCAACAAACACUUUGUUGUCGGACUUUUGGUAGAAAGAAUACCAAACUGUAUCUGUGAGAUAACCUACAAAGUAACUUUUGCCUCAUCUUGGAUCAAGUUUGUUUGGCUAUAAACACUUUACAUAUGCCUCACAAACACAAAUUAUGUGAUGCGAGUGGGUUUCUUCCCAUAGCAUAAUUAAAAUGAUGUCGUCUCAACAGACUUAGACGAUGCUCUAUUUAAUGUAUAAGCGGAAGUAGUAAGUGCAUGACCCCAAAAAUAUAUCGGCUGUUCUGUAAGAGACAUCAUAGACCUUACCAUGUCCAACAAGCUACGGUUACAUCUCUAGGAAACUCCAUUCCUCUGUGAAACAAUUCCAUAACCACUAAGAUGUUGACUAAACUCAUGACUAAGAUAUCCACCUCCACGAUCCGAUUGCAGGAAAUUAAUCUUUUUUCCACGAUGAUUUUCUACCUCAUUUUGAAAUUCCUUGAACUUUUCAAAGAUCUCAGACUUAUGCUUCAUCAAGUAGAUAUAACCAUACCUACUUAAAUCAUUAGUAAAAGUCACGAAGUACAAAUACCCACCACAUCUUGUAGUGUUCAUUGGACCACAUACAUCACUAUGCAUUAUUUUCAAUAAUUCACGUGUCGGUUCAGGAGGACUCGGUGAACGGUGUCUUGGUCAUCUUCCCCAUAACACAAUCCUCACAAGUCUCAAAUGAUUCAAAAUCAAAAGACGGUAAAACUCCAUCUAUAUGGAGUCUUUCCAUGCGUUUUUUUCCGAUGUGACCAAGACGACAGUGCCACAUGAAAGUGAUGGUGGCAUCAACCUUCUUAAGGGGUUUGGCUUCUACUUUAAAGAAAUCAUUUUCACAUUCAAGAUUCAGAAUGAACAGGCUCCCAACAAUGGGUGGAAAUCCAUAAAAUUUAUCCUUACAAUAAGGUUAACAACCAUUGUUCUCAGAUUUGUAGGAAUACAUGUCGUGUAUCAAACAUGAUCCAGAGAGGGGAUCCAAUCGCCUCGCUCGCUCUUGUUGACCGUGACAGAAACCGCAGUGGAAGCGGUGUCCAAAGAACUCGAGCACUUCACCUUCUACAACUUUCAUGUCGUCGACAUUGGCAGAGGGUGAAAGGUGGGGAAGCAACAAUUAGGGGAACUGCUCAUGGGCGGUUUCUCUUUGAUGGCGUCAGGGAGAAGAUGGAAGAAUGAGGAAGCAUAGACCCUCUCUCUCACACACACACCUCUCCUAUUUAUAAUGAUGAGGAAUCAAAACCGCCAUGUGACACACGUCGUCACAAGAGCCAAAACCGUGCAUGGAAGUUGAAACAGUCAACAUUUAAAACCAACUAUCACACAAGCAACAACUAGAUUCUAUGUCAGUCGGAUCACAAAAGCCGAGGAUUCCUCCCUCACAAUAAAUUCAUAAGGGAGUCUAAGAACAUGGAAAAUAUCUUGAUGUAACAACACAUCAAAACUAAAAAUGAUGACAUUCAUGAUCCACCUUCCAGUCGGAAUGUGGGACGAAGCGUCUUUUCGGCUACCUGGGUUAGUCCUGAGUCAGAAUUCACGCACCCAUUGUGUGGGAACAAACCCGAGCAUGGAGGUGCUCGAGGAAAACCAAGUGAGACGACACUCAUCACAUAACUAAUCCGUGAACAAAGCAAGGAGCACCCGUGAUAUCCUUCGUGGCACGAGUCAGACCCAACGAAGAGACCAAAUAUCCAGAUGCGCAAACUUGGUUUGCGAGAAAGCUGUCUGACCGGUGUUUCACAUAAAGGGUAUUGACUAGGGAUACUUCGUCAAUUCAAGCCCAGGCGCCUCAAACCGCUGGUUGGAAUUUGAUGAUACGUCCAGAAUUGGGCCAUGAGACAUACUCUUCCGAAGACAUUGAAAUGGGGUAUCACCAAGUUUGUUUCAAAUUGCUCACCCUUUCGCCUUCAGAAGGCAUGAUCAUUUGAGUCUGCGAGGUCUCUCAACCAACCAACCAAUGGUGAUCAGAGUCCAUCAAAUAGUCAGAAUGUUCUCCAAUGUUGAACAAUCAGUUUCUUCAUCCAGACCUCGACUGACUCGAGGGCUAUUGUCGAAGUUAUACCUACGGGGUAGGACAAGAUAUGUAAAUGGUCAUGCCAAGGGCCCAUGCCCAUCAAGAAAACGGUGCAGCAGAUAAUGGGCCGGCCAAGGGGCAACCUUUCCAACCCAUUGGAGACAUAACCUAAGAUAUCAAACANNNNNNNNNNNNNNNNNNNNNNNNNNNNNNNNNNNNNNNNNNNNNNNNNNNNNNNNNNNNNNNNNNNNNNNNNNNNNNNNNNNNNNNNNNNNNNNNNNNNNNNNNNNNNNNNNNNNNNNNNNNNNNNNNNNNNNNNNNNNNNNNNNNNNNNNNNNNNNNNNNNNNNNNNNNNNNNNNNNNNNNNNNNNNNNNNNNNNNNNNNNNNNNNNNNNNNNNNNNNNNNNNNNNNNNNNNNNNNNNNNNNNNNNNNNNNNNNNNNNNNNNNNNNNNNNNNNNNNNNNNNNNNNNNNNNNNNNNNNNNNNNNNNNNNNNNNAAUCGGAUCCUCCACCCAUGAAGGAUAAGACCCAACAAUCGGUAGUCACCAAGGCAACAACAGUCGGGAAGCUUACAGUCGGGUGUGCCAUAGGAUACCAUGACCCCCACGAUGCAUUCAUUACUAUCAUUACAGAAAGGUGGUAUAAUCUAGUUAAAUACGACAGUUACAAGUAAUAAGUGCAAUGUAUAGCCGGUCAUGCAUGUGACCGUUAAUAGCUUUAAUAGCAGCCAGUUAUGGAACCCCUCCUAGCUAGCGCACUCUAUAUAAUCUGGAAGGGGGCAUCAGUGUGAGGGUUGAACUCUCUCACAUUGUACCUGCGCCAAUAGAAAGAUCACCACACAGGAUUAGGGACCUUCACCGUUGAGGACCCGAAUUUGUAAUUCCUUCUGCGUACUCUCAUCCAUGACAUUGUGCAUUAGAGAUUUGGUCUUUGCAACACCUCUUGAUCCAUCCAAAUCAAAUUUCAUAGCCAUCUAACACAGAAUCAGGGGAUAACUACCUAAAAUACCAUAUUGAGCCAUUCUUCUUUCUUCCUUUUAGAACAAUGAUAUGUAAUUUUUGAUUUACUACACAGUAUAAAAAAUUAUAAAUAAGAUAUAAAUCAAUAAAAAGCUUUGAUAAAAAAGUAAACCUCUUCCAUGUCUCCAAUAAUGAUAUAGUAGAAGACAACAUCUUGGAGUGUUGGACUAGCCUCAUAUGUUUUAAUGAGUUGUAUGAGUAGUACACCCAAAACCAUGGCAGCUUAAGGCCGGUGAGCACACCAUGGUUGGAGACACAACUCUUCAACAAAAUAUUUUCAAUCUGUUGCUCAAUCGCUCCACCAUUGUUGAAAAUACCAACAAGUGUUAUAAGAUGAGUCAUGAGAACUGCUAGCUCCAUGGAGUUACAAUGGCUAAUGCAACUAAGGGGAGCCAGUAAGUCCUCUAUAAGUUUGAUACGACACCAUCAUCACAAUUCAGAUGUUGUUCUAAACAUUUGCAGUAAAAUAUCUUUAGAUGUACUAUAAACUACGAUCGUGUACUCUUUAUACUCUAGUAGUGAGUACUGUAAGCUCUAUGUGAUCAUGUAUUUUGAAUUACUUCAUAUUAUAAAUAAUUGGGAAGCUAGCGAGGCUGAAGUGAACAUAUAAAUUACUCAUAAAACUUAUGAAAUUAAUUGAUGCCCAAGAAGUGAAACUUUUUGUUAUCAAUAGAAUGUGAAAAUCAAGAAGCAGUGCAGAGCCACCAAAUAACGCGACGCUGAGCCACAAGAUCCUCUGAGAGAAGUGGCCUACUCGGAAACUCUACCAUUCAACACUACAAAACACAUACAUCACCUACCAGCACAUGCUUCUCUCUCCCUUGCACGUUGUUCGAACUUUCUUCCAUUGUUGGCCACAAGGUCAGAUUUAUUGACGACCAUCAGUGCGAACCUCCAUCUUUGUGAUUGGCUGAGAGAAAAAACAACACGAGGAACGAAAAACACACACAAUUAACUUCAACUUUAGCGUCUUUUUUUACUGAAAAAAUGGUCCAACAAUCGGCUUCACAAACCACAGGAAAACAUCUACCAUUUCACUAUGGAGAGGAUAAAGUAUUUCAAGACCACGAACAAGCCUAUGCAUAUGCAUGUUCGGCACAGAAAUGCCGAUGAAGAGUGAAAAUAUAUUUAAAAUGAUAUUUCAUUAUAGAAAAACUCCUCCUGAGAAUUUGACAACAAUGUGUUUAUAAACACGCUUAAAAGUGCAAACACACACUCACGCUUACAUAUCAUCUACCAAAGAAUGGAGUGGCCAAUUUUAAUACUCAUGCCAUUCGAAAGCAUAAAGUUGCAGUUUGACCAUCAUAAUUUCAUGCUUUGACUAUCAAUGUUAUAGAACAAAACAAUAUCUAAUAUUUAAGUCUACAAAUUGUUUUUUCUGUUAUACUCGUUUUGAAAUUAUCCAUGUGGAAGUGUUCCAUUGGUAUAGAUUUAUGUUUACAAAACACCAAGACAUAAAAAUUAUCGAACAAAUGACAUAGUGUAGUUGUUUCAAGUUGCUAGACAUUGCUACAUUAACUAUUAAACUAGAGGAUACCCCGCACGUUGUUGCGGGAAUAUUAUGCAACACAUUUCAAUGUGAUUCAUUGUACGAAACAUGAAUAUUUGAAGCAAUAAUAUAAAAGGCUAAAACUAAAAAUACAUAUAAUUUAUUAUGUUUGAUUACUAUAUAAAUGUAAAAUGUAUAAAUAGCAUAAUAGAAUGAAAAUUCUCAUGUCCAUUUGCAUGUUGAGAUGUGUCUUUUUUCAUGCAUAUUUCAUGAUCAAGUGGCAUGCUUGCAUGUUAAAAGACAUAUGAUAGUGGGGGUGGACUUUUUCUCAUGCAUGUUGUGUGAUGAUGUGGCAUGCUUGCAUGUUGAGAGAAAUAGUUAGUGGGGGCUAGCUAUUUAGAUAUAGAAGAUACCAUCUAUUUUUUUGCGGGUGAAAAAUAGCAUCUACUUUCGCAAGAAAAAACUAUUAAAUACCAUCUUCAAAAUCAAACAAAAUAGGGCAAUUAACAUUCUAUAAAUCUUUAGAUAUUGAAGGUGCUAAACUUAAAGUUAUAUGCAUUCUCUUGGAUCGGAUUGAUUUUAUAGUAAUAGUUUUCUAAUAAUAAGAGGAAGAGGAGUAGAAAUGUUUUCUAAAUUUAGGCACUGUUUCCAUAUUCCACAGCAAAUUUAAUUAGAUGUGCUCUAGUUAUUGCAUAUCUAAGUGAGUGAAUCAAACAUAAAGUGAGAAAAAAGAAAAAAAAUAUCCACACGAAUCUCAACGUAAGACCAAUGACAUAAGAUUUAGAUGUGCAAUACUUACAUCACAUCUAGAUGUGCUUUAAGAAAACUGUUUAAUAAAAUAUAACAUAUGAUCAACAAUAUCUUAUAAUAGGCAUAUGUUUAUGGAAAAAAUAAAUCUCAAUGUUACAAUUUCGUGAAUAUAUCCAUCUCUAAGAGGGCUACUGUGUUAGUUUAAUGAGUCUAAUGUAAAAUUAGGGUGAUGCAUCGCAUCAGUCCCACCAGGCCACCACUUCGUGGUUCUAGCUAAAGAUAUAUAGCAAAGGGGCCGACAAGAAGGAAUGAGACACUCGGAACGAAGAAGAGUCAAACAUUGUCGAUAUAAGUCCUAGUAACUCCAGAGCGCGACAUCAGCUCCGGCUCCGCCGUCGGCGCAGUCCCCAUUGUCCCAGUACUGCCCGGUGGCCAUGGUAGGCGGUGGCUCCAUGAGCAGGCCCUGCGCAAGGUUCGCGUAGUAGUACGUGUCCGAGUCCGUCUCCCCAAACAGGCAGUCGAGGUCGAACAUAUCCAUGCUUAAUGCGCCUGGCUCUUCAAAAUUGGCAUCACCGGAGGUCUGCGCCGUCUCGGACGAGGGGACACUGCACGCCGCCGCCGACGGGAUGUCCACGCUGGAGGCGACUUCCUCGACCGCCGCAGCGGCACCGGUGGCCUCCGGACGGCGCAGGAAGUCCGCGACGGCCUGGACGGCCGCGCGCCGGACAUCAGAGAGGUUGGAGAAGGCGGGCGGCACCGAAAGCAGCCACGCGGAGUCCCGGAAGUUGAGGCACGCGGCGGAACGGCCGCGCAGCAUGAGCAUUGCGGCAUCGUGCGCGCGCGCGGCCGCCUCGGCGGUGAAGUACGACCCGAGCCAGAGGCGCGUGCCGCGCUCCCCGGGGACGCGCACCUCGCAGACCCACCGGCCGGCGCUGCCACGGCGCCGCACGCCGCGGAACACGGGGUGCCGCGUCUCCCGGAACUUGGUGCGGCCCGCGGGGCGCUUCGGCGGCCACGGCCACGCCGUCCCCCCGUGCUCGGUCGUGGUCGUGGACGAGGAGGAGGGAGAGCUCGAGUGCUCGAGGCUCAUGUCCAUGGCUGCUGGCUGGCUGCCGGUCGAUGGCUCGGUGGUGGUACUUCAGGAAAGCUCGAGUGCUUGAGGCUUGUGCAGUUGUGCUCGAGCGAAAGAGUGAGAGUGUUACUUAGUGUCGUGCUCGUGCGUGUGCGUAUUUAUGCGUGUAACAAUAAGAUGACAGCUGUUUCCUUAGCCGCGUUCCUGCGUCGCGUCCAGUCAUUGUAUGGCAAGCCGCGCUUUGGAAGCGCAGCAUACGCUGCUUUGAGUGCACUCCAGCGGAUAAGACGCGGCUUCGUAUAGCUUCCUUGCUCGUAGGCGCGAGCUGAGUUCACAUGUUGUUAAGUCGCUACCUGAAAUGAUUAUGUGAGGCAUCGUGGCGCUUUCCUGAAGCGUGUUAUGUUACCACGUGGGAAGCAUGGCGCUUUCCUGCCAGGCGUUUGCCUGUUCGCUAAGUGAGGCCGUGAGUAUGAAGAAGGUCACGGGUGACUCGUGAACCUAGCGACUGGCAUAUUGGUGGCAACUGGCGUUUAGUCAGGGGUUCCAUGUACACGCAUGUCAAUAUCUUUUUUUUUUGCGGAAAUGUCAGUAUCUAUUUAAAAAUGAACGCAUUUUCAUCAUUAGAUUAUUAGCACGAAUCUCAGGGCAAAUCUACUUUCAUGUAGGCUUCUGGCAUCCCUUAUGGUCGAACUAACCGAACGACGACCGGCAGCCCACCCGGUCAUCUCCCUGCUCACGGGACGUGGAGGCAAAGUGUUCCCUAAGAGCCACAAUGGCUCAUCGUAUUUUCCUCACGCCCUUAUACAAUGCAAGGUGCCGUGAAUUCACUAAAGGACUUUUGAGGGCGAUCACCGAAUCCGUAUAAAUGGAGACCCUUGUGGGCGGUUACCAAACCUGUACAAAUUGCCCGGGGCAAUCUCCACAACUUAAUUGGAGGCUCUUGAAGAUUGCCCAAAGCUUUACACCAUAAUGACUGAGCUCCGUGACAGCAUCAACCAUUUAGGGCACCCAAGCACCCAGGAGGAACAAAUUGUAGGGUACCAAGCACCCAAGAGUUAAAAAGCUUCUCGAAAUUUCACUUCCAUGUAUCACCGUGAAAAACUCAAACUUAUGCACCAAAGGCAAUGGCAAGAGCACACGGAAUGCUCAAGUCAUUCUCUCCAAAUCCCACCACAACAAAUAAUGCUAUGGCGAUAUAUGAGAGAAAGAACAAAGGAGAAGAACACAAAAGAAUGUCAAGAUCUAAAUUCAAAGGGUUCCCCUCACUUAGAAGAUAUGGAUUGAUGAAAAUGUAGAUAUAGAUCUUCUCUCUCUUUUUUUCUUAAAUAGACGCAAGAAUUAAGGGAGAAACAGAGAGAAAGCAAACUACAAUAGGUCAACAAUGGUAGGGGAACCUUGCUCAGAUUCAUUGGGGCCAUUGGGGAAGAAGACCCCCUUAAAUAGGCUCCUACGUACGAAUCUAACCGUUACGAUGUAGAAAAACACUGGAGCAGUACAACCACUUGGAUAAGUGGUACAACUGCUCCAGGCAGUAAAACCAUGAGGUGGUGGCCUAGGCGGUACAAUCACUCAUCACACCGGUUGCAUCGUUUAUUAAAACAACCGGAACUAUGGUGCUCCCACCGCUCACUACCGCACCCCAAAACCCAGAGGAAUCACCCUCGAGCGGUAGUUGCGGCGGUACAAAUGCCGCUACAACCGUCCCAAAAGCUUAUAGGAGUGGCUGUAAGUUCCAUUGCAGUACAAAUGUUGGAACAACCGUCCCAGAACCAUGCACACACCAGGCAAGCAGCCCAAUCGCCAAAGCCGUUGACGGAACCGAUAAUAUCUGUUGACGCCUGAGUGCCUCCAGUUUGUUAAUCAAACUGUUGAGAAGAGACAAUCUGUCUAAAAUCCCACAUUGAAGAUGCUACGGCAAUCUUACGCAUCCGACACAAGUCUAUGUCAAUAAUAAAUCUGGAUGUUAUCUCAGGUCCCAGAAAAUACAUCGCCUUUGCUGCACCUUCAUAACCGCAACUAGCCAUCAAUAUCUUUGUCAAACAUGACCCGAACAUUCCUUAUCGAAAACAAUAACAUGGCCACCCAAACGAAAAUAAAUUGGAAACGUAAAAAAAGAAGAUGGAACAUGAUAGUCAAAUAUGGUACUUGUGUACACAUUUUUCUCUAUUGAUCCCAAAUUACGAUAUCAUUCAUUCUUUCUUUCUCUGGUGAAGAGGAAUUUAUUAAUAAUGGGUAAAAAUACAUUCAUUACAAAAUAAAUAAUGCCCCCUCCGUUCCAAAAUAUCAUGGUUUUAGUUCUAUUUACAUGCCACACUUUGCUUUGCAGAAAUACACAAUUGAUUUUAUGCAGAAGUUCCAAAAUCCUGACAGUAUUUUCUUUUGUUGUUGCAGCCUUGCUCUUGUUGUUUUAUCAGAUGGGCUUGUCCCCUGUCUCACCCUGUUACAACUUACAACUAUGCGCCUUUUGUGCUAUGGGAACAAUGGGAAGAGGCAGGUAGCCCUUUUUCUGCAAACAUGUCACUGUCUCGUACAAGCUUUGCCUCAGCGGAGUGAACUCCAACCCCAGCUCCCUCAGCCUCAGGUUUGAGAAUGUAACACCCCAUAUGUAAACUGCCAUAUUUGUAUUCCAACUCUUGCCAUUUCCGGCACUAAGUUAUGAUAUUUCCUCGUUGUCGGGUUUUUUUGUCUUCGUGUUGUUUUGCCUUUGUCAUGCAUCUCAUAUCAUGUCAUCAUGUGCAUCGCAUUUGCAUACGUGUUCGUCUCAUGCGUCCGAGCUUUUUCCCCGUUGUCCGUUUUGCAUUCCGGCGCUCCUAUGUCCUCCGGUGCCUCCUUUUACCUCUUUUCGUGUGCGGGUGUUAAACGUUCUUGGAUUGGACCGAGACUUGCAAAGCGGCCUUGGUUUACUACCGGCAGACCGCCUGUCAAGUUUCGUGCCAUUUGAACUUCGUUUGAUACUCCAACGGUUAACCGAGGGACCGUAAAGGCCUCGUGUGUGUUGCAGACCAACACCUCUCCAAAGUGGCCCAAAACCCACCUAAACCACUUCCAUCAUCUCAGUCAUUCGAUCACGAUCGCGUGGCCUAAAACCGUGCUCAAUUUGGAGCCUCCUAGCUCCUUUUAUGUAUAAAUAGGUCCUCCCAUUCCAAACCCCGGGUCAAUCCACCCCUAACCCUAACCCUAGCCCUGCUCCUCUCCGAGCGCCGGACGCGUCCGCCCGCCGCCGGACAACCUCGCCGCCGCCACUCACCGCCCGCCACGUGGCGCCCCGCCGACCCGUCGCCGCCGAGGCCCGCGGGUUCCAGAUCCGGCCCUNNNNNNNNNNNNNNNNNNNNNNNNNNNNNNNNNNNNNNNNNNNNNNNNNNNNNNNNNNNNNNNNNNNNNNNNNNNNNNNNNNNNNNNNNNNNNNNNNNNNNNNNNNNNNNNNNNNNNNNNNNNNNNNNNNNNNNNNNNNNNNNNNNNNNNNNNNNNNNNNNNNNNNNNNNNNNNNNNNNNNNNNNNNNNNNNNNNNNNNNNNNNNNNNNNNNNNNNNNNNNNNNNNNNNNNNNNNNNNNNNNNNNNNNNNNNNNNNNNNNNNNNNNNNNNNNNNNNNNNNNNNNNNNNNNNNNNNNNNNNNNNNNNNNNNNNNNNNNNNNNNNNNNNNNNNNNNNNNNNNNNNNNNNNNNNNNNNNNNNNNNNNNNNNNNNNNNNNNNNNNNNNNNNNNNNNNNNNNNNNNNNNNNNNNNNNNNNNNNNNNNNNNNNNNNNNNNNNNNNNNNNNNNNNNNNNNNNNNNNNNNNNNNNNNNNNNNNNNNNNNNNNNNNNNNNNNNNNNNNNNNNNNNNNNNNNNNNNNNNNNNNNNNNNNNNNNNNNNNNNNNNNNNNNNNNNNNNNNNNNNNNNNNNNNNNGUCCCUCGUCGCCCUUCGCCGCGCCCGAGGCCCCUUCCUCGCCGCCGCGCCAUCCCGGCCCCAGAUCCGGCCGGCCCCGCCCGUUUCGGCCGGGCUCCUCCUCUCCGGCGAACCCCCGCGACGCUUCGGCCACCGCUGCUUCUUUUCUGGCGAUUCUCGAAGAGCGUGCACGAACCCUAGAUCUGGGAGAGAGGUUGACUUUUUCGUAAGUCCCCAGUAUUUUUUGGGCAUUUUCAUCGCAUCAUAUCUUUGCACCGGUGGCUCCGUUUUGGGUGUUUAGCAUAUCCAAUUGUUCGUCUCGACGAGUACUUCAUUUCAUUCCAUUGCACCAUGUUCAUUUGAGUAUAUCUUGAUGCCCUAAAUGCUAUUGCAAGAGUGCUAUGCAAUGUUAGUUUCAAUUUCUUAUCAGCAUUUGGACAUUUGUCAUUUUUGCCAUGAUUAAUGUGUGCCUCCUAUGAACUUGAGCCCUACAUGAGUUUAGAAGUAUGCCAUGCCAUCUUUACAGGGUGUAUGACAUGUAUUUUUGCGAUCUCUGUGGUGACUAGCACAAGUAUGCAAAAUAGCUCUCGUAAUGUUGCUGAUUUCAGGGACUUAGAAAUCAUCUAAGUCUUUUCCCUGAUAUUAUUUUUAUGCCAUGUAUUCAUGUUGCUACAGAGUGAUCCAUGAAUCUUUUGAGCAUGAUUAGAAAGGACGUUUUGUAGAUAUUGUUGUGCUCUAUCCAUCCAUGUCUUUGUUUGCAUUUGUGGAGCACCCUAGCUUGACUCAAUCGAGCUCUACUUUUGCUAUAAAAUGUUACUGGCAGAAUGUUUACGUGUUAAGCAUUUUUGCCGAGGUUGUUGUAGUUGAUCCAUGCAUGCUAUGAGGUUGUUCUUGCCAUGUUUAGCUUCUAUGCCAUGUUUACUUGCUGGGUGUAUGCUUAGUUUGUCAUGGAAUGCCUUGUGGUGAGUGCAUCGAGCUCGUAAACAUGCCUACUUAAUAUCUGUUUUGCCAUGUUUCAGUUUUCUUCUAAGUCUGAAUCUGUUAACGAAACUUGCUAUGUUCACAUGGUUGCCAUUGUAUUUUCUGAUCCCUUUUGGCUUAUGGUCAGUAAGGGACUUUUGUUGUAUGCUUUGAGUAGCUUCAUGCCAUGCCUUGCUUUGCCAUGAUAUGUUCCUGUAGCAUGUUGUUAUCUUGCUCUAAACACUGCUUCCUGAUGUUAAAUUCCUGGCUUGUUAAUUUCACUAAGUCUGUAACCUGAUAUCUUUUGCACUUUUGCCAUGCUUGUUUGAACCUAUUAUUGAGUGAAUUAGCCGUAGCUCAGUGUUCAUCUUUUGUCAAGCAUCUUGAGUGGAUCAAUGCCAUGUGCUUUGUUGCUAUGUUAGAGGGCAGUAGCUUGUUAUUCUUGAUGCAUUUAGAUGGCCUCGUGUUGUUAAUCGCAGAUCGGUGCCAUAUUUGUUUUGCUUGCCAUUUGCAAACCGUGCACCCGUUUCCGGUGAUCUUCAUAUCGAUUUCGACCGAAAUCAACUCAUCUUUCUAGUGGAACUCUUGGUUUUCCAAGUUGAGGCCAGGUUCAAUCUUUCCUUUCCGAAGCAUGCAUAUGCAUUGCAUUUCACGUUCCGCAUAUCAUGCCAUGUUUUGCAUCAUGUUGCUUGUGCAUUGCACGUGGUUGAUUGUGGUUCCCUUUGUUUGUGUUCUUGCUUUGGGUAGAGCCGGGAGACGAGUACGUGAACGAGGAGCCCGUUGAGUACGCUUACGAGGAUCAAGGUAACGUCAACUCGUAGAACUUUGUAGGCAAGAUGACCAUACCCUCGAAAUCACUUUUAUCUUUGCUUGCUAGAUACUCGCUCUUUUGCUAUGCCUAUGCUACGAUACCUACCACUUGCUUAUCAUGCCUCCCAUAUUGCCAUGUCAAGCCUCUAACCCACCUUGUCCUAGCAAACCGUUGUUUGGCUAUGUUACCGCUUUGCUCAGUCCCUCUUAUAGCGUUGCUAGUUGCAGGUGAAGAUUAGAGUUUGUUCCUUGUUGGAACAUGUUUAUUUUUGGGAUAUCAUUAUUAUAUCUUGUAUUUUAAUGCAUCUAUAUACUUGGUUAUGGGUGGAAGGCUCGGCCUUAUGCCUGGUGUUUUGUUCCACUCUUGCCGCCCUAGUUUCCGUCAUACCGGUCUUAUGUUCCUUGAUUUUGCGUUCCUUACACGGUUGGGUUAUAAUGGGAACCCCUUGACAGUUCGUCUUGAAUAAAACUCCUCCAACAAUGCCCAACAUUGGUUUUACCAUUUGCCACCUAGCCUCUUUUCCCUUGGGUUCCACGGACUCAAGGGUCAUCUUUAUUUUAAACCCCCGGGCCAGUGCUCCUCUGAGUGUUGGUCCAACUUGUCAGCCGCCGGUGGCCACCAGGGGCAACUUUGGGCUGGCCUACCAGAAGUUUAGACAAUUCGGUGUGCCCUGAGAACGAGAUAUGUGCAGCUCCUAUCGGGAUUUGUUGGCACAUUCGGGUGGCUUUAAUGGUUUAGUUUUACCAUUGUCGAGAUAUCUUGUAACUGGGAUCCCGAGUCUGGUCGGGUUGUCUUGGGAGAAGGAAUAUCCUUCGUUGACUGUGAGAGCUUGUGAUGGGCUAAGUUGGGACACCCCUGCAGGGAUUUGAAAUUUCAAAAGCCGUGCCCGCGGUUAUGGGCAGAUGGGAAUUUGUUAAUGUCCGGUUGUAGAAAACCUGAAUCUUAACUUAAUUAAAAUGAAUCAACAGAGUGUGUGGCCGUGAUGGUCUCUUUUGUUGGGGAUCGUAGCAGAAAUUUAAAAUUUUCUACGCAUCACCAAGAUUAAUCUAUGGAGUAAUCUAGCAACGAGGGGAAGGGGAGUGCAUCUACAUACCCUAGUAGAUCGCUAAGCGGAAGCGUUGCAAGAACACGGAUGAAGGAGUCGUACUCGCAGCGAUUCAGAUCGCGAUUGAUUCCGAUCUAAGCGCCGAACAACGGCGCCUCCGCGUUCAACACACGUGCAGCCCGGUGACGUUUCCCACACCUUGAUCCAGCAAGGGGAGAAGGAGAGGUUGGGGAAGACUCCGUCCAGCAGCAGCACGACGGUGUGGUGGUGGUGGAGGAGCGCGGAACUCCAGUAGGGCUUCGCCAAGCACUACGAGAGACGAGGAGGGAGAGAGGUAGGGCUGCGCCAAGAGGGAGAUGAUCUCGUGUGUCUUGCAGCCCCCAAUACCUCAAGUAUAUAUAGGGGAAGGGAAGGGGCUGCGCCCCCAUCUAGGGUUCCCUCCCUAGGGGUGGCGGCAGCCCCAAAACCCAUCUAGGGUGGCGCCAAUGGGGAGAGAGGGGGGCGCACCUAGGGUGGGCCUUAAGGCCCAUCUGGACCUAGGGUUUUCCCCCUCCCACUCUCCCUUGCGCCUUGGGCCUUGGUGGGGGGCGCACCAGCCCACCUGGGGCUGGUCCCCUCCCACACUUGGCCCACGCAGCCUUCUAGGGCUGGUGGACCCCCGGUGGUCCCGGAACGUUACCGAUAGCACCCGAAACCUUUCCGGUGAACAAAACGGGACUUCUCAUAUAUAAAUCUUUACCUCCGGACCAUUCUGGAACUCCUCGUGACGUCCAGGAUCUCAUCCGGGACUCCGAACAACAUUCGGUAACUGUGUACAUACUUUCCAUAUAACCCUAGCAUCAUCGAACCUUAAGUGUGUAGACCCUACGGGCUCAGGAGUCAUGCAAACAUGGCUGACACAACUCUCCUAUCAAUAACCAACAGUGGGAUGUGGAUACCCAUGUUGGUUCCCACAUGCUCCAUGAUGAUCUCAUCGGAUGGACCACGAUGUCAAGGAUUCAAUCAAUCCCGUAUACAAUUCCCUUUGUCAAUCGGUACGAUACUUGCCCGAGGUUCGAUCGUCGGUAUCCCGAUACCUUGUUCAAUCUCGUUACCGGCAAGUCUCUUUACUCAUUCCGUAACACAUCAUCCCGUGAUCAACUCCUUGGUUACAUUGUGCACAUUAUGAUGAUGUUCUACCGAGUGGGCCCAGAGAUACCUCUCCGUUACACAGAGUGACAAAUCCCAGUCUCGAUUUGUGCCAACCCAACAGACACUUUCGGAGAUACCCGUAGUGCACCUUUAUAGCCACCCAGUUACGUUGUGAUGUUUGGCACACCCAAAGCACUCCUACCGUAUCCGGGAGUUGCACAUUCUCAUGGUCUAAGGAAAUGAUACUUGACAUUAAAAAAACUUUAGCAUACGAACUACACGAUCUUGUGCUAGGCUUAGGAUUGGGUCUUGCCAUCACAUCAUUCUCCUAAUGAUGUGAUCCCGUUAUCAACGACAUCCAAUGUCCAUGGUCAGGAAACCGUAACCAUCUAUUGAUCAACGAGCUAGUCAACUAGAGGCUUACUAGGGACAUGGUGUUGCCUAUGUAUCCACGCAUGUAUCUGAGUUUCCUAUCAAUACAAUUCUAGAAUGGAUAACAAACGAUUAUCAUGAACAAUGAAAUAUAAUAAUAACUAAUUUAUUAUUGCCUCUAGGGCAUAUUUCCAACAGUCUCCCACUUGCACUAGAGUCAAUAAUCUAGUUCACAUCGCUAUGUGAUUAACACUCACAGGUCAAAUCGCCAUGUGACCAACAUUCAAAGAGUUUACUAGAGUCAAUAAUCUAAUUCACAUCACUAUGUGAUUAACACUCAAUGAGUUCUGGGUUUGAUCAUGUUAUGCUUGUGAGAGAGGUUGUAGUCAACGGGUUUGCAAUAUUCAGAUCCCUAUGUAUUUCGUAAGACUUUAUGUCAUAUCGUAGAUGCUGCUACCACGUUCCACUUGGAGCUAUUCCAAAUUGUUGCUCCAUUAUACGUAUCUGGUAUCUCUACUCAGAGCUAUUCGGAUAGGUGUUAAUCUUGCAUCGACGUAACUCUUUACGUCGAACUCUUUAUCACCUCCAUAAUCGAGAAACAUUUCCUUGUUCCUCUAAGGAUAAUUUUGACCGCUAUCUGGUGAUCAACUCCUAGAUCACCUUUGUACCCUCUUGCCAGACAUAUGACAAGGCACACAUCUGGUGCGGUACUCAGCAUGGCAUACCGUAUAGAGCCUAUGACAAAAGCAUAGGGGACGACCUUCGUCCUUCCUCUUUCUUCUGUCGUGGUCAAUCUUUGAGUCUUACUCAACUUCACACCUUACAACUCAGGUAAGAACCCCUUCUUUGAUUGAUCUAUUUUGAACUCCUUCAAAAACAUGUCAAGGUGUGCGUUUUUGAAAGUAUCAUCAGGCGUCUUGAUCUAUCUCUAUAGAUCUUGAUGCCCAAUAUGUAAGCAGCUUUAUCCAGGUCUUCCUUUGAAAAUCACUCUUCAAACAACCGUUUAUGCUUUCUAGAAAUUCUACAUUAUUUCGAAUCAACAAUAUGUCAUCCACAUAUACUUAUCAGAAAUGUUGUAGUGCUCCCACUUACUUUCUUGUAAAUACAAGUUUCUAGCAAACAUUGUAUAAACCUAAAAGCUUUGAUCACUCCAUCAAAGCAUAUAUUCCGACUCCGAGAUGCUCGCUCUAGUCCAUAGAUGGAUCACUGGAGCUAGCAUACCUUUUAGCAUCCUUAGGAUCGACAAAACUUUGAUUGUAUCACAUACAACUCUUUCUUACGAAAAAUGGUAAGAAAACUUGUUUUUGACAUCCAUCUGUCGGAUUUCAUAAUCGAAAAAUACAGCUAAUGCUAACAUGAUUCCGACGGACUUAAGCAUCGCUACGGGUGAGGAAUUCUCAUCGCAGUCAACUCCUUAAACUUGUGAAAAGACUCUUUCCCACAAGUCGAGCUUCAUAGACGGUAACAUUACCGCCCAUGUCCGUCUUCUUCUUAAAGAUCCAUUUAUCUCAAUGGCUUGCCGAUCAUCGGGCAAGUCCACCAAAGUCCAUACUUUGUUCUGAUACAUGGAUCCUAUCUCGGAUUUCAUGGCUUCUAACCAUUGGUCGGAAUACGGGCCCACCAUCACUUCUCCAUAGCUCAUAGGUUCAUUGUUGUCUAACAACAUGAUAUCUAAGACAGGAUUACCGUACCACUCAGGAGUAGUACAUAUCCUUGUCGACCUACGAGGUUUGAUAGCAACUUGAUCCGAAGCUUCAUGAUCACUAUCAUUAACUUCCUAUUCAACAGAUGUAGGCGCCACAGAAAACAUCUUUCUGUGUUGCAUCACUCUCUGGUUGAAGUAAAGGUUCGACAACCUCAUCAAGUUCUAUCUACCUCCCACUUAAUUCUUUCGAGAGAAAACUCCUUCUCGAGAAAGGACCCGUUCUUAGCGACAAACAAUUUGCCCUCGGAUCUGAGAUAGAAGGUGUACCCAACUGUCACCUUUGGGUAUUCUAUGAAGAUGUGUUUGUCCGCUUUGGGUUUGAGCUUCUCUGGCUGAAGCCUUAGGCAUCGCAGCCCCAAACAUUAAGAAACGACAACUUUGGUUUCUUGCCAAACCAAUGUUCAUAUGAUGUCGACUAAACGGACUUAGAUGGUGUCCUAUCUAAAGUGAAUGCAGCUGUCGCUAACGCAUAACCUCAAAAUGAAAACGGUAGAUCGGUAAGAGACAUCAUAGAUCGCACCAUAUCUCAUAGGGUUCGAUUACGACAUCCAGACACACCAUUACCCUGUGGUGUUCCAGGUGUCUUUAACUGUGAAACAAUUCCACAAUGUCUUAAGUGAUUGCCAAACUCAUAACUCAGAAAUUAUCAUCGAUCAGAUCGUAGGAAUUUGAUCUUCUUGUUAUGAUGGUUCUUAACUUCACUCUGAAAUCGCUUGAACUUUUCAAAUGUUUCAGACUUGUGCUUCAUUAAUUAAAUAUACCUAUAUCUACUCAAAUCGUCAGUGAAGAUGAGGAAAUAGCGAUAUCCACCGCACGCUUCAAUUCUCAUUGGAUCACACGCAUCAGCAUGUAUGAUUUCCAACAAGUCACUUGCCCGUUUCAUUGUACCUGAAAACGGGGUCUUAGUCAUCUGCCCAUGAGGCAUGGCUCGCAUGUGUCAAGCGAUUCAAAAUCAAGUGACUCCAAACAUCCAUCGACAUGGAGUUUCUUCAUGCAUCUUACGCCAAUAUGACCUAAGCGGCAGUGCCACAAGAAAGUGGUACUAUCAUUAUUAACUCUACAUCUUUUGGCAUGAACAUGCGUAUUACCACGACCGAGAUUCAAUGAACCAUUCACAUAGGGUGCAUGACCAUGAAAGGUAUUAUUCAUGUAAACAGAAUAACCAUUAUUCUCUAACUUAAAUGAAUAACCGUAUUGCAAUGUACAUGAUCUAAUCAUAUUCAUGCUCAACAUAGACACCUGAUAACAUUUAUCUAGGUUCAAUACUAAUCCCGAAAGCAGAUGGAGCGUGCGAUGGUGAUCUCAUCAACUUUGGAAACACUUCCAACACACAUCGUCACCUCGCCCUUAGCCAGUCUCCGUUUAGUCCAUAGCUUUUGCUUCAAGUCACCAAUAAUAGCAACUGAACCGGUAUCCAAUACCCAGGUGCUACCAGGAGUACUAUUGAGGUACACAUUAAUAACACGUAUAUACUUUGUUGAAGUUGCCAGCCUUCUUAUCUACCAUGCAUUUGGGGUAAUUCCGCUACCAGUGACCGUUCCCCUUACAAUAGAAGCACUUAGUCUCGGGUUUGGGUUCAACCUUGGGUUCCUUCACUGGAGCGGCAACUGGUUUGCCAUCCAUGAAGUUUCCCUUCUAGCCCUUGCCCUUCUCGAAACCAGUGGUCUUGUUAAACCAUCAACACUUGAUGCUCCUUCUUGAUUUCUACCUUUUGCGGUCUUAAGCACCGUGAACAGCUCCGGGAUCAACUCCAUCCCUUGCAAGUCAUAGUUCAUCACGACGAUCUAGUAGCUUAGUGAUAGUGGCUAGAGAACUCUAUCAAUCACUAUCUUAUCUGGAAGUUUAACUCCCACUUGAUUUAAGUGAUUGUAGCACCCAGACAUUCUGAGCACAAGCUCACUAGCUGAGCUAUUCUCCUCCAUCUUGUUGGCAAAAGAACUUGUCAGAGGUCUCAUACCUCUCAACACGGGCAUGAGCCUGAAAUCCCAAUUUCAGCUCUAGGAACAUCUCAUAUGUCUUAUGGCGUUCAAAACGUCAUUGGAAUCCCGAUUCUAAGCCGUAAAGUAUGGUGCACUAAACUAUCAAGUAGUCAUCAGGAUGUGUCUGUCAGGUGUUCACAACAUCCACAGACGACAUUGUAGGGUUUUGCACAUCGAGCGGUGCAUCAAAGACGUAAGCCUUCUGUGUAGCAGUGAGGACACUCCUCGGACUGCGGACCCAGUCCGCAUCAUUGCUUACAAUAUCUUUCAACUUGGUCUUUCUCUAGGAACGUAUUGAAAUAGGGAGCUACAACGUGAGCUAUUUAUCUACAACAUAUUUGCAAAGACAAUUUAGACUAUGUUCAUGAUAAUUAAGUUCAUCUAAUCAAAUUAUUUAAUGAACUCCCACUCAGAUAGACAUCCCUCUAGUCAUCUAAGUGAAACAUGAUCCGAGUCAACUAGGCCGUGUCCGAUCAUCACGUCAGACGGACUAGUCAACAUCGGUGAACAUCUUCAUGUUGAUCGUAUCUUCUAUACGACUCAUGCUCGACCUUUCGGUCUUCCGUGUUCCGAGGCCAUGUUUGUACAUGCUAGGCUUGUCAAGUCAACCUAAGUGUAUUGCGUGUGUAAAUUUGGCUUACACCCAUUUUAUUUGAACGUUAGAAUCUAUCACACCCGAUCAUCACGUGGUGCUUCGAAACAACGAACCUUCGCAACGGUGCACAGUUAGGGGGAACACUUUCUUGAAAUUAUUGCGAGGGAUCAUCUUAUUUAAGCUACCGUCGUUCUAAGCAAAUAAGAUGUAAAACAUGAUAAACAUCACAUGCAAUCAAAUAGUGACAUGAUAUGGCCAAUAUCAUUUUGCUCAUUUUGAUCUCCAUCUUCGGGGCGCCAUGAUCAUCAUCGUCACCGGCAUGACACCAUGAUCUCCAUCAUCAUGAUCUCCAUCAUCGUGUCUUCAUGAAGUCGUCUCGUCAACUAUUACUUCUACUACUAUGGCUAAUGGUUUAGCAAUAAAGUAAAGUAAUUACAUGACGUUUAAGUUGACACACAGGUCAUAAAUAAAUUAAGACAACUCCUAUGGCUCCUGCCGGUUGUCAUACUCAUCGACAUGCAAGUCGUGAUUCCUAUUACAAGAACAUGAUCAAUCUCAUACAUCACAUAUAUCAUUCAUCACAUCCUUUUGGACAUAUCACAUCACAAGGCAUAUGCUGCAAAAACAAGUUAGACGUCCUCUAAUUGUUGUUGCAAAUUUUUAUGUGGCUGCUAUAGGUUUCUAGCAAGAACGUUUCUUACCUACGCCAAAACCACAACGUGAUAUGCCAAUUUCUAUUUACCCUUCAUAAGGACCCUUUUCAUCGAAUCCGAUCCGACUAAAGUGGGAGAGACAGACACCCGCUAGCCACCUUAUGCAACUAGUGCAUGUCAGUCGGUGGAACCUGUCUCACGUAAGAGUACGUGUAAGGUCGGUCCGGGCCGCUUCAUCCCACGAUGCCACCGAAUCAAGAUAAGACUAGUAACAGCAAGUAUAUUGACAAAAUCGACGCCCACAACAACUUGUGUUCUACUCGUGCAUAGAAACUACGCAUAGACCUAGCUCAUGAUGCCACUGUUGGGGAUCGUAGCAGAAAUUUAAAAUUUUCUACGCAUCACCAAUAUCAACCUAUGGAGUAAUCUAGCAACGAAGGGAAGGGGAGUGCAUCUACAUACCCUAGUAGAUCGCUAAGCCGAAGCGUUGCAAGAACGCGGAUGAAGGAGUCGUACUCACAGCGAUUCAGAUCACGGUUGAUUCCGAUCUAAGCGCCGAACAACGGCGCCUCCGUGUUCUACACACAUGCAGCCCGCUGAUGUCUCCCAUGACUUGAUCUAGCAAGGGGAGAAGGAGAGGUUCAGGAAGACUCCGUCCAGCAGCAGCACGACGGCGUGGUGGUGGUGGAGGAACGCGGAACUCCAGCAGGGCUUCGCCAAGCACUACGAGAGACGAGGAGGGAGAGAGGUAGGGCUGCGCCAAGAGGGAGAUGAUCUCGUGUGUCUUGCAGCCCCCAAUACCUCAAGUAUAUAUAGGGGAAGGGAAGAGGCUGCGCCCCCAUCUAGGGUUCCCUCCCUAGGGGUGGCGGCAGCCGCAAAACCCAUCUAGGGUGGCAGCCAAAGGGGGAGAGAGGGGGCGCACCUAGGGUGGGCCUUAAGGCCCAUAUCGACCUAGGGUUUGCCCCCUUCCACUCUCCCUUGCACCUUGGGCCUUGGUGGGGGGCGCACCAGCCCACCUGGGUCUGGUCCCCUCCCACACUUGGCCCACGCAGCCUUCUAGGGCUGGUGGCCCCACCUGGUGGAGCCCCGGGACCCUCCCGGUGUCCCUGUACGUUACCGAUAGCACCCGAAACCUUUCCGGUGACCAAAACGGGACUUCUCAUAUAUAAAUAUUUACCUCCGGACCAUUCCUUAACUCCUCAUGACGUCCGGGAUCUCAUCCGGGACUCCGAACAACAUUCGGUAACCGUGUACAUACUUUCCAUAUAACCCUAGCGUCAUCGAACCUUAAGUGUGUACACCCUACGGGCUCGGGAGUCAUGCAGACAUGGCCGAGACAACUCUCCUGUCAAUAACCAACAGCGGGAUCUGGAUACCCAUGUUGGUUCCCACAUGCUCCACGAUGAUCUCAUCGGAUGAACCACGAUGUCAAGGAUUCAAUCAAUCCCGUAUACAAUUCCCUUUGUCUAUCGGUACGAUACUUGCCCGAGAUUCGAUCGUCUGUAUCCCGAUACCUUGUUCAAUCUCGUUACCGGCAAGUCUCUUUACUCGUUCUGUAACACAUCAUCCCAUGAUCAACUCCUUGGUCACAUUAUGCACAUUGUGAUUAUGUCCUACCGAGUGGGCAAAGAGAUACCUCUCCGUUACACGGAGUGACAAAUCCCAGUCUCGAUUCGUGCCAACCCAACAGACACUUUCGGAGAUACCCGUAGUGCACCUUUAUAGCCACCCAGUUACGUUGUGACUUUUGGCACACCCAAAGCACUUCUACAGUAUCCGGGAGUUGCACAAUCUCAUGGUCUAAGGAAAUGAUACUUGACAUUAGAAAAGCUUUAGCAUACGAACUACGCGAUCUUGUGCUAGGCUUAGGAUUGGGUCUUGUCCAUCACAUCAUUCUCCUAAUGAUGUGAUCCCGUUAUCAACGACAUCCAAUGUCCAUGGUCAGGAAACCGUAACCAUCCAUUGAUCAACGAGCUAGUCGACUAGAGGCUUACUAGGGACAUGGUGUUGUCUAUGUAUCCACACAUGUAUCUGAGUUUCCUAUCAAUACAAUUCUAGCAUGGAUAAUAAACGAUUAUCAUGAACAAUGAAAUAUAAUAAUAACUAAUUUAUUAUUGCCUCUAGGGCAUAUUUCCAACAUCUUUUCGGCAGAGUCCGGGAAGAGAACACGGUCUCGAGUUUAUGCUUGAACGUAGGUUGUUCUAGGAUCACUUCUUGGUCAUAGUUUCUCAACCGUGCCUUGCCUUCUCUUCUCGCUCUCAUUUUCGUAUGUUAGCCACCAUAUAUGCUAGUGCUUGCUGCAGCUCCACAUCAUACCUUUCCCUACCUAUAAGCUUAAAUAGUCUUGAUCGGGAGGGUGUGAGAUUGCUGAGUCCCCGUGACUCACAGUUUACUUCCACAACCAGAUGCAGGGGCCGAUGAUACCGCUCCAGGAGAUUCGACUGAGCUCAAGUGGGAGUUCGAUGAGGACUCAGGACAAUACUACGUUUCCUUUCCAAACGAUCAGUAGUGGAGCCCAGUUGGGGCGAUCGGGGUCAUUAUGCAUUUGGGGUUGUCUUUAUUUUGGUUCCGUAGUCGGACCUUGAUUGUAUCUGGAUGAAUGUAAUGAUAUUUAUGCUAUUGUGUGACGUGGCAAGUGUAAGCCAACUAUGUAACUCUUUUCCGUAUUUAUUACAUGGGUUGUGUGAAGAUUACCCCACUUGCGACAUUGCUUACAAUGCGGUUAUGCCUCUAAGUCGUGCUUCGACACGUGGGAGAUAUAGCCGCAUCAUGGGCGUUACAAGUUGGUAUCAGAGCCUUCCCCGACUUAGGAGCCCCCUGCUUGAUCGAACCGCUGGCGUUGUUGAGUCUAGAAAAAUGUUUUGAGUCAUUUAGGAUUUUAUAUAUCGGAGAGUAGGAUUCUUUUUACUCCUCAGUCCCUUCGUCGCUCUGGUGAGGCAUCUUGACGUAGAGUUUUGACUCUUCUCUUCUCAAAUUUCACUAAAUUUUUUUUAGGAUCACGCAGGUAUUUUGGAAUCAUUCCGAUGGUUUUGUGACGAGAACAUUGUUCUUGGUGCCUCCUAACAUUUAGGGGUUGUGGCAGUGUCCCGGGGAGUUGAUCUCCAAGGUGUUGUCGUCACAAUUUUAUCGUUGCAGUUCUGGAAUACCUGAGUUUCACCGACAUCGAAAAUCUCUUUUAUGCAGUUGUUGGUGAGAUAACCUCGACGCCACCCAGUACUGGGGCGGGAGUUCGGGAGUAUUGCCAUAACUCGUAUAACGGAUGCUUUUCGAAGGUUGAGGUAAAUGAUUUCCGAAGGUUUCUUGGUUAUGUGUUGAAGGAUGGAUACAGCUGGAUGUAGGAUUUGCUAGCUUUGGGUGAGAUAUUAUGCUUCCCCUGUAUCCCCAACACCUGAUUGCAUAACCGGAAAGGUUUGGGAGUUUCAUAGGUGGGAAUUCAUGUAGCUCUAGUAUUUCUUCCGCGAAUAUUUGGUUUGUGAUUGGGAAAUCCUCAGCAAGUAUUUGUUCUUGUCCAUACCUUGUUGUUUUAUUAUUCUACCUCUACCUAAGUGGCUUCUCAAUUUAUGGAAGUGUGACCAUUUAAUUCGGAAUUCAUUCGUUCGUUUUAUUCGGAUGUUAAGACUAUAUGUUGCAAUUUCGAUCCAUUUGAUUCAUCUUGAAUAUAUGUCUGUCAAGAUGCUAACGGAUGUCACCCUCUUCAGGAUGGCUCCUCCAACGCGUCAGAAUCCUGAUCCGCCACCACCACCUCCACCUCCGGAGGCAUGGCAAGCUGUGAUGGUCGCUACCAAUGUCAACCCGCAGAUGCUUAUGCAACUCUUGCAAGAGCACAACCAAGGAAACCAAGGGCAUGGCAACUUUUAGAAUCAGUUUGGUACACUCAACCAGUUCCUCACAAACCAGCCAAAGACCUUCAGUAACUAUGUCGAGGCAAUAGACGCUAAUGAUUGGCUCAUGGAUAUCUGCAAGCAUUUCGAGUGCAGCAACGUCAGGCCUGAGGACUUUGUCAAGUUUGCUUCGUUCCAACUCAAAGACCAAGCUGCUGAGUGGUAUCGGCAAUACAAAGAUUCCAGAGGAGGUCAUGUGAUUACCUGGGAUGCAUUCCGUCAAGACUUCAAAGCUCACCACAUUCCUCAGAGUGUUGUUGAGAGCAAGCGUGAGGAGUUCCGCAAUCUGAAGCAAGGCAGCUUGUCUGUUUACGAGUACAACAUCAUGUUCCAUAAGCUCGCUCGUUUCUCUAAGCAAGACAUCCCUGAUGAGAAGUGCAUGAUUUAUCAGUUCAGAGGUGGUCUCAGAGAAGAUCUCCAACUAGCUCUCGUGAUUUUUGAGCCGAAGAAGUACGAUGAGUUUUACAACAUGGCACUGAAACAAGAGACUGCUCAGCUCAAGUGCGAUGCUUCGAAGAAGCGAGUCAGGGAUGCAACUCCUUCUUCCUCAACUCAAGUGGCAACUAAGCAGCAAAAGUAUUGGUUGCCUCCUCCUCCGUUCCGUCAGCCUUAUCAGCAGAAGAGCAAAGGUGGCAAUGGAUCUUCCCACCCACCCAACCUAGGCUUUCAGAACAAGACUUCGUCUCAUGCUCCAAGAUCAAGUGCUCCGUAUCACCGUCCGCUCUCGGAGGUUACGUGCAACAAGUGUCAUCAGAAGGGUCACUAUGACAACAAAUGCUUCAAUCAGAGGCGUCUUCCUCCUCCUGUGAGAUCUGCCAGCAACGCAAUGGUCAAGCAUAAUCCCAAGUUUGCAAAGGUCAACAUGAUGAACGCAGCUCAGGCAGAGGACUCGUCAGAUGUGAUAAUGGGUAACCUUCCUAUUAAUGAUAUUCCUGCAAAAGUUCUUCUUGACACUGGUGCAUCGCAUUGUUUCAUCUCAAGACCAUUUGCAACUAAGCAUGAGUUGGCUUUACAAGAUUUGCAUAGACCAUUAGCAGUUGUCUCACCGGGUAAAUGCUUGCACACAAGCUACGUGGUUCCGGAUGUUUCUAUCACGUUGGGCGACUAUAAGUUUCUGUCUUCUCCAAUGGUCCUUGGUAACUUGGAUAUUGAUCUUAUUCUCGGAAUGGACUGGCUUUCUAAGCACAAGGCUCAGCUUGAUUGUGCUGCCAGGCAGAUUCAAUUGACACAUUCGUCUGAGGAUGUAAUCGUCUUUGCUGCGCGUGAUGAUACCAUUCGACUGUUUUCUCUCAACGAGAAGGGUGAGCUGGAUGCCAUAUCUCAGAUGCCAGUCAUUUGCGAAUAUCAAGACGUCUUUCCAGAAGAGCUUCCAGGAAUGCCUUCUCACCGGCCAGUUGAAUUCGUCAUCAAUCUUAAGCCUGGCAUGGAACCUGUUUGCAAACGUCCAUACAAGCUUGGACCUGAAGAGUUGAAGGAGCUGAAGAAACAACUCGAUACUCAAGAGUGUAUGGGUCUCAUCUGACCAAGUUCUUGUCCAUGGGGUUGUGGUGUUCUUUUUGUCAUGAAGGAUGGAACAGACCGACUCUGUGUCGACUACCGUCCAUUGAACAAGAAGACCAUAAAGAACAAGUACCCACAUCCCAACAUCAAUGAGCUUUUCGAACAACUCAAAGGUGCUCAAGUAUUCUCCAAGCUUGAUAUCCGUAUGGACUAUCAUCAGAUUCGCAUUCAUGAAGAAGAUAUCCCCAAGACAGCGUUCAGACCAAGCUAUGGUUCAUAUGAAUACACUGUCAUGUCUUUCGGUCUUGUCAACGCUCCUCCAACUUUCUCUCGCAUGAUGAACUUCUUCUUCAAUGCCUACACAAAUGACUUCGUCUUGGUCUACCUCGAUGACAUUCUGGUCUUUUCCAAGAACAAGGAGGAUCAUGCCAACCACGUGAGAUUGGUUCUGGACAAACUCAGAGAACAUCAGUUCUAUGCAAAGUUUUCAAAGUGUUAGUUUUGGCUUGAUGAGGUUCUCUACCUUGGGCAUAUCAUCUCUGCCAAGGGCAUAGCUGUUAAUCCUGAGAAGGUGUCUGCAAUUGUGAAUUGGGAACCACUUCAGAAUGUGAAGCAACUCCGCAGCUUCCUUGGGCUCGCAAGCUAUUAUCGAAGGUUCGUUGAGAACUUCUCAAAGAUCGCGAAGCCUCUUUCCAACCUCCUCCAUAAGCAUGUGAAGUAUGUCUGGUCGCCUGAAUGUGACAUCGCUUUCAACACCCAGAAAGAGAAGUUAGUCACUGCUCCAGUUCUGACUCCUCCUGAUGAAUCCAAACCAUUCGAGGUUUUCUGUGAUGCUUCCCUUCAAGGUCUCGGUGCAGUGUUGAUGCAAGAGAAGAAAGUUGAGGCCUAUACCUCUCGCUAGUUGAAGCCCAACGAAAAGAACUACCCCACUCAUGACCUCGAGUUGGCGGCAGUUGUCCAUGCUCUUUUAACAUGGAGACAUCUCUUGUUGGGAAGGAAAGUGGACAUCUUCACUGAUCAUAAGAGUCUCAAGUACAUCUUCACUCAGCCAAACCUCAACCUCAGGCAGACUCGUUGGGUCGAAAUGACUCAAGAGUAUAAUCUGAGUAUCGAAUAUACUCCAGGCAAGGCCAAUGUAAUUGCUGACGCAUUGAGUAGGAAGGCUUACUGCAAUAGUUUGAUUCUCAAGCCCUACCAACCAGAGCUUUGUGAAGCUUUCCGCAAACUCAAUCUCCAAGUUGUUACUCAAGGAUUCCUUGCCAACCUCCAAGUCUCUCCUACUUUGGAAGAUCAGAUUUGUGAGGCUCAACUUCUUGAUGCCAUGGUGAAGAAGGUGAAGAUUGGGAUUGCCAAGAGUCAACCCAAGUAUAAGUGCUAUCGUCUUGAUGACAAGGAUACUCUAUUCUUCGAGGAUCGCAUUGUUGUUCCUAAGGGUGACCUUCGUAAAGUCAUUAUGAAUGAGGCUCACAAUUCACUCCUCUCUAUUCACUCUGGAAGUACAAAGAUGUACCAGGACCUCAAGCAGUCGUAUUGGUGGACUCGAAUGAAGCGCGAGAUUGCUCAGUUCAUGAAUGAAUGUGAUGUCUGCAGAAGAGUGAAAGUAGAACACCAACGACCAGCUGGUCUACUCCAACCUCUUGCCAUUCCAGAAUGGAAGUUUGACUAUAUUGAGAUGGACUUCGUGACUGGGUUUCCAAAGUCCAAGCGUGGCAAUGAUGCUAUCUUUGUUGUCAUCCACAAGCUCACUAAAGUGGCUCAUUUUCUUCCUAUCAAAGAAUCUAUCACAGCAGCUCAGUUGGCAGAGCUAUAUACCUCCAGGAUUGUCUCUUUGCACGGCAUUCCGCAGUUGAUAUCUUCAGAUCAUGGUAGCAUCUUCACCUCAAAGUUUUGGGAUUCUUUUCAGAAGGCCAUGGGCACCAACAUUCGCUUCAACACAACUUUUCAUCCUCAAACCAGUGGCCAAGUCGAGCGAGUCAAUCAAAUUCUUGAAGAUAUGCUCAGGGCUUGUGUCAUCUCUUUCGGUAUGAAGUGGGAAGAUUGUCUUCCAUAUGCCGAGUUCUCCUAUAACAACAGCUUCCAAGCGAGUUCGGGCAAGGCCCCAUUCGAGAUUCUCUAUUGCAGGAAGUGUCGUACUCCUCUUAACUGGUCAGAGACUGGUGAACGCCAACUUCUUGGAAAUGACUUGAUCACAGAGGCUGAAGAAAUGUGCAAAGUCAUUCGUGAAAAUCUCAAAGCCGCGCAAUCGCGCCAGAAGAGUUACUAUGACAGCAAACAUCGUGACUUGGCUUUCGAGAUCGGAGACCAUGUCUACCUCCGCGUCUCUCCAAUGAAAGGUACUCGUCGCUUCGGUAUCAAAGGGAAGCUUGCCCCUAGAUAGGUGGGUCCUUUCAAGAUCAUUGGCAAAAGAGGCGAUCUCUCAUAUCAACUUGAGCUUCCAUCCAACUUUGCAAAUGUGCAUGACGUGUUUCACGUGUCUCGACUCCGGAAGUGUUUUCAAGACUCCUGACCGCACCAUCAACUUCGAAGAGAUUGAUCUCCAAGAAGACAUGUCUUAUCAUGAGCACGCUGUUGCCAUUCUUGAAGAAACUAAGUGCAAGACUCGUAACAAGUCUAUCAAAUUUCUGAAAGUCAAGUGGUCACAUCAUUCCGACUGUGAAGCCACCUGGGAACGCGAGGACCACCUCCGUUUCGAGUACCCAGAGUUUUUUCAGUUCUAGAUCUCGGGACGAGAUCCUUUCGUAGUGGUGGAGUGUUGUAACACCCCAUAUGUAACCUGCCAUAUUUAUAUUCCAACUCUUGCCAUUUCCAGCACGAAGUUAUGAUAUUUCCUCGUUGUCGGGUUUUUUUGUCUUUGUUUUGUUUUGCUUUUGUCAUGCAUCUCAUAUCAUGUCAUCAUGUGCAUCGCAUUUGCAUACGUGUUCGUCUCAUGCAUCCGAGCUUUUUCCCCGUUGUCCGUUUUGCAUUCCGGCGCUCCUAUGUCCUCCGGUGCCCCCUUUUACCUCUUUUCGUGUGCGGGUGUUAAACGUUCUCUGAUUGGACCGAGACUUGCCAAGCUGCCUUGGUUUACUACCGGUAGACCGCCUGUCAAGUUUCGUGCCAUUUGGACUUCUUUUGAUACUCCAACGGUUAACCGAGGGACCGUAAAGGCCUCGUGUGUGUUGGAGCCCAACACCUCUCCAAAGUGGAACAAAACCCACCUAAACCCCUUCCAUCAUCUUAGUCGUUCGAUCACGAUCGCGUGGCCAAAAACCGUGCUCAAUUUGGAGCCUCCUAGCUCCUUCUAUGUAUAAAUAGGUCCUCCCAUUCCAAAUCCCGGGUCAAUCCACCCCUAACCCUAGCCCUGCUCCUCUCCGUGUGCCGGACGCGUCCGCCCGCCGCCGGACAACCUCGCCGCCGCCACUCACCGCCCGCCACGUGGCGCCCUGCCGACCAGCCACCGUCGAGGCCCGCGGGACCCAGAUCCGNNNNNNNNNNNNNNNNNNNNNNNNNNNNNNNNNNNNNNNNNNNNNNNNNNNNNNNNNNNNNNNNNNNNNNNNNNNNNNNNNNNNNNNNNNNNNNNNNNNNNNNNNNNNNNNNNNNNNNNNNNNNNNNNNNNNNNNNNNNNNNNNNNNNNNNNNNNNNNNNNNNNNNNNNNNNNNNNNNNNNNNNNNNNNNNNNNNNNNNNNNNNNNNNNNNNNNNNNNNNNNNNNNNNNNNNNNNNNNNNNNNNNNNNNNNNNNNNNNNNNNNNNNNNNNNNNNNNNNNNNNNNNNNNNNNNNNNNNNNNNNNNNNNNNNNNNNNNNNNNNNNNNNNNNNNNNNNNNNNNNNNNNNNNNNNNNNNNNNNNNNNNNNNNNNNNNNNNNNNNNNNNNNNNNNNNNNNNNNNNNNNNNNNNNNNNNNNNNNNNNNNNNNNNNNNNNNNNNNNNNNNNNNNNNNNNNNNNNNNNNNNNNNNNNNNNNNNNNNNNNNNNNNNNNNNNNNNNNNNNNNNNNNNNNNNNNNNNNNNNNNNNNNNNNNNNNNNNNNNNNNNNNNNNNNNNNNNNNNNNNNNNNNNNNNNNNNNNNNNNNNNNNNNNNNNNNNNNNNNNNNNNNNNCGUUCCGGCCAGCCUCCUCCUGUCCGGCGAACCCACGCGAUGCUCCGGCCACCGCUGCUUCUUUUCCGGCGAUUCUCGAAGAGCGUGCACGAACCCUAGAUCUGGGAGAGAGGUUGACUUUUUCCCAAGUCCCCAGUAUUUUUUGGGCAUUUUCAUCGCAUCAUAUCUUUGCAUCGGUGGCUCCGUUUUGGGCGUGUAGCAUAUCGAAUUGUUCGUCUCGACGAGUACUUCAUUUUAUUCCAUUGCACCAUGUUCAUUUGAGUUCAUCUUGAUGCCCUAAAUGAUGUUGCAAGAGUGCUAUGCAAUGUUAGUUUCAGUUUCUUAUCAGCAUUUGGACAUUUGUCAUUUUUGCCAUGAUUAAUGUGUGCCUCCUAUGAACUUGAGCCCUACAUGAGUUUAGAAGUAUGCCAUGCCAUCUUUACAGGGGUGUACGCCAUGUAUUUUUGUGAUCUCUGUGGUGACUAGCACAAGCAUGCAAAGUAGCUCUCGUAAUGUUGCUGAUUUCAGGGACUUAGAAAUCGUCUAAGUCUUUUUCCUGAUAUUAUUUUUAUGCCAUGUAUUCUUGUUGCUACAGAGUGAUCCAUGCCUCUUUUGAGCAUGAUCAGAAAGGACGUUUUGUAGAUAUUGUUGUGCUCUAUCCAUCCAUGUUUUUGUUUGCAUUUAUGGAGCAUCCUAGCUUGACUCAAUCGAGCUCUACUUUUGCUAUAAAAUGUUCCUGGCAGAAUGUUUACGUGUUAAGCAUUUUUGCCAAGGUUGUUGUAGUUGAUCCAUGCAUGUUAUGAGGAUGUUCUUGCCAUGUUUAGCUUCUAUGCCAUGUUUACUUGCUGGGUGUAUGCUUAGUUUGUCAUGCAAUGCCUUGUGGUGAGUGCAUUGAGCUCGUAAACAUGCCUACUUAAUAUCUGUUUUGCCAUGUUCCAGUUUUCUUCUAAGUCUGAAUCUGUUAACGAAACUUGCUAUGUUCACAUGGUUGCCAUUGUAUUUUUUGAUCCCUUUUGGCUUAUGGUCAGGAAGGGACUUUUGUUGUAUGCUUUGAGUAGCAUCAUGCCAUGCCUUGAUUAGCUAUGAUAUGUUCCUGUAGCAUGUUGUUAUCUUACUCUAAACAUUGCUUCCUGAUGUUAAAUUCCUGGCUUGUUGUUAAUUUCACUAAGUCUGUAACCUGAUAUCUUUUGCACUUUUGCCAUGCUUGUUUGAACCUAUUAUUGAGUGAAUUAGCCGUAGCUCAGUGUUCAUCUUUCGUCAAGCAUCUUGAGUGGAUCCCUGCCAUGUGAUUUGUUGCUAUGUUAGAGGGCAGUAGUUUGUUGUUCUUGAUGCAUUUAGAUGGCCUCGUGCUGUUAAUCGCAUAUCGGUGUCAUAUUUGUUUUGCUUGCCAUUAGCAAACCGUGCAUCCGUUUCUGGUGAUCUUCAUAUCGAUUUCGACCGAAAUCAACUCAUCUUUCUAGUGGCACUCUUGGUUUUACAGGUUGAGGUCAGGUUCAAUCUUUCCUUUUCGAAGCAUGCAUAUGCAUUGCAUUUCACAUUCCGCAUAUCAUGCCAUGUUUUGCAUCAUGUUGCUUGUGCAUUGCACGUGGUUGAUUGUGGUUCCCUUUGUUUGUGUUCUUGCUUUGGGUAGAACCGGGAGACGAGUACGUGAACGAGGAGCCCGUUGAGUACGCUUACGAGGAUCAAGGUAACGUCAACUCGGAGAACUUUGUAGGCAAGAUGACCAUACCCUCGAAAUCACUUCUAUCUUUGCUUGCUAGAUACUCGCUCUUUUGCUAUGCCUAUGAUACGAUACCUACCACUUGCUUAUCAUGCCUCCCAUAUUGCCAUGUCAAGCCUCUAACCCACCUUGUCCUAGCAAACCGUUGUUUGGCUAUGUUACCGCUUUGCUCAGCCCCUCUUAUAGCGUUGCUAGUUGCAGGUGAAGAUUAGAGUUUAUUCCUUGUUGUUGGGAUAUCAUUAUUAUAUCUUAUCUAUUUUAAUGCAUCUAUAUACUUGGUUAAGGGUGGAAGGCUCGACCUUAUGCCUGGUGUUUUGUUCCACUCUUGCCGCCCUAGUUUUCGUCAUACCGGUGUUAUGUUCCUUGAUUUUGCGUUCCUUACACGGUUGAGUUAUAUUGGGAACCCCUUGACAGUUCGCCUUGAAUAAAACUCCUCCAACAAUGCCCAACAUUGGUUUUACCAUUUGCCACCUAGCCUCUUUUCCCUUGGGUUCCGCGGAUUCAAGGGUCAUCUUUAUUUUAAACCACCGGGCCAGUGCUCCUCUGAGUGUUGGUCCAACUUGUCAGCCGCCGGUGGCCACCAGGGGCACAUUCGGGUGGCUUUGCUGGUUUAGUUUUACCAUUGUCUAGAUGUCUUGUAACCGGGAUCCCGAGUCUGAUCGGGUUGUCUUGGGAGAAGGAAUAUCCUUCGUUGACCAUGAGAGCUUGUGAUGGGCUAAGUUGGGACACCCCUGCAGGGAUUUGAACUUUCGAAAGCCGUGCCCGCGGUUAUGAGCAGAUGGGAAUUUGUUAAUGUCCGGUUGUAGAAAACCUGAAUCUUAACUUAAUUAAAAUGAAUCAACAGAGUGUGUGACCGUGAUGGUCUCUUUUCGGCAGAGUCCGGAAAGAUAACACGGCUCAAGUUUAUGAUUGAACGUAGGUUGUUCUAGGAUCACUUCUUGGUCAUAGUUUCUCGACCGUGCCUUGCCUUCUCUUCUCGCUCUCAUUUGCAUAUGUUAGCCAUCGUAUAUGAUAGUGCUUGCUGCAGCUUCACCUCAUACCUUUCUCUACCUAUAAGCUUAAAUAGUCUUGAUCGCGAGGGUGUGAGAUUGCUGAGUCCCCGUGACUCACAGUUUACUUCCACAACCAGAUGCAGGGGCCGAUGAUACCGCACCAGGAGAUUCGACUGAGCUCAAGUGGGAGUUCGAUGAGGACUCAGGACGAUACUACGUUUUUAUUCCAGGUGAUCAGUAGUGAAGCGCAGUUGAGGCGAUCGGGGUCAUUAUGCAUUUGGAGUUGUCUUUAGUUUGGUUCCGUAGUCCGACCUUGAUUGUAUCUGGAUGAAUGUAAUGAUAUUUAUGCUAUUGUGUGACGUGGCGAGUGUAAGCCAACUAUGUACCUCUUUUCCUUAUUUAUUACAUGGGUUGUGCGAAGAUUACCCCACUUACGGCAUUGCUUACAAUGUGGUUAUGCUUCUAAGCCAUGCUGCUUCGACACGUGGAACAUAUAGCCGCAUCAUGGACGUUACAAUGAACUUGUACGGAUUCGCCAUGGGCUUGCCGUCAUCGUCGCAACUGCUGCGCCAACAAAUUCCACGGUGAGCAAGCAAGCAACGCCCAAAAUCGAAUCAAGCACGUUCAAAUAAGAUCGAUCGUAUUGCGCUCGUACUUAUUCAAAUAAGAUCGAUCAUAUUGCGCUCGUACUUAUUCAAAUAAGAUCGAUCAUAUUGCGCUCGUACUUACUUGGCGGUUAUGUGGUACUGCAGGAAGAGGUCACCGAGGAGCUGGAGGAAGUGCGCACGGUACAGCACGGCGCCGAUGCAGAGGUACCGGCCGUGUGCAUCGGGGUGCUCGUAGACAAGGACAUGGGCCCGGGCGACGUCACGGACGUCGGUGUAGGCGGCGAUGGCGUUAGGGUAGGUGGGUUUGGCGCCGGUGAGGUAGCGAGCGACGUGGCUGCUGCUGAAGUUGAGCGCCUGCUGAAGCAUGGGGCCCAUGGUCAUAGACGGCACCACCACUGCCAGCUCUAGGCCCCUCUUGGCCGCCUCCUCCGUCGCCGUUAUCUCCGUCAUCAUCUUGGCGCAGCAGUACAGGUUCUGCAGUGCACACGAGGGCUGUUAGUGGGCUCAGCGACCGGCGAGAAAGAUCGGGUGCGAUGGAGUUUCUUACCCCUGUGUUUUUGCAGUACUCGUAGUCGCUCCAGCACGUCUCGUCGAGCACGGCGUCCGGGCCGCGGUUGGGGUCCAUGUGCACGGCGCCGUAGGACGAAGUGAACACCACACGGUGCACGCCAGCGUCCGCUGCAGCUCUGAUCACGUUUCUGGUUGCCUCAACGGCGACCGGCACGAGGUCCUGCAAAAACCGACAGCACAUGUAACAAGUAAGUACCCGGCCCUUGCUGAAACUAAAAGAAGUGACCAGAGCAAAGUCUGUACUGACGGGUCGUUGGAGACAUGCGAGGCGAUGUGAAAGACGCCGUCGCAGCCACGGAAGGCGGCGUGAAGGCCGUCGUAGUCGAGGACGUCGGCGCGGAAAAAGGUAAGCCUCUCCUCGGCGCCCUCCAGAGCCAGCAGGUGCGCGUUCUUGCGGUCAGCUUCACAAACCAAUGCAAACGCGCGCGCCAUUAGAUAAGCUGGUCAAAAACCACAACACUCGGCGAGAUCAUGGAUGGUGUGUUAACUGUUGCUUACCAGGAUCUCGGGCGGUUCCCCUGACGCGGUAGCCACGGAGGAGGAGCUCCUUCACGACCCAGGAGCCGAUGAAGCCUCCGCCCCCCGUGACGCAGACCAGCUCCUGCUCCGGCUGCCUCUGCUUCAACUCGCCAUUGUCGCUAGCGUUGGCAAUCGACGGCAUGGCGGAUUGGUGGCCGGUGAGCACGGUGGUCAGCCGAUGUGUGGAUGCAACCUUGCUUCUCAACAAACUACACGGGCUAGCAGUACCAGUUUGCGCUUGCUUAAGCUGCUGUUGAUCAGUGGGUUGAGCUUGUGUGAAUAUUUAGCGGCGCGACCGGAUGGGUGGGUUUGGGGCUCAGCCGACAUCGGAGCAUGCCAGAUUCUGUUUCCGCGAAGCGAAUCCUUCCUCCUGCCACGGAAAGGUCCACGACCUCGCGCGUCAUCGUUCCAUGACAAAAACUAUGCUGGUUUUCUCCGCCCAGUAUGUCUUGGAUUUGACUUUCCCUUCGGGUAAAGUGUUAUCUGACUUUCAAGGCCAAAAAGUUCUCCUUAAGUCCGAAUUUGAAGGCAUUCCGGGCCUCCUGGCGCAAGCACGGAGUAUUUUCUGGAUUCGCACGCUCGGCGCGAGCAUUUUGAAUACUUGUGAGUCCGAAACGAAUUCCGAAUAAAAAAGUUAUGACCGUUUUAGUAAACACCGGUUCGUGUAUGUGUUUUUUUAUCGCCACCGUUUCGUAAUGGGUCUAACUUUUUUAACUCUUUAUAUAGUGUAAUUUGUCCGCUAAAAGAACCACGAGAGGAGCUAUCUGUAGUAGCCUAAAAUAUUUUCAAGGGGAUGGAAACUGAUGCAAGUUUUGUUAAAUGGGGUACUCAAGAUGAAAAAAAUUGUUAAAUGUAGGAUGAAAAACAACAAAGUAGACAUAAGAAAAACUGAAAUUCACUCAACAAAAUUAUAUUGUGAUAAUUUUUUUGCGAAAGAAACUUUUAGUCGAUUCGUGAUCAAUCAUGGUAGUACAAAGACGCUAGAGGUAACAAAAAUUAUAGAGGUCCAUGGAUCAUCUCGCGACGACUAUAAGCACUAGAGUGAGCCGAAGCGCGCCACCGUCAUGACACCUACCACACUGGAGUGGCGCAAACCUUGUUGUAGUAGAAAGUUAGGAAGUCAACGUGCUAAGGCCCUAUAGGUCCAGCGCAUCAGAGCAGCAAUCGUCGCUGAUGAAGCGAGUCUUAGAUCGGAAGGAUCAAAUAUGUAAGCAGACGAAUGAAUGGACGAAUACUAGAUCUAAACAAAUCCACCAAAUACCAGCACCGACUGAAUCUCAUGAUAUCCGACAACGACACACCUCCACACACCCUCUAACGACACUAGACACACCAUUCGGUCAGGGAUCGAACGCGGGAGACAUUAUUUCUAUUUAGGAAUAUCACUGCCGCCACACAGCCCCAACCAAAUAUGUUGACCCCUAACAAAAAUGAUAGUGCAAUCCAUUCCGCCGGUGGGGGCGGGGUCCUCUGCACCGCUAUGGUCCAUAGGCCAUCGGAGGUGGGGCAGACUGGUGGUGGCACCGACGGGAGGAGGAAACCUAGUCACUGGAAAGAACAUGAUAAUUUGGAUCUAAGUCUAGGAAUCACUAAUUUACCUACAUUUCAUCCAAUGGAUGUGGACAAAUAUUAGUUUUUAAAUAUACAUUUACGCCUUCUUAACUACCACACCAAUUCGACCUGCAUUCAUGAAUGCAAUUUGUUGUUCACAACCUAUUUCUCUAUCUUUCUUUCAAAAUAAGUCCAUGCCCUUAAUUUUGAGUUAUGUGUGUGGUAAUUUUUUUCAAAUAAUGAUCAAUAUGUGUACUUAUAUCCAUUUUUUUUCAUGUAACACCAUGUUAAAUUUUUUUUGGUCACAUUGGCGAUACUUCAGGUAAGAAUGAAUGUUGAUGUAUUUAUUUCCAUGUUUUUAUUUAUGAUACCUGAACAUGAUUUGCAAUAAAUGUUUUCGUCAUGUUGAAUGAUAAUACUUUUUGCGGUUAGCUAUCUAAAAAAAUGAUACUAUUUUUGAAGCCAUGUGCUUUCUUUAACCCCAAGAACUACCACAAUGAUCUAUGGGGUCGGGUUGUGUCUUGUAAAAAAAUCUAGCCAAGUGAGGUGGUGGUGCACCCUAGGGUCACCACCAUGGCCAUGGCUCCAUCGACAAAGGACACACUCAUCACGUAUUAUGGAUAAUUAUAUCAUUUAUGUGUGUCUACUUGGUUCUCACACAAAUGGUAUACUACUUGACACACCUACCCUUUGCACCUUUAGGUUUGAGUCGAAUGACGAACAUGCAAUGGAGGCAAACACACACAAGGAAGGGCCGACACCAUCCACGAGAGAAACUUGUAAGGCGAGAAACAAGAAGCAAGGAGUACCUCAGACAAAGUCAGCCAACAACCAGUGGGAAAGUCGAACAUUCUAACAGAGUGUCUGAUCCAACAUCCGACUUCAUGUUUGUUCUUUGGGAACUGUCGGAAUGUAUGACAGGAAUAUCCGACACAACCUCCGAUACGUCGGACAAAACAUCAGACCACCUGUCCGACUUACCCGGAGCCCUCAUACCCUAUCAGCCGUAAGUCAGAUAGAGGGUGCGUCACAUGCCUGUUACCUUUCCCGACAUAACUAUCUCUUCGUGGCUAAACUAUAUAUACCAUACUCCUCCUCCUAUCUAGAGUUAGCAAAAUAUAAACUAAAUCUUAGGAGAGCUUUGCUCAAUCUACCUCCUCCUUCCGGAUCAAGAUCCCUUGCAAGAGAAGAAUCUGUUGGAUUGCAAGACCUCUUACGAGAAGAUUCCUAUAGGAAUACAAGACCCCAUCUCUCAAGACCUCCAAUUCCUCUUGAAUUUGGAGAGGAGCCUACCUUAGCUAACUUUUACUUUGUUAUCGUUUGGAUCUUGGAGUGUAUCACCUUUUGCAUUGGGAUUUGACUAGUUGUGUGUGAAUCUUGUCUAUGAGAGUGGUUUCCUCUUGAGUGUUGCUCCUUGUUCCUCGUGUACUACCUCAAAUACACCCCUAAUUCGUGAAGAUCGGGCCACUCCAAUGGCUUGCCCUGUAUCAUGAGGUCAAAUGGUCAAACGGGCUACGGUCAAACGGGCUACGACGUGGCCCUAGUGCCUAUAAGUGUGCACUGUUGAUGAACAUGUGUUUGUCGCCUAUUAAGAUCUGGCAGAAAGCCAACUAGAGCUUAUUGUACCGUGUUUUUUAUGAGACUCACUAUACCGUGUGGAUGGGGCGUAUCUGGUGCACCGGAGCAUUUGAUGCUACUUGUGCACCCAAUCACCGUAAAUAUCAUUUGAAAUAUUGAAAGACUGAAAUUUCAACAUGAUAUAAGUAAAAUACGUAUCUAGUCUGAUAUAAAAUUUUGGAUCUAAAUUCAAAAUGCUUAUCUGGAAAGUAAAAAAUCAAAUCAAAUCAUGGCGCAAAUAGAAACAAAUGCGGACUGGGCUUGAAUAUGGCCCAUUUUCUUCAUUGUAAAUGGACCCAAUCUUUUUUUUUUCUGCUACUAUGUUCCAGAUUUAAAUGUAAAAUCUAUGGUAUAACAAAUUCAGAAUAUUUGCGGCGGGGGUGACAGCCCACCGGAGGCAUCGCUGAAGGAGCACGAGUUGCUUCUUGCUUCUUGGCUGCGCGAGGAACAAGCCGUCAAAGCACGCCAGACCAGAAUAAAACUGGUAUUCUUCCGGUACGUUCUGAAAAGAAUCUCAAACAUAGGGCAGUAGCACCAUCAGUGUCACUACGGAACCAUCAACGGUUUCCGUCAGGCUCCCGAGCAUAUGCCAUCCCAGUCAACUCCACUAACACCACUUCCAGAAUAUGUGCGGCGUAUCGGUCCGACUGUUUUGAUCAGGAGAGGAGAUGAUAUAUAAUAUUCUUCCGUUCUAAAAUAAGUGUCUUUAUACUAACUCUAGUAUAAAGUUAUACUAACCCUGAGACACUUAUUUUGGGACGAUUGAAGUCCACAAUAUUUUAAAGUGUACUAAAGCUGUGACAAAUAAUAUUGACGAAGAGAAAUACAGUCUUUUGAUAAGUAUGAACCGAAAAAAGAUCGGAGCAGCUUUCUGGUUCACUCUAGGGGCCAACAAGUUUGAGUGUUAAUGCCAGGUUGCCAAAGUAUGUGAGUGAAGUGAGUCAACUCGAGGCAGGCCAUCUCUAACAUGGAUCAUUCCCACCGUCCGUUUGGACAAUUUUAGUACAGAUCACCAAAACAGAUGAUAUCGGUCCGAAUGUCUGAUAUUCUAUAAACUGGCUCCAAAUCGAGGGAGCUCUGGGGGAGUUUGGACGCCUGCCACAUCAGACUCCGACACCCCCGGACCCAUUCAAAAAACCCUUCCGAACGGCCUUAAACCAUUAGCAUGUCAGCAUUUGCAUCGUGUGGUCAUCCACCUGCUUACCCGCAUCGACUUUGCUGUCCGCAUUGAACCUUCACCGCUCCCUGCCAUGACUAGUUAAAGCCAGCCAGCCUCCCCCACAAUAACACCUCCGAGCCCAUCCUCCCACCAUUCGCAUGCAACUUUAGAGCCGUAUGAGCCCCUAGUCCACUCCAUAUCUUCGGCCAUCGGGCAUGGUGCGGUCCUUGGCUACGUGGUAUAAUCAGCUCACGUUGGAGUGACACUAAAAUCGUGGCAGAGGUCCGCGCCCUAGACACCCGACGCCAGGCCUGCAUUGAGGCGGGCCAACAUCCGAGCCCUCCGAGUCGAGUUCAAAGGAGGAGGAGAUGGAGGAUGAACAGGAGGGCGAUCUCAUGACCAAGCCCCGCGGCCGAAGAGGAGGGGUGAUGGUCGUCGACACUACGCUGGCGCCCUGCUUCACCAUGCUGCAGGUGGAGCAGCAGUUCAACCUUGUGCUCUUGGAUGAGCAACCCGCGGCAGUGGCUCAACUUGAGGCGGAGCGUUUGGAUGCCACUGCAGUGGCGGAGCUCCUUGUUAACCUAGGCGUCUACAACAAGAAUAGGGCGAUGCUCGCAUCUGUGUGAAGCCGCCGCAAGGACUACAUCACCAACGCACAGCGGGAGUGACUCUUCGAGGAGCUCGAGGCCGACGACAAACAUGUGUCGGACUAACAGAACAACAAUGUCAAAACGACACUUGUUGGCGGCUCUAGCUGGUUGGCGCGCUGCCAAUGACAAUGAGGCCGGCUGCUCCAGUGUGGGGAUCGUUAACCUCACCUACAACGUGGAGUAGUCUUCCUUUAGUUUUAAAUUUUUUUAUUAAGCUCGGUGUCCAGCUUUGUGACGUGAAAAAAAAAAUACAUGUUCGUUUUUAUUUGAUGAACUGCGUUGGAUGGUCGACGUCUCGACUGUCCAGGGAGAUUUGGUGAUUUCCACUUGAUUAACUGCAUUCAAGAUUCCCACAUACCUCUUGUCAGAAUAUAAUGUUGCGGGCUAUUUUGGGCAAAAGACUCAAGGCAAUCACGAACUAAGAGCAAAUCCAGCGCCGUGCACCAAAUCUGUUGGACAUAUGCCCUAUAGGUACUUCCACCUUCAUAAUUAAGUUUACAUUUCUGCACUAUAACUGUAAUGGUUUCAGAAUAUGAGAUUCGGAUGAAAAUCCAGUUUCAUGUGUAGAAAGACAAACACCAACUAACUACAUAGUCUCACCUCUUAGACUAGCUCAUGUAUUGUAGAUAAUCUAGUUUUCUUGAUUACGGUUAUUGUUAAAAUAACAAGGAUGCCACUAAUAAUGAGAACACAAUGUCGAAGAACAAUGUGUUAGACCCAACUAAUGAUAUAGUAUGAGAUCUCAUCGUCAAGUUGUUAUCAAUAUUAUUAUGUCAAGUGUUAAUGUAUACCCACAUCACAUCCUUAGACCAUGAGAAUGUCGGGUACCUUCAUAUCGGAUGGUUCAUUUGGGUUUGCCAAAAGUUACUAAUAACAGGGUGAUCAUAACGGUAACUUUCGGGUACAUAAAAAAUGUCUAAGGACAUGAUAGUUCAAGAAUGGGAUUUGCUCCUCCAACAAUGAAGAGGUACUCCCUAGGUCCACUCAGUAUUACGAUAUACAUCAUCGUCUAGACACACCAUUUAUAUAAUCACGGUGAUACCGGAAUACAGAAAUGAGAAAAGAGAACAAAACUAGGAUGAGGAUAACUUGCUAUUGUGAUCAAGUAAGUGAUUCACAAGGAUACCGUAAGUCUCACCUCAGGUUUUGUUUAGUACUAUGAAACAAAGGAAAAUGUGUAUGUAAACAAAAGGUUCACUCGAUAAAUAUCUACGUGUGUAUAUGGGAAUCAAUUUGUGUGUCUACACUCCACUUUUGAUUAUUGAUCGAAAGGUGUUCUGAGUCAUGUCCACAUAUUGUCGAACCUGUAGGGACAGACGCUUAAUUGUUAACAGUUUGAUAGAGAACGGGGAAGUGUUAAGAUUAAGAGAGAAAUGCAUCUGAGAUGUAUAGGAUGAAACCAAAAAGGUUCCAACGGUCCCAUAAGUACUCCGGUGAAAUUGAUGAGAAUGUCCUUGAGGUACCCUAAAAGAUUAGAAAAUGUUUUGAAACCUUCUGAAAGGUUCUAGGUGGUCGUAGUGGGCUGCCUUCUUGGUUGUACCAAGGGGAAAUAGCUGCAUCGGCUCAUAGUCAUACGCCCCCUCUUUACUUGGGUGGCAAGGCACUUGGGGAGUGGAGAAGGAAAGGAUCUCCAGGAGGAUCCACCUUCUUGGUGCGGCUGACUCUAGGACACUUAUUCAGGCCGGGUACUAUGCCAGGUGACAUUGGGAGUAAGCCUUUCUUGGUGUUCUCCAUAUUAAAACUUUUUUAUUACCUUAUCAAUGUACAUGAUUUGGCUAAGUGCUAUCAGAUGUAUCGAGUUGCAAAUGUUAGCAACUGAACCAGUAUCAAAUAACCAGGCACUACUGCGAGCAUUAGUAAGGUAUACAUCAAUAACAUGUAUAACAAAUAUACCUUUCACUUUGCCAUCCUUCUUCUCCGCCAAAUACUUGGGGCAGCUCCGCUUCCAGUGACCAGUUCCUUUGCAGUAGAAGCACUCAGUCUCAGGCUUAGGUCCAGACUUGAGUUUCUUUACUUGAGCAGCAGCUGGCUUGUUGUUCUUCUUGAAGUUCCCCUUCUUCCCUUUACCCUUUUUCUUGAAACUGGUGGUCUUGUUGACCAUCAACACUUGAUGCUCCUUCUUGAUUUCUACCUCCGCAACCUUUAGCAUUGCGAAGAGCUCGGGAAUCGUCUUAUCCAUCCCUUGCAUAUUAUAGUUCAUCACGAAGCUCUUGUAGCUUGGUGGUAGUGAUUGAAGAACUCUGUCAAUGACACUAUCAUCAGGAAAAUUAACUCCUAGUUGAGUCAAGUGGUUGUGGUACCCAUACAUUCUGAGUACAUGUUUACUGACAGAACUAUUCUCCUCCAUCUUGCAGCUAUAGAACUUAUUGGAGACUUCAUAUCUCUCAAUCCGGACAUUUUCUUGGAAUAUUAACUUCAACUCCUGGAACAUCUCAUAUGCUCCAUGACGUUCAAAACGUCGUUGAAGUCCCGGUUCUAAGCCGUAAAGCAUGGCACACUGAACUAUCGAGUAGUCAUCAACUUUGCUCUGCCAGGUGUUCAUAACAUCUGGCAUUGCUCCUGCUACGGGUUUGUCACCUAGCGGUGCUUCCAGGACGUAAUUCUUCUGUGCAACAAUGAGGAUAAUCCUCAAGUUAUGGACCCAGUCCGUGUACUUGCUACCAUCAUCUUUCAACUUAGCUUUCUCUAGGAACGCAUUAAAAUUCAACGGAACAACAGCACGAGCCAUCUAUCUACAACAACAUAGACAUGCAAAAAUACUAUCAGGUACUAAGUUCAUGAUAAAUUAAAGUUCAAUUAAUCAAAUUACUUAAGAACUCCCACUUAGAUAGACAUCUCUCUAAUCAUCUAAGUGAUCAUGUGAUCCAUAUCAACUAAACCAUGACCGAUCAUCACGUGAGAUGGAGUAGUUUUCAAUGGUGAACAUCACUAUGUUAAUCAUAUCUACUAUAUGAUUCAUGCUCGACCUUUCGGUCUCAGUGUUCCGAGGCCAUAUCUGCAUAUGCUAGGCUCGUCAAGUUUAACCCGAGUAUUCCGCGUGUGCAAAACUAGCUUGCACCCAUUGUAUGUGAACGUAGAGCUUAUCACACCCGAUCAUCACGUCGUGUCUCGGCUUGACGAACUGUCGCAACGGUGCAUACUCAGGGAGAACACUUAUAUCUUGAAAUUUAGUGAGAGGUCAUCUUAUAAUGCUACCGCCGAACUAAGCAAAAUAAGAUGCAUAAAGGAUAAACAUCACAUGAAAUCAAUAUAAGUGAUAUGAUAUGGCCAUCAUCAUCUUGUGCCUUUGAUCUCCAUCUCCAAAGCACCGUCAUGAUCACCAUCGUCACCGGCUUGACACCUUGAUCUCCAUCGAAGCAUCAUUGUCGUCUCGCUAACUAUUGCUUCUACAACUAUCACUCCCGCUUAGUGAUAAAGUAAAGCAAUUACAUGGUGAUUGCAUUUCAUACAAUAAAGUGACAACCAUAUGGCUCCUGCCAGUUGCCGACAACUGUGUUACAAAACAUGAUCAUCUCAUACAAUAAAAUUUAGCAUCAUGUCUUGACCAUAUCACAUCACAACAUGCCCUGCAAAAACAAGUUAGACGUCCUCUACUUUGUUCUUGCAAGUUUUACGUGGCUGCUACGGGCUGAGCAAGAACCGUUCUUACCUAUGCAUCAAAAAACCACAACGCGGUAUAGUGAUUGCUUUUUGAUCUCCAGAAAGAACCAUGUUCAUUGAAUCCGAUUCAACUAAAGCUGGAGAAACAAACACCCACUAGCCACCUGUGUGCGAAGCACGUCGGUAGAACCAGUCUCGCGUAAGCGUACGCGUAAUGUCGGUCCGGGCCGCUUCAUCCAACAAUGCCGCUGAAUCAAGAAUCAACUAGUGACGGCAAGCAAUAUGUAUAUACCCACGCCCACAGCUCCUUUGUGUUCUAGUCGUGCAUAUAAUAUCUACGCAUAAACGUAGCUUUGAUGCCACUGUUGGGGAACGUUGUAAUUUCAAAAAAUCAUACGCACAUGCAAGAUCAUGGUGAUGCAUAGCAAUGAGAGGGGAGAGUAUCGUCUACGUACCCUUGUAGAUCAUAAGCAGAAGCGUUAUGACAACGCGGUUGAUGUAGUCGUACGUCUUCACGAUCAACCGAUCUAGCACCGAAGGUACGGCACCUCCGCGAUCUGCACACGUUCGGCUCGGUGACGUCCCGCGAACUCACGAUCCAGUAGAGCUUCGAGGGAGAGCUUCGUCGGCACGACGGCGUGAUGAUGGUGAUGAUGUAGCUACCGGAACAGGGAUUCGCCUAAGCACCGCUACUAUAUUACCGAGGUUGAUUAUGGUUGAGGGGGCACCGCACACGGCUAAAGAUCAAUGAUCAACUUGUGUGUCUAUGGGGUGCCCCCCUCCCCCGUAUAUAAAGGAGUGGAGGAGGGGGAGUGGGCCGACCUCUCUAGGCACGCCCCAAGGAGUCCUACUCCCACCGGGAGUAGGAUUCCCCCCCUUCCCUUUGUUGGUUCUAGGAGAGAAGGAAGGAGAGGGAAGAAGGAAGGAAAGGGGGGUCCAGCCCCCCUCCAAUUCGGAUUGGGCUUGGGGAGGCGUGCCCCCUCCUUUGCUUCUUUCCCCUCUCUUCCACUAAGGCCCAAUAAGGCCCAUAUACCUCCUGGCGGGUCCCGGUAACCUCCCGGUACUCCGGUAUACUCCUGAUUUCAUCCGAAACCAUUCUGAUGUCCAAACAUAGGCUUCCAAUAUAUUGAUCUUUACGUCUCGACCAUUUCGAGACUCCUCAUCAUGUCCGUGAUCAAAUCUGGGACUCCGAACUACCUUCGGUAUAUCAAAACACAUAAACUCGUAAUACUGAUCGUCACCGAACGUUAAGCGUGCGGACCAUACGGGUUCGAGAACUAUGUAGACAUGACCGAGAGAUGUAUCCGAUCAAUAACCAAUAGUGGAACCUGGAUGCUCAUAUUGGUUCCUACAUAUUCUACGAAGAUCUUUAUCGGUCAAACCGCAUAACGUUAUACGUUGUUCCCUUUGUCAUCGGUAUGUUACUUGCCCGAGAUUCGAUCGUCGGUAUCUCAAUACCUAGUUCAAUCUCGUUACCGGCAAGUCUCUUUACUCGUUCUGUAAUGCUACAUCCCGUCACUAACUCAUUAGCUACAUUGCUUGCAAGGCUUAUAGUGAUGUACAUUACCGAGAGGGCCCAGAGAUACCUCUCCGACAAUCGGUGUGACAAAUCCUAAUCUUGAUCCAUGCCAAUUCAACAAACACCAUCGGAGACACCUGUAGAGAACCUUUAUAAUCACCCAGUUACGUUGUGACAUUUGGUAGCACACAAAGUAUUCUUCCGGUAUUCGGGAAUUGUAUGAUCUCAUAGUCAUAGGAACAUGUAUAGUUAUGGAGAAAGCAAUAGCAACAAACUAAACGAUCAUCGUGCUAAGCUAACGGAUGGGUCAAGUCAAUCACAUCAUUCUCUAAUGAUGUGAUCCCUUUAAUCAAAUGACAACUCAUGUAUGGUUAGGAAACAUAACCAUCAUUGAUUAACGAGUUAGUCAAGUAACUGGGUGACUAUGAGAUCAUGCAACUCCCGAAUACCAUAGGAACACUUUGUGUGCUACCAAACAUCACAAUGUAACUGGGUGAUUAUAAAGGUGCUCUACAGGUGUCUCCGAUGGUAUUUGUUGAGUUGGCAUGGAUCAAGAUUAUGAUUUGUCACUCCGAUUGUCAGAGAGGUAUCUUUGGGCCCUCUCGGUAUGUACAUCACAAUAAGCCUUGCAAGCAAUGUAGCUAAUGAGUUAGUUACGGGAUGUAGCAUUACGGAACGAGUAAAAGAGACUUGCCAGUAACGAGAUUGAACUAGGUAUUGAGAUACCGAUGAUCGAAUCUCGGGCAAGUAACAUACCGAUGACAAAGGGAACAACGUAUGUUGUUAUGCGGUUUGACCGAUAAAGAUCUUCGUAGAAUAUGUAGGAACCAAUAUGAGCAUCUAGGUUCCGCUAUUCGUUAUUGACCGGAGAUAAGUCUCGGUCAUGUCUACAUAGUUCUCGAACACGUAGGGUCCGCACGCUUAAUGUUCGGUGACGAUCGGUAUUAUGAGUUUACGUGUUUUGAUGUACCAAAGGUAGUUCGAAGUCCCGGAUAUGAUCACCGACAUGAUGAGGAGUCUCGAAAUGGUCGAGACAUAAAGAUCGAUAUAUUGGACGGCUAUAUUCAGACACCGGAAGUAUUCCGGGUGAUUCCGAAGAAAACCAGAGUGCAUGAGGGGUUGCCGGAACCCCCCGGGGAAGUAUUGGGCCUUAGUGGGCUUAGGGGAGAGAGAGGGCAACAGCCCAGGAGGUGCCCCCCAAGGGGAGUCCGAAUAGGACUAGGAGAGGGGGUGCGGCCCCACUUUCCCUCUCCCUCUCCCUCUCUUUCCUUCCCCCUUCCUCCUUCCUAGUAGCACUAGGAAAUGAUGAAUCCUACUCCUACUAAGAGGUGGAUUCCUCCUCUCCUUGGGUGCCACUAGGGCCGGCCGGCCUCCCCCCUUACUCCUUUAUAUACGGGGGCAGGGGCACCCUAAGACACACAAGUUCGCUGUUCCAAGCCGUGUGCGGUGCCCCCCCCCCCACCACCAUAAUCCACCUCCACUACUAGGGAAAACCUUAUAUACAGAAUUUUAGCAGUAGUGAGGGUCAAAAAAGCACGCUGGUGCUAAGUAGCAGUAGCGCGCCUGUGCAAACCGCGCUGCAGAUAAAGUUCUAGAAGUAGCGCGUUACAUCAUAAACACAUUACUACUAAAAUUCCCAUGACCCCGCCACGAAGCUAGUUCUAGCAGGAGCGCGUUUACUCGGACAACGCUACUGAUAGGUAGUUUAGCAGUAGCGCCUUUGCCUUUAGAGCGCUACUAUUAAAACUAGCUAUCUCCACCCCCACUACCGCUCCUCUCCGCGAUANNNNNNNNNNNNNNNNNNNNNNNNNNNNNNNNNNNNNNNNNNNNNNNNNNNNNNNNNNNNNNNNNNNNNNNNNNNNNNNNNNNNNNNNNNNNNNNNNNNNNNNNNNNNNNNNNNNNNNNNNNNNNNNNNNNNNNNNNNNNNNNNNNNNNNNNNNNNNNNNNNNNNNNNNNNNNNNNNNNNNNNNNNNNNNNNNNNNNNNNNNNNNNNNNNNNNNNNNNNNNNNNNNNNNNNNNNNNNNNNNNNNNNNNNNNNNNNNNNNNNNNNNNNNNNNNNNNNNNNNNNNNNNNNNNNNNNNNNNNNNNNNNNNNNNNNNNNNNNNNNNNNNNNNNNNNNNNNNNNNNNNNNNNNNNNNNNNNNNNNNNNNNNNNNNNNNNNGCCAUCGCCUACCCCUCUUCCCUCUGUGCCGCCGUCAACUUCUCCUCCUCGCUGGACUCGGUACCGCCCUCCUCCUCCGUCCUCCCUCGACUCGCCGCCGGCCGGCCCCUCCUCGCUCCGCCUUCCUCCUCCGUCCUACUCUCUUCUCCCUCCUCGAGUCGCCCCUCCUUCUCCCUCCUCCCUGCUACAUUUUGAUUUAGUAGGCUAGUUCAUAUGCAACAUUUUGAUUUAGUUGAUUUAGUAGGCUAGUUGAUUUGGUUGAUUUAGAACAUUUUGAUUUAGUAGAUUUAGUAGGCUAGUUGAUUUAGUUGAUUUAGAACAUUUUGAUUUAGUUGAUUUAGUAGGCUAGUUGAUUUAGUUGAUUUAGUAGGCUAGUUGAUUUAGUAUGCAUCAUUUUAUUGUUAUUUUUUCUGUACAUGGAUAUGUAGAUGUUUUUGUUUUUUUGUAAUAAGUUAUUUUUUGGCAAAAUGUAGGUGCCAAUUUAGUUACAAUCACAUGCUACUGUUUUUCUUCCCUGUGAAGUGGAUCAUUAAUCCUUUGCUCAUAUUGCUUUAGGAAAAUGGCGCCGCCACCACCACCACUAUGUCGACUGUGCAAGUCAAGGUGCGCCAGCAGCCUUGCAACUGGCAAGCUGUUCGGUAUCUACUUCCAGCCGAGUUUUCAUCAUGCGGCGGUAAGAAAUUAGAUGAAAUGUAACAACUACUUUAUUUUUAGUGUUGACAUUACUGCAUUGUGUCAUUUUGCUUUUUUUACACAGAUCGUCCCAUGCAAUGUGAGGUUGAAAUUCAACAAGCUGACAGGAGACACUGUGACAUUUGAGGCUCCUGGGGGCCCGUACACUAUGGAGGUCGAGAAAGGAAGCAAUAUGUCGCAGAUUGGAGGAGAUGGAUGGGCCCGUUUGUCGCCCACAUGCGUCUUACUGGUGGUGAGUUGAUUAGGUUCUCCUUCAGAGCAGAAAGACCCAAGCUGGGUGUCAUAUAUCUCAACCUGGAGGAAGAUGAUGAAGAUGACGAAGAUGAUGAAGAUGACGAAGAUGAUCAAGAUGAUGAGAACCCACUUCGUGAAGCCAUCAUAGCUCAAAGAAUGAGGCUGGCGCGAGGAGGAGGUGCGCAACCUAUGGGACAUAAUUCCGCCACGUGAUGACUUUGUCGGGGUGCCAUUCGUGACCCGCCUGACAAGUACCAUGGUCGAUCGGCAUGAAAUGGUAUGUUAUACUGACUGUAGUAAGUUGAUGAUAUAUAUAUAUAUAUAUAUAUAUAUAUAUAUAUAUAUAUAUAUAUAUAUAUAUGCUUUAUUGUUAUACUUACAAAUGCAAAUUAUCCGAUGAUAUGCUUAGUGAAUCCGAUGAUAUGCUUAGUGUAGAGUCCAAUGAUAAGCUAUGUGGACUCUAGUUGAUGAUAUGCUAUGUGGAAUCUAGUAGAUAAUCCAUAUAUACUUAUUAGUAGAAUUCAUGAUUAAUUAGUACAAAUGCGUAGUACUGUGUCUUUUGAUAGUGUAGAAAUGUAGACUUAAUAGAAAUAUAUUUGCAAGAGUAUGUGCCAAGCUAUUUAUUAAUUGAUAUGUUUUUCUUAUUCAGAAAUUGCCAAAGAACCUAUCUGCGAGUUGUGGUAUCGAGCCUGAUGAAGAAGGCUCAGCUGGACUACGCCUUACCGCAAGGGGCUCCGUCACCACCUGUACUUACCACAUGGACACAGACGACGGUCGCACACACUUAAACUCGAUUGGCUGGACGAGAUUCCUCGUUGGCAAGAAUCUUCGUGUUGGGCAGGCCAUCCUAAUUACUAUCAGGAACACCCGCCGUCCAGGCUUGAGGAUGAUGAUCGUCGUCGAUAUCAUCUAGAACUACAUAUGUGUGUGUGUGGCUAUAUCAUCUAGAACUACAUAUGAUGAUUGCCGUCGAUAUCAUGUAGAACUACAUAUGAUGAUCGUCGUCGAUAUCAUCUAAAACUACAUAUGAUGAUCGUCGUUGAUAUCACCUAGUACUGCUUGAGGAUGCAUGUUGAGUAUAUAUGAAAUUGUUAUCUGGUACUCCGUCCAUUUCAAAUUACUCGUUGUGGUUUUAGUUCAAAUUUGAACUAAAACCACGACGAGUAAUUUGGAACUGAGGGAAUACUACCUAGUACCUAUAAUGCUUUAUGCCUUUAUGAAAUUGAUAUCUAGUAGUACCUAGUAUCUCGAAAUUGUAGUUUAUUGAAGCUGAAACGGGGUUGAAAUGAUGAAAGAUAUAGCAGUAGCGCAGGGCUAGGAAAUCGCUAUAGCUAACUAAUAGCAACGCGUUCUGUAAAAGUGCUGCUGCUAUAGUCAAUAGUAGUAGCGCGGGUGAAUACAUCGCUACUACUAGGAGUUAGCUGUAGCGCCUUAUUGGUAGNNNNNNNNNNNNNNNNNNNNNNNNNNNNNNNNNNNNNNNNNNNNNNNNNNNNNNNNNNNNNNNNNNNNNNNNNNNNNNNNNNNNNNNNNNNNNNNNNNNNNNNNNNNNNNNNNNNNNNNNNNNNNNNNNNNNNNNNNNNNNNNNNNNNNNNNNNNNNNNNNNNNNNNNNNNNNNNNNNNNNNNNNNNNNNNNNNNNNNNNNNNNNNNNNNNNNNNNNNNGUUGAUAGCCUAAAAACCCGCGCUACUACUAGGCUUUUCCCUAGUAGUGCUCGGUCAUAUCGUAGCCGUGCUUAGGCGAAGCCCUGUUCUGGUAGGAACAUCAUCACCGUCAUCACGAUGUCGUGCUGACGAAGCUCUCCCUCGAAGCUCUACUGGAUCAUGAGUUCGCGGGACGUCACCGAGCCGAACGUGUGCAAAUCGCGGAGGUGCCAUACCUUCGGUGAUAGGAUCGGUCGAUCGUGAAGACGUACGACUACAUCAACCGCGUUGUCAUAAUGCUUCCGAUUACGAUCUACGAGGGUACGUAGACGAUACUCUCCCCUAUGCAUCACCAUGAUCUUGCGUGUUCGUAGGAAAUUUUUUAAAUGACUGCGUUUCCCAACAGUGGCAUCCGAGCCAGGUUUUUGCGUAGAUGUUAUAUGCACGAGUAGAACACAAAGGAGUUGUGGGAGUGGGUAUAUACAUAUUGCUUGCCGUCACUACUUGAUCCUUGAUUCAGCGGCAUUGUUGGAUGAAGCGGCUCAGACUGACAUUACGUGUACACUUACGCGAGACUGGUUCUACCGGACGUGCUUCGCACAUAGGUUGCUAGUGGGUGUCUGUUUCUCCAACUUUAGUUGAAUCGGAUUCAAUGAACAGGGUUCUUUCUGAAGAUCAAAAAGCAAUCACUAUACUUGUGGUUUUUGAUGCGUAGGUAAGAAUGGUUCUUGCUCAGCCCGUAGCAGCCACAUAAAAAUUGCAACAACAAAGUAUAGGACGUCUAACUUGUUUUUGCAGGGCACGUUGUGAUGUGAUAUGGUCAAGACGUGAUGAGAUAUAAAUUGUUGUAUGAGAUGAUCAUGUUUUGUUGAAGUUAUAGGCAAAUGGAAGAAGCCUUAUGGUUGUCUCUUUAUUGCAUAAGAUGCAAGUGCCAAAUAAAUUGCUUUACUUUAUCGCUAUGCAAUAGCAAUAGUUGCAAGAGAAAUAGUUUGCGAGACGACCAUGUGAAGACACGUUGAUAGAGAUCAAGAUGAUGGAGAUCAUGGUUGAGGGAGUCAUGGACAAAGGGGUCCUCGGGCGUCCGGCCUGUUAUCCAUGGGCCGGACUAAUAGGCUGUGAAGACAUGAAGACCGAAGAUUGUACCUAUGUCCGGAUUGGACUCUCCUUUAUGUGGAAAGCAAGCUUGGCGACCGGCUAUGAAGAUUCCUUCUUAUGUAACCGACUCUAUGUAAACCCUAGAUCCCCUCGGUGUCUAUAUAAACCAGAGGGGAUAGUCCGGAGAGGAUACAUUCAUUACCAUAGUCAUAUAGGCUAGGCUUCUAGGGUUUAGCCAUCAUGAUCUCGUGGUAGAUCAAUUCUUGUAACACCCAUAUUCAUCAAUAUCAAUCAAGCAGGAUGUAGGGUAUUACCUGCAUAGAGAGGGCCCGAACCUGGGUAAACAUUGUGUCCCCUGUCUCCUGUUACCAUCGAUUCUAGACGCACAGUUCGGGACCCCCUACCCGAGAUCCGCCGGUUUUGACACCGACAUUGGUGCUUUCAUUGAGAGUUCCACUGUGCCAUCCACGAAAGGUUCGAUGGCUCCUUCAAUCGUCUAAGCGACGCUGUCCAAGAAGAAACCUUCCUCCCCGGACAGAUUGUCGUGUUCGGCGCCUUCGUACUGCGGGCCAACUCGCUUGGCCAUCUAGAGCAGAUCGAUAGCUACGCCCCUGGCCACCAGGUCAGGUUUGGAAGCGUGAACUAUGUCAUGGAUAUCCGUGGAGACUUGAUCUUCAAUGGAUUUGACACUGCAGCGAUCGCUGCCCCUCGCUCCGAUGAACAUGACCUAAAUCUGUCACCGGAUCACAUCUAGCGGAUGGUCCCUGCUGCUGUGACGACCUUAGAACCGGAGCAGGUCGUGUCAUUCGAAGCCACAGAGUCCCUGGCAUUGGAGCCGCACACGGACUCGGCACCCCGCGAUAUCUAUGUCAAUGGAACUCCGGACUCGUCUCCGGCUAUGAGUCCCGAAUCGGGAACGCUUGCGGACAUCGAGCUAGAUCGGUUAUCGAUUUUUGAAUUUAGCGCCGCAGACAUCUUCCGGCACUCGCCCUUGGGUAAUGUGCUAAACUCUUUAAAGAACUUGUCCUUGGAGAAGGACUCACAGCCGAACUAUGUCCGGUUCGAGCCAAAGGCUGAUGAUGGGUAAUUUUGUUUCCCACCCGCCACCCACUUCAUAGCCACCGUCGAUGAUUUAACCGACGUGCUCGAUUACGGCUCGAAAGACAUCGAUGGUAUGGACGACGACGCCGACAUGGACCAAGGCCAAGACCCACCAUUCACUGGACAUUGGACGGCCACCUCUUUGUAUGAUGUGUACAUGGUCGACACACCUAAAGAAGCUAGCAAUGAUGACAAAGGGGAUCCAGUCGCGGAUAAACCUUCGGAGACACAGUCCAAGCGCCGGCGCCCCAAACACCGCUCCAAGCUUCGUCGCUCAAGAAAUGACAACACUGGCACCAGAGAAAAUGGUACUCCAGGCGACGCCGAAAACAAUGAAGACCCUGUUGGAGCCGCAUCCGAACAGGAGGAACAAGACAACGGGCAAGAUGACCCUGAUAAACAGGCCAUGCCCAAUGACUCGGAUGAUGAUAGUUAUCAUCCAGUUUCCGAAGAUGAGGAGAGCCUCAGCAGCGAGGAUUUCAUCGUGCCAGAGGCACCCCUAGAGCAGGAAUGCUUCAAGCGCCAGCUAAUAGCCACCGCCAGAAGCCUGAAAAAGAAACAACAACAGCUCUAGGCUGAUCAAAACUUGCUCAUUUACAGGUGGACUGAUGUCCUGGCAGCCGAAGAAUAUGGCCUCGAGCGCCAAGUCAAGAGUUACCCAAAGCGUAGACUGCUACCUCAGUUUGAUGAGGAGGCACCAAAUCCCAUACCUCCCUCACGCAAUGCGGACCAACCACCACGCGGUCGGGAUAGUGCGGUGGACCGACCACUCCGCGGUCGGGAUAAAGCAGCAACUCAGGCCGAACAACAGCCCGCCCCACCACCUCGCAAAAACAAGGACAGAACAGCUCGGGACCAUACAUACGACCUUCGGUAGGAGCUGGACAGCAGAGCAGGACACACCAGAUCAAUCUACGGAUCGCGAGGACGCUUCCCGACUUGGGAUGAUGGCUACCUAUUCGGGCGUGACAAACCUAGUCACACCCGGGCCGAUAACCGCAGACGCACUCCAUCAGAGGUGCGCCGUGAUGCGACCCGAUAUAGAGGCGCCACACACCCUCUCUGCUUCACAUAUGAGGUGCUAGACCACGAAUUCCCCGAAGGGUGCCAGCCCGUCAAUAUCGAAUCAUACGAUGGAAGAAACGACCCCGCAGUAUGGGUCGAAGAUUUUAUUCUCCACAUCCACAUGGCCCGAGGAGAUGACCUCCAUGCUAUCAAGUACCUCCCAUUAAAUCUCAAAGGACCAGCUCGCCACUGGCUGAACAGCCUGCCUGAAAAUUCCAUCGACAGCUGGGAGGACUUGGAAGAAGCCUUCCUCGACAACUUCCAAGGUACAUAUGUCCGGCCACCUGAUGCCGAUGACCUAAGCCACAUAGUUCAACAACCCAGAGAAUCGGCCAGAAAAUUCUGGACUAGGUUCCUAACCAAAAAGAACCAGAUCGUUGACUGUCCAGAUGCCGAAGCCCUAGCGGCCUUUAAAAAUAGCAUCCGUGAUGAAUGGCUAGCCCGCCACCUCGGCCAAGAAAAGCCAAGAUCCCUGACAGCCCUCACGGCACUUAUGACCCGCUUUUGUGCGGGAGAAGAUAGUUGGAUGGCUCGCAGUACAAACACAGCCAAUGAAGCAGGCCCCUCUAAGGCCAAAAAUAGCACCAGCAAGCUCCGGCGCAAACAGACACAAACGCCGAAGCAAUGGCGAUAACACCGAUGACACCACAGUUCAUGCCGGAUUCAGCGGCUCCAAAUCCGGCCAGCGAAAGAAGCCCUAUAAAAGGAACGGCGGUGGACCAUCCAGCUUGCACUGCAGACUCGAUCGCCCUUGCGAGAUACGUGGCACCCCAGACAAACUGGCCAACCAUACUAAUAGGGAUUGUCGGGUCCUUAAGCAAGCGAGCAAGGUAAAUAGCGGAAACAAGGGAGGGGAAUCGCAGAGCGAGGACGAAGACGAGGAGCCUCGACAGCCGAACACUGGGGGGCAGAAGAAAUUCCCGCCUCAAGUCAAAACGGUGAACAUGAUAUAUGCUACACACAUCCCCAAAAGGGAGCGCAAGCGUGCACUUAGAGCUGUUUACACGGUAGAGCCAGUCGCCCCAAAGUUCAACCCAUGGUGGUCUUUCCCGAUCACCUUCAAUCAUAGUGAUCAUACAACUAGCAUCUGUCAUGGCGGUUCAGCCGCAUUGGUACUGGACCCAAUCAUCGACGGAUUUCACAUGACACGAGUCCUAAUGGACGGUGGUAGCAGCCUCAACCUGCUCUAUCAGGAUACAGUACGCAAAAUGGGCGUUAAUCCCUCACGCAUCAAGCCCACGAUAACUACCUUUAAAGGAGUUAUACCAGGCAUAGAAGCCCGCUGUAUGGGCUCGAUCACGCUGGAGGUGGUCUUCGGUUCCCCAGACAACUUUCGAAGUGAAGAGCUAAUCUUCGAUAUCGUCCCCUUUCGCAGCGGCUACCACGCACUGCUCGGACGAACCGUGUUUGCUAAAUUCAAUGCGGUGCCGCAUUACGCUUAUCUCAAGCUCAAGAUGCCCGGUCCAUGCUGCGUCAUUACAGUAAAUGGAAACACAGAACGUUCCCUCCGCAUAGAGGAACAUACCGCAGCCUUAGCAGUAGAAGUAUAGAGCGGCCUUCUCAAGAGGCUCCAUAAUCCGCCCGCUGAAUCUCUGGACAUCGUCAAGAAGGUCCGGACUACACUGCAAAAGGGCAGCCCGGUUUGUCAAGAGCCAAAUUAGUAAAUUCGGCCUCCGUCCCAGCCCCGAGGAGGAAAGGGCAUCUGUGCCGCGCGUACAUAAUUACACACUCAAAACUUCAUGGGUACUAACGGAGGCAUAACUCGCUCGCGAUCCACAGUGCGGCUUGACCGACCCUGGGAUUCGCACGCCUUUAUUUUUUCUUUUUAUUAUCACGGGUAUUUUCUCUUUUCGAGGUCUAUAUGGAUGACCCACUUAUAGAACACACCAAGGAGGCAAGAAGCUCUAGCAUACAAGGGAUUCCCCAGGUGGUCUCCAUUAAACGAUUGCCAUACUUGUUUUACAUACCCGCACGUAGCUUGCCCUUGGUUUGCGACAUGUUAAAUAGCUUUACUUGCUUAUCACAUUACUCGCACAAAGUACGCCUCGGCGUACUAAAUACAUCACAAUGGUGAAUAAAUGGUGACGUCAGCUUAUUACUUAAUUUUUCCUCUUUCCUCACCUUUGUGUAUAUUAUAUAUUACACACGUAUACUAUGGUACGUAUUACUACGCCAGGGGCUCCAUUACACCCCGUUCUAUGGCAAUAAAAGUCCAAACAUUUUUUUCUGUAUAGUUCGGCACCCCAAACUUAUAGCAUUAUAUGCAUCGGCUUCGAAUCAUGUCUUUGGUCAAUAGUUGGGUUGCCCGGCUCCUAUGCUUACUACCUUACAUUCCGAUAUAUCGGCUAGGGUAGUAAAGGGAGAACUACUGCGAUUGUGUCCCAGUUCUUCCGGACGAGCACCUCAGUAGAGAAAGCCGAAAACUGACUAUCAUGAUGCGGCGAGAGCCGGUCAGCCGUUCGAGAGGUUUCAAAUCGUUAGAGAUUUUUUCCGCUUCGUGCGAAGAAUCGGUCCCUCCGAUUUGGUGUGUAUAACGCCCCUAGUUCGGCCUUCCGAAUACCAGGGGCUUUGCCUACUUUUUAAAUUGUCAAACUCCUAUGGCUAAGUGAGGGCGGUAAAGGCCACAUAGUCUGAUUGCCUUGUUCGUUGCGCUAAACACCUUCUUUAAGGACCAGAAUGUGGAGUAAAGAGUGUUUAGAUUUAUCCCGAACACCCCCGUACUAUCUACGUGGGGGCAGAAGCCGACGACUGGUUAACCCUCAGGUUUCAUAAACGGCCGCACAGGAGGUAAAAUGUAAAUCAUAAGCAUUAUAAUACAUAACAUCACUGCUCCAUAUUACAGGACAUGAUAAUACAAAUGUUCUCAUGGGAAAAUGAUAUCCUUCAAACAUUGUUCCGCCGCAAGGCGGGACCCCUCCCGGACGCCAUCAAAAUAGAGCUCGGGUCGACGAUGCUCCUUGCCCUCCAGCAGUCCCUCAGUCAUCAGCUUCUUGGCAUCCAGCUUUGCCCAAUGUGUCUUGACGCGGGCAAAGGCCAUACGCGCACCUUCAAUACAGACCGACCGCUUCACGGUUUCGAGCCGCGGACAGGCAUUUACAAGCCGCUUAACAAGUCCAAAAUAGCUGCUAGGUACAGGCUCGGCAGGCCACAACCGGACUAUCAGGUCCUUCAUGGCUAGCUCUGCCGACUUGUGCAACUCAACCAACUGCUUCAGCUGGUCGAGGAAGGGCAACUGAUGUUCGGUUCCAAGAUACUGGGACAGAAUAGCUUCUCAGUAGACAUCCCUUCUUCGGCUCUGUAAUGCUCGACAGCAUCCGAUAUACUGCGCGGCAAAACCGCAAACGGCCCUGGAAAACCCAAAUUCGGAUAAGUACAUGGAACGUUUCUUUUACAUACUUGAUUUGCAUGGUGAAAGAAUUACCCGCCGCAAUCUCCUUGGCCGCCUGAAUUUCCUGGAGGGUGUUCUGGGCUUUGGCUCGUGCAUCCCAUGCGCUCCGGCGGGCCUUCGCCAGUUCGGACUCUUGCGCCUUACAAUCACGCUCCAAGGACUCAAAUCUCUUGAUCGCGUCCUGGAUCUGUUGUUGCCCCUCGCCGACCCGGGCCUCAUGCUUCUCACGCGCGGCACGUUCCUUGACCGCUUUGUCCUCGGCCUCGGCCAACGCCUUCUUGAGGGCUGCCACCUUAGUCGUGGCCCCUAAUAAAGUUCACGACAACUCACUCUGGAUGGACUUUUCAUUUUUUUUCUUAAAAGGUACCAGUAGAUCAGCACAUACCUUGGCUAUCCUCUAGCUGCUUCUUUACGAGGCCGAGCUCUUCCUCGGCCCGCUCCAGUUUCCGCCUCAGUCCAGAGACCUCUGCAGCAUGAGCGGUGGCAGCCUGCAGCAACACUUGCUUAUUCACAAAGACAACUUAUGUUAGACUCCUGCAAUUUUUCUUUUCGAUCCUCUGUUCGGCUUCUUCUUUCCGAACACCAAACAGAGCAUCAGGGGCUACUGUCUAUAAUGUGAUAUGCUUCCUACAAACGCAUUACUUACCUCAAAGCCUGAUAGAAGGCUAGUGCAGGCUUCGGUCAGUCUGCUUUUCACGAACUGGACCUUCUCUAUUACCAUGCCCAUAAGGGCGCGGUGUGCAUCCACAAUAGAGGCGGAAUAGGCACACUCCCUCCUUUCGGAGCAUGCCGUUCACUGGACUCCGGAGCCGCAAAGGUCUCCGGAAUGGUAUCUAGCUCAGGUCCGAAGUGAACCCGUCCCCCAUCACUGGUCCUCGCAGGGGCUUUUUCCCUCAUGUGUCCGGCAAGUGAGGAAUCGUCCUGGGGCACCGCCCCAACGAUCUCCGGAAGCCCCCCCCCCGGUCGGGGAAGGUAUUUUGUGACACCACCUCAUCGUCACCCUUGGGAGAGACGGAAUGAGCAGUUGGCGGAGACAUGCUAGCCAUCUCCUUUGAGUCUAGCGAUCCCUCUAACGAAGACCGCAGGGAGCCAUCGCGCGCUGGAUUGCAAUAAAAAGGUUUAAGGUAUAUCAAUAUCACAAACCGGGAAAGCUAGAUGUUUUCGGAUCCUGGUACUUACGAGGCGGCCUGAGGCUUGGUCCGGCAAGGUCGCUCCGGACUGCUUUCCACAUCCCACACAGAGUUAUCCGCGCAGGAACUUCAGGUGGGGAGUCACUUUCUUCUUCCUCUUUGUCAUCGUCGUCAGCGGACGAAGAGGAAGUCUCGUCUUCGGACAUCAUGUCCGGAGCGCCUUUUCGGCAAAGGCCCUUCUUGGCCCUUUUGGCGCUUUCUUGGCCGUCUUCUCCGGCACCUCAUAUGAUGCUGGAAAAAGUAUUUUCGUCAACAAUGGGAACUCUUGGUCUUCGGGUAGCGGAGCCGGACUGUUAAUCCCCUCUGCUAUCUUGAUCCAGGCCUGAAACCACGGGUAGGAAGGCUUAGGCUUUUUCUAAAAAUAUGCUAGUAAAGGGUAUGCCUUGAAAACAUUAGAAGAGCUUACCGGGUUAGCCUGGCGUUUUAAGCUAAGCCCGCGAUCUUCGGUCGUGGGCGGUGGCAUCUCGCUGGCCUUGAAGAUCACUUUCCAGAUUUCUUUGUGUGUUGUGCCAAAGAGCUCUUGUAGCGUCUGGUGCUUGGCUGGAUCGUACUCCCACGGAUAGCAAGUCCGGCGUUGGCACGGAAGAACCCGACGAAUGAGCAUGACCUGGACCACAUUGACGAGCUUGAUCUUCCGAUCCAUCAUAUUCUGGACACACGUCUGGAGCCCAGUCAGUUCGUUCGAGGGACCCCAGGUUAGGCCCCUCUCUUGCCAGGAGGUGAGCCACAUCGGGAAUCUAGAUCUGAAUUCGGGGGCCGCCACCUAGUUGACGUCGCGCGGCUCGGUGAUAUAGAACCAUAUUGAUUGCCACCCUUUCACCGUCUCCGUGAAUGAGCCUUCGGGCCAGGUGAAGUUGGGCAUCUUGCCCACCAUAGCGCCUCCGCACUCUGCUUGUUGGCCGCUCACCACCUUCGGCUUCACGUUGAAGGUCUUCAACCAUAGGCCGAAAUGAGGCGGGAUGCAGAGGAAGGCCUCGCACACGACAAUGAAUGCCGUGAUGUUGAGGAUGAAGUUGGGGGCUAGGUCAUGGAAGUCUAGCCCAUAGUAAAACAUCAGUCCAUGGACGAAGGGGUGGAGAGGGAAACCCAGCCCGCGGACGAAAUGCAUGAGGAAAACAACCCUCUCGUGGGGCUCUGAAGUAGGGACGAUCUGUCCCUUAUCCGAGAGUCGGUGAGCGAUCUCCUUGGCCAGAUAUCCGGCCUCCCGGAGUGCCUUGAUAUCCUUCUUCUUGACAUCCACUUACCACCAGCUCCGGAUCCGGACAUUUUUGGAGUGCUUUCUUGGUUGAGGGAAAAGCUAGAAGGUUGGGCGCUGGAGCUCGGGGACGGAAGGACUGGGGAGUGGUUGAGGUGUGGGUGUAGGUAGGGAAUCCUUAUCCCCUUAUGAAGGCCGCGAAUAUCAAGCUUCUCCCCACUCGCCUUGAACUCACCUAUUCCGGUCAUGCAAAACGACACGGUUGGGUCACCCAUGCUCGUAUUGAUGAGAAUCCCGUAAUAAGGGGGGCAUGAUCUCUGCUUCGACAAGACAUGCCAAUGACAACCACGUCUCGAAACGUGGAGCGGCAGACGAAAAACGGUUUGAAAUUAUGACCGGACAGACGUGAUGCCAUAUUGUAAAAACUGUCAGCGGAUUAGACUCGUGUAGAAAUAUAUAUAUUCUCUCUACGGUUAUGUAUGGUGUGUGUGACAGGUACGGAUACUAUCAUCGCAUCCGAAGACUAUCUUGAAGUUCGGAUAAAAAGGAACCCGCCUUGCAAUGUCGGAGACAAUCUGCACGCCGAACUCAUCGUCAUUGAAGCCAGGUUCAGGGGCUACUGAGGGAGUCCUGGACUAAGGGGUCCUCGGGCGUCCGGCCUGUUAUCCAUGGGACGGACUGAUGGGCUGUGAAGACAUGAAGACCAAAGACUAUACUUGUGUCCGGACUGGACUCUCCUUGGUGUGGAAGGCAAGCUUGGCGACCGGCUAUGAAGAUUCCUUCUUAUGUAACCGACUCUAUGUAAACCCUAGAUCCCCUCGGUGUCUAUAUAAACCAGAGGGGAUAGUCCGGAGAGGAUACAUUCAUUACCAUAGUCAUAUAGGCUAGGCUUCUAGGGUUUAGCCAUCACGAUCUCGUGGUAGAUCAACUCUUGUAACACCCAUAUUCAUCAAUAUCAAUCAAGCAGGACGUAGGGUAUUACCUCCAUAGAGAGGGCCCGAACCUGGGUAAACAUUGUGUCCCCUAUCUCCUGUUACCAUCGAUCCUAGAUGCACAGUUCGGGACCCCCUACCCGAGAUCCGCCAGUUUUGACACCGACAAUGGUGUCAUGCCGGUGACGAUAGAGAUCAUGACGGUACUUUGGAGAAGGAGAUCAAAGGCGCAAGAUGAUCAUGGCCAUAUCAUGUCACAUAUUUUGAUUGCAUGUGAUGUUUAUCCUUUAUGCAUCUUAUUUUGCUUAGUUCUAUGGUAUCAUUAUAAGAUGAUCUCUCACUAAAUUUCAAGGUAUAAGUGUUCUCCCUCAGUAUGCACCAUUGCUACAGUUCGUCGUGCCGAGACACCACGUGAUGAUCGGGUGUGAUAAGCUCUACGUUCACAUACAAUGGGUGCAAGCCAGUUUUGCACACGCAUAAUACUCAGAUUAAACUUGAUGAGCCUAGCAUAUGCAGAUAUGGCCUCGGAACACUGGAGACCCAAAGGUCGAACGUGAAUCAUAUAGUAGAUAUAAUCAACAUAGUGAUGUUCACCAUUGAAAACUACUCGAUCUCACGUGAUGAUCGGACAUGGUUUAGUUAAUAUGGAUCAUGUGAUCAUUUAGAUGACUAGAGGGAUGUCUAUCUAAGUGGGAGUUCUUAAGUAAUAUGAUUAAUUGAACUUUAAUUUAUCAUGAACUUAGUCCUGAUACUAUUUGCAUAUCUGUGUUGUAUAUCAAUUGCUUAGCUUUCCCGUUUUAUUUAUGAUAUGUUCCUAGAGUAAACUAUGUUGAAAGAUGAUAGUAGCAAUAAUGCGGAUUGGAUCCGUGAUCUGAGGAUUAUCGUCGUUGCUGCACAGAAGAAUUAUGUCCUUGAUGCACCACUAGGUGACAUAACUAUUGUAGGAGCAAAUCCAGACGUUAUGAAUGUUUGACAAAGCUUGGUAUGAUGACUACUUAAUAGUUUAGUGCACCAUUCUUUACGGCUUAGAACCGGGACUUCAAAAAUGUUUUUGAACGCCACAGAGCAUAUAAGAUGUUCUAAGAGUUGAAAUUGGUAUUUCAUACUCAUGACCGUGUCGAGAGGUAGGAGACCUCUGACAGUACUUUGCCUACAAGAUGGAGGAGAAUAGCUCGACCAGUGAGCAUGUGCUCAGAUUGUCUGGGUACUACAAUUGCUUGAAUCAAGUGGGAGUUAAUCUUCCGGAUAAGAUAGUAAUUGACAAAGUUCUCUAGUCACUAUCACCAAGUUACUAGAACUUAGUGAUGAACUAUAAUAUGCAAGGGAUGACGAAAGUAAUUCCCAAGCUCUUCGCGAUGCUGAAAUCGGCGAAGGUAGAAAUCAAGAAAUAGCAUCAACUGUUGAUGGUUAACAAGACCACUAGUUUCAAGAAAAGGGCAAAGGGAAAGAAAGAGGAACUUCAAAGAAGAAUAGCAAGCAAGUUGUUGCUCCAUGAAGAAGCGCAAAGCUAGACCCAAACCUGGAACUGAGUGCUUCUACUGCAAAGAAAAUGGUCACUGGAAGUGGAACAACCCUAGAUACUUGACGGAUAAGAAGGAUGGCAAAGUGAACUAAAGUAUAUUUGAUAUACAUGUUAUUGAUGUGUACUUUACUAGUGUUUAUAUAAACCCCUCAGUAUUUGAUACUAGUUCAGUUGCUAAGAGUAGUAACUCAAAACGGGAGUUGCAAAAUAAACAGAGACUAGUUAAGGGCGAGGUGAUGAUGUGUGUUGGAAGUGAUUCCAAGUUUGAUAAGAUCACCAUCGCACACUACCUUUACCUUCGGGAUUAGUGUUGAACCUAAAAUAAAUGUUAUUUGGUGUUUGCAUUGAGCAUGAAUAUGAUUGGAUAAUGUUUAUUGCAAUACGGUUAUUCAUUUAAGUCAAAGAAUAAUUGUUGUUCUAUUUACAUGAAUAAAGCCUUCUAUGGUCAUACACUCAAUAUAAAUGGUUUAUUGAAUCUCGAUCGUAGUGAUACACAUAUUCAUAAUAUUGAAGCCAAAAGAUGCAAAGUUAAUAACGAUAGUGUAACUUAUUUGUGGCACUGCCGUUUAGGUCAUAUUGGUGAAAAGUGCAUGAAGAAACUCCAUGCUGAUGGACUUUUGGAAUCACUUGAUUCUUACGAACCAUGCAUCAUGGGCAAGAUGGCUGAGAUUCCAUUCUCCGGAACAAUGGAGCGAGCAACUGACUUAUUGGAAAUAAUACAUAGUGAUGUAUGCGAUUCGAUAAGUGUUGAGGCUCGCGGCGCGUAUCGUUAUUUUCUGACCUUCAUAGAUGAUUUGAGCAGAUAUGGGUAUAUCUACUUAAUGAAACAUAAGUCUGAAACAUUUGAAAAGUUUAAAGAAUUAGAGAGUGAAGUGGAAAAUCAUCGUAACAAGAAAAUAAAGUUUCUACGAUCUGAUCGCGGAGGCGAAUAAUUUAGUUACGAGUUUGGUCUUCAUUUGAAACAAUGUGGAAUAGUUUCGUAACUCACGCCACAUGGAACACCAUAGCAUAAUGGUAUGUCCGAAUGUUGUAAUCGUACUUUAUUGGAUAUGGUGCGAUCUAUGAUGUCUCUUACCGAUUUACCACUAUCGUUUUGGGGUUAUGUGUUAGAGAUAGCUGCAUUCACAUUAAAUAGGGCACCAACUAAAUUCGUUGAGAUGAAACUGUAUGAACUAUGGUUUGGCAAGAAACCAAAGCUGUCAUUUCUUAAAGUUUGGGGUUGCGAUGCUUAUGUGAAAAGGUUUAAAACUGAUAAGCUCGAACCCAAAUCGGAGUAGUGCGUCUUCAUAGGAUACCCAAAAGAAAGUGUUGGGUACACCUUCUAUCACAGAUCCGAAGGCAAGAUAUUUUGUUGCUAAGAAUCAAUCCUUUCUAGAGAAGGAGUUUCUCUUGAAAGAAGUGAGUGGGAGGAAAGUAGAACUUGAUGAGGUAAUUGUACCUUCUCCCGAAUUGGAAAGUAGUUCAUCACAGAAAUCAGAUCUGGUGAUUCCUGCACCAAUUAGUGAGGAAGCUAAUGAUGAUGAUCAUGAAACUUCAAAUCAAGUUACUACCAAACCUCGUAGGUCAAGCAGAGUACGGUCUGCACCAGAGUGGUAUGGUAAUCCUAUUCUGGAAGUCAUGUACUAGACCAUGACGAACCUACGAACUAUGAGGAAGCGAUGAUGAGCCCAGAUUCCGCAAAAUGGCUUGAGGCCAUGAAAUCUGAGAUGGGAUCAAUGUAUGAGAACAAAGUAUGGACUUUGAUUGACUUGCCCGAUGAUCAGUGAGUCAUUGAGAAUAAAUGGAUCUUCAAGAGGAAGACGGACGAUGAUAGUAGUGUUACUAUCUACAAAGCUUGAAUUGUCGCAAAAUGUUUUCGACAAGAUCAAGGUGUUGACUACGAUGAGAUUUUCUCACUCGUACCAAUGCUUACAAGUAUGUCUAAAUCAUGUUAGCAGUUGUCGCAUUUUAUGAAAUUUGGCAAAUGGAUGUCAAAACUGCAUUCCUUAAUGGAUUUCUUAAAGAAGAGUUGUAUAUGAUGCAACCAGAAGGUUUUGUCAAUCCUAAAGGUGCUAACAAAGUGAGCAAGCUCCAACGAUCCAUCUAUGGACUGGUGCAAGCAUCGCGGAGUUGGAAUAUAUGCUUUGAUAAAGUGAUCAAAGCAUAUGGUUUUAUACAGACUUGCGGUGAAGCCUGUAUUUACAAGAAAGUGAGUGGGAGCACUACAGCAUUUCUGAUAAGUAUAUGUGAAUGACAUAUUUUUGAUCAGAAAUAAUGUAGAAUUUUCUGGAAAGUAUAAAGGAGUAUUUGAAAGGAGUUUUUCAAAGAAAGACCUCGGUGAAGCUACUUACAUAUUGAGCAUCAAGAUCUAUAGAGAUAGAUCAAGAUGCUUGAUAUAUUUUCAAUGAGUACAUACCUUGACAAGAUUUUGAAGUAGUUCAAAAUAGAACAGUCAAAGAAGGAGCUCUUGCCUGUGUUGCAAGGUAUGAAGUUGAUUAAGGACUCAAAACCCGACCACGACAAAAAAUAGAAAGAGAAUGAAAAGUCAUUCCCUAUGCCUCAGUCAUAGGUUCUAUAAAAUAUGCUAUGUUGUGUACCAGACCUAUUGUGUACCUCAUCAUAAGUUUGGCAAGAGGGUACAAUAGUGAUCCACGAGUGGAUCACUGGACAGCGGUCAAAAAUAUCCUUAGUGGAUAAGGAAAUGUUUCUUGGUAAUGGAGGUGACAAGGAGUUUGUCGUAAAUAGUUAUGUCAAUGCAAGCUUUGACACCGAUCUGGAUGACUCUAAGUCUCGAUCUAGAUACAUAUUGAAAGUGGGAGCAAUUAGCUAGAGUAGCUCCGUGCAAAGCAUUGUAGACAUAGAAAAUUUGCAAAAUACUUACGGCUCUGAAUGUGGCAGACCCGUUGACUAAAUUUCUCUCACAAGCAAAACAUGAUCACUCUUUGGGUGUUAAUAACAUAGUGAUGUGAACUAGAUUAUCGACUCUAGUAAACCCUUUGGGUGUUAGUCACAUGGAGAUGUGAACUAAUCACAUAAAGAUGUCAACUAUUGGUGUUAAAUCACAUGACGAUGUGAACUAGAUUAUUGACUCUAGUCCAAGUGGGAGACUGAAGGAAAUAUGCCCUAGAGGCAAUAAUAAAGUUUUUAUUUAUAUUUCCUUAUAUCAUGAUAAAUGUUUAUUAUUCAUGCUAGAAUUGUAUUAACCGGAAACUUAGUACAUGUGUGAAUACAUAGACAAACAGAGUGUCACUAGUAUGUCUCUACUUGACUAGCUCGUUAAUCAAUGAUGGUUAUGUUUUCUAACCAUACAUGAGUUGUCAUUUGAUUAACGGGAUCACAUCAUUAGAGAAUGAUGUGAUUGACUUUACCCAUCCGUUAGCUUAGCACGAUGAUCGUUUAGUUUGUUGCUAUUACUUUCUCCAUAACUAUACAUGUUCCUGUGACUAUGAGAUCAUGCAUCUCCAGAAUACCGGAGGAACACUUUGUGUGCUAACAAACAUCACAACGUAACUGGGUGAUUAUAAAGGUGCUCUACAGGUGUCUCCGAUGGUAUUUGUGGAGUUGUCAUGGAUCAAGAUUAGGAUUUGUCACUACAAUUGUCGGAGAGGUAUCUCUGGGCCCUCUCGGUAAUGUACAUCACAAUAAGCCUUGCAAGAAAUGUUGCUAAUGAGUUAGUUAUGGGAUGUAGCAUUACAGAAUGAGUAAAAGACAUUUGCCAGUAACAAGAUUGAACUAGGUAUUGAGAUACCGACGAUCGAAUCUUGGUCAAGUAACAUACCGAUGACAAAGGGAACAACAUAUGUUGUUAUGUGGUUUGACUGAUAAAGAUCCUCGUAGAAUAUGUAGGAACUAAUAUGAGCAUCUAGGUUCCGCUAUUGGUUAUUGAACGGAGAUAAGUCUCGGUCAAGUCUACAUAGUUCUUGAACCCGUAGGGUCCGCACGCUUAACGUUCGGUGACGAUUGGUAUUAUGAGUUUAUGUGUUUUGAUGUACCGAAGGUAGUUUGGAGUCCCGGAUAUGAUCACGGACAUGAAGAGGAGUCUCGAAAUGGUCGAGACAUAAAGAUCGAUAUAUUGGACGGCUAUAUUCGGACACCGGAAGUGUUCCGGGUGAUUUCGGAGAAAACCAGAGUGCCGGAGGGGUUACCGGAACCCCUCGGGGAAGUAUUGGGCCUUAGUGGGCCUUAGGGGAGAGAGAGGGCAGCAGCCCAGGAGGUGGCACCCCCCUGAUACCUCUUGAGCACUGCAUUGGUUUUCCCUUGAAGAGGAAAGGGUGAUGCAGCAAAGUAGUGUAAGUAUUUCCCCUCAGUUUUUGAGAACUAAGGAAUCAAUCUAGUGGGAGACUAAACACAAGUCACCUCGCACCUACACAAACAAAUAAGAACUUUGCAACUAACGCGAUAAAGGGGUUUCAAUCCCUUCACGGCCACUUGCAAAAGUGAGAUCUGAUAGAGAUAAUAAGAUAAAUAUUUUUGGUAUUUUUAUGAUAUAGAUUGAAAUUAAAGAUUGUAAAGUAAAAUAGUUUGGAAACUUAUAUGAUGGAAAAUAGACCCGAGGGCCAUAGGUUUCACUAGUGGCUUCUCCCAAGAUAGCAAAUUCUACGGUGGGUGAACAAAUUACUGUCGAGCAAUUGAUAGAACAGUACAUAAUUAUGAGAAUAUCUAGGCAUGAUCAUGUAUAUAGGCAUCACGUCCGUGACAAGUAGACUGAAAUGAUUCUACAUCUACUACUAUUACUCCACACAUCGACUGCUAUCUAGCAUGCAUCUAGAGUAUUAAGUUCAUAAGAACAGAGUAACGCAUUAGGCAAGAUGACAUGAUGUAGAGGGAUAAAAUCAAGCAAUAUGAUAUAAACCCCAUAUUUUUAUCCUCGAUGGCAACAAUACAAUAUGUGCCUUGCUGCCCCUGCUGUCACUCGGAAAGGACACCGCAAGAUUGAACCCAAAGCUAAGCACUUCUCCCAUUGCAAGAAAGAUCAAUCUAGUAGGCCAAAUCAAACUGAUAAUUCGAAGAGACUUGCAAAGAUAACAAAUCAUACAUAAAAGAUUUUAGAGAAGAAUCAAAUAUUGUUCAUAGAUAAUCUUGAUCAUAAACCCACAAUUCAUCGGAUCUCGACAAACACACCGCAAAAAGAAUUACAUCAAAUAGAUCUCCAAGAAGAUCGAGGAGAACUUUGUAUUGAGAUCCAAAGAGAGAGAAGAAGCCAUCUAGCUAAUAACUAUGGACCCGAAAGUCUGUGGUAAACUACUCACACAUCAUCGGAGAGGCUAUGGUGUUGAUGUAGAAGCCGUUCGUCAUAAAUUCCCCCUCCGGCGGAGCUCCAGAAAAGGCCCCAAGAUGGGAUCUCUUGGGUACAUAAGGUUGCGGUGGUGGAAAUAGGGUUUCAUGGUGCUCCUGGAUGUUUUCGGGGUAUAUGGGUAUAUAUAGGAGGAAGAAGUACAUCGGUGGAGCUACGAGGGGCCCACGAGGGUGGGGGCGCGCAUGCCCUCCCUAGGCGCCCCCUUCCUCGUGGCCUCCUUGCUUCUUUCUUGACGGCCACUCCAAGUCUCCUGGAUCACGUUUGUUCCAAAAAUAACUCUCCCGAAGGUUUCAUUUCAUUUGGAUUCCGUUUGAUAUUCCUUUUCUGUGAAACACUGAAAUAGGCAAAAAAAACAGCAAUUUGCACUGGGCCUUUGGUUAGUAGGUUAGUCCCAAAAAUAAUAUAAAAAGGUAAAUUAAAGCCCAUCAAACAUGUAAAAUUGAUAAUAUAAUAGCAUGGAACAAUUAAAAAUUAUAGAUACGUUGGAGACAUAUCACCCCCCAAGGGGAGUCCGAAUAGGACUAGGGGAGGGGGCGCGGCCCCUCUUUCCCUCUCCCUCUCCCUCUCUUUCCUUCCCCCUUCCUCCUUCCUAGUAGGACUAGGAAAUGACGAAUCCUAAUCCUACUAGGAGGAGGAUUCCUCCUCUCCUUGGGCGCCACUAGGGCUGGCCGGCCUCCCCCUUGCUCCUUUAUAUACGGCGGCAGGGGGCACCUGAUACAUCUCCAACGUAUCUAUAAUUUUUGAUUGCUCCAUGCUAUAUUAUCUACUGUUUUGGACUAUAUUGGGCUUUAUUUUCCACUUUUAUAUUAUUUUUGGGACUAACCUAUUAACCGGAGGCCCAGCCCAGAAUUGUUGUUUUUUGCCUAUUUCAGUGUUUCGGAUAAACAGAAUAUCAAACGGAGUCCAAACGGAAUAAAAUUUUCGGAAACGUGAUUUUCUCACCGAACGUGAUCCAGGAGACUUGGACCCUACUGCAAGGGAUCAAAGAGGUGGUCACGAGGGUGGGGGCGCCCCCCCCCCUAGGGCGCGCCCCCUUGGUGCUCCACCGACGUACUCGUUCCUCCUAUAUAUACGCACGUACCCCCAAACGAUCAGAACAAGAGCCAAAAACCUAAUUUCACCGCUGCAACUUUCUGUAUCCACGAGAUCCCAUCUUGGGGCCUGUUCCAGAGCUCCACUGGGAGAGGGCCGUCAUCACGGAGGGCUUCUACAUCAUCAUAGCCCCUCCGAUGAAGUGUGAGUAGUUUACCUCAGACCUUCGGGUCCAUAGUUAGUAGCUAGAUGGCUUCUUCUCUCUCUUUGAAUCUCAAUACAAAGUACUCCCCCUCUCUUGUGGAGAUCUAUUCGAUGUAAUCUUCUUUUUUGCGGUGUGUUUGUUGAGACCGAUGAAUUGUGGGUUUAUGAUCAAGUCUAUCUAUGAAUAAUAUUUGAAUCUUCUCUGAAUUCUUUUAUGUAUGAUUGGUUAUCUUUGCAAGUCUCUUCGAAUUAUCCGUUUGGUUUGGCCAACUAGAUUGGUAGUUCUAGCCAUGGGAGCAGUGCUUAGCUUUGGGUUCGAUCUUGCGGUGUCCUUACCCAGUGACAGAAGGGGCAGCAAGGCACGUAUUGUAUCGUUGCCAUCGAGGAUAACAAGAUGGGGUUUAUUUCAUAUUGCAUGAAUUUAUCUCUCUACAUCAUGUCAUCUUGCUUAAGGCGUUACUCUAUUUUUAACUUAAUACUCUAGAUGCAUGCUGGAUAGCGGUCGAUGAGUGGAGUAAUAGUAGUAGAUGCAGAAUCGUUUCGAUCUACUUUUCACGGACGUGAUGCCUAUAUACAUUAUCAUGCCUAGAUAUUCUCAUAAUUAUGCUCAAUUCUAUCAAUUGCUCAACAGUAAUUUGUUCACCCACCAUAGAAUACUUAUGCUCUUGAGAGAAGCCACUAAUGAAACCUAUGGCCCCCAGGUCUAUUCUCAUCAUGUUAAUCUCCAUCACUUUUAUAUUGUUUUGCUAUUUACUCUGCCUUUACUUUUACUUUGCAUCUUUAUAUCAAAAAUACCAAAAAUAUUCUAUCUAUCAGAUGUCACUCUCGUAAGUGACCGUGAAGGGCUUGACAACCCCUGAUCGCGUUGGUUGCGAGUAGCUAUCGCUUUGUGCAGGUACGAGGGACUUGAGCGUGGGCUCCUACUGGAUUGAUACCUUGGUUCUCAAAAACUGAGGGAAAUACUUAUGCUACUCUGUUGCAUCAUCCCUUCCUCUUCGGGGAAAACCAACGCAAGCUCAAGAUGUAUCAAGAAGGAUUUCUGGCGCCGUCGCCGGGGAGUCUAUGCAAAAAGUCAAUAUACCAAGUACCCAUCACAAUCCCUAUCUCUCGCAUUACAUUAUUUUCCAUUUGCCUCUCAUUUUCCUCUCCCCCCAAUUCACCCUUGCCGUUUUAUUCGCCCUCUCUCUCUAUCCUCCCUCUCUUUUCGCCUCUUUGUUUGCUUGUCGUCAUGGCUAGUCUCAUAUCUUCUCCGUUGUCUCCCGAGAGUGAAGUUCUAGAUUUUAAACAAAGGGAGGGAGAAAAUCUAAAAGAUGCUUGGUAUAGAAUUUUCAAUGCUCAAAAUAGAUCUACUAGGAAACAAUCUACCUUAGUUCUUCUUCGCAAUUUUUAUGUAGGUGUUAAUCCUUGGUAUAGAUAUAUCCUCGAUACCAUUACCGGAGGGAACUUCUUGGGUAGCCAUACUUUUGAUUCUUAUAAUGCUAUGAUAGAUUUAUUUCGCUCACCACCUCUUUUGGUUAAUGGAACCAUGUUAACUUUGGAGCAUGUUAUGCAAAGACUUGAAAUUAUUGAAAAUAAAGUUGCUACUAUUGAAUCAAUUGAAAAUCUAGAUAAAAAGAUCCACAAUCAAAUCACUAAAUAUGGAUCUAAGGUAGGAAUGACUUUGAAAAAUGUUAAGGAAAAGGAACCCAUAGUUAAUGAGAAGAUGAACUUAGAUUCUACUAGAAUUGAUAAACUUGAGGGUAUCAUUACAAAUUUGGGAACCGCUUUUUCUUCCGUAAAGAAUACUCCUAGUCCUCCUACUAAAAUUGCCAAGCUCAUGUAUGUUCCUAAAAAUAAGGGUGAAUCAUCUAGUAAGGAAACUGCUGAUCUUAAAUCUAUAAGUAUUCAUCCCAAUCUUUUUGCUAUCAUUAAAGAACCAUUUAUUACAAAUGAAUUUUUUGAUCUUGUGCCUAAAAAUUUGAUAAUUAAUAAAAAGAAAGAAAUUCAUAAAGAUGGUAGAUGCCUAAUUGAAGAAUUACCUACCAAAGAUGGCAAUACCUAGAUCUAUUCUUGCUCGUUAUGCCUAGCUAGGGGCGUUAAAUGAUAGCGCUUGUUGGGAAGCAACCCAAUUUUAUUUUUAUUCCUUGCUUUUUGCUCCUGUUUAGUAAUAAAUAAAUUAUUUAACCUCUGUUUUGGUUGUGUUUUUUGUGUUUAAUUAGUGUUUGUGCCAAGUAGAACCGUUGGGAAGACUUGGGGAAAGUCUUCUUGAACUUGCUGUAAAAAACAGAAAUUUUAGCGCCCACGAGAACUGCUGUCAUUUUUAUUUGAAGAGUGCUAUUUAGUUAAUUCUUUCUGCAGAUGAUUAAUAGAUAAAUUCCUCACGUCCAGAAAUUUAUUUUAGAAUUUUUGGGGUUCCAGAUCUUGCGCUAGCUACAGAUUACUACAGACUGUUCUUUUUUUGAAAGAUUAUAUUUUUCGUGUGUUGUUUGCUUAUUUUGAUGAAUCUAUGGCUAGUAAAAUAGUUUAUAAUCCAUAGAGAAGUUGGAAUACAGUAGGUUUAACACCAAUAUAAAUAAAGAAUGAGUUCAUUACAGUACCUUGAAUUGGUCUUUUGUUUUCUUUCGCUAACAGAGCUCACGAGUUUUCUAUUUUGAGUUUUGUGUUGUGAAGUUUUCAAGUUUUGGGUGAAUUCUUUUGAUGGAUCAUGGAACAAGGAGUGGAAAGAGCCUAAGCUUGGGGAUGCCCAUGGCACCCCCAAGAUAAUCCAAGGACACAAAAAAGUCAAAGCUUGGGGAUGCCCCGGAAGGUAUCCCCUCUUUUCGUCCACUUCCAUCGAUAAUUUACUUGGAGCUAUAUUUUUAUUCACCAACAUGAUAUUUGUUUUGCUUGGAGCGUCUUGUAUUAUUUGUGUCUUUGUUUUUUAGUAUGCCACAAUCAUCCUUUAUGUACAAACCUUUUGAGAGAGCUAUACAUGAAUUAAAAUUUGAUAGAAUACUCUAUGUGCUUCACUUAUAUCUUUUGAGCUAGAUAAUUUUGCUCUAUGUGCUUCACUUAGAUCUUUUAGAGCACGGUGGUGGAUUCGUUUUAAAGAAACUAUUGAUCUCUCAUGCUUCACUUAAAUUAAUUUGAGAGUCUCUUCAUAGCAUGGUAAUUUUCCUAAUAAUAAUAUGCUUGGUAUUCAAGAUUUGUGAAACUUUCUUUUGAGUGUGUUGAAUACGAAGAAAAGAUUGAAGCAUGAUAAUUGUUUUGAGAUAUGGAUAUGAUAAUAUUAAAGUCAUGCUAGUUGAGUAGUUGUGAAUUUAAAGAAUACUUGUGUUGAAGUUUGUGAUUCUCGUAGCAUGCACGUAUGGUGAACCGUUAUGUGAUGAAGUCGGAGCAUGAUUUAUUUAUUGAUUGUCUUCCUUAUGAGUGGCGGUCGGGGACGGGUGAUGGUCUUUUCCUACCAAUCUAUCCCCCUAGGAGCAUGCGCGUAAUACUUUGCUUUGAUAACUUCUAAAUUUUUGCAAUAAGUAUAUGAGUUCUUUAUGACUAAUGUUGAGUCCAUGGAUUAUACGCACUAUCACCCUUCCACCUUUGCUAGCUUCUCUCAUACCGCGCAACUUUCGCCGGUAUCAUACACCUACCAUAUACCUUCCUCAAAACAGCCACCAUACCUACCUAUUAUGGCAUUUCCAUAGCCAUUACGAGAUAUAUUGCCAUGCAACUUUCCACCAUCUAGUUUAUCAUGACAUAUCCAUCAUUGUCAUAUUGCUUAGCAUGAUCAUGUAGUUGACAUAGUAUUUGUGGCAAAGCCACCGUUCAUAAUUCUUUCAUACUUGUCACUGUUGAUUCAUUGCAUAUCCCGGUACACCACCGGAGGUAUUCAUAUAGGGUCAUACUUUGCUUUAGUAUCGAGUUGUAAUCAUUGAGUUGUAAAUAAAUAGAAGUGUGAUGAUCAUCAUUCAAUAGAGCAUUGUCCCCAAAAAAAGAGAAAGGCCAAAGAAGAAAAAAGAAGGCCCAAAAAAUAUAAAUAAAUAAAAAAGGGACAAUGCUACUAUCCUUUUUUCCACACUUGUGCUUCAAAGUAGCACCAUGAUAUAGCGAGUCUCAUAUAUUAUGCUUCAAAGUAGCACCAUGUUCUUCAUAUAGAGAGUCUCAUAUGUUGUCACUUUCAUAUACUGGUGGGAAUUUUACGUUAUAGAACUUGGCUUGUAUAUUCCAAUGAUGGGCUUCCCCAAAUUGCCCUAGGUCUUCAUGAGCAAGCAAGUUGGAUGCACACUGUCGGUGUCAAAACCGGAAGAUCUCGGGUAGGGGGUCCCGAACUGUGCGUCUAGGCCGGAUGGUAACAGGAGAUAGGGGACACUUUGUUUUACCCAGGUUCGGGCCCUCUCGAUGGAGGUAAAACCCUACUCCUGCUAGAUUAAUAUUGAUGAUAUGGGUAGUACAAGAGUAGAUCUACCACGAUAUCAAGGAGGCUAAACCCUAGAAGCUAGCCUAUGGUAUGAUUGUUGUCUAUGGACUUGAUUCUGUCCUACAGACUACAACCCUCCGGUUUAUAUAGACACCGGAUAGGGUUUAGGGUUACAUAGAGUCGGUUACAAUGGUAGGAGAUCUUGAAUAUCCGCAUCGCCAAGCUUGCCUUCCACGCCAAGGAAAGUCCCAUCCGGACACGGGACGAAGUCUUCAAUCUUGUAUCUUCAUAAUCCAGGAGUCCGGCUGAAGAUAUAGUCCGGCUACCCGAACACCCCCUAAUCCAGGACUCCCUCAGUAGCCCCUGAACCAGGCUUCAAUGAUGACGAGUCCGGCGCGCAGAAUCGUCUUCGACAUUGCAAGGCGGGUUCCUCCUCCCAGUCCUUUAUAGAAGAUUGUAAACACCAAGAGUAGUGUCCGGCUCUGUAAAAUAAGCUUCCACAUAUUGUCAUAGAGAGAAUAAUAUUAACACAAAUCAAAUCUGCUGACGUAUUCUGCAGUGCGCCAUCACACUACAGCCAAGCCCUUUACUCGUAUCGUUUUUACUUUUCCACCUCAGCAUGUUUUGCGAGGCGGUUUCCUUGACACGUCUUGUCAAAGCAGAGAUCGUGUACCCUUUUUACGGGAUUCUCAUUAAUACGGACGUGGGUAACCCAACCGCGCCAUUUAUCACGGUGCUCGGGAGGCAAGCGAGUUUCGUUAGGUAGGUGGGGAUGCAUAACCGCAUCCGCCUAUAUAAGGGGAUAAGGAUCCACCCUUUUUACCUACUCCUUCUUCCUCCCUUGCCUAUCCAUCUCUCGCGCACCCGACCUCCAGCGCCCAAGCCCGCACAUCCCACCUCAACCUUCUCUAGCAAUGUCCGGAGCGGGAGGCAAAUGGAUGGUCUCCUCCGUUACGGAGGGUAAAGUAAAAAAGCUAAGGAAGGCCGGAUACCUGUCCAAGGACAUCGCGCACCGGCUUCCCGAAGAGGGGCAGCUUAUCCCCACCCCAAGGCCCCAUGAGAGGGUCAUGUUUCUUCCCCACUUCCUCCGCGGACUGGGUUUUCCACUCCACCCAUUUGUCCGGGGGCUCAUGUUCUACUACGGCCUGGAUUUCCAUGAUCUGGCUCCUAACUUCAUCCUCAACAUCUCGGCGUUUAUCGUCGUGUGUGGGGCCUUUCUCCACAUCCGCCCCCAUUUCGGCCUCUGGCUCAAGACCUUCAACGUCAAGCCCAAGGUGGUGCGCGGCAGCCAGGCGGAGUGCGGAGGCGCUAUGGCGGGCAAGAUGGCCAACAUCCUAUGGUUCGAGGGCUCUUUCGUGGAGACCCUAAAGGGAUGGCAAGCCGGGUGGUUUUAUAUCACCGAGCCACGCAAUCCGGAAUGGACCGCAGCCCCUGAGUUCCGCUCCGGACCCCCCACGCGGCUUAUGUCCUGGAAAGAGACGGGCCUGUCGUGGGGUGACGAAAAAGAGGUGACCGGAUUGCAAACAUGCAUCCAUUCCCUGGUGAACAAGCCAGUCCGGCUUGUUAAUAUAAUCCAGGUUAUGCUCAUCCGCCGGAUCCUCCCAUGCCAACAACGGGAUUUUAAUCUAUGGGAGUUCGACCCGGCGCAGCACCAAACCCUCAACAGGCUUUUCAACACGACGUAUGAGGAUGCCUGGAAGGUGCUAUUCAAGGGCGCUGAAGCUCCCUCAUCCGCUUCCGAGGACUGCGGAUACAUCUCGCAGCGUCACGCUAACAAGGUAUGCCAUCUACACCUUUUACAGGAUGUUUAAGCUUUUUUCAUAGUUUGACUCUAUGCGGGAUCUAAACUCCCUUACCUUUGACAAGCUUGGCGGGCGAUAGCCGAACCGAUUAACUGUCCGGCUCCGCUGCCCGAAGAUCCAGCCCAGCUUUACUGGUGAAGCUGCUGGCUCCGGCGCCUUAUGUGGUGCCGGAGAAGAAGGCCAAGAAGAAGAAGACCACGGGGACUCGAAAGAGUGCCCGUAACAUGGUGGUGUCGGACUCGUCAUCUGAUGAGUCCGAGGCGCCGUCCUCCCGCGAGAACGAGGAGGAGGAAGAAGAAAACUCUCCCUCUCCAGUGGAGGGAGGAGAGAAGAGGAAGGCCGCCCCAACGGGGGAGGCCGAGGGGUCUAAGAAGAGGAAGACCCCUCCGCCGGACUACGCCCCUGACGCCGAAGAGGGCGAAGAGGAGUGGCCGGACAGGGCCAAGCAUCCGGUGAAAUCGUAAGUUCGGGUAUCAGAGUAACUCAUGAUGUUCCUUUAUUGCGCAGCUUUCCCUAAUGUCGAAUGUAAUCAUGCAGCCCGCCCCGGGCCGCACUCAACGAGUCAUCGAGCGGCUCCCUGGAUUCAUCGGAUGUGAACUCUGUUCCGCCCGCUGUCUCCCCCCGCACUGUGGACGACGCCGAAGUGGCGUCGCGGCGAGCUCCGGGGCAGGAGGAGGUGGUCCUGGAGGAGCCGCAAGGCGACCUCCCGGACCCCAGGAGUGAAGGGGACAAGGCCCCCCAGGGCUCCAAGUCCGGCCUUAAGCCGGACACCAUGCCGGAAUCUUCAACAAUUCCGGACCGCGGCAGGCGAACUCCUUCCAAGAGGAGCAAGCCUUCUGAGCUGGCAGCCUCCGUCCAACCGGAGGCGCCGAACAAUCUGUUGGAGGUGCUUGAAGGCGCCUCCAUCGACGAGGAGCAUCGUACUAUUAUGAGUACGGUGAUCCAGAAGGUUCAGUCCACCAAGAGCGGGCUGAAUGAAGCUUGCGCUGGCCUCCUAGCAGGCUUCGAGGUAAGUAAAAAUAUGUAAAAAUAUUACCGCAUAGACAGUAGCCCCUGAUGCUCUGUUUGGCGUUCGGAAAGAAAAGCCGAAUAGAGGAUCUAUGAAAUUUCACAGGAGUCUAAUAAUGAAGAGUCAAUAUGCGUAUGCAGGCUUUGCUGCUAGCCACUGCCGCACUGACUGCGGAGGUGGAUACCUAAACAGGGACUCGAGCGGUCCGAGCAAGAGCUCGGCCGUGCCAAGCAGUAGCUCGAGGAGAAACAAGGUAAGAAAUACCUUAUAAAAAGGUGCCUAUAGAGAGGCGUGAUUGCAAAAAAUAACAGGAUUGUACUACUUAUUGUAGGGGCCACGACUGAGGUGGCGACCCUCAAGAAGGCGCUGUCCGAGGCCGAAAAGAAAACAGCCGCGGAGCGCACCGAGCGAGAGAAACUUGGGUCUCAGGUCGGCGAGGUGCAACAAGAGCUUCAGGCUGUCAUGAAAAAACAUGAGAGUUUGGAGCUUGAGUCAAAGAUCCAAGCAUCCGAGCUCGCGACGGUCCUUGAGACUGCCAAGUCUGCCAAGGCCGAAGCCCAAAAGGCUCUCCGAGAGUUGGAGGAUAUGAAGAAGAUAGCAGCGGGUAAGGCAUUCUUUAUGCAAAGCAGAAACAUAAAAGUAAACUACUUGUUACUUACCCGAAUCCGGAGUUCUCCAGGGGCCUUCGCGGAUCUUCCCCGCAGUGUAUCCGAUGCCGCCGCAUUCUACCGAGCUGAAGAGGGCAGCUCGACAGAGAAGGUGUUCUGGUCUUAGUAUGCUGAGGCCGGACACCCUGUGCCCUUGAGCGACCAGCUGAAACAGCUGGUCGAACUCCACAAGGCGGCCGAACAGGCCAUGAAGGGCUUCAUAGUUCGGCUGUGGCCCGGAGAGGCCUUGCCUGGGAGCUACUUCGGGCUGGUGCGGCGGCUGGUGGAGGCCUGUCCAUGGCUCGAGGCCAUCAAGCGCUCCGUCUGCAUCGAAGGUGCCCAUAGGGCCCUUGCCCGUGUAAAGGUGCACUGGGGUAAGCUGGACGGUGAGAAUCUUGUGACGGACGGGCCGCCGCCGGGGAAGGAGCAUCGCAAGCCGGAGAACUACUAUAAGGAUGUUCUUGCGGGUGCCCGCCUUGUGGCGGAUGAGUGCACCAAGGAUGUAAUUUUUGAAUGAAUUCGCUCGUGUUUAUCAUGUGCGCUGAAAACUUGUUCAUAUGCGCUUAAGCAAUGCUUAUUGAAUUUAAAAUAUUGUUUUCUGUGCGGCCGUUUAUCGAAAAUUGAGAGAUGGCCAGUCGUCGGCUUCUGCCCCCAUGCCACUAGUGCUGGGGUGUUCGGUGAUAAACCUGGGUGCUCUUUUUCCCAUGGUUGGGUCCUUCGAGGGAGGCGCUCAGCACGACGAACCAGGCAAUCGGACUAUAAUGCUUGAACACUCUCACUAAGCCAUAGAACUUUAUAAUUUUAAAUUUUGGCGAAGCCCCUAGUUCGGAAGACCGAGUUCGGGGCGCUAUCCACGCCUUGGCUGGGGUUAUCCAGCUCUUCGCUCGAAGUGGCAUAAGCCUUUAGGGACUCGAAAAACCUCUCGAAUAGCGACCGGUCUCUCGCCUCAUCAUGACAGUCAGUUUUAGCUUUCUCCACUGAGGUGCUUAACCUAGCUCAACCGGGGAACAAUCGCAGUGGUUCUCCUAGUGCUACCUUAGCCGAUAUAGAGGAACGUAAGGCACCAGAACAUAGGAGCCGGGCAAACCCAACUAUUGACCCAAAUCAUGAUUCGGAGCCGAUGCAUAUAGUGCUAUAAAUUCGGGGUGCCGCACUUGUGAAAGUGUACGGACUUCUCACACCAUAUUAAAGGGUACGGAAGCCCCUGGCGUACUUGUCGUACCACAAUGUACGGGUGCAACAUGUCAUUAAUGAACAUAUAUAUGAAAAGAGUAAUGCAAAAAAUAGACAAAAAGCUAAGCAUUAUUUAUGGAGAGGCUAUUUAUCAAAGCCAAACGAUACAAAUGGUGCGGUAAGCAAAAGAUAUUGGACUAUUCAGUAUGUCCUGACCAGGGGCAGGCCGCGCAAUUAUAUAUAAAGUAGGUAUACCGCUCGCAACAGAUACCACCUGGGAGUUCCAUAAUGCGGCAUUGCUUAUCUGCCUCCCUGGAUCUUGCAUCAUUUGUGCGGCAAUCGAAUUGCCGAACAGGUCGUCCGAAGUAUGGAAUCCUGAAAGUAAGAAAAAAUUAAAAAAAGAAUCCGGCAGCUCCUGGUACGUUUUAAGCCGUAUUUUGGGCGUGCCGUUAUUUUGCCCCUUCCCCUGUGCCCAUGGUAUUUCAAGGGCGUAGUUAUGUACGCGAGGUACUAGUUUCGCUAGGUCGGGAAAGCUGGGUUGGGGCCGCAUUGCUACGCUUGCUCAGAGUGUGCCAGGCGGUCCUGCUGUAGGUUACUCCGGGCACGCUUGGCAGUGUCUGGCUUUUUAAUGGCCGGACUGGAGAAUUGCCUAAGAAGGCUACUCUGUACCUCCGCUGCGAGAGCCGCCGUAUGCUCCUCCGUACGGAGGGAGCGUUCGGUGUUUCCGUUGACCGUGAUUACUCCUCGAGGGCCUGGCAUCUUGAGUUUGAGAUAUGCGUAGUGCGGAACCGCAUUGAAUUUUGCGAAUGCGGUUCGUCCGAGCAGGGCGUGAUAGCCACUGCGAAACGGGACUAUAUCGAAGAUUAACUCUUCGCUUCGGAAAUUAUCCGGGGAUCCGAAGACCACGUCAAGUGUUACUGAGCAUGUACAGUUGGCUUCUACACCUGGUAUGACGCCUUUAAAGGUCGUUCUUGUGGGUUUGAUCCUUGAGGGGUCUAUGCCCAUUUUCCGCACUGUGUCCUAAUAAAGCAGGUUCAGGCUACUGCCGCCGUCCAUGAGGACUCUUGUGAGGUGAAAUCCGUCGAUGAUUGGGUCGAGAACCAAUGCGGCGAAGCGACCAUGACGGAUGCUAGUGGGAUGGUCCCUUCGAUCAAAAGUGCUCGGGCAGGAGGACCAUGGGUUGAACUUUGGGGCGACUGGCUCCAUCGCGUAUACGUCCCGUAGCGCACGCUUCCGCUCCCACUUGGGAAUGUGGGUUGCGUAUAUCAUGUUCACCGUCCGCACUUGUGGGGGAAAGCCCUUCUGUCCAUUGUUGUUCGGCGGCUUGGGCUCCUCGUCAUUGUUGUGCAGCCCCUUGUCUCUGUUUUCGGCUCUUAACUUGCCUGCCUGCUUGAACACCCAACAAUCCUUGUUGGUGUGAUUGGCUGGCUUUUCGGGGGUGCCAUCUAUCUGGCACAAGCGAUCGAGUAUUCGGUCCAAACUGGACGGGCCCUGAGUAUUCUUUUUUAAUGGCUUUUUCCGCUGACCGGAUUUAUAGCCUCUGAAUCCGGCAUUGACUGACGUGUCUUCAUUGCUGUCGCUGUUAACGCGAUGUUUUUGUUUGUUCCGACGUGUCCUGCCGCUUUUGUCCUUGGUAUCCAAAUUACCAGGGUUCUUUGAUAGAUUGUUACUGCGAGCUAGCCAGCUGUCUUCACCCGCGCAAAAGCGGGUCAUCAGUGUCGUGAGGGCUGCCAUGGAUUUCGGCUUUUCCUGUCCCAGGUGUCGGGCAAGCCACCCGUCGCGGAUGUUAUGCUUGAAGGCUGCUAGGGCCUCUGCGUCCAGACAGUCGACUAUCUGGUUUUUCUAUGUUAGGAACCGUGUCCAGAAUUGUCUGGCUGAUUCUUCUGGCUGUUGAAUUAUGUGGGUUAAGUCGUCGGCAUCCGGCGGUCGCACAUAAGUGCCCUGGAAGUUGUCGAGGAAUGCGGCUUCCAGGUCCUCCCAAGAACUGAUUGAGUCCGAUGGCAAGCUGUUAAGCCAAUGCCGGGCCGGUCCUUUAAGUUUGAGCGGGAGGUACUUGAUGGCGUGUAGAUCAUCGCCGCGUGCCAUGUGGAUGUGAAGGAGAUAAUCCUCAAUCCAUACCGCCGGGUCUAUGGUGCCAUCGUAUGAUUCGACGUUUACGGGUUUAAAGCCCUCUGGGAUUUUAUGAUCCAUUACUUCAUUCGUGAAGCAUAGCGGGUGUGCGGCGCCUCUAUACUAGGAUAUAUCACGACGCAGCUCGGAAGAGCUAUGUCUGUUGUGCUUGGCCCAGCCGGAUUUGUUGUAUCCGGCGUGAGGAUCAUUGUCACAUGCCGUAGGGCGCCUGCGCGAUCCGUAGAUCAAUCUUGUAUGUCUUGCCUUAUCCUCCAGUAUGUCUCGCAGGUCGGGCGCAUUUUCCCGUGCCUUAGUUGUGCAGCAUCGGGGCAUGGCUUGGGUGGAGGGCUGAGAGGCCUCUCUGUCACGGCCACGAGGUGGCCGGUCUGCCAUGUCAUGCACUGGUGAUGUAGUCGCCUCCUCUGAUCGGGGUAGUGACCUGCGCUUCGGGUAACUCUUGGAGGGGCGUUCGAGUUCAUACUCUUUGGCCGCAAGGACUUCAGUCCAUCUGUCAGCUAGCAGAUCUUGGGCAGCUCUAAGCUGUUGCUGAUUUUUCUUGAGGCUGCUUGCCGUGGCUAAAAGCCUGCGUUUAAAACGCUCUUGUUCGGUGGGGUCUGAUGGUAUGACGAAUUCGUCGUCAUCGAGGCUUGCCUCGUCUUCGGAGGGAGGCAUAUAGUUAUCAUCCUCGACCUCUCGGUCUGCUGCUCUCUCAUGAGGGCUGGCUUCUCCAUCUUCCUGUGCCGAACCUUGCUGGGGUGGGUGUUCUUCGGCACUAUCCGGGGUAGUAUUAUCUCCCGUGCCAGAAUCACCAUUUUUGCUUUGGCGGGAUUUAGAGCGGCUCCGCUGACGCCGGCGCUUUGGCUGUUUCUUGGGGGCGUCAUCCCCCAUUGUUCCAUCGCCAUCUCCGUCUUUUGGAGUAUCCACCAUGUAUAUGUCAUAUGACGGGGUGGCGUUCCAGCGCCCUACAGGUGCUGAUUCCUGUUCGUCUCCUAUAUCGUCGUCCAUGCCGUCGAUGUCUUCGGAGCCAAAGUCCAGUAUGUCGGUUAAAUCGUCGACAGUGGCUACAAAGUGGGUGGUGGGUGGGUUUUGAAUUUCCUCACCGUCUGUAUCCCACCCUUGCUGACCGUAGUUCGGCCAUGGCUCUCCUGAUAAAUAGAGAGACUUAAGGGAAUUCAGGAUGUCGCCAAAAGGCGAAUGCUGAAAGAUGUCCGCGGCGGUGAACUCCAUUACCGGCGCCCAAUUGGAUUCGAUUGGCAGGGGUGCGGGGGGCUCGGAGUUCGGAGAGGAAUCCGGCUCCUCGGAGUCACGGGCCACGCGGAGUGCGGGGCUAGAGUUCGGCUCGAUCGCCUCUGAGAUCGCAGCCCCUGAGGCAGCGUCCAACCGCUGAUCCUCGAUCGGCACAGUAGGUUCCGAAUCAAUGGUCGAAACCGAUGCGUGUGCGGCCUCCAAAGCGUUGUUCGACAGCAGAGCUAUAUCAUGCCCGUCGAGACAGUGCGGCACGCUUGGCUGUGGCUCGAAUCCGUCGAAGAUCAAGUCCCCGCGGAUGUCAGCCGUGUAGUUUAGGCUUCCAAACCUGACCUGACGGCCAGGGGCGUAGCUUUCGAUCUGCUCAAGGUGGCCAAGCGAAUUGGCCCACAGUGCGAAGCCACCGAAGACGAAGAUCUAUCCGGGGAGAAAAGUCUCACCCUGGACCGCAUCGUUGUUGAAGAUCGAAGGAGCCAUCGAGCCUAAAGGCGACGACACAGAGGAACUCUCAAUGAAAGCACCAAUGUCGGUGUCAAAACCGGCAGAGCUCGGGUAGGGGGUCCCGAACUGUGCGUCUAGGCCGGAUGGUAACAGGAGACAGGGGACACUUUGUUUUACCCAGGUUCGGGCCCUCUCGAUGGAGGUAAAACCCUACUCCUGCUAGAUUAAUAUUGAUGAUAUGGGUAGUAUAAGAGUAGAUCUACCAUGAGAUCAAGGAGGCUAAACCCUAGAAGCUAGCCUAUGGUAUGAUUGUUGUGUAUGGAGUUAAUUCUGUCCUACGGACUACAACCCUCCGGUUUAUAUAGACACCGGAUAGGGUUUAGGGUUCAUAGAGUCGGUUACAAUGGUAGGAGAUCUUGAAUAUCCGCAUCGCCAAGCUUGCCUUCCACGCCAAGGAAAGUCCCAUCCGGACACAAGACGAAGUCUUCAAUCUUGUAUCUUCAUAAUCCAGGAGUCCGGCUGAAGAUAUAGUCUGGCUACCCGAACACCCCCUAAUCCAGGACUCCCUCACACACCCACUAGUUUCUUUUGUUGAGCUUUCAUACAUUUAUAGCUAUAGUGCAUCCGUUGCAUGGCAAUCCCUACUCACUCACAUUGAUAUCUAUUGAUGGGCAUCUCCAUAGCCCGUUGAUACGCCUAGUUAUUGUGAGACUAUCUUCUCCUUUUUUGUCUUCUCCACAACCACCAUUCAAUUCCACCUAUAGUGCUAUAUCCAUGGCUCACUCUCAUGUAUUGCGUGAAGAUUGAAAAAGUUUUGAAAAAGUUAGAGUAUGAAACAAUUGCUUGGCUUGUCAUCGGGGUUGUGCAAGAUUUAAAUACUUUGUGUGGGGAAGAUGGAGCAUAGCCAGACUAUAUGAUUUUGUAGGGAUAACUUUCUUUGGCCAUGUUAUUUUGAGAAGACAUAAUUGCUUUGUUAGUAUGCUUGAAGUACUAUUAUUUUCUAUGUCAAUAUAAACCUUUGUCUUGAAUCUUUCUAAUCUCAAUAUUCAUACCACAAUUAAGAAGAUUUGCAUUCAAAUUAUGCCAAGUAGCACUCCGCAUCAAAAAUUCUCUUUUUAUCAUUUACCUACUCGAGGACAAGCAGGAAUUAAGCUUGGGGAUGCCUGAUACGUCUCCAACGUAUCUAUAAUUUUUGAUUGCUCCAUGCUAUAUUAUCUACUGUUUUGGACUAUAUUGGGCUUUAUUUUCCACUUUUAUAUUAUUUUUGGGACUAACCUAUUAACCGGAGGCCCAGCCCAGAAUUGUUGUUUUUUUGCCUAUUUCAGUGUUUUGGAUAAACAGAAUAUCAAACGGAGUCCAAACGGAAUAAAAUCUUCGGAAACGUGAUUUUCUCACCGAACGUGAUCCAGGAGACUUGGACCCUACUGCAAGGGAUCAAAGAGGUGGACACGAGGGUGGGGGGUCGGUGUUCCACCGACGUACUCCUUCCUCCUAUAUAUACACACGUACCCCCAAACGAUCAAAACAUGAGCCAAAAACCUAAUUCCACCGCCGCAACUUUCUGUAUCCACGAGAUCCCAUCUUGGGGCCUGUUCCGGAGCUCCGCCGGAAGAGAGUCGUCAUCACGGAGGGCUUCUACAUCAUCAUAGCCCCUCCGAUGAAGUGUGAGUAGUUUACCUCAGACCUUCAUGUCCAUAGUUAGUAGCUAGAUGGCUUCUUCUCUCUCUUUGAAUCUCAAUACAAAGUUCUCCCCCUCUCUUGUGGAGAUCUAUUCGAUGUAAUCUUCUUUUUUGCGGUGUGUUUAUUGAGAAUGAUGAAUUGUGGGUUUAUGAUCAAGUCUAUCUAUGAAUAAUAUUUGAAUCUUCUCUGAAUUCUUUUAUGUAUGAUUGGUUAUCUUUGCAAGUCUCUUCAAAUUAUCCGUUUGGUUUGGCCAACUAGAUUGGUAGUUCUUGCCAUGGGAGAAGUGCUUAGCUUUGGGUUCGAUCUUGCGGUGUCCUUACCCAGUGACAGAAGGGGCGGCAAUGCACGUAUUGUAUCAUUGCCAUCGAGGAUAACAAGAUGGGGUUUAUUUCAUAUUGCAUGAAUUUAUCUCUCUACAUCAUGUCAUCUUGCUUAAGGCAUUACUCUAUUUUUAACUUAAUACUCUAGAUGCAUGUUGGAUAGCAGUCGAUGAGUGGAGUAAUAGUAGUAGAUGCAGAAACGUUUCGAUCUACUUGUCAUGGACGUGAUGCCUAUAUACAUGAUCAUGCCUAGAUAUUCUCAAAAUUAUGCUCAAUUCUAUCAAUUGCUCAACAGUAAUUUGUUCACCCACCGUAGAAUACAUAUGCUCUUGAGAGAAGACACUAGUGAAACCUAUGGCCCCCGGGUCUAUUCUCAUCAUAUCAAUCUCCAUCACUUUUAUAUUGUUUUGCUAUUUACUUUGCCUUUACUUUUACUUUGCAUCUUUAUAUCAAAAAUACCAAAAAUAUUCUAUCUAUCAGAUAUCACUCUCGUAAGUGACCGUGAAGGGCUUGACAACCCCUAAUCGUGUUGGUUGCGAGUAGCUAUCGCUUUGUGCAGGUACGAGGGACUUGAGCGUGGGCUCCUACUGGAUUGAUACCUUGGUUCUCAAAAACUGAGGGAAAUACUUACGCUACUCUGCUGCAUCAUCCCUUCCUCUUCGGGGAAAACCAACGCAAGCUCAAGACAUAGCAGCACCCUAAGACACACAUAAGUUGAUUCUUCCAAGCCGUGUGCGGUGCCCCCCCCCCUCCACCCUAAUCCACCUCGGUCAUAUCGUAGCGGUGCUUAGGUAAAGCCUCAUACGUCCAUUUUGCAUCAUGCUUUUAUAUCGAUAUUUAUUGCAUUAUGGGCUCCUAUUACACAUUAUGUCACAAUAGUUAUGCCUAUUCUCUCUUAUUUUAUAAGGUUUACAUGAAGAAGGAGAAUGCCGGCAGCUGGAAUUCUGGGCUGGAAAAGGAGCAAAUAUUAAAGACCUAUUUUGCACAACUCCAAAAGUCCUGAAACUUCACGGGAGCACGUUUCAGAAUAUAUAAAAAUAUUGGGCGAAAGAAGUACCAAAGGGGGGCCACCUACCAUCCAUGAGGGUGGGGGCGCGCCCUACCCCCUGCCUCGUGGGCCCCCUGGCAGCCCUCUGAUGCCCAUCUUCUGCUAUAUGAGGUCUUUCGUCCAGGAAAAUAUCAUAAGCUAGCUCACUGGACGAAACUCCGCCGCCUGGAGGCGGAACCUUGGCGGAACCAAUCUAGGGCUCUGGCGGAGCUGUUCUGCUGGGGAAAGUUCCCUCUGGGAGGGGGAAAUCAUCACCAUCAUCAUCACCAUCGAUCCUCUCAUCGGGAGGGGGUCAAUCUCCAUCAACAUCUGAUACCUCUCCAACAUAUCUAUAAUUUUUUAUUGCUCCAUGCUAUUAUAUUAUCUGUUUUGGAUGUUAAAGUGCUAUUUAGUUAAUUAUUUUUGCAGAUGAUCAAUAGAUACAUUCCUCACGUCCAGCAAUUUAUUUUAGAAUUUUGGGGUUCCAGAAGUUUGCGUUAGCUACAGAUUACUACAGACUAUUCUGUUUUUUAUGGAUUCUGUUUUUGGUGUGUUGUUUGCUUAUUUUGAUGAAUCUAUGGCUAGUAAAAGAGUUUAUAAACCAUAGAGAAGUUCGAAUACAGUAGUUUUAACACCAAUAUAAAUCAAGAAUGAGUUCAUUACAGUACCUUGAAGUAGUGUUUUGUUUUCUUUCGCUAAUGGAGCUGACGAGAUUUUCUAUUUUGAGUUUUGUGUUGUGAUGUUUUCAAGUUUUGGGUAAAGAUUUGAUGGAUAAUGGAUCAAGGAGUGGCAAGAGCCUAAGCUUGGGGAUGCCCAUGGCACCCCAAGGUAAAAUCCAAGGACACCAAAAAGCCUAAGCUUGGGGAUGCCCCGGAAGGCAUCCCCUCUUUUGUCUUCGUCUAUCGGUAACUUUACUUGGAGCUAUGUUUUUAUUCAUCACAUGAUAUGUGUUUUGCUUGGAGCGUCUUGUAUGAUUUGAGUCUUUGAUUUUUAGUUUACCACAAUCAACCUUGCUGUACACACCUUUUGAGAGAGACUCACAUGAUUUGAAAUUUAUUAGAAUACUCUAGGUGCUUCACUUAUAUCUUUUGAGCUAUAUAGUUUUUGCUCUAGUGAUUCGCUUAUAUCUUCGAGAGCAUGGCGGUGAUUUUAUUUUAUAGAAAUAAUUGAUCUCUCAUGCUUCACUUAUAUUAUUUUGAGAGUCCUUUAGAACAACAUGGAAAUUUUCUUUUAGGAAUAAUAUAAAAAACUUUCAUAGAAGUGCAUUGAAUACUAUGAGAAGUUUGAUACUUGAUAAUUGUUUUGAGAUAUGGAGAUGGUGAUAUUAGAGUCAUACUAGUUGAGUAGUUGUGAAUUUCAGAAAUACUUGUGUUGAAGUUUGUGAUUCCCGUAGCAUGCACAUAUGGCGAACCGUUACGUGAUGAAGUCGGAGCAGGACUUAUUUAUUAAUUGUCUUCCUUAUGAGUGGCGGUCGGGGACGAGCGAUGGUCUUUUCCUACCAAUAUAUUCCCCUAGGAGCAUGCGUGUAAUACUUUGUUUCGAUAACUAAUAGAUUUUUGCAAUAAGUAUGUGAGUUCUUUAUGACCAAUGUUGAGUCCAUGGAUUAUAUGCACUCUCACCCUUCCACCAUUGCUAGCCUCUCUAGUAUCGCGCAACUUUCGCCGGUACCAUAAACCCACCAUAUACCUUCCUCAAAACAGCCACCAUACCUACCUAUUAUGGCAUUUCCAUAGCCAUUCCGAGAUAUAUUGCCAUGCAACUUUCCACUGUUCCGUUAUUAUGACACGCUUCAUCAUUGUCAUAUUGCUUGCAUGAUCAUGUAGUUGACAUCAUAUUUGUGGCAAAGCCACCGUUCAUAAUUCUUCAUACAUGUCACUCAUGCAUCAUUGCACAUCCCGGUACACUGCCGGAGGCAUUCACAUAGAGUCAUAUUUUGUUCUAAGUAUUGAGUUGUAAUUCUUGAGUUGUAAGUAAAUUAAAGUGUGAUGAUCAUUAUUAUUAGAGCAUUGUCCCAGUGAGGAAAGGAUGAUGGAGACUAUGAUUCCCCCACAAGUCGGGAUGAGACUCCGGAUGAAAAAAAAGAGGCCAAAAAGAAAAGAGGCCCAAAAGAAAAAAGGAAGAAGGCCCAAAUAAAAAAUAAUAAUGAGAGAAAAAGAGAGAAGGGACAAUGUUACUAUCCUUUUUCCACACUUGUGCUUCAAAGUAGCACCGUGGUCUUCAUGAUAGAGAGUCUCCUAUGUUAUCACUUUUAUAUACUAGUGGGAAUUUUACAUUAUAGAACUUGGCUUGUAUAUUCCAAUGAUGGGCUUCCUCAAAAUUGCCCUAGGUCUUCAUGAGCAAGCAAGUUGGAUGCACACCCACUUAGUUCUUUGUUGAGCUUUCAUACACUUAUAGCUCUAGUGCAUCCGUUGCAUGGCAAUCCCUACUCACUCACGUUGAUAUCUAUUGAUGGGCAUCUCCAUAGCCCGUUGAUACGCCUAGUUAAUGUGAGACUAUCUGCUCCUUUUUGUCUUCUCCACAACCACCAUUCUAUUCCACAUAUAGUGCUAUAUUCAUGGCUCACGCUCAUAUAUUGCGUGAAGAUUGAAAAAGUUUGAGACCAUUAGAAGUAUGAAACAAUUGCUUGGCUUGUCAUCGGGGGUGUGCAUGAUUUAAAUAUUUUGUGUGGUGAAGAUAGAGCAUAGCCAGACUAUAUGAUUUUGUAGGGAUAACUCUCUUUGGCCAUGUUAUUUUGAGAAGACAUGAUUGCUUAGUUAGUAUACUUGAAGUAUUAUUAUUUUUAUGUCAAUAUUAAACUUUUAUCUUGAAUCUUUCGGAUCUGAACAUUCAUGCCACAAUAAAGAAAAAUUACAUUGAGAAAUAUGUUAGAAAGCAUCCCACAUCAAAAAUUCUUUUUUUAUCAUUUACCUACUCGAGGACGAGCAGGAAUCAAGCAUGGGGAUGCUUGAUACGUCUCCAACGUAUCUAUAAUUUUUGAUUGCUCCAUGCUAUUAUAUUAUCUCUUUUGGAUGUUAAUGGGCUUUAUUUUAGAAAUUUAUAUAAUUUUUGGGACUAACCUAUUAACCAGAGGCCCAACCCAAAUUGUUGUUUUUUGCCUAUUUUAGUGUUUCGUAGAAAAGGAAUAUCAAACGAAGUCCAAACGGAAUGAAAACUUCGGGAACAUGAUUUUCUCAACAAACGUGAUCCAGGAGACUUGGAGGCCUCGAGGAAGGGGGCACGCCUACCCCCCUGGGUGCACCCUCCACCCUCGUGGGCCCCUCGUUGCUCCACCGGCCAACUUUUUCCUCCUAUAUAAGUCCACGUACCCCGCAAACAUCCAGGAGCACCAUGAAAGCCUAAUUCCACCGCCGCGGCCUUCUGUACCCGAGAGAUCCCAUCUUGGGGCCUUUUCCGGAGCUCAGCCGGAGGGGGCAUUGAUCACGGAGGGCCUCUACAUCAACUCCAUGGCAUCUCCGGUGAUGUGUCAGUAGUGUACUUCAGACCUUCGGGUCCAUAGCUAGUAGCUAGAUGGAUUCUUCUCUCUCUUUGGAUCUCAAUACAAAGUUCUCCUUGAUUCUCUUGGAGAUCUAUUCGAUGUAAUCUUCUUUUACGGUGUGUUUGUCCAGAUCCGAUGAAUUGUGGGUUUAUGAUCUAGAUUAUCUAUGAACAAUAUUUGAUUCUUCUCUGAAUUCUUUUAUGUAUGAUUGGUUUAUAUUUGCAUGUCUCUUCGAAUUAUCAGUUUGGUUUGGCCUACUAGAUUGAUCUUUCUUGCAAUAGGAGAAGUGCUUACUUUGGGUUCAAUCUUACGGUGCUCGAUCCCCGUGACAGUAGGGGAAACGACACGUAUUGUAUUGUUGCCAUCGAGGAUAAAAAUAUGGGGUUUAUAUCAUAUUGCAUGAGUUUAUCCCUCUACAUCAUGUCAUCUUGCUUAAGGCGUUACUCUGUUCUUAUGAACUUAAUACUCUAGAUGCAUGCUGGAUAGCGGUCGAUGUGUGGAGUAAUAGUAGUAGAUGCAGGCAGGAGUCGGUCUACUUGUCGCGGACGUGAUGCCUAUAUACAUGAUCAUACCUAGAUAUUCUCAUAAUUAUUCGCUUUUCUAUCAAUUGCGCGACAGUAAUUUGUUCACCCACUGUAAUACUUAUGCUAUCUUGAGAGAAGCCACUAGUGAAACCUAUGCCCCCCGGGUCUAUUUUCCAUCAUACAAGUUUCCAAUCUAUGUUAUUUUACAAUCUUUACUUUCAAUCUAUAUCAUAAAAAUACCAAAAAUAUUUAUCUUAUUAUUAUUAUCUCUAUCAGAUCUCACUCUUGCAAGUGGCCAUGAAGGGAUUGACAACCCCUUUAUCGCGUUGGUUGCGAGGUUCUUAUUUGUUUGUGUAGGUACGAGGUGACUCGCGUGUGGUCUCCUACUGGAUUGAUACCUUGGUUCUCAAAAACUAAGGGAAAUGUUUACGCUACUUUACUGCAUCACCCUUUCCUCUUCAGGGGAAAACCAACGCAGUGCUCAAGAGGUAGCAAGAAGGAUUUCUGGCACUGUUGCCGAGGAGAUCUAUGCCAAGUCAAGACAUAUGAAGUACCCAUCACAACCCUUAUCCUUUGCAUUACAUUAUUUGCCAUUUGCCUCUCGUUUUCCUCUCCCCCACUUCACUCUUGCCGUUUAAUUCGCCCUCUUUUUCCGUUCCCCUUCUCUUUUUCUAUUUGCUUUUUUUGCCUGUUUCUUGUUUGCUUGUGUGUUGGAUUGCUUGAUUGUCACGAUGGCUCAAGAUAAUACUAAAUGGUGUGACUUUGUCAAUACCAACAAUAAUGAUUUUAUUAGCACUCUGAUUGCUCCUCUUACCGAUGCUGAAGCUUGUGAAAUUAAUACUGCUUUGCUGAAUCUUUUCAUGAAAGAUCCAUUUUCUGGCCUUCCUAGUGAAGAUGUCGCUACCCAUCUAAACAACUUUGUUGAUUUGUGUCAUAUGCAAAAGAAGAAAGAUGUGGAUAAUGGUAUUAUUAAACUUAAGCUAUUUCUGUUUUCGCUUAGAGAUCAUGCUAAAGCUUGGUUUUCAUCUUUGCCUAAAAAUAGUAUUGAUUCAUGGAGUAAGUGCAAAGAUGCUUUUAUCUCUAAGUAUUUUCUUCCCUCUAAGAUCAUCUCUCUUAGAAAUGAUAUCAUGAAUUUUAAGCAACUUGAUCAUGAAUAUGUUGCACAAUCUUGGGAGAGGAUGAAAUAAAUGAUACGUAAUUGCCCUACACAUGGUUUGAAUUUAUGGAUGAUUAUACAGAAUUUUUAUGCCGGGUUGAAUUUUGCUUCUAGAAAUCUUUAAGAUUUGGCCGCGGGAGGCACUUUUAUGGAAAUUACUUUAGGAGAAGCUACUAAACUCCUAGAUAAUAUUAUGGUUAAUUAUUCUCAAUGGCAGACUGAAAGAUCCACUAGUAAAAAAGCGCAUGCAAUUGAAGAGAUUGAUGUUUUGAGUGGAAAGAUGGAUGAACUUAUGAAAUUGUUUGCUAAUAAGAGUGCUCCUACUGAUCCUAAUGAUAUGCCUUUGUCUACUUUGGUUGAGAAUAAUAAUGAAUCUAUGGAUGUGAAUUUUGUUGGUAGGAACAAUUUUGGUAACAACGCGUAUAGAGGUAAUUUUAAUUCUAGGCUGUUUCCUAGUAAUUCCUACAACAAUUCUUAUGGAAAUUAUAAUAAGAUUCCCUCUGAUUUUGAAUCUAGUAUUAAAAAAUUUAUUACUUCGCAAAAGAGUUUCAAUGCUUUGAUUGAAGAAAAAUUGCUUAAGAUUGAUGAGUUGGCUAGGAACAUGGAUAGAAUUUCUCUUGAUGUUGAUUCUUUGAAACUUAGAUCUAUUCCACCUAAGCAUUAUAUCAAUGAGUCUCUCAAAGCCAUGAGAAUUUUCAUUGAUGAGUGCAAAGAAAGAACCACUAGGAUGCGUGCAAAAAGAGAUUGUGUUGUAAAAGCGUGUUCUUCUAGUUUGCAUGAUAAUAAGAAUGAAGAUCUCAAAGUAAUUGAUGUGUCCCCUAUUAAAUCUUUGUUUUGCAAUAUGAAUCUUGAUAAUGAUGGGACUGGAGAUGAGUCAACUUUAGUUAGAAGGCGUCCCAAAAAUUCGGAGUAUUUAGAUCUUGAUGCAAAAGUUGAUAAAAGUGGGAUUGGAGAGGUCAAAACUUUAAAUUACAAUGAACCCACUAUCUUGGAUUUCAAGGAAUUUAAUUAUGACAAUUGCUCUUUGAUAGAUUGUAUUUCCUUGUUGCAACCCGUGUUAAAUUCUCCUCAUGCUUAUAAUCAAAAUAAAGCUUUUACUAAACAUAUCGUUGAUGUUUUGAUGCAAUCUUACGAAGAAAAACUUGAGUUGGAAGUUUCUAUCCCUAGAAAACUUUGUGAUGAGUGGGAACCUACAAUAAAAAUUAAAAUUAAAUAUCAUGAGUGUUACACUUUGUGUGAUUUGGGUGCUAGUGUUUCCACGAUUCCAAAAACGUUGUGUGAUUUGCUUGGUUUCCGUGAUUUUGAUGAUUGUUCUUUAAACUUGCAUCUUGCGGAUUCCACCAUUAAGAAACCUAUGGUAAGAAUUAAUGAUGUUCUCAUUGUUGCAAAUAGGAACUAUGUUUCUGUAGAUUUCAUUGUUCUUGAUAUAGAUUGCAAUCCUUCAUGUCCUAUUAUUCUUGGUAGACCUUUCCUUAGAACGAUUGGUGCAAUUAUUGAUAUGAAGGAAGGGAAUAUUAAAUUCCAAUUUCCAUUAAGGAAAGGCAUGGAACACUUCCCUAGAAAGAAAUUUAAAUUACCAUAUGAAGCUAUUAUGAGAGCCACUUAUGGAUUUCCUACCAAAGAUGGCAAUACCUAGAUCUAUCUUCGCUUUUAUGCCUAGCUAGGGGCGUUAAACAAUAGCGCUUGUUGGGAGGCAACCCAAUUUUAUUUUUAUUCCUUGCUUUUUUUUUCUCCUGUUUAGUAAUAAAUAAUUUAUCUAGCCUCUGUCUUGGUUGUGUUUUUUGUGUUUAAUUAGUGUUCUUUCCAAGUAGAACCAUUGGGAAGACUUGGGGAAAGUCUUUUUGAUCUUGCUGUCAAAAACAGAAACUUUAGCGCUCACGAGAAUUGCUGCCAUUUUUAUUUGGAAAAUGAUAUUUAAUUAUUUAUUUUUUAAGAUGAUUAAUAGAUACAUUCCUCACGUCCAGAAAUUUAUUUUAGAAUUUUUGGGGUUCCAGAAGUUUGCGUUAGCUACAGAUUACUACAGACUAUUCUGUUUUUGACAGAUUCUGUUUUUGACAGAUUCUGUUUUUCGUGUGUUGUUUGCUUAUUUUGAUGAAUCUAUGGCUAGUAAAAGAGUUUAUAAACCAUAGAGAAGUUUGAAUACAGUAGGUUUAAAACCAAUAUAAAUCAAGAAUGAGUUCAUUACAGUACCUUGAAGUGGUGUUCUGUUUUCUUUCACUAACAGAGCUCACGAGAUUUUCUAUUUUGAGUUUUGUGUUGUGAAGUUUUCAAGUUUUGGGUAAAGAUUUGAUGGAUUAUGGAACAAGGAGCGGUAAGAGCCUAAGCUUGGGGAUGCCCAUGGCACCCCAAGGUAAAAUCCAAGGACACCAAAAAGCCUAAGCUUGGGGAUGUUUUUGGGGAACGUAGCAAUAAUUCAAAAUUUUCCUACGUGUCACCAAGAUCAAUCUAGGAGAUACUAGCAACGAGAGAGAGGGAGUGCAUCUUCAUACCCUUUAAGAUCGCUAAGAGGAAGCGUUACAAGAACACGGAUGGUGGAGUCGUACACGCAGCGAUUCAGAUCGCGAUCGAUUCCGAUCUAAGCGCCGAACAAUGGUGCCUCCGCAAUCAACACACGUACAGCCCGGGGACGUCUCGUCCUUCUUGAUCUAGCAAGGGGAGAAGAUAAGUUGAGGGAGAACUCCGACAACACGACGGUGUGGUGGUGAUGGAGCUCGUGGUUCUCCACUAGAGCUUCGCCAAGUGCUACGGAGGAGGAGGAGGUGUACGAGAGGGGGAGGGGCUGCGCCAGGGGAAGGGUGCAGCUACCCUCUCUGUCCCUCACUAUAUAUAGGGGGAAGGGGGAGGAGGAGGCUCCCUAGGGUUUCCCUAGGGUAGGGGCGGCGGCCACAAGGGAAACCCUAGAUGAGUUUGGGCGCCCCCACCCCUAGGAAACUUGCCCCCCAAGCCGGGAGGGGUGGCUGCCCUAGGGGAGGCGCCCCCACCUCUCCAGGUUACGUGAGAUGGGGUGGGAGGGGCGUUUAGCCCCUUAGUGGGCUGAUGUGCCCCCCUCCCCUUGGCCCAUAAGGCCCCCCCACAACGCUUGGCGAGGCCUCCGAAACCCCUUUCUGACACGCUGGUCGUCACCCGGUACCCCCGGAACAAUUCCGGACUCCAAUACCCUUCGUCCAAUAUAUCGAUCUUCACCUUUGGACCAUUCCGAAACUCCUCGUCACGUCCGGGAUCUCAUCCGGGACUCCGAACAACCUUCGGUAACCACAUACUAUUUCCCAUAACAACUCUAGCGUCACUGAACCUUAAGUGUGUAGACCCUACGAGUUUGGGAACCAUGUAGACAUGACCGAGACAUCUCUCCGGCCAAUAACCAACAGCGGGAUCUGGAUACCCAUGUUGGAUCCUACAUGUUCCACGAUGAUCUCAUCGGAUGAACCACGAUGUCAAUGAUUCAAUCAAUCUCGUAUCCAAUUCCCUUUGCCUAUCGGUAUGCUACUUACCCCAGAUUCGAUCGCCGGUAUCCCCAUACCUCGUUCAAUCUCGUUACCGGCAAGUCUCUUUACUCGUUCCGUAACGCAUGAUCCCGUGACCAACUCCUUAGUCACAUUGAGCUCAUUAUGAUGAUGCAUUACCGAGUGGGCACAGAGAUACCUCUCCGUCAUGUGGAGUGACAAAUCCUAGUCUCGAUUCGUGCCAACCCAACAGACACUUUCGGAGAUACCUGUAGUGCACCUUUAUAGCCACCCAGUUACGUUGUGACGUUUGGUACACCCAAAGCAUUCCUACGGUAUCCGGGAGUUGCACAAUCUCAUGGCCUAAGGAAAUGAUACUUGGCAUUAGAAAAGCUUUAGCAAAUGAACUACACUAUCUUGUGCUACGCUUAGGAUUGGGUCUUGUCCAUCACAUCAUUCUCCUAAUGAUGUGAUCCCGUUAUCAAUGACAUCCAAUGUCCAUGGUCAGGAAACCACGAACAUCUAUUGAUCAACGAGCUAGUCAACUAGAGGCUUACUAGGGACAUAUUACAAUCUGUGUAUUCACACAUGUAUUACGGUUUCCGGUUAAUACAAUUAUAGCAUGAACAAUAGACAAUUAUCAUGAACAAGGAAAUAUAAUAAUAACCAUUUCAUUAUUGCCUCUAGGGCAUAUUUCCAACAGUCUCCCACUUGCACUAGAGUCAAUAAUCUAGUUCACAUCGUUAUGUGAUUAACACUCAUAGUUCACAUCGCCAUGUGACUAACACCCGAAGAGUUUACUAGAGUCAAUAAUCUAGUUCACAUCACCAUGUGAUUAACACUCAAUGAGUUCUAGGGUUUGAUCAUGUUAUGCUUAUGAGAGAAGUGUCAGUCAACAGGUCUACAACAUUCAGAUAUGUGUGUUCUUCGCAAAUGUCAAUUUCAUAUUGUAGAUGUUGCUACUAUGCUCCACUUGGAGCUAUUCCAAAUGGUUGCUCCACUAUACGUAUCCGUUUGCUACUCAGAGUCAUCCGGAUAUGUGUUAAAUAUUGCAUCGACGUAACCCUUUACGCCGAACUCUUUAUCACCUCCAUAGCCGAGAAACAUUUCCUUAUUCCUAAGGACAAUUUUGACCGCUGUCCAAUGAUCCACUCCUGGAUCACUCUUGUACCCCCUUGCCAGACACGUGGCAAGGCACAUCGCGGUACACAGCAUGGCAUAUCGUAUAGAGUCUAUGGCUAAGGCAUAGGGGGCGACUUUCGUCCUUUCUCUUUCUUCUGCCAUGGUCGAGCUUCAAGUCUUAACUUCACACCUCACUACUUAAGCGAGAACUCCUUCUUUGACUGCCAUCUUGAACUCCUUCAAGAUCAUGUCAAGGUAUGUGCUCUGUGAAAGUCUUAUCAGGCGUCUUGAUCUAUCUCUGUAGAUCUUGAUACCUAACAUGUAAGCAGUUUUACACAUGUCUUCCUUUGAAAAACUCCAUUCAAACAACCCUUUAUGCUUUCUAGAACUUCUACAUUGUUUCCUAUCAACAAUAUGUCAUCCAUAUAUAUCUAUCAGAAAUGUUGUAGUGCUCCCACUCACUUUCUUGCAAAUACAAGUUUCUUGCAAACUUUGUAUAAACCCAAAUGCUCUGAUCGCCUCGUCAAAGCAUUUGUUCCAACUCUGAGAUGCUUGCUCCAAUCCAUAGAAAGAUCGCUGGAGUUUGCAUACCUUUUAGCAUCCUUAGGAUCGACAAAAACUUCUGGUUGUAUCACAUACAGCCUUUCCUCAUGGAGACCGUUAAGGAAACUUUGUUUUGACAUCCAUCUACAAUAUUUCGUAAAUGAAAAAUGCAGCAACUGCUAACACAAUUUUAACAGACUUUAGCAUCGCUAUGAUUAAGAGAGUCUCAUCAUAGUCAACUCCUUGAACUUUUCGGAAACUUCUUUGAGACAAGUCGAGCUUCACAAAUGGUGACAUUACCGUCAGCGUCUGUCUUCUUCUUAAAGAUCCAUUUAUUCUCAAUGGUUUGUCGUUCAUCGGAAAAGUCCACCAAAGUCCAUACUUUGUUCUCAUACAUGGAUCAUAUCUCGUAUUUCAUGGCUUCCAGCCAUUUGUUGGAACACGGGCCCACCAUCGCUUCUUCACAGCUCAUAGGUUCAUCAUUGUCCAACAACAUGACCUUUAAGACAGGGUUACCACUGAGAAGUUGUACACACCCUUGUCGACCUACGAGGUUUGCUAGUAAUUUGAUCUCAAGCUUCAUGAUCAUCAUCAUUAGCUUUCUCUUCAGCUGACGUAAGUGCCACAGAAACAUCUUUCUGUGAUGCGCUACUCUCUGGUUGAAGUGAAGGUUCAACAACCUCAUCAAGUUCUAUCUUCCUCCCACUCAAUUCUUUCAAGAGAAACUCUUUCUCGAGAAAGGACAUGUUCUUAGCGACAAACACUUUUGCCCUUAGAUCUGAGAUAGAAGGUAUACCCAAUCAUCUUGUUUGGGUAUUCUAUGAAGAUACAAUUUUCUGCUUUGGGUUCGAGCUUUUCUGGCCGAAGCCUAUCGACAUAAGCAUCAUAGCCCCAAAUCGUAAGAAACAACAACUUAGGUUUCUUGCCAAACCAUAGUUCAUGCGGUGUCAUCUCCACGGACUUAGAUGGUGCCCUAUUUAAAGUGAAUGUAAUUGUCUCUAAUGCAUAACCCCAAAAUGAUAGCGGUAGAUUGGCAAGAGACAUCAUAGAUCGCACCAUAUCCAAUAGGGUGAGAUUACGACGUUCGGACACACCAUUACGCUAUGGUGUUCCAUGUGGUGUCUACUGUGAAACGAUUCCACCUUCUCUUUAGUGAUUGCCAAACUCAUAACUCAGAUACUCUCCCCUUGAUCAGAUCGUAUGAACUUGAUCUUCUUGUUAUGAUGAUUCUCAACUUCACUAAAAUUGCUUGAACUUUUCAAACGUUUCAGACUCAUGCUUCAUUAAGUAAAUAUACCCAUAUCUACUCAAUUCAUCGGUGAAGGUGAGAAAAUAACAAUAUCCACCGCGCGUGUCAACACUCAUCGGACCGCACACAUCAGCAUGUAUGAUUUCCAACAAGUCACUUGCCCUUCCAUUAUUACAAAGAAAACGGGGUUUUAGUCAUCUUGCCAAUGAGGCAUGGUUCGCAUGUGUCAAGUGAUUCGAAAUCAAGUGACUUCAAAAGUCCAUCGGCAUGGAGGUUCUUCAUGCGCUUUACACCAAUAUGACCUAAGCGGCAGUGCCACAAGAAAGUGGUACUAUCAUUAUCAACUCUACAUCUUUUGGCAUCAAUGUUAUGAACAUGUGUAUCACUACGAUCGAGAUUCAAUAAACCAUUCACAUUGGGUGCAUGACCAUAGAAGGUAUUAUUCAUGUAAACAGAAUAACCGUUAUUCUCUGACUUAAAUGAAUAACCGUAUUGCAAUAAACAUGAUCUAAUCAUGUUCAUGCUCAACACAGACACCAAUGCAAACAACAUUUAUCUGGGUUCAACACUAAUCCCGAAGGUAGAGGGAGCAUGCGAUGGUUAUCAUAUCAUCCUUGGAAACACUUCCAGCACACAUCGUCACCUCGCCCUUAGCUAGUCUCCGUUUAUUCCGUAGCUUUUGUUUCGAGUUACCAAUAUUAGCAAUUGAACCGGUAUCUAAUGCCCAUGUGCUACUAGGAGUACUAGUAAGGUACACAUCAAUAACACAUAUAUCAAAUAUACUUUUGUUGGAGUUGCCAGCCUUCUUAUCUACCAAGUAUUUGAGGCAGUUCCGCUACCAGUGACCGUUCCCCUAAUAGAAGCACUUCGUCUCGGGUUUGGGUUCUUGGGUUUCUUCACUGGAGCGGCAACUGGCUUGCCAUUCAUGAAGUUUCCCUUCUUGCCCUUGCCCUUCUUUGAAACCAGUGGUCUUGUUAACCAUCAACACUUUGAUGCUCCUUCUUGAUUUCUACCUUUAUGGCCUUAAGCACGACGAACAGCUCCGGGAUUAUCUUACCUUGCAUGUGAUAGUUCAACAUGAAACUCUAGUAGCUUGGUGAUAGUGACAGGAGAACUUUUGUCAAUCACUCUCUUAUCUGGAAGAUUAACUCCCACUUGAUUCAAGUGAUUGAAGUACCCAGACAUUCUGAGCACAUGCUCACUGGCUGAGCUAUUCUCCUCCAUCUUGUAGGCAAAGCUCUUGUCAGAGGUCUCAACCUGUCAACACGGGCAUGAGCCUGAAAUACCAAUUUUAGCUCUUCGAACAUCUCAUAUGUUCUAUGGAGUUCAAAACGCCUUUGGAGCCCCGACUCUAAGCCAUAAAGCAUGGUGCACUAAACUAUCAGGUAGUCAUCGUAACGUGUCUACCAGAUGUUCACAACAUCCACAGACGAUGCCAGAGGGGUUGGCACACCGAGCGGUGCAUCAAGGACAGAAGCCUUUUGUGUAGUAGUGAGGACAAUCCUCAGACUAUGGCCCUAGUCCGCACAAUUGCUUACAAUAUCUUUCAACUUAGUAUUUCUCUAGGAACGUAUUAAAACAAAGAGCUAAAGCGUGAGCUCUUAAUCCACUACAUAAUUUGCAAAGACAAUUUAGACUAUGUUCAUGAUAAUUAAGUUCAUCUAAUCAAAUUAUUCAAUGAACUCCCACUCAGAUAGACAUCCCUCUAGUCAUCUAAGUGAUACAUGAUCCGAAUCGACUAGGCCGUGUCCGAUCAUCACGUGAGACAGACUAGUCAUCAACGGUGAACAUCUCCAUGUUGAUCAUAUCUAAUAUACGACUCAUGUUCGACCUUUCGGUCUCUCAUGUUCCGAGGCCAUGUAUGUACAUGCUAGGCUCGUCAAGUCAACCUAAGUGUUUUGCAUGUGUAAAUCUGGCUUACACCCGUUGUAUUCGAACGUUAGAAUCAUCACACCCGAUCAUCACGUGGUGCUUCAAAACAACGAACCUUUGCAACGGUGCACAGUUAGGAGGAACACUUUCUUGAAAUUUUAGUGAGGGAUCAUCUUAUUUAUGCUACGGUCGUUCUAAGCAAAUAAGAUGUAAACAUGACAAACAUCACAUGCAAAUCAUAAAGUGACAUGAUAUGGCCAAUAUCAUCUUGCGCCUUUGAUCUCCAUCUUCAAGGCGUGGCAUGAACACCAUCGUCACCGGCAUGACACCAUGAUCUCCAUCAUCAUGAUCUUCAUCAUAGUGUCUUCAUGAAGUUGCCUCGCCAACUAUUACUUCUACUACUAUGGCUAACGGUUAGCAAUAAAGUAAAGUAAUUACAUGGCAUUUUCAUUGACACGCAGGUCAUAAAUAAAUUAAGACAACUCCUAUGGCUCCUGCCGGUUGUCAUACUCAUCGACAUGCAAGUUGUGAUUCCUAUUACAAGAACAUGAUCAAUCUCAUACAUCACAUAUAUCAUUCAUCACAUCCUUUUGGCCAUAUCACAUCACAUAGCAUACCCUGCAAAAACAAGUUAGACGUCCUCUAAUUGUUGUUGCAUGUUUUACGUGGCUGCUAUGGGUUUCAAGCAAGAACGUUUCUUACCUACGCAAAAGCCACAACGGUGAUAUGCCAAUUGCUAUUUACCCUUCAUAAGUACCCUCUUCAUCGAAUCCGAUCCGACUAAAGUGGGAGAGACAGACACCCGCUAGCCACCUUAUGCAUCAAGUGCAUGUCAGUCGGUGGAACCAGUCUCACGUAAGCGUACGUGUAAGGUCGAUCCGGGCCGCUUCAUCGCACAAUGUCGUCGAACGAAGAUAAGACUAGUAACAGUAACCAAAUUGAACAAAUCAUCGCCCACAACUGCUUUGUGUUCGUGCAUAGAAUCUACGCAUAGACCUGGCUCAUGAUGCCACUGUUGGGGAACAUAGCAAUAAUUCAAAAUUUUCCUACGUGUCACCAAGAUCUAUCUAGGAGAUACUAGCAACGAGAGAGAGGGAGUGCAUCUUCAUACCCUUAAAGAUCGCUAAGCGGAAGAGUUACAAGAACGCGGUUGGUGGAGUCGUACACGUAGCAAUUCAGAUCGCGGUCGAUCCCGAUCUAAGCGUCGAACAACGGCGCCUCCGCGUUCAACACACGUACAGCCCGGGGACGUCUCCUCCUUCUUGAUCCAACAAGGUGACAGGAGAAGUUGAGGGAGAAAUCCGACAGCACGACGGCGUGGUGGUGAUGGAGCUCGUGGUUCUCCGGCAGAGCUUCGCCAAGCGCUACGGAGGAGGAGGAGGUGUAGGAGAGGGGGAGGGGCUGCGCCAGGGGAAGGGUGCAGCUGCCCUCUCUCUCCCUCACAAUAUAUAGGAGGAAGGGGGAGGAGGAGGCGCCCUAGGGUUUCCCUAGGGUAGGGGCGGCGUACACAGGGGAAACCCUAGAUGGGUUUGGGCGCCCCCACCCCUAGGAAACUUGCCCCCCCCCCAAGCCGGGAGGGGUGGCUUCCCUAGGGGAGGCGCCCCCACCUCUCCAGGUUACGUGAGAUGGGGUGAGAGGGGCGCUUAGCCCCUUAGUGGGCUAAUGUGCCCCUCCCCUUGGCCCAUAAGGCCCCCCAACGCUUGCCGGGGUCUCCGAAACCCCUUUCGGACACGCUGGUCGUCACCCGGUACCCCCGGAACAAUUCCAGACUCCAAUACCCUUCGUCUAAUAUAUCGAUAUUCACCUCUGGACCAUUCCAAAACUCCUUGUCACGUCCGGGAUAUCUUCCGGGACUCCGAACAACCUUCGGUAACCACAUACUAUUUCCCAUAACAACUCUAGCGUCACCGAACCUUAAGUGUGUAGACCCUACGGGUUCGGGAACCAUGUAGACAUGACCAAGACAUCUCUCCAGCCAAUAACCAAUAGCGGAAUCUGGAUACCCAUGUUGGCUCCUACAUGUUCCACGAUGAUCUCAUCGGAUGAACCACGAUGUCAAGGAUUCAAUCAAUCCCGUAUGCAAUUCCCUUUGCCUAUCGGUAUGUUACUUGCCCCAGAUUUGAUCGCCGGUAUCCCCAUACCUCGUUCAAUCUCAUUACCGGCAAGUCUCUUUACUCGUUCCGUAACACAUGAUCCCGUGACCAACUCCUUAGUCACAUUGAGCUCAUUAUGAUGAUGCAUUGCCGAGUGGGCCCAGAGAUACCUCUCCGUCAUGCGGAGUGACAAAUCCCAGUCUCAAUUCAUGCCAACCCAACAGACACUUUUGGAGAUACCAGUAGUGCACCUUUAUAGCCACCCAAUUACGUUGUGACAUUUGGUACACCCAAAGCAUUCCUACGGUACCCGGGAGUUGCACAAUCUCAUGGUCUAAGGAAAUGAUACUUGACAUUAGAAAAGCUUUAGCAAACGAACUACACGAUCUUGUGCUACGCUUAGGAUUGGUUCUUGUCCAUCACAUCAUUCUCCUAAUGAUGUGAUCCCGUUAUCAAUGACAUCCAAUAUCCAUGGUCAGGAAACCACGACCAUCUAUUGAUCAAUGAGCUAUUCAACUAGAGGCUUACUAGGGACAUAUUACGAUCUAUGUAUUCACACAUGUAUUACGGUUUCCGGUUAAUACAAUUAUAGCAUGAAAAAUAGACAAUUAUCAUGAACAAGGAAAUAUAAUAAUAACCAUUUUAUUAUUGACUCUAGGGCAUAUUUCCAACAGAUGCCAGAUACGUCUCCAACGUAUCUACUUUUCCAAACACUUUUGCCCUUGUUUUGGACUCUAACUUGCAUGAUUUGAAUGGAACUAACCCGGACUGGCGCUGUAUUCAGCAGAACUACCAUGGUGUUAUUUAUGAGCAGGAGCAAACGUUCUCAGAAUGACCUAAAACUUCAUGGAGACACUUUUCAGAAAAUAAGAAAAAUACCUGCCAAAGAUGAAGGCCAAGGGGCCCACCAUCUUGCCACGAGGGUGGGGGGCGCGCCUGCCCCCCUAGGGCGCGCCCCCAACCUCGUGGACCCCUUGUUGCGUCUCCACCUCCAUAUAUUGAGUUUCGAUAAGAAAGAAAUCAGAGAGAAGAAAUCAUCGCGUUUUACGAUACGGGGCCGCCGCCAAGCCCUAAAACCUCUCGGGAGGGCUGAUCUCGAGUCCGUUCGGGGCUCCGGAGAAGGGAAUCCUUCGCCAUCGUCACCAUCAACCAUCCUCCAUCACCAAUUUCAUGGUGCUCACCGCCGUGCGUGAGUAAUUCAAUUGUAGGCUUGCUAGACGGUGAUGGGUUGGAUGGGGUCUAUCAUGUAAUCGAGUUAGUUUUGUUAGGGUUUGAUCCCUAGUGUCCACUAUGUUCUGAGAUUGAUGUUGCUAUGACUUUGCUAUGCUUAAUGCUUGUCACUAGGGCCCGAGUGCCAUGAUUUCAGAUCUGAACCUAUUAUGUUUUCAUCAAUAUAUGAGUGUUCUUGAUCCUAUCUUGCAAAUCUAUAGUCGCCUAUUAUGUGUUACGAUCCGUUAACCCCGAAGUGACAAUAAUCGGGAUACUUACCGGUGAUGACCGUAGUUUGAGGAGUUCAUGUAUUCACUAUGUGUUAAUGCUUUGUUCCGGUUCUCUAUUAAAAGGAGGCCUUAAUAUCCCUUAGUUUCCGUAAGGACCCCGCUGCCACGGGAGGGUAGGACAAAAGAUGUCAUGCAAGUUCUUUUUCCAUAAGCACGUAUGACUAUGUUCGGAAUGCAUGCCUACAUUAUAUCAAUGAACUGGAGCUAGUUCUGUGUCACCCUAGGUUAUGACUGUUACAUGAUGAACCGCAUCCAGCAUAAUUCUCUAUCACCGAUCCAUUGCCUACGAGCUUUCCAUAUAUUGUUCUUCGCUUAUUUACUUUUCCGUUGCUAUUGCUAUCAUCACUACAAAAUACCAAAAACAUUACUUUUACUAUUGUUACCUUUUGCUACCGUUAUCACCACUAUCAUAUUACUUUGCUACUAAAUACUUUGCUGCAGAUAUUAAGUUUCCAGGUGUGGUUGAAUUGACAACUCAGCUGCUAAUACUUGAGAAUAUUCUUUGGCUCCCCUUGUGUCGAAUCAAUAAAUUUGGGUUGAAUACUCUACCAUCGAAAACUGUUGCGAUCCCCUAUACUUGUGGGUUAUCAAGACCUUUUUCUAGCGCCAUUGUCGGGGAGCAUAGCUCUAUUCUUUGAGUCACUUGGGAAAUAUAUCUGCUUAUCAUUAUGAAGAACUUGAAAGAUCCAAGAACUAAGAUCUAUCCCUCAACUACGAGGGGACGUAAGGAACUGCCAUCUAGCUCUGCACUUGAUUCACCUUUUGUUUUGAGUAAGCUUGCGACACCUACACUUGCUUCUGCUAUUCGUUCUAAUAUGUCGCAUGUUAUUGAUGAUGCCACUUCUGCUAUGCAUGAUACUUAUGAUGAAACUACCUCUAUGCCUGAUACUACUAUGUCACUUAAUGCUUUUCUUGAUGAACAACUUGCUAGGGCUAUAGAAAUUGAAAAUAUUGAAUCUGAUGAUACUGAUGAAAGUGGUGAUGAAGAACCACUUGCUAUUCCUAAGGGUUAUGUAUUUGAUCAAGAUGCUUGUUUAGCUAUUUUAGCUUGCAGAAAUAGAACUAAACUUAAAAAAUUAUUAGCUAAAUGGAGUAAGCAAUCCCUAAAUGAUAGAAUGAAACCUGACCAUGCUUUUGCUACUUCACCUAUCUUUGUUACUGAUAAGGAUUAUGAAUUCUCUGUUGAUCCUGAUAUAAUUACUUUGGUUGAAUCUGAUCCUUUUCAUGGUUAUGAAUCUGAAACUGUUGUGGCACAUCUUACUAAAUUGAAUGAUAUAGCUACCUUGUUCACUAAAGAUGAGAGAACUCACUACUUUUAUAUCCUUAAAAUAUUUCCGUUCUCAUUAAAGGGUGAUGCUAAGAUAUGGUUUAAUUCUCUUGAUCCUGGUUGUGUGCAUAGUCCCCAGGAUAUGAUUUAUUACUUCUCUGCUAAAUAUUUCCCUGCUCAUAAGAAACAAGCUGCUUUAAGGGAUAUAUAUAAUUUUGUGCAAAUUGAAGAAGAGAGUCUCCCACAAGCUUGGGGCAGGCUUCUCUAAUUACUUAAUGCUUUGCCUGAUCAUCCUCUUAAGAAAAAUGAAAUACUUGAUAUCUUUUAUAAUGGACUAACCGAUGCCUCCAGAGAUUACCUGGAUAGCUGUGUUGGUUCUGUUUUCAGGGAAAGAACAUCGGAUGAAGCUGAAAUUCUAUUGAAUAAUAUGUUGACAAAUGAAAAUAAUUGGACACCUCCGGAGCCAAUUCCUGAGCCUAUUCCUAAACCAACUCCAAAGAAGAGGGGUAUUUUAUUUCUCAGUCCUGAAGAUAUGCAAGAGGCAAAGAAGUCUAUGAAAGAAAAGGGUAUUAAAGCUGAAGAUGUUAAGAAUUUACCUCCUAUUGAACAUGGUCUUAAUUUACCGCCUGUUGAAGAAACAUAUAAUCCAAAUCAUCUACCUAUUGAAGAAACUCAUGGUCUUGAUAACCCGACACAGGUAGUAAAGGUAAAUUCUCUCUAUAGAUAUGAUAAAGCUAUAAUCCCAUUUACUAAGAUUGCUAGCCCAUGCUUAGAUGAGUUUGAUAAAUUUAUGGAUAAGCAAGAAGACUUUAAUGCUUAUUUUGGUAGACAAUUAAAAUACAAUUCAAAUAUGCUUGGACACUUGGGUGAUUAUAUGGCUAAUGUCAAAGGUGAACUUAAACUUAUUAGUAAACAUGCUUCUAUGUUUACCACUCAAGUAGAACAAGUACUUAAAGCUCAAAAUGAUUUACUCAAUGAAUUGAACAGUAAGAAUAACAAUAAUGCUGUUAGAGUGGCUACUAGAACUAGUAGAAGGACUUAUGAACCUUUGUAUCCUAAAGGCCACCCUAAGAGAAUUGAACAAGAUUCUCAGAGAAAUAAUUUAGAUGCACCUAGUUCUUCUAAAAAGAAGAAAAAGAAAAAUGAUAGGACUUUGCAUGCUCCUAGUGAUCCUAUUGUUGAAACACCUGAAAAUCCAAAUGAUAUUUCUAUUUCUGGUGCUGAAACACAAUCUGGUAAUGAACCUAAAACUAAUGAUAAUGUUAAUAAUAAUGUUCAUGAUGAUGCUCAACCUAGUAAUGAUAAUGAUAUAGAAAUUGAACCUGCUGUUGAUCUUGAUAACCCACAAUCAAAGAAUCAACGUUACGAUAAGAAAGAUUUUGUUGCUAGGAAACAUGAUAAAGAAAGAGAACCUUGGGUUCAGAAACCCAUGCCCUUUCCACCCAAACCAUCCAAGAAAAAGGAUGAUGAGGAUUUUGAGCGCUUUGCUAAAAUGAUUAGACCUAUCUUUUUACGUAUGCGAUUAACUGAUAUGCUCAAAACUAAUCCUUAUGCUAAGUACAUGAAAGAUAUUAUUACAAAUAAAAGAAAGAUACCGGAAGCUGAAAUUUCCACCAUGCUUGCUACUUAUACUUUUAAAGGUGGAAUACCAAAGAAACUUGGAGAUCCAGGAGUACCCACUAUACCAUGCUCCAUUAAAAGAAAUUAUGUUAAAACUGCUUUAUGUGAUCUUGGAGCCGGUGUUAGUGUUAUGCCUCUCUCUUUAUAUCAUAGACUUGAAUUGAAUAAGUUGACACCUACUGAAAUAUCUUUGCAAAUGGCUGAUAAAUCAACUACUAUACCUGUCGGUAUUUGUGAGGAUGUGCCUGUUGUAGUUGCAAAUGUUACUAUUUUAAUGGACUUUGUUAUUCUUGAUAUUCCCGAGGAUGAUAGUAUGUCUAUUAUUCAUGGAAGACCCUUUUUGAAUACUGCAGGGUCUGUUGUUGAUUGCACUAAAGGCAAUGUCACUUUUCAUGUUAAUGGUAAUGAGCAUACGGUACACUUUCCGAGGAAACAACCUCAAGUUCAUAGUAUCAACUCUAUUGAAAAAAUUCCAUCGGUUAUAUUUGGAGGAUUUGAAUUUCCUCUUCCUACUGUCAAGAAGAAAUAUGAUAUUCUUAUUAUUGGGGAUGUGCAUAUCCCCGUUGAGGUAACAUAGUGUUAUUCGAAAUUUCUCUGGUUCCAUGUUAUUCGGAAUGGGUUCGUUAACAAGACUUGAUCAACCUUGUUAGUGGAUUCCUUUUGAUGAUCAUGAGAUGGAUGAAACUAGAAGGCACAACCUUCUGUACCCCACUUUUACUUUAUGUUAUUUAUAAUAAAUAAAAUAGAAAUAAAUAUUUUGGGUCUGUUAUCUGAUUAUCCGUGCAAUAUAAAAAUACCUCAAAAAUAAAAGUUCUCCAAAUGCCCCGAAAUUAAAUAUGAUUUUUUCUAGAAUAUUUGAGGAUUUAUGGAACAAAGAACACACCAGGGGGCCAACCACCUUACCACGAGGGUGGAGGGCACGCCCACCCCUCUAGGGCGCGCCCCCUACCUCGUGGGCCCAUGGUGGCCCUCCUCCACUUAUUCCUGCACCCACACACUUCAUCUUCCUCCCACAAACAUGAAUAACCAUCUCAAGCACGAGUUCUAGCUCAUCUUGCUGCCAUUUUCGAUCUCCUUGCUCAAAGCACCUCUCACAAAACUGCUUGGGGAGAUUGUUCCUUGGUAUGUGACUCCUCCAUUGGUCCAAUUAGUUUUUGUUCUAGUGCUUUAUUCAUUGCAAAUUUUUGCUUCUUAGGUGACCCUGUUCUUGAGCUUGCAUGUCAAAUUUAUAUGGUUCCAAGUAGUUUUGAUGCAUGAUAUAGGCCCUAGGCACCUGUAGGAGUAGUUGCUAUCAAUAUUAUUGAGUUUGGUUUACCUUUAUUUUGAAGUUACUAGAAAUUUUCAGAAUUUUUCAGAGGAAGAAAAAUGCUUAGGAAAAUGUUCCAAGGUGGUUCUUGAAAGAAGCAAGGACCCAGGCUUGCAAUGUGUGAUGCUGACGAAGAGCCACCAAGAGACGUUCCAGUGCGUCCUUGUGAGUGGCCUUCUAAAAAUUUUAUGGAUCAAGCGGGAAUAAAAGAAGAAUUCAACGCAUAUUUGCGUAACGCUGAUCUCGGGAGCUUCGAGGAAGAGAAGUGCAAUCAGUAUCAUGAGCUCACUAGCUCCUUUGUGAGGAGGUUUGAAUUUUCCACUUCACGUAAUUCUCCAACUGUCAUGCUUGAUCUUUAUGAUAAAUCUUAUACCAUCGACUUAGAGGAUUUUACCGCUGCAUGUAAACUUCCACAAUGGGGUAGUAUAAGGGAUCCUCGCAAAUAUGAAUUUAGAGAUUUCCUUGCUAAUAUAACUGUGGGAGAAUCUAGGGAUAUUACACAAGCAACCAUAGGGAGCAUUCACUUUCCCGCCAUACAUUAUUUUGCUCUCUUCAUAGGUAGAUGCAUAAAUGGUAAAGAUGAGGCAUGUCACGUGUGUGUCCCUGACCUUAGUAUUCUUAGGAGUGUUGUGUUAGGAGACAAAUCAUAUAAUUUGGGAGCCAUUGUUGCACGUAGGUUGCAUCUUAAUAGACGUAAUGGAGAUUUCUUUGGUGGAAUUUAUGCAACCCGCGUAGCUAAUUUUCUUGGUAUAGAUGUGCGCGAAGAUGAUAUUGAAUUACCUCUUGCCUAUCUAGAUUUUAAUGCUAUGGUUCACCACCAGUUUGUCGAGAGGAAUGAAUCACCUCUCCAGUAUUGACUAAUCUUUGACAGACGUCGUGCUGUCCGUAUUACUCUCCCUGCUCCUGCUUUCUUUGAUUAUCAGGCAAGAGGAGGAUAUACAAUUACCAGAGAGGAGGCAUAUGAGUACGAGAGGAAAGAGGAGGCUGCUCGUCGCCACGCUGCAGCUCAGUAGGCGAUAGUUGCUGCAUCACAGUACGACCCCAACAACUAUUAUUAUGGAUACCCGCCAGGCCAGCCAUGGCCAUAGACCAACUUAGGCCAAAAGCCUAAGCUUGGGGGAGUACGUAUUUCCCACCGACAUUACAUUUAUGCUCACACACUCAUUGCUAGAUGUCGGUGCUCAUACUUUUUCAUUGUAUCAUCCAUGCUAGUUUAAUUUCCUUUUUAUGCUUUCUUCUUGUGUGUUUAAUAAACCUUAAGAAAAACCAAAAAAAUUAGUUGUAGUUGUUAAUCAGUUUAAUUUCCAUGCUUGUAGUAGUAAAUUAAAAGAAAACCCAAAAAUAUUUCAUGUUCUUCUUUUGCUUGUUGGGAGCUUUCCCGUGUAAAUAGUUUUAUUUCUUUUCUUUUCUUUGGGGGUUGAUAGGAGAAGACCAUGAUUAAAUUGUUGAAGUGACUCUUAUAUGCAUUAUUGUUGAUCUGACAAAAGAGCCCAUAUUUCCUUGUCUUCUCUUGUUUAUUGAAUGCCUGCAGAUUCCAGCUUAGUCCAAUGCAUGUGCACUAUUAUUUUUAUUCACAUCGUUCGGUCAUGCAAGUGAAAGGCAAUUAUGACGAUAUAUGAUGGACUGACUGAGAUGAGAAAAGCUGGUAUGAACUCGACCUCUUUUGUUUUUGUAAAUAUGAUUAGUUCAUCGUUCCUGAUUCGGCCUAUUAUGAAUAAACAUGUUUGCAAUGACAACUAGAGAUCAUAGUUUCUUGUGCCAUGCUUGCUAUGAGUUAUAAUGGUUUACCUUGCGUGCCAACAUGCUAUUAAAAUGGUUAUGAUGUGGUAUGAUAGGGUGGUAUCCUCCUCUGAAUGAUUUAAGUGACUUGACUUGGCACAUGUUCACACAUGUAGUUGAAACAAAAUCAAAAUAGCCUUCACGAUAUUUAUGUUCAUGGUGGAUUAUAUCCUACUCAUGCUUGCAUUCGAUGUUGAUUAAUUUUAAUGCAUGUUCAUGACUGUUGUCGCUCUCUAGCUGGUCGCUUCCCAGUCUUUUGCUAGCCUUCACCUGUACUAAGCGGGAAUACUGCUUGUGCAUCCAAAUCCUUAAACCCCAAAGUUAUUCCACAUGAGUCCACUAUACCUACCUAUAUACGGUAUCUACCUGUCGUUCCAAGUAAAUUUGUAUGUGCCAAACUCUAAACCUUCAAAUAAAUAUCCUGUUUUGUAUGCUCGAAUAGCUCAUGUAUCAACUAGGGUUGUCUGUAUCUUCCAUGUUAGGCGGGUUAUUCUCAAGAGGAGUGGACUCCGCUCCUCACUCACGAGAUAAAUGGCUGGUCACCAGGAUGCCAGUCCCAUGCUUGAUGCAAACUAAAUCAAAAUAAUUGCAAACAAAACUCCCCCUGGGACUCUUGUUAGUUGGAGGCACUCGUUGUUUAGAGCAAGCCAUGGAUUGAUGCUUGUGGUGGAAGGGGGAGCAUAAACUUUACCAUUCUGUUUGGGAACCGCCUAUAAUGUGUGUAGCAUGGAAGAUGUCGCCAUCUCUUGGUUGUUAUGUUGACAAUAAAAGUAUACCGCUCAAAAUAUUAUUCACCUCUGUUUCAAAAUCGAGCUCUGGCACCUCUACAAAUCCCUGCUUCCCUCUGCGAAGGGCUUAUCUAUUUACUUUUAUGCUGAGUCAUCAUCCUCUUAUUAAAAAGCACCAGUCGCUGUCAUUUGCAUUCAUUACUGUUAGUUUACAUUGAGUAUGACUUGACUGGAUCUCUUUUACCAUGAAUUACAAUGUCUAGUCAGUCCUUGGUCUUUAAAGGUGCUCUGCAUUUAUGUUUCGCGGUCUCAGAAUGGGCUAGCGAGAUACCAUCCUGUUAUAUCAUAUUAUGAUUGUUUUGAGAAAGUGUUGUCAUCCGAGUUUUAUUAUUAUGGCUCGCUAGUUGAUUAUGCUAUGAUAUGAGUAAACUUGAGACCUAUGUGUUAUUGCGAAUGUGGUUAGUUAUAAUCUUUGCUGAAAACUUGAAUGCUGGCUUUACAUAUUUACAACAACAAGAGCAAACAGAGUUUGUAAAAGUUUUUCUUUAUCACUUUCAGUUUGUCAACUGAAUUGCUUGAGGACAAGCAAAGGUUUAAGGUUGGGGAGUUGAUACGUCUCCAAUGUAUCUGCUUUUCCAAACACUUUUUCCCUUGUUUUGGACUCUAACUUGCAUGAUCUGAAUGGAACUAAUCCGGACUGACGCUGUUUUCAGCAGAACUACCAUGGUGUUAUUUAUGUGCAGGAGCAAACGUUCUCGGAAUGACCUGAAACUUCACGGAGACACUUUUCAGAAAAUAAGAAAAAUAUCUGCCAAAGAUGAAGGCAAGGGGGCCCACUGCCUUGCCACGAGAGUGGGGGCACGCCUGCCCCCCUAGGGCGCGCCCCCUACCUCGUGGGCCCCCUGUUGCGUCUCCGACUCCAACUCCACCUCCAUAUAUUGACUUUCGAUGAGAAAAAAAUCAAAGAGAAGAAAUCAUCGCGUUUUACGAUACGGAGCCGCUGCCUAGCCCUAAAACCUCUCGGGAGGGCUGAUCUGGAGUCCGUUUGGGGCUCCAGAGAGGGGAAUCUGUCGCCACCGUCAUCAUCAACCAUCCUCCAUCACCAAUUUCAUGAUGCUCACCGCCGUGCAUGAGUAAUUCCAUCGUAGGCUUGCUGGAGGGUGAUGGGUUGGAUGGGAUCUAUCAUGUAAUCGAGUUAGUUUUGUUAGGAUUUGAUCCCUAGUGUCCACUAUGUUCUGAGAUUGAUGUUGCUAUGACUUUGCUAUGCUUAAUGCUUGUCACUAGGGCCCGAGUGCCAUGAUUUCAGAUCUGAACCUAUUAUGUUUUCAUCAAUAUAUGAGUGUUCUUGAUCAUAUCUUGCAAGGCUAUAGUCACCUAUUAUGUGUUAUGAUCCGUUAACCCCGAAGUGACAAUAAUUGGGAUACUUACCAGUGAUGACCGUAUUUUGAGGAGUUCAUGUAUUCACUAUGUGUUCAUGCUUUGUUCCAGUUCUCUAUUAAAAGGAGGCCUUAAUAUCCCUUAGUUUCUGUAAGGACCCCGCUGCCACGGGAGGGUAGGACAAAAGAUGGCAUGCAAGUUCUUUUCCAUAAGCACGUAUGACUAUGUUCGGAAUACAUGCCUACAUUAUAUCAAUGAACUGGAGCUAGUUCUGUGUCACCCUAGGUUAUGACUGUUACAUGAUGAACUGCAUCUGGCAUAAUUCUCUAUCACCGAUCCAUUGCCUACGAGGUUUCCAUAUAUUGUUCUUUGCUUAUUUACUUUUUCGUUGCUAUUGUUAUCAUCACUACAAAAUACCAAAAACAUUACUUUUACUAUUGUUACCUUUUGCUACUGUUAUCACCACUAUCAUAUUACUUUGCUACUAAACACUUUGCUGCAGAUAUUAAGUUUCCAGGUGUGGUUGAAUUGACAACUCAGCUGCUAAUACUUGAGAAUAUUCUUUGGCUCCCCUUGUGUCAAAUCAAUAAAUUUGGGUUGAAUACUCUACCCUCGAAAACUGUUGUGAUCCCCUAUACUUGUGGGUUAUCAAUGCCCCGGAAGGCAUCCCCUCUUUUAUCUUUGUCUAUUGGUAACUUUACUUGGAGCUAUAUUUUUAUUCACCACAUGAUAUGUGUUUUGCUUGGAGCGUCUUGUAUGAUUUGAGUCUUUGCUUUUUAGUUUACCACAAUCAUCCUUGCUGUACACACCUUUUGAAAGAGACUCACAUGAUUUGAAAUUUAUUGGAAUACUCUAUGUGCUUCACUUAUAUCUUUUGAGCUAUAUAGUUUUUGCUCUAGUGUUUCACUUAUAUCUUUUAGAGCACGGCAGUGGUUUUAUUUUAUAGAAAUAAUUGAUCUCUCAUGCUUCACUUAUAUUAUUUUGAGAGUCCUUUAGAACAACAUGGAAAUUUUCUUUUAGGAAUAAUAUAAAAAACUUUCAUAGAAGUGCAUUGAAUACUAUGAGAAGUUUGAUACUUGAUAAUUGUUUUGAGAUAUGGAGAUCGUGAUAUUAGAGUCAUGCUAGUUGAGUAGUUGUGAAUUUGAGAAAUACUUGUGUUGAAGUUUGUGAUUCCCGUAGCAUGCACGUAUGGUGAACUGUUAUGUGAUGAAGUCGGAGCAUGAUUUAUUUAUUGAUUGUCUUCCUUAUGAGUGACGGUCAGGGACGAGCGAUGGUCUUUUCCUACCAAUCUAUCCCCCUAGGAGCAUGCGUCUAAUACUUUGUUUCGAUAACUAAUAGAUUUUUACAAUAAGUAUGUGAGUUCUUUAUGACUAAUGUUGAGUCCAUGGAUUAUACGCACUCUCACCCUUCCACCAUUGCUAGCCUCUCUAGUAUCGCGCAACUUUCGCCCGUACCAUAAACCCACCACAUACCUUCCUCAAAACAGCCACCAUACCUACCUAUUAUGGCAUUUCCAUAGCCAUUCCGAGAUAUAUUGCCAUGCAACUUUCCACUGUUCCGUUAUUAUGACACGCUUCAUCAUUGUCAUAUUGCUUGCAUGAUCAUGUAGUUGACACCGUAUUUGUGGCAAAGCCACCAUUCGUAAUUCUUCAUACAUGUCACUCAUGCAUCAUUACACAUCUCGGUACACCGCCGGAGGCAUUCACGUAGAGUCAUAUUUUGUUCUAAGUAUUGAGUUGUAAUUCUUGAGUUGUAAGUAAAUUAAAGUGUGAUGAUCAUCAUUAUUAGAGUAUUGUCCCAGUGAGGAAAGGAUGAUGGAGACUAUGAUUCCCCCACAAGUCGGGAUGAGACUCCGGAUGAAAAAUAAAAAAAGAAAAAAGAAAGAGGCCAAAAAGGAAAAAGGAAGAAGUCCCAAAUAAAAAAUAAUAAUGAGAGAAAAAGAGAGAAGGGACAAUGUUACUAUCAUUUUUCCACACUUGUGCUUCAAAAUAGCACCAUGGUCUUCAUGAUAGAGUCUCCUAUGUUAUCACUUUUAUAUACUAUUGGGAAUUUUACAUUAUAGAACUUGGCUUGUAUAUUCCAAUGAUGGUCUUCCUCAAAAUUGCCCUAGGUCUUCAUGAGCAAGCAAGUUGGAUACACACCCACUUAGUUCUUUGUUGAGCUUUCAUACACUUAUAGCUCUAGUGCAUCCGUUGCAUGGCAAUCCCUACUCACUCACGUUGAUAUCUAUUGAUGGGCAUCUCCAUAGCCCGUUGAUACGCCUAGUUGAUGUGAGACUAUCUUCUCCUUUUUGUCUUCUCCACAACCACCAUUCUAUUCCACAUAUAGUGCUAUAUCCAUGGCUCACGCUCAUAUAUUGCGUGAAGAUUGAAAAAGUUUGAGAACAUCAAAAGUAUGAAACAAUUUCUUGGCUUGUCAUCGGGGUUGUGCAUGAUUUAAAUAUUUUGUGUGGUGAAGAUAGAGCAUAGCCGGACUAUAUGAUUUUGUAGGGAUAACUUUCUUUGGCCAUGUUAUUUUGAGAAGACAUGAUUGCUUAGUUAGUAUACUUGAAGUAUUAUUAUUUUUAUGUCAAUAUUAAACUUUUAUCUUGAAUCUUUCGGAUCUGAACAUUCAUGCCACAAUAAAGAAAAAUUACAUUGGGAAAUAUGUUAGAAAGCAUUCCACAUCAAAAAUUCUUUUUUUAUCAUUUACCUACUCGAGGACGAGCAGGAAUUAAGCUUGGGGAUGCUUGAUACAUCUCCAACGUAUUUAUAAUUUUUGAUUUCUCCAUGCUAUUAUAUUAUCUGUUUUGGAUGUUACUGGACUUUAUUUUACACUUUUAUAUCAUUUUUGGGACUAACCUAUUAACCGGAGGCCCAGCCCAAAUUGCGGUUUUUUGCCUAUUUCAGUGCUUCGCAGAAAAGGAAUAUCAAACGAAGUCCAAAUGUGUCAGGACCCCGAUUCCAAGUCACAUCUAUCUAGCCGGUAACACCUCAUAUCACUUUGCGGCCUCACGCACGGUAUUCCCACGGGUGUCGCCUUGCCAUGGCCCGGGACCGUUUGCGCCUUUUGGCUCACGUAUAUGAUAGUGUCGCUAGCAUCCAUAUGAUAGAGAACCCGGGCCGACAUGGCUAGUCGUCAACCCAAAGCGGCACUAACCUAUGGGGACAGGCAUACAUGAAUCACAUCGAGCAUGUCAGUCAGCAGCGUGUGAAUCCGGACUGUAGCACUGGGCUAACAGGACUCCGGGAACCCGGGCUGUAGCAGGCUAGGCAGGACUCCGGAUGUCACCACGUGACAUUUCCCCGAAGGGACAGACACGGGAAUGAAGUGAAACACAUGCCGGCCAGUCAAGUGUCCUGAGCAGUAGAGCUGGGAUAACAGGACUCUGAUGAACCGGGCUGUAGCGGACUACUAUGGCUCAUGGAAGCACUAGACUACAUUUCCCCAUAAGAGAGGCUGCCAAGGAUAAACAACUAGAUUGUCGGAUCCCACACAUACCAAGCAUUUCAAUCAUACACACAAUAUGCUCGAUAUGUGUAAAUACAACAUGGCAUCACAACAUAACUCUACAACUCAAGUAUUUAUUCAUUAGGCUCCGAGGAGCGAGAUAUUACAAACAUGGGUCUCAUGACCCAACAAUCAUAGCAUACAAAUCAAAUCACAUGCGGAAGCUUAACAUGUCUGAGUACAGACAUCUACAAAUGAAAAAGGCUAAGAAGCCUGACUAUCUACCAGAUCCUGCCGAGGACACAAGAUCGUAGCUGAGGUAUCAAGCUAAACGUCGAAGUCCACACGGAACUACUAGCGAGACUGACGUCUCUCUGCAAAACAUAAAAUAGGCAAACGUGAGUACAAAUGUACCCAGCAAGACUUACAUCACAACUAACUACAUAUGCAUCAGUAUCAACAAGGGGGGUGGUGGAGUUUAACUGCAGCAAGCCAGCUUUGACUCAGUGGCUAACCUGAACUACGACUGCAAGCAACUCUUUUGAGGUGGCGCACACGAGUCCACAUAUUCACCAUAUCAAUACACCACUAUGGAUCCACUCUCGUCUCCCUACGAGAAGGCCAUCCAUAGCACUCACGCUGAUCUUGCGAGUUUUAGAGUAUCCACUUUCACUUGUCUAUGAACUAUGCAAGGGGUCCAAGUUUCCAUAUCCGAGGAAUCCGGUUUUUCGAAUAGAUAAUGAAAACCCUGCAAGGGUGUACUUAUUCACACACGCUCCCACCACUUACCAUCGUUUACACGACAUGUACUCGGCAACCUUCAAGUGGAAGCCCAACGAGGGUGUCGGCCACGGCCUACCUAAACACUCAAGUCUCUAGUCCAGGUUUAUCGCCUAUCCAGGUUCCAUCCGCAGGGAGUCCGGCCGAGGUUUCCACAUACGGCCCCGAACGAUGUGAUCAGGGUUCCCGAGACACCAAACGGGCGCCCGGUACACCGUGCCAUGGUGUAUCUACCGCAUCAUAGCCCACCCUUAGGGUCAGCGCUACGCACGGCCGCCAACACAUAACCUACAAACACCAGAAACUAGUUGCAACUCCUGGACAGAGUACUAGGGUGAUUAAGAAGCCGAGAGGGUUAAUUAAGGAUCCCAAUGAGUGGUAGUAGCUGUUCAUGGAUCACAGACACAGAACUCAGUUCCUAAGGACGGUUUCAAUGAGACAACCCACCAUGUACUCCUACAUGGCCUCUCACCGCUACCUUUACCAAAUCGUGUUCACACACUUAGCUCACACAUAGUAGGACAUGUUCACACACCUCCGAUUCAUCCCCGAUGAAUCAGACCUGACACAACUCUAUGCAAUAGCAGGCAUGACAAACAAGCUUGAAUGAGUAGGCACAUCAGGCCUCAAACAACUCCUACUCAUGCUAGUGGGUUUCAUCUAUUUACUAUGGCAAUGACGGGUCAUGCAGAGGAUAAGGGGUUCAACUACCGCAGCAAGUAACAGAUGAAUCGUUGUUGUCCUAAUGCAGUAAAAGAGAGCAGGAGCGAGAGAGUGGGAUUGUAUCGAAAUGGACAAGGGGGUUUUGCUUGCCUGGCACUUCUGAAGAUAAUAUAGUUCUUCAUCGGUGUCAUCGAUCACGUCAUCGGAAACAUCGUUGUCUGAGAGGGGACGGUUACCGGCAAACAGAGAAGGACACAAUCAAUGCAAUGCAACAAUAUGAUGCAUGAAUGUGACAUGGCAAUAUGCUAUUGAUUAGCCUAAUGCAACUAGCAACAAGUUAAAUGGAGUUGGUUUGAACACUAGGUUCAAAUUCAAACUCCAUAUGUGCUUUCUUAAAUGCCAUUUAAUUAGUUUGUCCUAAACAGCAAUGUUAACUUGCUCAAAUAUGCAUGAAAAUGCCAUAAACAGAUUCCUUGAAUUUUUUUGAUAAUUUUUCAUAUAUAACUUAUUUCAUUUGGAGUUACGGUUGAAUUUCUAUGAUUUUUAGAAGUUUAUAAUAUUUUCUGGAAUUUUCUGAAAAAGAAUAAAUCUAUAAAAUAAUUAACUGCGUCACUGUGACGUCAGCGGUCAACGGGGCCGGCCAGAGUCAAACCUGACGCAUGGGACCCACUGGUCAGUGACUCAGGGCCAGUUAGUGUCACUGACAGGUGGCCCUGGUCAACUGCCACGUCAGCCAGUCAACCCUGACGCGUGGUUCCCGCUGGGUUAAUCUAAACUAAACUGGAAAUAAAACUCGGGGUUAAUUAGGGUGUGGGGCCCACGUGUCAGUGGAUGUGGGGUUGGUUAGCGGGGUUAUUAGCAGGUAGUUAGGUGCUAAUGACGGCGCCACAUCGGCGUUGCCGGAGUUCGACGCCGACGACCUGUAACUGCGGCGGUGUCCGCUCAGGAGGCCACGGGAGGACCACCCGAGCUCACCAGGCGGGAGAGCGCACUCGCGCGCAUCCACUGAAAGUGGCAGAAGGGCGCGGGGUAGCCGGAAACAAUGUCGGUGAUGACCUCGCGUGGCGGCGCACACAUGGGCUCAACGGGGAGGAGGCUACGGAGCACGGGCGAGCAAGCUGAAGCUUUCUACGGCCAUCUGGGAGCGUAAGGAGGAUGGUAGCAUCCUCAGGCCCUACUGGUUCGAGCUCAGGCUACGACGGCGACGAGGCCGUGUGACGGCGAGCUUCGACUCGUGCGGGCAAGGAAGAUAGAGGGCACGAGAGAGCAGGAGAGAUGGGGGAUUCGAUGCGUCAGCUCACAGCGGUUUGGAAGAAGCAGACGGCGAGCUCGGGGAGGCGGAGACGGCGAAGAAUCGUCGGCGAAGAUCCAUGGCGGCCGAGGAGGAAGACGAGGACGCUAGCGACGAAACAAAGCCCUCCGGCUCCUUUCCUUCGGCUUGGGGGUGUGGUGAUCGAUGGUGGAGCUUCUGGUCACGGUCACGGGGCGAGGGGCGGCCGGUGGACGCGGUGGCAGCGAGCGGCGGCAACGGUGGCGUUCGGUCGCGGGAGAGAAAGGGUGGCAGAGGAAGGGAUUAGCACGAGAGGGAGUGAGAGGGCCUGGGGGUGCGUGGCGUCUCCAGGGAGUCGCAGGAGGAAGGACGUGGCCUAGGCGCGUGCUCGCGUGCACUGGCCACGCGCCCAUCCUCCUGGCGUGGUGGAGAAGAUGACAGGGGUUGCGCUGCUGGGCUGGGCUGCCAGCUACAGUGCUGGACCAGGUAGGCCGGCCCAGGUAAUUCCUCUGCCUCUUUUUUUAAAAUUGUUACUGUUUUCUAUUUUUGUUCUGUUCGUUUUGAUUUAGUAGGAGUACUAAACAAAUUUAUUUUCUUCUGUAAAUUAUUGUAUGGACUAGAGAUAUUAUUCCAGAGCCCCACAAUAAUUUCCAGAAUUAUUGGGCAUGUAUUUCUUUUAUAACAGAAAUGAAGCCAAUUCAAAUACAUUAUGAUUUAAUUCAAAUGCCCAAAAUAAAUAUUUCUGUGACUCCAAAAAUAUUGGUUUGAAUUUUACCUCUUACCAAUAUUUUCACAGGAUAAUAGGAACAUUUCCUUGGACUCAUUUGAUGAGAAUUAAAUGUUGAUUAUUUUUGAACUGGUUUCUGAGGGUUUCAACAAACCUCAAUUCAACUUUCAGAAAUUUUAGACAUGAUGCAUGAGUGCAGAUGCAACUAUUUCACUCAGGUACUCUAGGGGCUGUGACAACUCACCCCUACUAAACAAGAAUCUCGUCCCGAGAUUCAGGUCGUGAGGUAAGAAGACAGAGGGGGCACCAACUAACACAAUCUUCUUGAUCCAACUGCUCUUCUCGAAGAUGUUGAUUCAUUGCAUCAUAUUAAUCUUGACAUCUUUGCUUUCGAGAUCUUCACCCAACACGACAAGGGAAAGAGAGGGAAGCUCUACAGGAUUCGAUCUUCACGAAGAUCAAGCAAAUCAUGAUCAACUCACGGAAUGAGAUGUAGUAACAUCUCUUGAACUAAGACACAAAACACACAUAGAAAGGGAUGGAAGAAACAGAUGGCGGAAGUUCAAUUUGGUAAGCAACAAUUCCACACCUAAGAAGAUGGUGGACGAAGUCAGAGUAGCGAGGAGUUAAUUGCUAUGAUUCCAUAACGGGGCACCUUAGGAAAGGUGACUCGUAGAAUUAUUCCCUUAAGUGGCAAAAAAAAUUACUUUUGAUUUAGAAAUCAUUGAGACUCUUUAUACCAGCCUAAGGCAAUCACAAUCGAUCAUUUGAAGGAGUUCGAAGAAAUGGCAUACCCGGACUAGAAUGGACGAUGUGGACUACCUUGUUGAAGACAACACAAUGGAUGACUUUUGCUUAUCACCAGAAAUGGAUGGGACCCAUGAAAGGACCACUUUUGAAGAUGAUCCUGGAUAGAAACUACCGAGAAGAACAUUCCAUGGAAAAUUGACACGAUGGGGUGCAAGCUGGGAACAAAAUACAAAUGUUGGGAAUGUUCCAACCAUCAUAUCUUCCUGAGAUUCGGAUCUGGUUAGAAGCAGGAUACUUCAGACUCACAUGUCUGAAAAGAAAAGUUUCGACACAAAUCGACGAGAUAACGUUGCGAUACACUCAGGAGAAGAACUACGAUAGCGAGCUCCAAAACAUGAGCGGGUUCUGCUACACUCCUGUGGACACACUGUCCUAGACAAGCAUGACGACAUGGUAGUCUUAUAAUAAAACACUACCGAGUUCUGGUUGGGAACCAACAUCGAGGAUAAUGAAAUCCUGUACAAAUCCGUCUGGUACCUUCAAGACUAGCACUUAGAACUUAUUAUCCUUGAACAAGUCAAUCAGUGGCUUGGCGUGCUAGGAAAUACAUUUGGAAUGGAGGUAGCUAAUCUCACAAACCAAUGUAUACUUCACACAUGCAUGACUGACUUGGGAUGAUUCCAGAGGAAGCAACAACAAACUUUCUCGAAUCCAUGGCGGCAACUUACAUCGAUUGCACGUGAACUUUGAGUAAGUCACUACUUUCAUCCAAACAUAUGCUUCAUGAACGGAACAUGAAGGCAUCGUUUACAAAGUUUCCAACACUAGCUUCAUGUUUAACACAAAUCAUGGUGGAGACAAGAUGCUGCUGAUGGGCUCAACAGCAACUCAUCGGAAUUUUCCAUAUCACUGGAAUUCCACCAUUAUGUGAACAAUAUGAUAGUAUUGGUCAAACCAAAGGAUGUAAUGGUGUAUACUCGAGGAACAACCACGAUUAGGACAACAUUAUGAAUAUCGUUGGUUCUAACUUGAUUUGACGAUAGCCCACACUCAAAUCAAGGUUUGGAUAAGACGAUAGAUUCAACAACUGAUCACGAGGAACAAUCGAUGAAGAUAUCAUCUCUCGUCAACACACACACACACAAGAUAUCCCCUUUAAAGUGAACUAAGUGGAUUAAGCUUUUAUCUUCCAACUCUCCAAGUUGUUGUUUGGUUUAACCAACUAGCUCAGGGGUAUCCAACACAGAUUCUUGGAGAAAGGGUGGUUUGGAGAAAAACCAACAUGAUCACGAACUCAACAUAGCGGUCAGGGGACAACCUGGUAAUGCUUCCGAGAAGAUAUUCAGAAAAUCACGAACCACCGAUAUGUUACAAGGCUCGAGAACAAUCUUUCUUUUUAGGGCAAGAUGAUAUGAUCAAAAGAGCGAGGAAUGACACAAUCCUAACUCAUUGAUCGAAGAGUGCACCGGAAAUAAGGACAAGGUAGCACAGUCAAUCCUAGAAUAGUGUUUCAAUAACCAACACGCUAAGAAUGAUAUUAGUGUCCAUUAACUACCAAGCAACAUGGUUGCUAGGAGUAUUGAUUUCACACAUCAUGGUUCACUUGCCGGCAUUAUGGUUGCGACAACAUAGGAACGAGGAAUGAAUGAUGAUGGUGCGAAGUAUCACUGCAUCAAGAAUUCAUAAGAGAUGGUGCAAUUCCCACGAUAUUCUUGACAUAAAGUGGGUAAUACUUCAGGGUAGAACAGAAUCAAAAGCUUGAUUGCAUUUGAUCUGCGGAAUACAACUGCUUUGACCCAAUCCUAGAAAUGGAUGAGGUACUGGAGCUUGUUUCUCCUAGUCAUUCUGGAAUAGAAUGGCUUGACGAACCACAAGAAUAAUAAGCAUUGAUAACACGGAUGCACAAUUACUCCUGACUAUCAAUUGAUAGAUGAUAGUCGAAAUACAAAUGAAGAGGAACAACUCCAGGAACAUAUAAUUUUCUGAGUUAUGGAUGCAUGGAUUAGCAUGUUAUUUCUUCUGGAUAACCCAUGCAGAAAUGUUGAACUGGCAGAGUCACAAUAUAGAAUGGAGAACUCCUCAAGAGUACUCUGAUUGUAAUAUUUUGGUUCAAGAGAACUCCUGCCAUAUUGGUUCAUGGUAUUGGAAGAACGUUGUACCACGGACCUCGAGGACUAUCGCAAAGGUUGCUAAUAUCCUAAAGGAACUAUCAAACACUAUCAACAUGAGGUAAGUAGGGUGAAUCUCGGGUUCAAGAACCCAUGAAUAGAAUACCUACCACUACAUGGCAUCACGGGAUGCUUUCAAGAAUGAUGGCCAGAAUCAUCACACUGGGGAUACGAAAGCAUUGCUAAAUUACUAGGUGACUCCCUAAAACACCUAGGGUCAUAAUAAUAGCUCCAACAUAUAUGUCGAGGUAGUAGAGUACCUCAACAGACCGUUAGUGUGCUUAAUCUGGCCCAAAAGGACAUCGGAAACGGGAAGAAGGGAUUUGCAAAUGCAUCAGACUAGUUAGAGACCUGGGAUGACUCGGACAGCAUAAAGGCUGUAAAUGCUCAAAAGAUUUGAGACAUCCUGCAAAAUGGUGGCAUAACCACUCAACAACACAAUAUCAAGGUUCCGAGAUCAACUGUCAACAUACGGAAGUAGUGGGAACGAAACUGAGGCUUGAAACUAUCAAUUCUAUAAGUCUAUGGAUUAGUAACACGUCAUCCUGAUAGAUAGAUGAGAAGGCCUAGUUCUUAAUCCCCGUAGAAAAGAAGAGGUUGACUCGGAUCAGAAGGGCAUAGGGUAAAGGAGUAAAAAGAGCCUUACGUUCCCUUCCACAAUCAAUUCCCUUACAUAACUAAAGCAUUUCUAGACUCGACGUCGGCCAGUUUGGCUUGGUAAUCCUACAGGCAGUCAGGCUCUGAUACCAAAGCUUUCAGGACCCCGAUUCCAAGUCACAUCGAUCUAGCUGGUAACACCUCAUAUCACUUUGCGGCCUCAAGCACGGUAUUCCCACGGGUGUCGCCUUACCAUGGCCCGGGACCGUUUGCGCCUUUUGGCUCACGUAUAUGAUAGUGUCGCUAGCAUCCAUAUGACACAGAACCCGGGCCGACAUGGCUAGUCGUGAACCCAAAGCGGCACUAACCUAUGGGGACAGGCAUACAUGAAUCACAUCGAGCAUGUCGGUUAGCAGCAUGUGAAUCCGGGCUGUAGCACUGGGCUAACAGGACUCCAGGAACCCGGGCUGUAGCAGGCUAGGCAGGACUCCGGAUGUCACCGCGUGACAUUUCCCCGAAGGGACAGACACAGGAACAAAGUGAAACACAUGCCGGCCAGUCAAGUGUCCUGAGCAGUAGUGCUGGGCUAACAGGACUCCGGUGAACCGGGCUGUAGCGGACUACUAUGGCUCAUGGAAGCACUAGACUACAUUUCCCCAUAAGAGAGGCUGCCAAGGAUAAACAACUAGAUUGUCGGAUCCCACACAUACCAAGCAUUUCAAUCAUACACACAAUAUGCUCGAUAUGUGUAAAUACAACAUGGCAUCACAACAUAACUGUACAACUCAAGUAUUUAUGCAUUAGGCUCUGAGGAGCGAGAUAUUACAAACAUGGGUCUCAUGACCCAACAAUCAUAGCAUACAAAUCAAAGCACAUGCGGAAGCUUAACAUGUCUGAGUACAGACAUCUACAAAUGAAAAAGGCUAAGAAGCCUAACUAUCUACCAGAUCCUGCCGAGGACACAAGAUCGUAGCUGAGGUAUCAAGCUAAACGUCGAAGAUCACACGGAACUACUAGCGAGACUGACGUCUCUCUGCAAAACAUAAAAUAGGCAAACGUGAGUACAAAUGUACCGAGCAAGACUUACAUCAUAACUAACUACAUAUCCAUCGGUAUCAACAAGGGGGGUGGAGUUUAACUGCAGCAAGCCAGCUUUGACUCAGUGGCUAACCUGAACUACGACUACAAGCAACUCUUUUGAGGUGGCGCACACGAGUCCACAUAUUCACCAUACCAAUACACCACUGUGGAUCCGCUCCCGUCUCCCUACGAGAAGGCCAUCCAUAGCACUCACGCUUAUCUUGCGAGUUUUAGAGUAUCCACUUUCACUUGUCUAUGAACUAUGCAAGGGGUCCAAGUUUCCAUAUACGAGGAAUCCGGCUAUUCGAAUAUAUAAUGAAAACCCUGCAGGGGUGUACUUCUUCACACACGCUCCCACCACUUACCGUCGUUUACACGACAUGUACUCGGCAACCUUCAAGUGGAAGCCCAACGAGGGUGUCGGCCACGGCCGACCUAAACACUCAAGUCUCUAGUCCAGGUUUAUCGCCUAUCCAGGUUCCAUCCGCAGGGAGUCCGACCGAGGUUUCCACAUAUGGCCCCGAACGAUGUGAACAGGGUUCCCGAGACACCAAACGGGCGCCCGGUACACCGUGCCACGGUGUAUCUACCGCAUCAUAGCCCACCCCUAGGGUCAGCGCUACGCACGGCUGCCAACACAUAACCUACAAACACCAGAAACUAGUUGCAACUCCUGGAUAGAGUACUAGGGUGAUUAAGAAGCCGAGAGGGUCAAUUAAGGAUCCCAAUGAGUGGUAGUAGCUGUUCAUGGAUCACAGACACAGAACUCAGUUUUUGAGGAUGGUUUCAAUGAGACAACCCACCAUGUACUCCUACAUGGCCUCUCACCGCUACCUUUACCAAAUCAUGUUCACACACUUAGCUCACACACAGUAGGACAUGUUCACACACCACCGAUUCAUCCCCGAUGAAUCAGACCUGACACAACUCUAUGCAAUAGCAGGCAUGACAAACAAGCACGAAUGAGUAGGCACAUCAGGCCUCAAACAACUCCUACUCAUGCUAGUGGGUUUCAUCUAUUUACUCUGGCAAUGACGGGUCAUGCAGAGGAUAAGGGGUUCAACUACCGCAGCAAGUAACAGAUGAAUCGUUGUUGUCCUAAUGUAGUAAAAGAGAGCAGGAGUGAGAGAGUGGGAUUGUAUCGGAAUGAACAAGGGGGUUUUGCUUGCCUGGCACUUCUGAAGAUAAUAUAGUUCUUCAUCGGUGUCAUCGAACACGUCGUCGGAAACAUCGUCGUCUGAGAGGGGACGGUUACUGGCAAACAGAGAAGGACACAAUCAAUGCAAUGCAACAAUAUGAUGCAUGAAAGUGGCACGGCAAUAUGUUGUUGAUUGGCCUAAUGCAACUAGCAACAAGUUAAAUGGAGUUGGUUCGAACACUAGGUUCAAAUUCAAACUCCAUAUGUGCUUUUUAAAAUGCCAUUUAAUUAGUUUAUCCUAAAAAGCAAUGUUAACUUGCUCAAAUAUGCAUGAAAAUGCCAUGAGCAAAUUCCUUGAAUUUUUCUGAUAAUUUUUCAUAUAUAACUUAUUUCAUUUGGAGUUACGGUUGAAUUUCUAUGAUUUUUAGAAGUUUAUACUAUUUUCUGGAAUUUUCAGAAAAAGAAUAAAUCUAGAAAAGAAUUAACUGCGUCAGCACUACGUCACUGUGACAUCAGCAGUCAACGGGGCCGGCCAGAGUCAAACCUGACGCAUGGGACCCACUGGUCAGUGACUCAGGGCCAGUUAGUGUCGCUGACAGGUGGCCCUGGUUAACUGCCACAUCAGCCAGUCAACCCUGACACGUGGGUCCCGCUGGGUUAAUCUAAACUAAACAGGAAAUAAAACCCGGGUUAAUUAGGGUGUGGGGCCCAUGUGUCAGUGGUUGUGGGGUUGGUUAGCGGGGUUAUUAGCAAGUGGUUAGGUGCUAAUGACGGCGCCACGUCGGCGUUGCCAGAGUUCAACGCCGGCGACCUAUAACGCGGUGGUGUCCGCUCAGGAGGCUGCGGGAGGACCACCCGAGCUCACCAGGCGGGAGAACGCACUCGCGCGCAUCCACUGAAAGUGGCAGAAGGGCGCGGGCUAGCCGGAAAUGAUGCCGGCGACGACCUCACGCGGCGGCGCACACACGGGCUCAACGGGGAGGAGGCUACGGAGCACGGGCAAGCAAGCUGAAGCUUUCUACGGCCAUCUUGGAGUGCAAGGAGGACGGUAGCGUCCUCAGGCCCUACUGGUUCGAGCUCAGGCUACGACGGCGACGAGGCCGUGUGACGGCGAGCUUCGGCUCGUGCGGGCAAGGAAGAUAGAGGGCACGAGAGAGCGGCAGAGAUGGGGGAUUCGAUGCGUCAACUCACAGUGGUUUGGAAGAAGCAGACGGCGAGCUCGGGGAGGCAGAGACGGCAAAGAAUCAUCGGUGAAGAUCCAUGGCGGCCGAGGAGGAAGACGAGGACGCUAGCGACAAAGCAGAGCCCUCCGGCUCCUUUCCUUUGGCUUGGGGGCGUGGUGAUCGAUGGCGGAGCUUCUGCUCACGGUCACGGGGCGAGGGGCGGCCAGUGGACGCGGUGGCAGCGAGCGGCGGUGACGUGGCGUUCGGUCGCGGGAGAGAAAGGGCGGCAGAGGAAGGGAUGAGCACGAGAGGGAGUGAGGGGGGCCUGGGGGGUGCGUGGCGUCUCCAAGGAGCCGCGGGAGGAAGCAGGGAGGCAUGAGGUGGCCUAGGCGCGUGCUCGCAUGCGCUGGCCACGCGCUCGUCCUCCUGGCGCGGUGGAGAAGACGACAGGGGCUGCGCUGCUGGGCUGGGCUGCCAGCUAUAGUGCUGGACCAGGUAGGCUGGCCCAGGUAAUUCCUGUGCCUCUUUUUAAAAAAAAUUAUUAUUGUUUUCUAUUUUUGUUCUGUUCGUUUUGAUUUAGUAGGAGUACUAAACAAAUUUAUUUGCUUCUGUAAAUUAUUGUAUGGACUAGAGAUAUUACUCUAGAGCCCCACAAUAAUUUCCAGAAUUAUUGGGCAUGUAUUUCUUUUAUAACAGAAAUAAAGCCAAUUCAAAUACAUUAUGAUUUAAUUCAAAUGCCCAAAAUAAAUAUUUCUGUGACUCCAAAAAUAUUGGUUUGAAUUUUACCUCUUACCAAUAUUUUCACAGGAUAACAGGAACAUUUCCUUGGACUCAUUUGAUGAGAAUUAAAUGUUGAUUAUUUUUGAACUGGUUUAUGAGGGUUUCAACAAACCUUAAUUCAACUUUCAGAAAUUUUAGACAUGAUGCAUGAGUGCAGAUGCAACUAUUUCACUCAGGUACUCUAGGGCUGUGACAAAAUGGAAUGAAACCUUUGGGAAUGUGAUUUUCUCAACAAACGUGAUCCAGGAGACUUGGAGUGGGCGUCAAGAAACAAUCGAGGAGGCCACGAGGCAAGGGGCGUGCCUUCCACCCUCGUGGGCCCCUUGUUGCUCCACCGACCUACUUUUUCCACCUAUAUAAUUCCACGUACCUCGCAAACAUCCAGGAGCACCACGAAAACCUAAUUCCACUGUCGCAACCUUCUGUACCCGAGAGAUCCCAUCUUGGGGCCUUUUCCGGAGCUCCGCCAGAGGGGGCAUUGAUCAUGGAGGGCCUCUACAUCAACUCCAUGGCCUCUUCGGUGAUGUGUGAGUAGUUUACUUAAGACCUUCGGGUCCAUAUCUAGUAUCUAGAUGGCUUCUUCUCUCUCUUUGGAUCUCAAUACAAAGUUCUCCUCGAUUCUCUUGGAGAUCUAUUCGAUGUAAUCUUCUUUUACAGUGUGUUUGUCGAGAUCCGAUGAAUUGUGGGUUUAUGAUCUAGAUUAUCUAUGAACAAUAUUUGAUUCUUCUCUAAAUUCUUUUAUGUAUGAUUGGUUUAUCUUUGCAAGUCUCUUCGAAUUAUCAGUUUGGUUUGGCCUACUAGAUUGAUCUUUCUUGCAAUGGGAGAAGUGCUUAGCUUUGAGUUCAUUCUUAUGGUGCUUGAUCCCACUGACAGUAGGGGAAACGACACGUAUUGUAUUGUUGCCAUCGAGGAUAAAAAGAUGGGGUUUAUAUCAUAUUUCAUGAGUUUAUCCCUCUACAUCAUGUCAUCUUGCUUAAGGCGUUACUCUGUUCUUAUGAACUUAAUACUCUAGAUGCAUGCUGGAUAGCGGUCGAUGUGUGGAGUAAUACUAGUAGAUGCAGGCAGGAGUCGGUCUACUUGUCGCGGACGUGAUGCCUAUAUACAUGAUCAUACCUAGAUAUUCUCAUAAUAAUUUGCUUUCCUAUCAAUUGCUCGACAUUAAUUUGUUCACCCACCGUAAUACUUAUGCUAUCUUGAGAGAAGCACUAGUGAAACCUAUGGCCCCGGGUCUAUUUUCCAUCAUACAAGUUUUCAAUCUAUUUUAUUUUGCAAUCUUUACUUUCAAUCUAUAUCAUAAAAAUACCAAAAAUAUUUAUCUUAUUAUUAUUAUCUCUAUCAGAUCUCACUCUUGCAAGUGGCCGUGAAGGGAUUGACAACCCCUUUAUCGUGUUGGUUGUGGGGUUCUUAUUUGUUUGUGUAGGUAUGGGGUGACUCACGCGUGGUCUCGCACUGGAUUGAUACCUUGGUUCUCAAAAACUGAGGAAAAUACUUACGCUGCUUUACUGCAUCACCCUUUCCUCUUCAAGGAAAAACCAACGCAGUGCUCAAGAGGUAGCAACAUCUUCACCAGCACCAUCUCAUCUCAAACCCUAGUUCAUCUCUUGUAUCCAAUCUUUGUCCCAAAGCCUCAGAUUGGUACCUGUGGGUUGCUAGUAGUGUUGAUUACUCCUUGUAGUUGAUGCUAGUUGGUUUAUUUGAUGGACGAUCAUAUGUUCAUAUCCUUUAUGCAUAUUAAUACCCCUCAGAUUAUGAGCAUGAAUAUGAUUUGUGAGUAGUUACGUUUGUUCCUGAGUACAUGGGAGAAGUCUUGCUAUAAGUAGUCAUGUGAAUUUGAUAUUUGUUCGAUAUUUUGAUGAGAUGUAUGUUGUCUUUCCUCUAGUGGUGUCAUGUGAACGUUGACUACAUGACACUUCACCAUUGUUUGGGCCUAGAGGAAGGCAUUGCAAAGUAAUAAGUACAUGAUGGGUUACUAGAGUGACAGAAGCUUAAACCCUAGUUUAUGCGUUGCUUCGUAAGGGGCUGAUUUGGAUCCAUAUGUUUCAUGCUAUGGUUAGGUUUACCUUAAUACUUAUUUUGUAGUUGCAGAUGCUUGCAAUAGGGGUUAAUCAUAAAUGGGAUGCUUGUCCAAGGAAGGGCAGUACCCAAGCACCGGUCCACCCACAUAUCAAAUUAUCAAAGUACCGAACAUGAAUCAUAGGAACGUGAUGAAAACUAGCUUGACGAUAAUUCCCAUGUGUCUUCGGGAGCGUUUUCCUUUAUAUAAGAGUUUGUCCAGGCUUGUCCUUUGCUAUAAAAAGGAUUGGGUCAUCUUGCUGCACCUUAUUUACUUUUAUUACUUGUUACCCGUUACAAAUUACCUUAUCACAAAACUAUCUGUUACCGAUAAUUUCAGUGCUUGCAGAGAAUACCUUACUGAAAACUGCUUAUCAUUUCCUUCUCCUCCUCAUUGGGUUCGACACUCUUGCUUAUCGAAAGGACUACGAUAGAUCCCCUAUACUUGUGGGUCAUCAAGACUCUUUUCUGGCGCCGUUGCCGGGGAGUGAAGCGCCUUUGGUAAGUGGAAUUUGGCAAGAAAAAUUUUAUAUAGUGUGCUGAAAUUUACUGUCACUUGUUACUAUGGAACAUAAUCCUUUGUGGGGCUUGUUCGGGGUAUCUUCACCCCGACUAGUAGAGCAAAGAGUUGCUCCUCAACCUACUGAAAAUGUUUACGUUGAAAUUCCUUCGGGUAUGAUAGAGAAACUGCUAGCUAAUCCUUUUACAGGAGAUGGAACAUUGCAUCCCGAUUUGCACCUAAUCUAUGUGGAUAAAGUUUGUGGAUUAUUUAAGCUUGCAGGUAUGCCCGAGGAUGUUAUCAAGAAGAAGUUGUUCCCUUUAUCUUUGAAGGGAAAAGCAUUGACAUGGUUUAGGCUAUGUGAUGAUAUGGGAUCAUGUAACUACAACCGAUUGAAAUUGGAAUUUCAUCAAAAGUUUUAUCCUAUGCAUCUUGUUCAUCGUGAUUGCAAUUAUAUAUAUAUAAUUUUUGGCCUCGCGAAGGAGAAAGCAUCACUCAAGCUUGGGGGAGUCUUAAGUCAAUGUUAUAAUACUAGAACACCUACACCCUCUGAGCAAAUUAAAGUUGAACCUAGUAUUGCUAUGGUUAAAGAUCUCUUGGCUGAUAAUAUUGAUGGGCAUGUUAUUUACUUUUGUGAUGAAGCUGCUAGAAUUGCUAGACCUGAUACUAAAAAUAAACAUAGACCAGUUGUAGGCAUGCAUGUUAUUUCUGUUAAAAUAGGUGAUCAUUGUUAUCAUGGCUUAUGUGAUAUGGGUGCUAGUGCAAGUGCAAUACCUCAUUCCUUAUACAAAGAAAUUAUGCAUGAUAUUGCACCUGCUCAGAUAGCGGAAAUUGAUGUUACAAUUAAGCUUGCCAAUAGAGACACUAUUUCACCAGUGGGGAUUGUUAGAUAUGUUGAAGUCUUGUGUGGGAAAGUUAAAUAUCCUGCUAAUUUUCUUGUUCUUGGUUCCCCACAAGAUGACUUUUUCCCCAUUAUAUUUGGUAGACCCUUCUUGAAUACUGUUAAUGCUAAGAUAGACUGCAAAAAGGAUGUUGUUACUAUUGGUUUUGGGGGAUAUGUCUCAUGAGUUUAAUUUUGCUAAAUUUCGUAGACAACCCCAUGAUAAAGAAUUGCCUAGUAAAUAUGAAAUUAUUGGUCUUGCUUCUAUUGAUGUGCCUCCUAGUGAUCCUUUAGAACAAUAUUUGCUCAACCAUGAAAAUGAUAUGUUUAUGAAUGAAAGAAUGGAAAUAGAUGAAGUAUUCUGUAAACAGGGACCUAUUUUGAAACACAACUUGCCUAGUGAAAUUCUAGGGGAUCCUCCUCCACCCAAGGGUGAUCCUGUGUUUGAGCUUAAACCUUUACCUGAUACUCUUAAAUAUGCCUAUCUUGAUGAGAAAUAUAUAUAUCCUAUUAUUAUUAGUGCUAACCUUUCAGAGCAUGAAGAAAAGAAAUUAUUGAAAACUCUGAAGAAGCACCGUCCUGCUAUUGGAUAUACUCUUGAUAAUCUUAAGGCCAUUAGUCCCACUCGAUGCCAGCACGAAAUAAAAUUGAAGGAAGACACGAAACCGGUUGUUGAUCACGAGCAACGGUUAAAUCCUAAGAUGAAACAAGUGGUAAGAAAAGAAAUACUAAAGCUUCUGGAGGCAGGUAUAAUUUAUCCCAUUGUUUAUAGUCAGUGGGUAAGUCAUGUCCAUUGUGUCCCUAAGAAAGGAGGUAUUACUGUUGUUCCUAAUGAUAAAGAUGAAUUGAUCCCAUAAAGAAUUGUUACAGGUUAUAGAAUGGUAAUUGAUUUCCGCAAAUUAAAUAAAGCUACUAAAAAGGAUCAUUACCCUUUACCUUUUAUUGAUCAAAUGCUAGAAAGACUAUCCAAACAUACACUUUUUUGCUUUCUAGAUGGUUAUUCUGGUUUCUCUCAAAUACCUGUGUCAAAAGAGGAUCAAGAAAAGACCACUUUUACUUGCCCUUUCGGUACUUUUGCUUAUAGACGUAUGCCUUUUGGUUUAUGCAAUGCACCUGCUACCUUUCAAAGAUGUAUGACUGCUAUAUUCUCUGACUUUUGUGAAAAGAUUGUUGAGCUUUUCAUGGAUGAUUUCUCCAUUUAUGGAACUUCUUUUGAUGAUUGCUUAAGCAACCUUGAUCGAGUUUUGCAGAGAUGUGAAGAAACUAAUCUUGUCUUGAAUUGGGAGAAGUGCCACUUUAUGGUUAAUGAAGGUAUUGUCUUGGGGCAUAAAAUUUCUGAAAUAGGUAUUGAAGUUGAUAAAGCUAAAGUUUAUGCUAUUGAAAAUAUGUCGUGUCCUAAGGACAUCAAAGGUAUAAGAGGUUUCCUUGGUCAUGCCGGUUUUUAUAGGAGGUUCAUUAAGGAUUUCUCAAAAAUCUCCAGGCCUCUAACUAAUCUCUUACAAAAAGAUGUUCCUUUUGUCUUUGAUGAUGAUUGUGUAGAAGCAUUUGAAAUACUUAAGAAAGCUUUGAUUUCUGCACCUAUUGUUCAGCCUCCUGAUUGGAAUUUACCCUUUGAAAUUAUGUGUGAUGCUAGUGAUUAUGCUGUAGGGGCUGUUUUAGGACAAAGGGUUGAUAGGAAAUUAAAUGUUAUCCAAUAUGCUAGUAAGACUCUGGAUAGUGCCCGGAGAAAUUACGCUACUACUGAAAAAGAAUUUUUAGCAGUUGUAUUUGCUUGUGAUAAGUUCAGACCUUGUAUUGUUGAUUCUAAAGUAACUGUUCACACCGAUCAUGCUGCUAUUAAAUAUCUUAUGGAAAAGAAAGAUGCUAAACCUAGACUUAUUAGAUGGGUUCUCUUGCUACAAGAAUUUGAUUUGCAUAUUAUUAAUAGAAAGGGAGCUGAGAACCCCAUUGCGGACAACUUGUCUAGGUUAGAGAAUGUUCUUGAUGACCCACUACGUAUUGAUGAUAGCUUUCCUGAUGAACAAUUAGCUGUCAUAAAUGAUUCUCGUACUGCUCUAUGGUAUGUUGAUUAUGUUAAUUAUAUUGUUGCUAAAUUUAUACCACCUAGUUUCACAUACCAACAAAAGAAAAAGUUCUUCUAUGACUUAAGAAAUUACUUUUGAGAUGACCCACACCUUUACAAAGAAGGAGUAGAUGGUGUUAUUAGACAUUGUGUACCUGAGCAUGAGCAGGAACAUAUCCUACGCAAGUGUCAUUCUGAGGCGUAUGGAGGACACCAUGCUGGAGAUAGAACUGCACAUAAGGUAUUGCAAUCCAGUUUUUAUUGGCCUACUCUCUUCAAGGAUGCCCGUAAGUUUGUCUUGUCUUGUGAUGAAUGUCAAAUAAUUGAUAAUAUUAGUAGACAUCAAGAAAUGCCUAUGAAUUAUUCACUUGUUAUUGAACCAUUUGAUUUUGGGGCUUUGAUUAUAUGGGACCGUUUCCUACCUCUAAUGGGUAUACACAUAUUUUAGUUGCUAUUGAUUACGUUACUAAGUGGGUAGAAGCUAUUCCAACUAGUAGUGCUGAUCAUAACACCUCUAUUAAGAAGCUUAAAGAAGUUAUUUUUCUGAGGUUUGGAGUCCCUAGAUACUUAAUGACUGAUGGUGGUUCACAUUUUAUUCAUGGUGCCUUUCGUAAAAUGCUUGCUAAGUAUGAUGUUAAUCAUAGAAUUGCAUCUCCAUAUCAUCCAUAGUAUAGUGGCCAAGUAGAAUUGAGUAAUAGAGAGCUUAAAUUAAUUUUGCAAAAGAUUGUUAAUAGAUCUAGAAAGAAUUGGUCAAAGAAACUUGAUGAUGCAUUAUGGGCUUAUAGAACUGCAUAUAGAAAUCCUAUGGGUAUGUCUCCGUAUAAAAUGGUUUAUGGAAAAGCAUGUCACUUACCUAUAGAACUAGAACACAAGGCAUAUUGGGCAAUUAUGAUUUCAAACUUGCCGGUGAGAAGAGGCUUUUUGACAUUAGCUCACUUGAUGAAUGGAGAACCCAGGCCUACGAGAAUGUCAAACUGUUUAAAGAAAAAGUUAAAAGAUGGCAUGACAAAAGGAUACAAAAACGUGAGUUUAAUGUAGGUGAUUAUGUAUUGUUAUACAACUCUCAUUUAAGGUUUUUUGUAGGAAAACUCCUCUCUAAAUGGGAAGGUCCUUACGUUAUCGAGUAGGUCUAUCGCUCCGGUGCCAUAAAAAUCAACAACUUCGAAGGCACAAAUCCAAGGGUGGUGAACGAUCAAAGAAUCAAACAUUAUAUCUCAAGUAAUCCUAUAAAUGUUGAAACUAAUGUUAUCGAAACAGUAACCCGGAGGAAUACAUAAAGGACACUUCCAGAACGUUUCAGACUCCGAAAAGGAAUAGGUAUGAGGUACAGUAAGUAAACCGACUCCAAAAUAGUUCUAAUAGCAAUUUUUCUCCGUUUUGGAAUAUUUAAGAAAAUAGGAAAAUGAGAAGCAGUCCGGGAAGGACACGAGGCUUCCAUGAGGGUGGAGGGCGCGCCCUACCCUCCUGGGUGCGCCCCCUGCCUCUUGUGCUCUCCGAACUCCAUUUUCUUGCACGAUACUUCUUUUGGUCUGUAAAAAUUCAUUAUAUAAUCUCCCGAAGGUUUUGACCACCAUAUCACGCAAAUAUCUCAUGUUUUUGUUUCGAGCUAUUUUCUGCCAGGGUUGUCAAGGCCAGGCAUCAUGUCGUCUCCCUCCUCCUCCAACAAUGAGGGCAACGAUGCUUGGCUAAUGAAGAUAGAGCUGAAGAGAGAAGAGCCCGGAGAGAUCAACAAGGAUGACGGGAUCAAGAAGGCCAUGGGAGAUCAAGUGCCGGCAGUAGUAGAAGAAGACAUCCUUCAACCUCCUCACAAUCUCUUUACUCCAACGAAGAUUGAAGCUUUCAAGAUGACUGAAUUAGCUCGCAUUCAAAACAAGUAUCUCACAAGUGAAAAUAUUUUGUUGAAGGAGCAUAUCAUCGCACUCAAGGGCAUUAUCCGCAAAUUGGAGGAUCUCCUACGCUCGAUGUGCGAUUAUCCAUCAUCACAAACACCUUCUUCACCAACAAAGAAGAACUGAGUAUCUGGUAUGGGCACUCCCCUUGGCAACUGUCAAGCUUGGGGGAGUGCACCGGUAUCGUAUCACCAUCACACCAUUAUCUUUACCAUUUUUCUUAGUUCGAUCCUUUUGGUAAUAUUUUGAUCUAGUAGAAUAAAGUUUUAGUAUGAUCUAGUUUUGAGUUUUUCUUUAUGAUUCUCCUAUGUAAUUGAGUCCGUGAGUUAUAUAAUAAAGAUUAGUGUUGAGUCAAGGGCUUGGUUAUCUUGCUAUGAUCUUGAGAGAAUAAAAAUAAAAGAGAAAGAAUAAAAAGAAAUAUAGAGAUCUUAUGUAUCUUAUGGAGAGUAAUGACUUCACAUAUAAAGAGUAUGAUGAAUAAAAGUUGUUGAAAGUUGACAAGCAUAGUUUUGGUCAUCGUUGCAAUUAAUAGGAAGUAAUAAAGAAAGAGAGGUUCUCACAUAUAAAUAUACUAUCUUGGACAUCUUUUAUGAUUGUGAGCACUCAUUAAAAUAUCACAUGCUAAAGAGUUGAUGUUGGACAAGGAAGAUGACGUAAUGGGUUAUGUUUUCUUACAUCUGAAAUAAAUUAUAUUGUCAUGGAUCAUCCACCAUGUUGAGCUUGCCUUUCCCUCUCAUGCUAGACAAGUUCUUUGCACCAAGUAGAGAUACUACUUGUGCUUCUAAAUAUCCUUAAACCCAGUUUUGCCAUGAGAGUCCACCAUAUCUACCUAUGAAUUGAGUAAGAUCCUUCAAGUAAGUUGUCAUCGUUGCAAGCAAUAAAAAUUUCUCUCUAAAUAUGUAUGAUUUAUUAGUGUGGAGAAAAUGAGCUCUAUACGAUCUUGUGAUGUGGAAGAAAUAAAAGCGAUAGACUGCAUAAUAAAGGUCCAUAUCACAAGUGGCAAUAUAAAGUGAUAUUCUUUCGCAUUAAGAUUUUGUGCAUCCAACCAUAAAAGCAUAUGAAAACCUCUGCUUCCCUCCGCGGAAGGCCUAUCUUUUAUUCUUGUCUUAUACUUCAUACAAAAGUCUUGGUGAUCUUCACCUUUCCUUUUUUACAUUUUAUCCUUUGGCAAGCACAAUGUGUUGGAAACAUCCAUAUAUAUAUAUAGCUAAUUGGAUGUGAGUUUUCAUGAACUAUUAUUGUUGACAUUACCCUUGAGGUAAAAGGUUGGGAGGCAAAACUAUAAGCCCCUAUCUUUCUCUGUGUCUGAUUAAAACUUCAUACCCAUAAAUAUUGCGUGAGUGUUAGCAAUUGUGAAAGACUAAAUGAUAGUUGAGUAUGUGGACUUGCUGAAAAGCUCUUAUAUUGACUCUUUCCAAUGUUAUGAUAAAUUGCAAUUGCUUCAAUGACUGAGGUUAUAGUUUGUUAGUUUUCAAUGAAGUUUAUGAUUCAUACUUGAAACUGUGAAUGAAUUGUUACUUUAGCAUAAGAGAUCAUAUGACAAACUGUGAAUGAUCAUGAUGCCCUCAUGUCCAUAUUUUAUUUUAUUGACACUUCUAUCUCUAAACAUGUGGACAUAUUUUUCGAUAUCGGCUUUCACUUGAGGAAAGGGAUGUCUAAACUUGGGGGAGUUGAUACGUCCAUUUUGCAUCAUGCUUUAUAUCGAUAUUUAUUGCAUUAUGGGAUGUUAUUACACAUUAUGUCACAAUACUUAUGCAUAUUCUCUCUUAUUUUAUAAGGUUUACAUGAAGAGGGAGAAUGCCGGUAGCUGGAAUUCUGGGCUGGAAAAGGAGCAAAUAUUAGAGACAUAUUCUGCACAACUCCAAAAGUCCCGAAACUUCACGGGAGCACGUUUCAGAAUAUAUAAAAAUAUUGGGCAAAAAAAUACCAGAGAGAGGCCACCCACCGUCCACGAGGGUGGGGGCGCACCCUACCCCCUGCCUCGUGGGCCCCCUGGCAGCCCUUUGAUGCCCAUCUUCUGCUAUAUGAGGUCUUUCGUCCAGGAAAAAAAUCAUAAGCUAGCUCACGGGAUGAAACUCCGCCGCCACGAGGCGGAACCUUGGCGGAACCAAUCUAGGGCUCCGGCGGAGCUGUUUUGCUGGGGAAACUUCCCUCUGGGAUGGGGAAAUCAUCAACAUCGAUCCUCUCAUCGGGGGGGGUCAAUCUCCAUCAACAUCUUCACCAGCAACAUCUCAUCUCAAACCCUAGUUCAUCUCUUGUAUCCAAUCUUUGUCCCAAAGCCUUAGAUUGGUACAUGUGGGUUGCUAGUAGUGUUGAUUACUCAUUGUAGUUGAUGCUAAUUGGUUUAUUCGGUGAACGAUCAUAUGUUCAGAUCCUUUAUGCAUAUUAAUACCCCUCUGAUUAUGAGCAUGAAUAUGAUUUGUGAGUAGUUAUGUUUGUUCCUAGGGACAUGGGAGAAGUCUUGCUAUAAGUAGUCAUGUGAAUUUGGUAUUCGUUCGAUAUUUUCAUGAGAUGUAUGUUGUCUUUCCUCUAGUGGUGUCAUGUGAACGUCGACUACAUGACACUUCCCCAUUGUUUGGGCCUAGAGGAAGGCAUUAGGAAGUAAUAAGUACAUGAUGGGUUGCUAGAGUGACAGAAGUUUAAACCCUAGUUUAUGCGUUAUUUCGUAAGGGGCUGAUUUGGAUUCAUAUGUUUCAUGCUAUGGUUAGGCUUACCUUAAUACUUAUUUUGUAGUUGCGGAUGCUUGCAAUAGGGGUUAAUUAUAAGUGGGAUGCUUGUCCAAGGAAGGGCAGUACCCAAGCACCGGUCCACCCACAUAUCAAAUUAUCAAAGUACCAAACGCGAAUCAUAUGAACGUGAUGAAAACUAGCUUGACGGUAAUUCCCAUGUGUCCUCGGGAGCGUUUUCCUUUAUAUAAGAGUUUGUCCAGGCUUGUCCUUUGCUACAAAAAGGAUUGGGCCAUCUUGCUGCACCUUAUUUACUUUUAUUACUUGUUACCCGUUACAAAUUACAUUAUCACAAAACUAUCUGUUACCAACAAUUUCAGUGCUUACAGAGAAUACCUUAUAUACUUAAAACUGCUUAUCAUUUCCUUCUGCUCCUCGUUGGGUUCGACACUCUUAUUUAUCGAAAGGACUACAAUAGAUCCCCUAUACUUGUGGGUCAUCAAAGCCCUGUUCCGGUAGCAACAUCAUCACCGUCAUCACGUCGUCGUGUUGACGAAGCUCUCCCUCGAAGCUCUAUCGUGAGUUCGCGGGACGUCACCGAGCCGAACGUGUGCAGAUCACGGAGGUACCGUACCUUCGGUGCUAGGAUCGGUCGAUCGUGAAGACAUACGACUACAUCAACCGCGUUGUCAUAACGUUUCUGCUUACGGUCUACGAGGGUACGUAGGCGCUACUCGCCCCUCUCAUUGCUAUGCAUCACCAUAAUCUUGCGUGUGCGUAGGAAAUUUUUGAAAUUACUGCGUUCACCAACACUCUUUAUACUCAGUAGUGAUUACUGUAAGCUCUAUGUGAUGGACAAUGGGUGCAUAUGCACCUAGGAGCCAUAGCCAAUUUCCAUACCAGCACACGCUUCUCUCUCCCUUAGACGUUGUUUAAACUUUCUUCCAUUGUUGGCCACGAGGUCAGAUUUAUUGUAGAAAAUCGAAGGGGGGGAAACGUAUGGCCAUUGUUAGUUAGGUAAUUCAUUUAUAAUUACCAUCAGCGCGAACCUCCAUCUCUGUGAUCGGCUGAGAGAGGAAAAAUAACACGAGGAACCAAAAACGCCUAUGCAUAUGCAUGUUCGGCAUAGAAAUGUUGAUGAAGAGUGAAAAUAUAUUUAAAAUAAUAUUUUAUUACAGAAAAACUCCUCCUGAAAAUUUAAAAACAAUGUGUUUUUUAACACGCUUAAAAGCGCAAACACACACCCACGCUUACAUACCAUCUACUAAAGAAUGGAGUUGCCAAUUUUAAUACUCAUUCCAUUAGAAAGCAUAAGGUAUAGUUUGACCAUCAUAAUUUCAUGCUUUGACUAUCAAUGUUAUAGAACAAAACCAUAUCUAAUAUUUAAACUACACAUUGAUUUUAUUUUUUUCCGUUAUACUCGUUUUAAAAUUCUCCGUGUGGAAGUGUUCCAUUGGUAUAUAUUUAUGUUUACAAAAUACCAAGACAUAAAAAUCAUCGAACAAAUUACUUAGUGUAGUAGUUUCAAGUUGCUAGACAUUGCUACAUUAACUAUUAAAUACCAUCUUUGAAAUCAGAGAAAAUAGCGUAAAACAUUCUAAUCUUUACUACACUAGAUAUUGAAAGUGCUAAACUUAAAUUUAUAUGCAUUCUCUUGGAUCGGAUUGGUUUAUAGUUUUUUUUUUUGCAGGGGGUUGAUUUAUAGUAAUAGUCAUCUAAUAAUAAGAGGAAGAGGAAUAGAAAUGUUUUCUAAAUUUAGGUACUGUUUUCAUAUUUUGUGUGUGUGUGUGUGGACACACACACAGCAUAUUUAAUAAAAAUAACGUAUGAUCAACAAUAUCUCAUAAUAGGCAUAUGUUUAUGGACAGAAUAAAUCUCAGUGUUACAAUUUUAUGAAAUAUCCAUCUCUAAGAGGGCUGCUGUGUUAGUUUAAUUAGUCUAAAUAUAAAAUUAAGAUGAUGCAUCGCAUCGAUCCUACCAGGCUACCACUUGGUUCUAGCUAAGGAUAUAGCAAAGGGGGUUGACAAGGAAUGAGGAGACUCAACGAAGAAGAGCCAAACAUGGUGGAGGGAUCUUUUUAUACAUGACUAUUAGUCAAGGGGGUUUCCAUAAAAUGCACAGAAGUUCCACCAAUUCCCGAUGCAUUGAAUCUGAGACAUCCAUUGAAAAUCCGAUGGAUGUCACUGAUUUUUUUCUAUUUUUGCACACUAGGUGUUGCUUACACUAUCUCUCCAACAUAAAGUCCUAGUAACUCCAGAGCGCGACAUCAGCUCCGGCUCCGCCGUCGGCGCAGUCUCCGUUGUCCCAGUACGCCCCGGUGGCCAUGGUAGGCGGUGGCUCCAUGAGCAGGCCCUGCGCAAGGUUCGCGUAGUAGUACGUGUCCGAGUCCGUCUCCCCAAACAGGCAGUCGAGGUCGAACAUGUCCAUGCCUAAUGCGGCCGCCUCUUCAAAAGUGGCAUCACCGGAAGUCUUCGCCGUCUCGGACGAGGGGACGCUGCACGCCGCCGACGACGGGACGGCCACGCUGGACGUGACUUCCUGGCCCGCCCCAGCGGCGGCACCCGUGGCCUCCGGACGGCGCAGGAAGUCCGCGACGGCCUGGACGGCCGCGCGCCGGACAUCAGAGAGAUUGGAGAAGGCGGGCGGCACCGCAAGCAGCCACGCGGAGUCCCGGAAGUUGAGGCACGCGGCGGAACGGCCGCGCAGCAUGAGCAUGGCGGCGUCGUGCGCGCGCGCAGCCGCCUCGGCGGUGAAGUACGUCCCGAGCCAGAGGCGCGUGCCGCGGUCCCCGGGGACGCGCACCUCGCAGACCCACCGGCCGGCGUUCCCGCGGCGCCGCACGCCGCGGAACACGGGGUGCCGCGUCUCGCGGAACUUGGUACGGCCAGCGGGGCGCUUCGGCGGCCACGGCCAUGCCGUCCCGCCGCGCUCGGUCGUGAACGAGGAGGAGGCAGAGCUCGAGUGCCCGAGGCUCAUGUCCAUGGCUGCUGGCUGCCGGUGGAUGGCUCGCUGGUGGUAUCUAGCUUGAGGCUUGUGCUCGAGCGAGAGAGUGAGAGUGUUGCUUGGUGUAGUGCUAGUGCGUGUGCGUAUUUAUACGUGUGACAAUAAGAUGACAGCUGUUUCCUUAGCCGCGUUGCUGCAUCGCGUCCACUCGCCAUAUGACAAGACGCGUUUUGGCAACGCAGCUUACGCCGCUUUGUGUGCACUCCAGCGGGCAAGACGCGGCUUGGUCUAGCAUCUCUGAUCGUAGCCGCCAGCUGAGUUCACGUGUUGUCAAGUCGCUAUCCGAAACGUCGAUUUGUGGCAUGGUGGCGCUUUCCUGCAGCGCGUUAUGUUACCACGUGGGAAGGAUGGCGCUUUCAUGCCGGGCGUUUGCCUGUUCGCUAAGUGAGUGUGAAGAAAGUCAGGUCAGGUCAGGUCAGAUGCCACGCGUGACUCGUGAGGCUAGCAACUGGCAUAGUGGUGGCAACUGGCAAGGGCUUUGCUGAAACUGAAAGCUUGCGUUUAGUUUCAGGGGCGUUUGGGUUCCAUGUACAUCGCAUGUCAGUAUCUAUUGAAAACAUGAAUAAAGCUAACAUCAGAGUUUUAGCACCUCAAAACGAACGCAUUUUUCAACAUUAGAUUAUUAGCACGAAUCUCAGGGCUAAUCUACUGCCAUGUAGGCUUCUGCCAUCCCUUCUUAUGGUCGAACGAACGGAACGACAACCGGCAGCCCACCCAGUCAUCUCCCUGCUCACAGGACGUCUAGGCUUAAAUAAAUGCGGAAUAAAACUAAGUAUACCAGGUUUAACUAUGUGCACCUACAAUUUGUGCUAAACCAGAUACACAACUAUGUGGUUGCAAGAUAUAUAACCUGAAGCAUAAUCCAGCAACGGCGACGGUGUGAGCUUCGGGGGGAAACCCUAGAUCUGGGUCUACCGGAUCGGGUGAUGAUAGCAUCUUCGAUGUCGUUGUCCCUUCUGGAGGCAUUGUUUUGGAGCACGCGCUGGCUGGAGGGGACAAGAGGAGGAGCGAUGUUACAUCUACCGCAAGGCCGGCGGCGGAUCCUGGCGGCAUGGCGCCGCAGAGAUUCGGCGAUGGGCGCGUCUGGAGAUGGACUCGCGCAGGAGGAGGAAGCUGUCUGGCGUCAUGGUGGCGUUGAUGGCAGAGAGGCUUGGCAAGGUCGGUGCAACAAUUUGCUUUGAGGAUGGACCGAGGGAUGAUGGAGGUGACGGCCCUUGCAGCGUGCGGUGCUCACUGGGAGUGUGCCUGACCGGUGUGGGACCCAAUCCAGGUAGUGGCUUGGAGGGGACACCCGGCUUUAGAUGUUAGGUUUUAGUGCGAUGUCUAUUUGGUAUUAGGCCCGGACAUUUGGCACGCCUUCAUCAAGGGGAUAGAAGUAGCAACGGUGUUGUCAAGAUGGUGACUUCAGGCUUAUUGAUGUACCACCUUAUAUGGUCUUUGUGAAUAAUUAAUAAUAUGGCUGCAUGCAUCGUCCAGAUGCAGAGGCCGGGGAUACAUCCUCCUUUUCUAAAAAAAUAAAAUAACCUGAAGCAUAAUGACUAUCACAAAAUAAGUGCAUAAGUAAAGAGCUCGGUUAAGAGAUAACCAAGGCUUGCGGAGACGACGAUGUAUCCCGAGGUUCACCCCUUUACAGAUGCUAAUCUUCGCUAGAACGGUGUGGAUGCACAUUGCUCCCUAAGAGCCACAAUGGCUCACAAUAUUCUCCUCACGCCAUCACACAAUACAAGGUGUUGUGAAUCUACUAAGAGAACCUUGAGGGUGAUCACCGAACCCGUACAAAUGAAGACCCUUAAGGGCGGUUACCGAACACGUACAAAUUGCCCGGGGCAAUCUCCACAACUUAAUUGGAGGCUCUCAAAGAUUUCCCAAAGCUUUACACCAUAAUGAUUGAGCUCCGUAACAACACCAACCAUUUAGGGCACCCAAUCACCCAGGAGGAACAAAUUGUAGGGUACCAAGCACCCAAAAGUAAAAAACUUCUCAAAAUUUCACUUUCAUGUAUCACUGUGGAGAACUCAAAUCUAUGCACCAAAUACAAUGGCAAGAGCACAUGGGAUGCUCAAGUCCUUCUCCCCAAAUCCCAACACAACAAAAAAUGUUAUGCAGAAAUAUGAGAGAAAGAACAAAGGAGAAUAACACAAAAGAAUGCCAAGAUCUAAAUCUAAAGGGUUCCCCUCACUUAGAGGAGAUAUGGAUUGGUGAAAAUGUAGAUAUAGAUAUCCUCUCUCUUUUCCCUCAAAUAGACGCAAGAAUCAGAGGAAGAAUAGAGAGAAAGCAAACUACAAGAGGUCAACAAUGAUGGGGGAAAACUUGCUCAGAUUAAUUGGGGCCAUUGGGGAAGAAGACCCCCUUAAAUAGGCUCCUACGAAUCUAAAUGUUAUGCUGCAGAGAAACACUAGAGCAGUACAAGCACUUGAAUAAAUGGUACAACCACUCCAAACAGUAAAAGCAGGCAGUAGUGGCCUGAGCGGUACAACCGCCUAUCACACCGGUUGCACCGUUUACUAAAACAUAACCGGAACUACGGUGCUCCCACCGCUCAGUACCGCACCCCAAACCCAGAGGAAUCACCCUCGAGCAGUAGUUGGGGCGGUGCAAAUGCCGGAAUAGCCGUCUCAAAAGCUCACAUGAGUGGCUAUAAGUUUCAUUGCGGUACAAAUGUCGAAACAACUGUCCCAAAACCAUGCACAUGCCAGUCAAGCAACCCAAACCGCCAAAGUCGUUGACAGAACCGAGAAUAUCCGUUAACGCAUGAGUGGUUACAUUUCAUUGACCAAACUGCUAAGAAGAGACCAUCUGUCCAAAAUCCAACAUUGAAGAUGCUACGGUAAGCUUACGCAUCCGACACAAGUGUAUGCCAAUAAUAAAUCUGGGUGUUAUCUCACGUCCCAGAAAAUACAUCGCCUUUGCUGCACCUUCAUAACCGCAACUAGCCAUCACUAAUUUUGUCAAGCAUGACCUGACCAUUCCUUUUCAAAAAAAUAACAUGGCCACCCAAACGAGACUAAAUUGGAAAAGUAAAAAAAAAAUGGAACAUGAUAUUCAAAUAUGGUACUUGUGUACAAAUCAGACUUGCAAGAGCAAGACACAUUUUUCUCUAUUGAUCCCAAAUUACGAUAUCAUUCUUUCUUUUUUUAGGAAGAAGAAUUUAUUAAUAAUGGGUAGAAGUACAUUCAUUACAAAAUAAAUAAUGACCCCUCCAUUCCAAAAUACUUGUCGUGGUCUUAGUUUUAUUUACAUGCCACACUUUACUUUGUAGAAAUACACAAUUAAUUUUAUGCUGAAGUUCCAAAAUCCUGACAGUAUUUUCUUUUCUUGCUACAGCUUUGCUCUUGUUGUAUCAGAUAGGCUUGUCCCCUGUCCUGCCCUGUUACAAGUACGCGCGCUUCUGUACUAUGGGAACAACGGGGAGAGGCAGAUGGCCCUUUUUCUGCAAGCACGUCACGGUCUCGUACAAGCUUUGCCUCAGCGGAGUGAACUCCAACCCCAGCUCCCUCAACCUCAGGUUUGAGAACUUGUACGGCUUCGCCGUGGGCUUGCC
This 240809-nucleotide long non-coding RNA is filed under the name Triticum aestivum (bread wheat). RNAcentral describes it as "long non-coding RNA (TAES_LNC010907)". Lineage: Eukaryota; Viridiplantae; Streptophyta; Magnoliopsida; Poales; Poaceae. The record is from RNAcentral.